AGAGUCUACUUUAGAUAUAUUUCAUGUGUGCUUCAUUGUUAAAUCUGAGAAAGCAGUAGAUUGAUUUCUAGAUUGCUACUCCUAAUUCGGGAAUUAGUAGAUAAUAUUUAGAGACUUAUCAAGUAAUGUGGUGGAAUCCGAUGCCUUAGUUACUUCGUCAUCAAGGUAAUUUUUUAUCUAUUUUAUUUGUCUUAGCUACUUCACCAUCAACUUUCAUUCAACUAGGUUAGUGUUAAAUUAAUUUAGAUUCGAUUAGUUUUUCCUAUUUUCAUACAUUCCCUGUGGGUUCGACCUCGCUCUUGCAUAUUUGUGCUGCAACUGAUUCGUGCGCUUGGGAGUAACAUUUUAAAACACAUCACUCUUCCCUUCAAGAUGACACGGCCUCUCAACUAGAUUUGUUGCUUCUACACCGGUCAUCUUUGUAAGCUUCUCCGCUUCUUCGCCGUCGAAGUAGGGGCUGAUCUCGACGUUGUUGGCGACAGUGGCGCCUCGGUUGUUAUCGAUGGAGAUUGGGAUUGGUUCGGUGCAGAGAGAAGAGAAGGAGAUUGUUCCGAUGAGGCAAAUUAAGAUGGAUUGGAUUCCCUUACAUUCCUCUAGAGCAAAGAAAAUGUUGAAAUUCUGAGGGAGUGGGCAAGUCUGGUUUGAAUUUGCCUCAGAUCUUCAUGUUGGGAUGAACACAGAGGAAGGCGAGCUUGAAGUAGAUGAAGGAGGACCGUUGGAUUAGCCUUAAAGCUCUCUCAUCUCUACAAGCAACUGCCACAAAUUUCCUCUCUUCUUAUUUAAUUGGUUACUUUCUGUUUCAGGAGCUCUUAUCCCUAAAGGUAUGAAUACUAUGAGCCACAUCUCUAAUCUCUCUCACAACAAUGAAAUAUUAAAAUGGUAUACUAAUGGAUGUGCAAUUCUCUUGUGAGCGGUGAAUUGAAAGUGGAGAUGUAUCGAAUGUGGUUAUAUUGAUGUUUCUUAUGCGGAGAAGCUCCCUCCUUGACUUCAAUAUUAUUGAGAUUCUCCGUUGAUGAAACGUUUGAACUUGGACUAAUAGAUGCAAUUGUCAUGAUAAUGUUCAGUACUGAUAUAACCAGUAGUAGUAAUAGUAGCAUAACUUGACUAUAGUAGUUGGUAGUAGCACGGUGAUCAAAUACAGCACGGAGACUAUGCCGGUAUAUUGAAAUCCUCAAAGACAUCCAAUUACAGUUUUGGUACUCAAAACCUGCUACUGCACGUACUGAAAAUAACUAAUAUUACAUUUGCUGAGCUACUGAAAACCUGCUACUACACUUAUGGAAGCUGCUACUAUAUUAGUUGAACCAUUAAAACUCUGCUACUACAUUUGUUGGAAGUGUAGUAGCAGCUAACUUUCCAGAAAAACAUGCUACUACAUUAGUUGAGCCACUGAAAACCUGCUACUACAGUUACUGAAGUUUCUACUACACUAGCUGAACCACUAAAAAUCUGCUACUGUAUUUAUUUGCUGAGCCAUUGAAAACCAUCUACUGCACUUACGAAAGCUGCUGCUGCUGCUACUACUACACUAGUUGAACCACUAAAACUCUGCUACUACAUUUACUGAAGUUGCUACUACACUAGCUGAACCACUAAAAAUCUGCUACUGUAUUUAUUUGCUGAGCCACUGAAAACCUGCUACUGCACUUACGGAAGCUGCUGCUACACUAGUUGAACUACUAAAACUCUGUUACUACAUUUGUUGGAAGUGUAGCAGCAGCUAACUUUCCAGAAAAGCAUGCUACUACAUUAGUUGUGCCACUGAAAACCUGCUACUACAGUUACUGAAGUUGCUACUACACUAGUUGAACCACUAAAAAUCUGCUAUUGUAUUUAUUGAAAGUGUAGUAGCAGCAACAUUUCAGCAAGUGCAGUAGCAGCUAAAACAAUAUAUGAUGAGGUCUGAUUUAAUUUGUAUUAGGUCAGUUUGGUAAUUAAAUUAAACCAUGACACAUGACAAACAUAAAAGAAUCUGUCCUUAUUUGUUAAAAAUUGUCCUUAUUUUUUAAAAAGAAAUGUAGAUGGAUGUUAAUCUCUGCUAAUACUUCAACUGGAAUUAACUGCUACUACACUAACUUAUUGAAAACCUGCUACUGUAUUUCAUUUACUGAAAAAUCUUAAAAUGAGACUUUUCUAUUUUAAAAACAUAUUUAAUUAGUGUAAGGUUAGUUUGGUAAAUUAAACCAUGACACAUGGCAUGCAGAGAAAAGAUUGUCCUUAAUUGUUAAAAACUGUCCUUAUUUGUUUAAUAACAACACAAGUGGAUUUAUUUAUGUUUCAAAUUCUUUUGAAGAAUGUAUAUGUGAUUUGUUAUAAAUCGAACCCACCCCUAGCAUGUAGGCCACCAUUGUUCGAUACAGAAAGUAAAGAAGUUGUGGAUUCUGAUAGUGACUUUGUGAGUGCACAAAAUAAUGGGCUGCUUAAUGUUUAAUAAAAAACAAAACAGCAAAUAAGCCCAAACAGGUAGUUCCUCCCAUUUAAAAUAUUGUUCACAGAACAAACGUACGUAGACAUGGAAGGAAACUUGGAGACCUAACUAAUUCAAACCAAUUCCAAUCUUGAGGUCAUUAUUGGUUUCUACGCAUGGAUUAGGCCGGAGUACUCCUUGUCCUGUGUUAAUUAGUAGGACAUUUGCACUAACUAGGUUCUCUUAAUUUCCUCCCACUAAUUGCUCUAUCGAUCUGUUGUUGCUAAGAUAAAUAUAACCUAGCUCCAAUAUUACUCAAGGAUGUAAAUGUUGCAAUAUAGGGAGUCUAUAGCUACUUAAUUAUUGGCCGGAGGUAAUCGUACCACGUAACAAGGUAUACGCAUAUAUAGCGAAGAUUGAAGAAAGGGUACGUACGUAUCUGACCAAUAAUAUAGGCAAUGAUUUUGCAUUUUUGCCGAAAGCGUUCUUGAAAUUUAGUGUGUUCUUAAUGGUUUAUAUUCUUUGAUCUCUAGCUAGCUGUAUGUUUUACUGUCAUUGCCGAGGGGAACUUGAAGUUUCUUAACACUCCAAUUACGCCAACAACAUUUGUCAUCAUUCGGCCUUCGGGCUCUAAAGCCCAUGGGCGGCCCUUCGGCCCAUAGGGCCAAAACCUAGCCCGUCUCGUAUGAAGCCCGAAGAGGCCUGCCCGGCCCGGCCCGUGAAGCCCGGCCCAUGGAGCCCAUCAAAAGCAAACCUAAAUACUCACUCUCCACGGUGUAGACUCCACCACACAAGCUUAUAUUGCAAAUAAAAAAAUACUUAAAAGUUGUCAGGUAUGUGCUUUCAUGCCUCCUUGUCUUAUAUUGCACAGACAUAGUCACAUGGUGCUCUGUCUUUUUCUCACUCACCUCUCACAAAGACUGGGUUUAUAUAUUUUCUUCAAGUUUUCUGUUUUUCUUAAAUGGCCUCUACGAGAUCUAUUUUUCUGUAUCUCUCAGUUUCACACAUGUAGCCUUUGAUCCCUUUGGCAAGAUCAUUGAAUUGAAGGUCGUUUAGUCGCAGAGAUCGGACAGAUCGAAUCAGUUUUUCUCUCAUCCUCUUUGUGAUAUGUGUUUCUAUGAUACUACUAUGUUACUGUAUAUGUUAGUAUGAUUCUUGUGUUUUUGCUAUCCCAAAAUCGGAUCAUCGGGUUUCGUCAUCUUCAGCGACGACGAGAGUAAGAGCUCAUCUCUUUAUCACUCAUCUAUCAUGUUUCUGUAUCUCUCGUCUCUCAAAUAUGAAAGAUCUCAAAUCUGGCUUUGGUUUUGACAGAAAGCAGAAGUCUGACAAGGUCACAUGAAGAUGAGAUGCAGAAGAAAACAGUUAGAGAAAAGGCCCAGCCCGGCCCUCCUCAGUCAAUUGGGCCCGGCCCGGCCCGGUCAAGCCCUAUAAAGCCCGGCCCAUGGGCUGCCCUAAGGCUUAAAAUUUUCUCUAAUGCCCAGCCCGGCCCGGCCUUGAUAUUAUAUAUUUUACCUUGAAAGCCCGGCCCCGCCCAGCCUGAGCCCAUUAGUUUUAGGCCGGGCUGACCCGGCCCGGCCCAAUGACGACCCCUAAAUUUACUCAGCUCACAAGUCACCGUCUUCAAGAAUUCACAUGGAAAAGUCUAUGAUUUGUACCAUUAUUGAGUAGCAUUGGAACUCAGUAUAUGGAGUCAGUAUAUUGAAGAAGACCACACGCUGAGAAUUGGCAGCAUUUACUCUUUUUUUUUUUUGACAAUAUUGAAUAAUUCAUUAAAGAAGAGGGAAACCCAAAUUACAGAACUUGCAAACGCAAGGCCGAAAAACUAAUAAUAAAGAGCAUAAGUCUCUAACUCAAUCAACAUAGAAAAAGUAAAGGGAAACCAACAGCUCGCUAAUCUAUGGACCGAAAGUCCUACAACAAAAAACAUAAAUACAACAAUACUAAAAAAUCUACCAUACACACCACCCAUGCACGCCGACAUUGUCGUCGCCAUCGCCGCCAACAGCUGUGAGUAAGUGAGGAGUACUAAAUCAGAGCAUAGCUGCCCGAGUACCCGAUGCUUACUGAAUCUCAAUGCACAAAUCAUAUGAAAACCCAUGACCAAGAGGAAGAACUCCCUCAAAACAACACCAUGCAAUCCACCAUCUAAACCAAAGCCAUGAUAAAGCUGAGACUGCGGAGAGAAGAACGAAAGAGGCAGCAUUUACUCUUUGGAGAAUAGUACUACUGUAUAAUGGACCCUGUUUCACUGUGAACUUUACCUUCAUCCAGACCUAUAAACUAGAAAUCUAAAGCUUGGGUGAAAUACUAUCAAACAGAUUUGGUUUUCUUUUCUUCAACUAAACAUUCGGGUUUUUGUUUUUGAUCUACCCCAUACAUCAUUGAUUGAAAAAAAGAAGCAACUAAAUGACCGUGUAAUAACCAUUUGCUCCUUCAAAAACUCAUAUGUGUCAUACAAUUUGACAUAUUUGCAAUAAGCAUGUCAUACCAUAUGAUAUGGGAGACAAACCCUAAGUUAUAUGCAUGAUUGUUUCUUUUUGGACGUGUUUAUGCAACCAACUCAACGUACACGUCUCAUGUAAUUGGACGUCCAAUUUUUCCCAUAUCUCUCUUUAUACAUCUAUCACUAAAGAACAUCUUUUGGCUAAAGCCUAGUUAGAUGGAGUUUCCAUUAGUUUAACCCUAAUGUAAAAUGGAAAUCCAUAAAAGAAAUGCCUUUAGUUUGGAUCAACCUUUUAACUAAUCGCAUUGUAUUGGCCUCUUUCUGAUGACCAUGACCAUGCAAUACAUUUUAGUCUCAACAAGUUUACUUGCGUGAGGGAAUUAAUUGUUGAUCGUCUGGGGUUACACCUGGACUCAACCAAGUUCUUUAAUAUCGAUAAAUUCGGCGAUAUUUCGUCGAAAAUAUCGUUUUUUUUCAACUUCUCGACAAAAUUAUCGUGAAAUAUGUGAUAUUAAGCUAAAAGGCCAGUAAGGGGAUUUGAACCUCGGUCACCCAAGAUAUGUCAAAACGCCCUAACCAACCCUGCUAACAUGCAUUUAUUCUAUAAGUUGUACAAUUAUAAAUAUAUAUAUAUAUAUAUAUAUAUUAUGCUAACUAUAUUUUACCUUCUUUCUAUAAUAUCUUUCGAAAUUUUGUAAAUAUCAAUAUUCCAAUAUAUAUCUGUCGAAAUUUUGGACGGUCGAUAUAUCCAUAAUUGUCAAAAUUUUAGUCCUUAGACGAUUAAUCAAUAAGAGCAACUAGCAAAGCUAGCUUUAUUCGUUGCUUUUCACUAUUGCUUCUUUCUCUCUUCUCCGGCAUGCGUUUUCGAUUAGCUAGUAUCGACCCAAUUGUGCAAGCAGUUUCGAUUAGUAAGCCAAAAUAGACAAAGCUGUAAAGCAAUGCACGUAAUUGGUUUCAUGAAAGGACUAUCCUCAAAUGAGGGCUCAGAUAGAGAAAUGAAAUUUUUGACCAGAAAACACUUUCCAAAGUGAUGAGUACGUACCCUAUUAGCUAAGUUCAAUAAUACAAAGCCUUUUUGGUCAAACAAAUUGAUUAGCUUUUUCUCUCUACGUGCAUGAUGAAAAGUUGCAAAGAAAAAAAAGAUCCAACACAAAAUGUUUUGUCGAUUUGCUUAAAGGGUUUUCACCUAAGACAUCAAAAUCAUAUGUUUAUUGUCUAAAAUUAGUGUAAAUUGCUUGGUGGAAUUGUUUGCGGACCUUUCAGUAAUUGCCUAGUGAAGGCAACAAGUCUGUGCAUGAAUAAGAAAACGAUGAAUUGGGUUUGUUGGAUCGUAAAGGCUAAGAAUUAACAUUGAUUGAAAGAGCUAGCUCACUCCAUGCCACUUGAUAAAUAUCUGAGAAAGAAAAAAGAACUUGGACUGGGCAGUACUUGAAUCAGUUUGUUAAAUUACUACUAGUGAUAUACUUUAUUGUAAUCAUAGAGUUGUUAGUUAUGCUUCAUUAGGUAUGAGUCCAUUAAGGGUUAAUCUACCGACUCUAGCUUUGUGAUCGAUCGAUGGCGUGUCUAGUCCAUUCCAAUUUACCAUAAGACCUCGUUUGGUCACAGAAAAAAAAAAAAGCUUGAAAAGAGAAAGUUUUUUUAUUUUCCUUUCCUAAUUACUUUCCUGAUUCCAAAACUCAAACCUCGUUUUAUUUUUUCAUUUUUUAUUUUGGUUUAAGUACGUUUCCUUCUAUAUAUUAUUGGUUUAUUCCUCUGAGGGGCACCAAUAAUAUUUUUCAUUUCAUAUAAGUAUAAUUUUGUUUUUAAAGAAUUAAUAUUCAUAGAGAAAAUUCUACGAUAUGUGUUAAUACAUGACAUGCAUCAACUUUGUCAUAAAGUUGUAAAAUGAGUCCUAAAAAUGAUAAUAUUAGUCCUCAAAGCUGUAAAUGAGUUCUUAAAGUUGUAAAUAUUCUUAUUUACUACACAAGCUGUUAAUUAAAGUAGUAAUAUUAAUCUUUAAAGUGUUAACAUGAGUCAUUAAAAUGAUUAAAAAAAAAUUGAUGCAAUUUUGAGGACUGAAUUAUCGCUUUAAGGACACAUUUUACUACUUGAGGACUAAUGUUGUAAUGAAAAUUUUACAACUUUAAGAACUUUUUUUUUACAAUUUUAAGGACUCAAAAUACAACUUUAGGAACCAAUUUAACUUACUACUUUACGAACUCAUUUUUUAAUUUUAGGACAAAGUUGAUACAUGUCAUGCAUUAGCACACCUUAACCUUUACUUGGUAUCAAUUUGCAACCAAGAUCAAAAACUGAACCCCUAAAUUACACUAAAUGGCCCUGUCACAAAGAGAAUGAUCGAUGCUGGAAGCCGAAGCAGACGUCGCUGCCGCCCUGCAUACGAAACCAGGGUUUCGUUAUUCUCAACUCGGAGCGAAUUUCUCUUAAGAGUAUAAUUGUGAGUACUUGAGUUCUGUAAUUUCCAAACGAGGUCAAAAACUUAAUUUGCAACCAAGGUCAAAAACUUAAUAAUAUUUAGAGCAGAGAAUGACGCGCGUGUCUGAGUCCACACAUAAGAGCAACCCAACUUUUAAGGCAUAUUGUCCUUAUUAAACUAUAUAUAUUUUAGCUUUUAUUAUUUUAAUCAUUUUAAUUAAUGUGUUUAUAAGUUUUUUUUUCUUUUUUUAUCAAAAUGUGUUUAUAAGUUCUUAUCAAGCGACUAGAAAUUGUUUUUUUGUUUUAAAAGAAAUAUAUAUUUUGUUAAUUUAUCUAUGGCCAAAAGACACAUACAUCAAUUUGUCUACUUAUAAUUACUCAUCAAGUUGGCAACGUACAAGAAAUAACAACAUACGGAACCCUCAUUGUAAAAUACGCGUAAAUUAUAUAUAUAUAUACGUACCACGUACAAAUGACUUCCAACUACUCCUAUUCAACCCAGAAGACUAGAAUUACUCACACAUGAGGAAGACAAUAAAAGAAGUAAAAGCUCGUUACGUGCUCAACGCAUAACUCCAUUAAAAAUUUCUAAAUGUUCGUAACUUGGGAAUUAGUAGAGAGAGCAAUCAGUGAAAUAAAAGGAGAAAGGAAAAGAAGGGGGGAAAAAAUAAAGAGAUCAGUACAAGUAGCUAGCUUUCGUUUUUCUCCCAUUGAGAACUUCCUCAGAAGUUCCAACACAUUUCAUCCUUUGUGGGACAUGCAUACCACUUUCCCCACUGAACCAACCAACCAGCACCUGCACUUGCACUUGCACUUGCAGUGUGAAUUGAGUCCAAUCAGAUUUAUGCAGAAAACAAAGGCAUUUCUUUGCUGCUGUAAUUGUCUUUGCUAGCUAGCUAGGCCGAUAUGUUUAUUCCCCUUUCGUUUCAAUCAUCAACUUGGAAGGCAAACAAGAUGAGCAAAGCCACCACCACUACUACUCGACUACCACUCUUCGAUCUGUGCUGGCUUUGUCGAUCCAUAGAGUCCAUGCGCAUGUCCCUCGGAAAUGUGUCGGCCCAGGCAAAGAAGAGACGGACCAGUCACUCCUGUAUCGUACGAUCAAUAUCGAAUCGACGAAUUGAUCGCUAUCCGAUGUCGACGGAGAAUGAAAAAGAUGGUGUGUCGUCCCUGCUGUGAUUCUUUCUCUCGCAGGUGACGAAUCAUUUGAGAUGAUUGGGAGCUGAUUAGACCCCCAUUUGAGUAUCUACCUCUUUGGUGCUAGCUCCACUUGAUACAUAUGCAUGAUGAUCGAUCAUGAGAGUUCUAGCUGUAGACAUGUUCAUCUGGGAACCACACAUGCAUGCAUGAAUAUAUACUUUGACAUUAACUGAAAUGUAGAAUAUGUGGGAAUCACACUAAUUACUCGCCAGCUUUAGUCAAAUUAAGGGUGACUGCUAGUUACAGUGAAACUUAGAGAACCUUCCAUGGAGAAAGGAAGAGGCAUGGAAUAAUAAUCUGAAAUUAGUUGCAGAAUAUUGGUUUCAUUCGAUCAUCAACCUAGGGCUUGCUAGAAUCUCUCGUUUCAAAAAUUUUGAGAUCUUCUUUUGUUAGUUAAAGGUUAUGCUGCUUAUGCUGUGAUGCGAGGAGAAUUUCGAUAAGUACUGGAAGGUGGCUUAUGCUAACUCCACUGUGAAGUACGUUGGCCGCUUAUUCUAGAUUUGCUUACAUCUUGUAUUCUAUAUCAUCUGGAAUCGGAAUAUAUUUGCUGGAUUGGAUAGAAUCAUAGCUAGGAUCUUUACCUUAUUAUAUAUACAUAUGAUGGUAAUAUCGCUUAAACUACUCGGUUUCUACUCUAGUAAAAGCUUUUCAUUUUCAAUUUUGAUGAUAUAUGAAUAUAGAUAAAGACUUUAUCAAAAAUAAACACAGACACACACACAUAUGUAGCUAGCUAGGUUUCUCAAACCUAGUAAAAGGGUAGGGUUUUAUUGUUAAAAUGUGUCGAAAAUGGAAGAUUAAUAGGAGUAAUAGAUCGACGUACGGGUGUAGUUUUGAUCAAAAAUUAUUAUAUGGGGUGUUUAAAAGAGUGUGGAAACCCGUAGAAUAUUAUGUACACUCUAAUAAUUCAUGGCCUGAAUUAGCCUGAUAUAUCCAUAUAUGCAUAUAUGUAUAUUAUCAUUUGGCAUUCAAAAAUAUAGGAUUCGAAAAUGUUGUUUUGCCGGGACAAAUAAGCAUGCACAUCAUGAAACAUCAACCAGUAUUUGUUGGAUUGCUGGGCAAUAUAAUUGAUUGGUUCUAUAUAUUACUUUAGAAGAAAUGGGCUCUAUGUCAUCGAAAGCUUAAUUACUCCACCCUCACCACUUUGGUUACUUGAUUUCUCAUCAAUAAUGCGACACGUGUAUCCCACCUAGCUCCCUCUAAUCCAAUCGAACGAACAUAUAUGCAUGGCCGAUAUGCUAAUUAGAGUCACAAUUAUUGAAAUAAUUAAAUUAGAAAUUGAUUGAAUUAAUAUUUUGUUAUAUUUCGACAACAAGAGCAAGUGAAAACAUUUGUUGCUUUAGCGUGAGUCCUACGUAUGGGUGUCCUGAGGAGCUUGAUAGGCACGGAUGAGUUUGUAGAAACAUAUAUAUUCUAGCAAAAGUGAACUUCCAUAUGAUCAUGCAAUCGAGAAUCAGUUAUCUACAGAGGCCGAUAUAUUUCACAUCACACCGGGUAAGAUACGUCGAAACGUACAUUAGAUCGAGUUUGGUGAACAAUGACCAACCCUACGAUACGAAUGCAUAAAGGUAUAGGCAGCAUAUCAUAUUGGCAUGCAUUUGAGCCAUGUAUAAAGGAAACAUUGCUGGUUCUUAAAUUGUAGAUGCAUCUAAUUCUCUUAUUCAAGAUCGAUGUCACUGGUGUUCGGCUUCAGUUGUUAAUUUUUCAAAUUACUUUUUGAGUUUUUGAAGACGUGUGGGAACAUACAAUAAGAGAGAAAUGAUCGUAAGCUUUCUAUGAAGCUAGGUCUCACUCACUUUUAAUAUCUUGGACGUACAGGAGCAAAUUCAAACAGUGUAACGUUGAGUUCAUAAUAAAAACACGUACUAACCAAAUUCAAGCAUAUGUUGUUCAAAUAGUGUUAAUCAAUCCUAGCUAUAAACAUACGAGCAUCUAUAACACGGCACGAAUCCCUGCCUUAUAAAAUUCUUGUAAUGAAACUACACUCAGUUUCCAUUAUCACAAGAGUGUGAGAUAUAUAGGAUUCUCGUAGGAAUCUUGAAAGAGAUUUUGAAUAUAGAAAUAUGUAAAGGGAAGCUCCAUUUAUUUCCGACAAUGCAUGUUUGUAUAGUGGACGGUGAAUUCUCAAAGUUGAGAGAAGAUUAAAGCAGAGAGUGAUGUCGAAUGAAAUUUCGAAAGACAGACCAGUAACAGUGGAAGAGUAUAUUUUAGUACGUACAGUUCCCUCUCCCACUUAAUAUAAAUAUAGGUGAGCAUCCUUACUUCUCUCUAUAGGGAGAAAAACACACAUCCUCCUUCAAGUGUUCUUUCUCUCUCUCCAUAUCUCUGUUCUUUUUCUCUAACUCAUCACAUCUAUCUAGUUCUUAGCCAAAGGCUUUUCUCUGUUACACUAUAGAAAUGGAGAAGCCAACUUGUUUCAGCAACUUCCUUGAGAACUCAAAACCCUACUUUGCAAUGAUCUCGUUGCAAUUCGGCUACGCCGGGAUGAAUAUCAUCACCAAAGUUUCUCUGAACCGGGGAAUGAGCCACUAUGUGCUCGUGGUUUACCGCCACGCCUUUGCCACCGCCGUUAUAGCCCCCUUUGCUUUCUUUUUUGAGAGGUCUGAAUCAGUACACUGGCUCAUUCUUCUGAUUACAGACUUUCCAGUGAUCAAUAACUUACUUAGGCAGAUUAUGUUCGAUGAAUCCUUAAAUUUGCGUUUCUAAUAUUGCAGGAAAAAACAACCGAAGAUAACAUUCCCGGUUUUCAUGCAAAUAUUUAUCCUCGCUCUUCUUGGGUUAGUCCUUAACUCUUAUCCAUCAUUUGUGUCAUUAGACACUAUUGUUUCGUAAAACUAUUAACCGGAAGCAUGCUAAACUUUCCCGGCGUUUCAUUUUGCAGGCCGGUGAUCGACCAAAACUUCUACUAUGCAGGGUUGAAAUUUACGUCUCCAACAUUCUCUUGUGCCAUGAGCAACAUGCUCCCAGCCAUGACGUUUGUCAUGGCUGUCAUAUGCCGGUAAUUAAGCUACCCAAUUGGAACUCAAAUCCCUAUCCGUAUUCGUUUCUUUUUCAAAUUGCAAGAAUGAUCGAGUAAUAUAUAUGAGACUGAUUACUAGAAUCAUAUCGAUCUAUAGUGCAUAUUGAUCAAGAUGGACAAUCAAUCAUUAACCCCUUUUGGUUAUUAAACAAAUUUGGACCUACCUGCUGAUCAUACGUCAUAUAUUAACUAAUUUUUUUACUUUGAUUAUGGUGGAAUCGAACUCAAAAAGAAUGGAAAAGCUAGACAUGAAGACAGUGAGAUGCCAAGCAAAGGUGGCAGGAACCGUAGUGACAGUGGCCGGGGCCAUGUUGAUGACCUUGUACAAAGGCCCCAUCGUUCAGAUGUUGUGGUCUAAAUACAUUCAUCCCAAAUCAUCCUAUGUCACCGAUACCACCGGCACCGGCGACAAACGCUGGUUCUUAGGCUCCGUACUCCUCACCAUCGCCACUCUUGCCUGGGCUUCUUUGUUUGUAUUGCAAGUAAGUUCUUCUAUUGCCCUCCUGGUUACUUAUAUACUCUUAUAUAUAUUUUCAGUUUUGUUUGUUUUUUCGAAUGAAAAGUAAUUAACCGAAUUGUAUGUUACUUAUUGAUGACAAACACUAGAACAAGGCUUUGAAGACGUACAAGGAUCAUCAGCUGUCUCUGACAUCGCUAGUGUGUUUCAUCGGAACUCUCCAAGCCAUUGCGGUCACCUUUGUGAUGGAGCACAAACCCUCUGUCUGGAAAAUCGGGUUCGACAUGAACCUCCUUGCUGCUGCCUAUGCUGUAUGUAACUCCACCGAUCAAUCUCUCUUUCCAUUACCGUACUCUCUCACACGGUCUCUCUCAAUUAGUGACAUUUUUUAAUUUUGUUUCUAUAUGCAGGGGAUUGUGACAUCAAGUAUUUCAUACUAUGUACAAGGACUAGUGAUGAAGAAGAGAGGUCCGGUGUUUGCAACUGCUUUUAGCCCUUUGAUGAUGAUCAUUGUUGCUAUCAUGGGAUCCUUCAUCUUGGCAGAAAAAAUAUUUCUUGGAAGGUAGUUCCUCUGUUUCUUAUGUUCUUUUUGCAUGCAUGCAUUUUAUUUCAGCUUAAUUUAGUGGAAUUACUAUUAACAAUUCCGACAAGUCAAUCUACCUAGUUUAGUCUCCGUCCUUCUUUUAUAGUUCACUACUGACUAUAAUGGUGUUUUUUUUCCAGUGUUCUGGGAGCGGUGUUGAUUGUGGCCGGCCUAUACUCAGUCCUGUGGGGAAAGCACAAAGAAGGAUUGGAGAACAGAGACGAUGAGAUACCGGAGGCAAUAAAGGGAUGUCAUGUAAAUGGCACGGCGGUGGUGUCAGUCAUGGAUGGAAACGACGUUGAAGCUAAUCAAGUGAAGAAUGCAGAAGCUAACAAGCUCUCCUCAGUGGCUAUUUGUAUGCCCAUAUCAGAACUUCCCGUAGUGAAACCUGGGAAAUGAGGGGCUAGGGUUUUUUUUUGGUCUUGUCGAUCAGCUCCUCAUCAGAAUUUGUUUGAGUUUUUAAUAUAAAUUUUAUGGGGUUUUUGCUGUGCUGCAUGUUCAGUAUGUACUUAGUCAAUCUCUCAAAUGUUGUAAUGAUCGAGCUACCAUCGAGCUAAUUAUGGAAUUAAGAGAAUCUCAGAGCUAAGCGUUCUCUCUCUCUCUCUCUCUCUCUCUCUCUCUCUCUCGGUUCAAAAGAGUUGCUGACGUUUCUGACGCAGAUUCCACUAAUAUAAGUGGGUACUACCUGGAUUGUUGGACACUUAGACAUGUUGGGGUUAGGCAAAGUGUUGUCAUCUUGGCAUUUGUUCUAGCUCGGAAUCGAAAAUUCGAAAUGCACCCACCAAUCCGGCCACCAUCAUGAUCGAGUUGCUCCAAUGCUUUCAUAAAUGAUACAUUCCACUAGAAUAAAGUGGAGAAUAUAUAUAUAUAUAUAGUAGGGCCCUCCACGAGGGAUUUUUUUUUUGGUAUUUUAUAAGGAUAGCUGGACAGCCGUCAGAUCUGUUUUAACGAGAACGAAGGGCUCAGAUUAAGUCAAAAAUUCUGAACAUAUUAUCACCUUCUCUUCCUCGCCAAAGUCCAAACGCCCAAAUUCGUAACUACUGGGUUCACAAGAGUUCAUCCAAUUCGAUCGAAUCUCAAGCUUCUCUGCUUCAAAUCCUCCAGAAAUUAGCUGGGUUUUCAGGUGGGUUUUCUAUUUGUUUUGGGUAUAUAAUGUCUAAAGGGAAAUUGUCCUCUCUUGCCUCGUAUUUCAAUUCACUUGCAGCAAUUUUCUGGAAAAUUAUUCAUCAAUUCGAUCUCAAUUCAUGAGGGAGAAGUUCAUCUUUUCUGGUCUUCUUGACGAAGCUACAUACCAUAUUGAAUUUGCAUCUCAAUGCCUUCUCUUUCUUCAAAUCCUCUAGAAAUCAGUUGGGUUUUCUGGUAAAUGAAAGAGUCAACCUCGAGGAACAAGGAAGAAGCCCAUGGUUUCACCCAUGUGUGAAUGAGAACUGAAUCUGGCCUUGCAGUAUAAACAAACAGAGAGAACUGAAUCUCUUUCUUUUUUUCGUCCAAAACAAAAACCCAUUCUAUUCAUGCUGCCCAGAAAACUGAACUUCAUAGCUCAGUGUGGUCCUUAUAGCCUAAACUAAUCAACAAACUUUUUUGAUUAUGAAAUCAAAACUAAUAUGAACCUUCAUGAAACAAAACAAAACAAAAAACGGGUAUCAAUUAGAACCAUGGCAAUUACAGAGAGCAAAGGGAAUUGGGUUUGGAUCUGGAUGUUGAAUUGGGUUUUUUUUUUUCUUUUUUUUUUUCUAAAACGAUUCAGGAAUUGGAGAUUCUAACUCGACUCCGAAUCGCUCGCCGGAGAUCGUGAAUUUGGUGUUGCUGCCUCGAGCUCUCUUGAUCAGCGCCAGAAGACGAGGAGCGUCUUGGCCUUUCAAUUUUCAGAGGUAGAAGACGAGAACAAGUCGAAGCUUUGGUUUUCUCGUUCACAAAUGGUCGAAACCUCUUUUUUAAUCUGAGCCCUUCAUUCUCAUUAAAACAGAUCUGACGGCCGGCGAGCUAUCCCUAUAAAAUACCUAAAAAAAGGGAUCCCUCGUUAGAAGGGCCCUGUAUAUAUAUAUAUAAUUAUAUAUACACACACGAAUGUUUGUAUGCCCAAUUUGAACAGGACGUUUGUAACACUGAAAUCAAUUAGGGUUUCCAUUCUUUUUUUAAUAAUGUUAAUUAAGGGAGUGAAAUCCACUCCCUAAAUUGUAAUCCACACUUUAUAUAAUUAUUUUUGGUAACUUAAAUUUUAUUCUUAGUAACUUAAAUUUUAUUUUCUUAAAGCAUUUCCAACAGCUCACGUAAAACUAAAAUUAUAUAUAUUUUAGAGGAAAAACAUCAUCUUUUUUUGGCUCUAACAACUCAUGUAAAACAUCCUCUAUAAUACAAAAAGAGGAAAGAGAGAUUAACAUAUUCUCUAUAUUUAUAGAAUUCUCAAAAUUUGUAUAUUUUAUAGAGAAAUCUCUAAAAUUUAUUGUUUGCCUUUUAAAAAAAGAAGAAAAAAUAUCAUUAUAUCUCUAGAGAGUUGAAGAUCGGGAAAUUAAAGCAUGUGACAUGUGAUUUUGAUUUGAAUAAAUGUAUAGAUUCAUUAAAUUAUUAAUUUUGUAGAAUAUAAUGGAAGAGCUAUUGGAGUUGAGUUUUUUUUUUUUGUUGUUGAGGUUUUGUGAUUUCCACUCUAUAAUAGAGAAAUUAUACAAGAGUUGUUGGAGAUGCUCUUAAGAAAAUAAUGACUUAAAAUGAAAAGUGAGAAUGUGGAUUAUUACAAUUUAAGGAGUGUAAAUUUCACUUCCCUUAAUUAAUUGUCACAAUUUUUAUCGCAUGAUUUAUGUCUAUGCAUGCGUUAUGAAAUUUUACGGCGCUUUAUGACUAUGCAUGAGUCACUACAAAAUCAGUUAUGUGGUCCCAUGUUUCUGUACGUAGUGAUCUAAAAAUUUGCUUCUAAGAUAUUGAGUUAAAAGUAAUCAUCAAAUCGCAAAUCAUAGCUUAACAUAUCAAAGUAUUUGAACUAUACGGGCAGCAUACAUCAUAUUCAACUAGAUGUCAAAACAACUUCCUUGGAUGAGUUGAGAUCUUAAUUCCAGCAACGGUUUCAUUAUAUAGCUUACAACGAGAAUUCCUCUUUUUUUUCUGAUCUAGUUCCUUCACCAUCGCGAACCCGGUUAGAUUCAGGCGGGGAGUAGGAUCGUAUCAAUACAAUUUGAAGCUAGUAUAUAGCAAUAUGUAUAUUAUACAUAUUUCAUUUGGUAAACCAUGAAUCAUUUGAAUCUUGUGACAUUCAACCGGAAACCAACUAGAGAGUACUAGUCGAAAGGAAAUCCAACUAGAGUACAAAAAUCAAACUGUCAACGCAUUAGAGAUCGAAUCGAGCAUAUAUAGCUCAGUUUGUUAAGAAUAUAUAUAUUCGAUCUUGUAAUGCAUGAGUUUUUUUUAUCAUAUUAUAUAGUAUACUAGAAUUUUCCGUAAUGUAUAUAUUAUUUUCGAAUAAUUUGCUCUAAUUUCUCUCUACCGGGGGCACCUUUGCUUUGGGGGUGAUGAUUCUUUUGUUAACUCACGCGCACAGAAGCUACUGAUCAGUGGAAUCAUGCAUGCACUAGCUCUCAAGGAUUCUAUAUUCGAUAAGUUGCAUGUAUAAAUAUAUCUAAGAUUCCUACGAAUCAUAUCUUAUGCUACCAUCACAUUAAUUGGAGUUAUAUUCCUGGUUGUCAAACAAUACAUAAUUAAAAUCUUUCUUAUGCUACGUACGUACCAUCACUGGAUCGGACAACAUGACAAUCUCAUCAAUGUGGUAGAAAUUACGACUGAACGAUUAUCAAUUCAGAACUUGGUAUAUGGCAUCAAAAGAUACGAUGAUACUAUACGAAUAUCACGUGUAAUAAAACACUGUAAGUAAAACAAUAUAUUCCAAGACUAAUGAUGAUAAGCCUCCUGGGAUAUCUAUAUGCAGCAAAACAAUAUAUUCACUGAACAGUUAAAGUUGUGGUAAGAAAUUAUCCAAGAUUACUUGUUGGCAAAACUGAUCACUUAGCUAGAAUUUGACUUAUCUCUAUCAUCUCACUUCAAUUUACCAACGACAUGUAGAUUUAUUUUUUCACGUCUAAGUGUUAAAAUAAAAGGUAUGAAUAAAAGCUCCCACUAAAAAAACUCCAAUAAAAAAAAGAAACGAUGGUCUGUCCAUUGUGAAAAGACAAAUGCGCGCACCUGUUCUUAAUUGUUUUUACCUCAGAUGGCCAUAUAUAGUGGAUUGUAAUUACCACGAUAAUAUUGGAUGAUGAUGCAUGGUGAAUUAUUGACUGUCAUUUUCCUACUAUAACAACUAUUAUUUCAUUUUCAGUUCUCUCACUACCUGAACAGAGAACAUUAUAUAUAUAUAUAUAUAUAUAUAUAUAUAUAUAUAUAGAAGUUCUAGAAAUAACCAAAAGCCAACCAUGCAUUUUUAUCUUUUUUUGGUUACAACAGGAAACUAAAAGACCCAAAAACAAAAAGAAAAGAGACUAAAUACUGGAAUAAACUCCAGUUUCUCUAGCUCCUAAUUAACUACAUGUCAGAAAGAUCAUCUCAGUAACCAAGCUUGAGCCGCAUGAGCAAGAGGAUCAUCAAAAGCAAUCAAGCCUAAACCAAGGCAUCUGUAACCAUGUUUACAAUCUCUAAAAAAGUAAGACAGUCAUCAAUAGUAAUUGAGAAGUGCAUGUUGUGGUGGAUACAACGAUAAUUACAAGGGAAAAAGACCAUUUGCACAAAAUCAAAAAAAUCAAACCUCAUUCCAAUGAUAAUCUUUUUUGUUAGUCCACUUAAAUAUAAGGUACUUCUUUUAUGUCCAAAUGCACAAAUCUUUAUUAAAAUCUUAAUAUAAUAAUAAUUUUGAAGACUUUUUUACCCUUAGUUUUAAUUUAAGAGAGAAAGUGGAAGAGAGGGAGGGAAAACUAUGUCGGAAGCACACCAGACUCCGGCCGCUGGACUCUGGACACCGGCUGCCGGAUUCCGGUCACCGACCGCCAAAAAAUUUCUGACCGCCGGAAAAUAGUCGGAAUCUCACGGGAUUUUUUUAAGAAAAAAUGUUACCGGAAUCCAUCAAAUCUUACCGGAAGUAUACCGGCAAAAAAUCCCCUAGUAAACUAUUACUGGGGGUAGUAAAGUUGCAAAACAGUAUCUCCAAUGCAAUAAUACACAUUAAAACAAAGAAAAUUGACUCAGAUAUGAAAAAAAUAAAGUUUAACUGGGGGUAGUAAAUUUUCAUUAAAGUUUACUACCCCUAGUAAACUUCAACUGGGGGGUAGUAACAUGCAAAACAAUAUCUCCAAAGGUCAUAAUACACAUUAAAACAAGAAAAAAAAUCAACUUAAAUGCAAAAAAAUAAAGUUUACUGGGGUAGUAAAUUUUUCAAUAAAGUUUAUUACCCCUAGUAAACCUCUACUGGAGGUAGUUAACUUGUAAAAUAGUAUUUCCAAAUGUCAUAAUACACAUUAAAACGGAGAAAAAUCAACUUCGAUGCGAAGAAACAAAGUUUACUGCCCCUAGUAAUCUUCUAUUAGGGGUAAUACUAGGAGUAGUAAACUUGUCGUACAACAGUAUUAGUGGUAAAGAAAGAGAGAACAUAAAGAAAAGAUGAGAAAAAAGUGUUGUUAAACCUAAUAACAAACUUAUUACCUCUAGUAAUAUAUUUUUCACUCUAACUUUUCACUUUUCUGCAAAACUUUAUCCCCUAGUAACUUCACUUUAAUUAGAGACGCAGUCGUUGUUUUCCAAAAAUGCUGUGCAACCAAGCAAGAACGGCUGCGCCAGUGAGUUGCGUGACGGAGAUCAGAGAUCGGCUCACAUUUCCGACACCUCUGGUUUUGAUGGUUAGAGAUCGGAGCUCCACUGCUCGACGCGACCGCGCUGGUGAAGAAGCAUCGAUGAAGCUUGUGCUGGAGUCGGCAGAUCUGAGAACUUUGCUGGCGGAUCUGAGAACGUUGCAGGCAACCUCAACCUCGUCAGUGGCGGAGGCGCGUUGGAGAUGUGAGAAAGAGGACAAAUGGACUCGAUGACGUUGCAGGUGGAGGAGAUCGGGUGCGGUCGAGUUCGGCUAUGAGGCCGACGAAGAUGAACGGCGGAGCUUUUUGGAGAGAGAGAGAGAGAGAGAGAGAGAGAGAGAGAGAGAGAGAGAGAGAGAGAGAGAGAGAGAGAGAGAGAGAGAGAGAGAGAGAGAGAGAGAGAGAGAGAGAGAGAGAGAGAGAGAGAGAGAGAGAGAGAGAGAACGAACGNNNNNNNNNNNNNNNNNNNNNNNNNNNNNNNNNNNNNNNNNNNNNNNNNNNNNNNNNNNNNNNNNNNNNNNNNNNNNNNNNNNNNNNNNNNNNNNNNNNNNNNNNNNNNNNNNNNNNNNNNNNNNNNNNNNNNNNNNNNNNNNNNNNNNNNNNNNNNNNNNNNNNNNNNNNNNNNNNNNNNNNNNNNNNNNNNNNNNNNNNNNNNNNNNNNNNNNNNNNNNNNNNNNNNNNNNNNNNNNNNNNNNNNNNNNNNNNNNNNNNNNNNNNNNNNNNNNNNNNNNNNNNNNNNNNNNNNNNNNNNNNNNNNNNNNNNNNNNNNNNNNNNNNNNNNNNNNNNNNNNNNNNNNNNNNNNNNNNNNNNNNNNNNNNNNNNNNNNNNNNNNNNNNNNNNNNNNNGUAUAUAUGCUGAUUUUGAGUUUUAUUUGAGUUGAUCGAUUUUGAGUGUGAUUGAAUUAAUAGAUUUUGAGUACGUUGGAUGUAUAUAUAUAUAUGUUGAUUGAUUUGGUUGAUGAUUUGAUAAUAUAUAUGAAGUUGUUGUUAAUAAGUAGUAGAUAUAUAUAUAUAUGUAUGUUAAUUAAUUUAUAAUAUUGUGUUGAUGGUAUGAAGUUGUUGAUGAUAUGAGUUGAUGAUGAUUUUGUGAUGAUGUUCAUAUAUAAUAUUGUUAUGAGUUGAUCGAUUUGGUUGAUGAUUUGAUAAUAUAUAUUGUGUUGAUGGUAUGAAGUUGUUGAUGAUGAUUUUGUGAUGAUGUUGAUAUAUAUAAUAUUGUUAUGUAAUUAUGAAGUAUAUAUAUAUGUGUGUUAAUUAAUUUGUUAUCAAUUAGUUGUAUUACGUAGAAUAUAUACUAAAUGAAUUGAAAUUUUAUAUAUGGCAUAGAAUUUAAUUCAUAAUUAGCUAGCGUUAUACAUAUAUAUUUUGUUAUAUUUUCAGGAUAUGGAUAAGAGUUGAAUUUCGUUUCUAAAAUGGGACAAAAGAUAUGGUAAAGGACAAAAGAGUUUUCUGGAAUAUGCGCUGGCUAAUGCUAACGGGAAUACAAUUUUCUGUUGCCCGUGCACGAAAUGUCAGUGUUGCAAUAAUAUGCAUCGAUUUGCGAUUGACAAAGUAUGGCAGCACCUGAAGAGUAACGGGUUUUGGGAGAAGUACACAUGUUGGUUAUAUCACGGUGAAACAUCAUCAGGGGGUCCGCAUGAUCAUGGGCAAUUUUCUGAGACGGGCAGUACAUCCAACGAUGCAACAACGGCCUUAAUCAACGACAUGUUUUCUUAUGAGAGCGGUGUAUGCGCUCAAGGACAGUGUAUGCCUGAGCCGGUGCAGCCCUUCCCUAGAGCUGUCAACACUGCUGGUAUUGACAAGUACAACAAACUGCUUGCUUUCCAACAGACCCUUGUGUACCCCGGUUGUCAGAAAACCGUUCUUGAAAGUGUGAUGGACGUAAUGAAGAUUAAAGUUGAGACAAAAUCGACCGUGAAGGCUGUUGAUGAUUAUCUACAGUACACUUCUUCGAUACUGCCCCACGGUCAUCGUCUUCCUUCCACUCAUCAUAAAGUUCGAUGUAUCCUGAAAGAUCUUGGGCUUUCCUACAUCAAGAUUCAUGCAUGCAGAUAUGACUGCAUUCUCUUCUGGGGUAAAGAUCCAGAAGGGAAUGACCUUGGUGGCCUUAACGCAUGUCCGGUAUGUCACACUGACAGGUAUAAGCUGACUCCUGCAGGCAAUAGGAAACCUGUGAAGGUACUUCGGUAUUUCCCGUUGAGGGAUAGGCUGGAGCGGUUGUAUAUGUCUUCACACACGGCCGAAGCUAUGAGAUGGCACGCUGAUAGGGAAUUGCAUGACGAAGAUACCCUUAUACACCUUGCUGACGAGGAGGCUUGGAAACAUAUAGACAGGGAGUUUCCUCAUUUUGCGUCAGAGAUCCGAAAUGUGAGGCUCGGGCUCUCAUUCGACGGGUUCAACCCUUUUGGGAACAUGAGUCUUCAAUACAGUGUAUGACUGGUGAUUUUGGUACCGUACAACCUUCCUCCAUGGAUGUGCAUGAAGAAGGAAUACAAUAUGUUGAGUUUGUUGAUUCCGGGGCCCGGUUAUCUAGGGAAGUGUCUCGAUGUGUAUUUGAGACCUUUGAUUGAAGAGCUUAAGUUUUUGUGGGACGUUGGUCAUCCCACUUAUGACAAGUACAAGCACGAGAUGUUCCAGAUGCAUAUCAUGGUUGUUGGUACCAUCAGUGAUUUUCCUGCUCGUGGGAUGUUGUCGGGCAACGUUGUUAAGGGAUACAAGGCUUGUCCAGAGUGCCUUAGCGAUGAGGGGAGCACAUUGCAACAAGAUAUGCAAAUUGGGUCACCAUACUCUCCUUCCAUAUGAUCACGAAUGGCGGUUUGAUGCACAAGCAUUUGAUGGGACCGUAGAAAAAGGUGUGCCUCCCAGAAGAUGGACGGGGGAAGAAAUUUUAGCAGUGCUUAAUGAGUACGAUUUAGGGCAGCUCAGUAAUCAUCUAAUAUUGUGGCGGCAAUAUCUGAAAGACCCGACAUGUACAAAUUCUGGACACAUAAGAGCAUAUUCUGGGAACUCCCAUACUGGAGUAAGUUGUUGAUCAGACAUUACCUAGAUGUGAUGCACAUAGAAAAGAAUGUUUGCGACAGUGCAGUGGGCACAGUGCUGAACUUGGAGGGGAAGACGAAAGACGGUCCUAAGGCACACAUUGAUCUAAAAAAAAUGCAAUUAAGAAGACAUCUGUAGUUGAAAGAAGGAAAGAAAAAAAUGUCUCAAACUCCUUACACCGUGAAGCCUGACCAGAAGAACGUAAUUUUCAAGUUGAUGAGUUGUGUGAAGUAUCCUUCAGGCUAUGCAGGAAAUAUAGCCCGGUGUGUGAACUUCCGGGACAAUAAGAUGUACGGGUUGAAGAGUCAUGACUGUCAUAUCCUGCUACAACGUCUCUUCCAUAUUUUCAUUCGACCGUUCCUUCCCCGUCUGGUGGUGGAGCCGUUAGUAGCGUUGGCAAGAUUCUUCCAGAAGUUAUGCACACGGGAAGUGAAAAAAUUUAACCUCCGGGAAAUGCAAGAGGACAUCAUUUAUAUCAUGUGUAAAUUUGAGAAGAUAUUUCCUCCAAAUUUUUUUGACAUCAUGCCUCACCUGAUGAUCCAUCUUCCCGAGCAAUUGUUGCUUACCGGUCCAGUACACUACACUUGGAUGUAUCCCAUGGAAAUGUACGUUUUUUACACCUGAAUUGCUCAAUAUAUAUACAUGUUCAAUAAUCAUAACACUUUGCAACUUCAUUUAUAGGCAACUUGGAAACUACAAAGAUUAUGUGGCUAAUAAAUCCGCGCCAGAAGGAUGUAUAGCUGAAGCAUAUAUUGCGCACGAGUGCGUCACCUACAUGAAAUUGUAUUUAGGAGCGUUGAAGGAAACUCCGCAAACCAUACCGGUAGAUGUACCGACGUUCAAUCUUUCCAUACUCUCCAGUGAUGUUGAAGUUUAUGGAAUUUUGUCAGACUCCUAUAAGUUGCAACCACAUGAGCUAGUCAUUGCCCACUGGUGGGUAUUGAUUAACUGUCCAGAAGUUGAAUACUGAAAAGACAUCCAUCUAUAUUAUCCAAGCAUUAGGUGAUGUCGAGUACCAUAACAGAGAGUUCGCAAACUAUUUUCCCGGCUGGGUACGUAAUUCAAUAUUUAUGUACGUGUUUAUGUUUAUUGUAUAAUUAUCCAUAUUUACAGUUGAAUGGUUGGUUGCAGAUUAAUCAUAUUCAAUUUGAUGGUCACCCAAAUUGGUCGCACGAACUAAGACUUCUAACGAUGAAGCCGAUAAUGUCAAGAGUUUAUCUGAUGUGCAAGGUGAAUGGCGUGCAAUUUAUAUGUGAACAGAGAGACGGCAGACGGAGAACACAGAAUUCUGGGGUGAUGGCACAUGGUGGGCGGAAUGGAGUUGACUAUUACGGUGUUCUCCAUUCAGUGGUGGAACUCAUUUAUGGGCAAGGCAUGACAGUGCACCUCUUCAAGUGUAGAUGGUUUGAUACUAGGCCGCAGAGCAUGAAGACCGAUCAGUACGGAAUAUUAUCGGUGAACACUGCUACAAGUUGUUACGAAAAUGACCCGUUUUUUUUUGCCACAUCGGUAAAACACUUGUUUUACCUUGAUAACCUUGCUAAGGGUGACGCGUGGAAAGUAGUCAACCUUGUGCACCCUCGAAACAUUUACCGGGCGGCUACUUGGAGAGGCCGAAGACUAGGAAGAAGGUGUUAAGUAUUAAGAGCCCAACGCAAUAGGUAUUCCUAACUCCUCUACCGUUCGCCUUAAUAAUUUUAAAGCGGGUCGUUCGAUGCUUAUUGAUGUUGAUCCAAAUCAAGAAACAGACGAAGACUCUGGCGAUGAGGAAAUAGAUUACCAGAAAUUAAUUCUGACAUUGAAGAAGACUCAUCGGAUGAUUCCGAGUACGAGCCUUAGUUUUAAUUUAGAGGACGUAAUACAUUAAUUUGUAAUAAAAAAGAAUGUAUUACCUUUAUAGUUUAUAUAUGUUGAAUUCAUAUUUCUGUUAUUUUAUAUGAAUUUUGGUGAUAUGUGAACAGGAAGUGAGUAUGGUUUACACUAAAACUUCAGUUUUUUUAAUGUAUUUUUUAUACUUUAGCCGACGAAAUACACCAUAAUUCGUCGGCCUAAACCAUCUUAGCCGACGAAUUAUAUUAUAAGUCGUCGGUUAAGAUCAGUUUAGUCGACGAAUACCCUAAUAUUUUGUCGGCUUUAUUUAUUUUUUUAUUUUUUAUUACAUACUAUAGCCGACGAAUAUAUUAGGGUAUUCGUCGGCUAAACCCUAAAAUUUUUCUAUUACAUACUAUAGCCCUAUCUUCGGUGGUUAUUUUCCGUAAAAUUUUUUAUACGACUUGUUGCGUCUCAUCGAUUUGAAACUAUUUUCAGUUGAAAGUCCGGCCAAAAUACGAAAUUUAGACGGUACAAUGACCUUUUCUGUGCAUUUAGGGGUUUGACUUAUGGGAUUGACCGUCCGGAUCGAGCUCUUAACCUUGUCGGUACGGGUUGAAUUUUUGCCCAUACAUGUAUUUUGUCAUGUAUUCUGACGGUCGGAUUUCUGUUUCUCAAGUUUGAUCAUCACAAUCACAACAUGUCUACUAAUGUUGUAUAACUUGUUUACCAAGUGUUAAGUAAAUGUUCCGUUUCAAAAACAAACUAUACGUAAAACCUUCAAACGCAAAAAAGUCAUGAAAUAAGAUAUGACCAGAAUGGUGAAAUACGUCCACGGAUGAAAAAUCACAGUAUUCCGGUAAAGUUUCGGUGCCGAUAAUUGCGGUCAAUGUAAUUUUUCAUUCUUUCUCUCUAUGAGUAGCCCUAUCUUCGGUAGUUAUUUUGCGUAAAAUUUUUAUACGACUUGUUGCAUCUCAUCGGUUUGAAACUAUUUUCAGUUGAAGGUCCGGCCAAAAUACGUAAUUUAGACGGUCCAAUGACCUUUUCCAUGCGUUUAGGGGUUUGACUUAACGGAUUGACCGUCCGGAUCGAGCCCUUAACCUUGUCGGAUUAAGUUGAAUUUUUUCUCAUACAUGUAUUUUAUCAUGAUGGUCAGAUCUGACGGUCGGAUUUUCGUUUCUCAAGUUUGAUCAUCACAAUCACAAUUUGCCGAAUGUAUAAAAAGUACUAUAGCCGACGAAGUUUAAAGGUUUAGCCGACGAAGUUCAAAGAUUUAGCCGACAAAUUUCAAAGGUUUAGCCGACGAAUUUGAUCUUAGCCGACGAGAUUAUUAUCUUAGCCGACGAGAUUAUUAUCUUUAGCUGACGAAAUAAUAAUUUCGUCGGCAAAAGUUAUCGGGUAUAGAAACGAACACCCAGUGCUCGACAGUAGAAAAACCCUAGCCUCCUCUUCCGCCUCCUCCGCCUCCUCUCCCUCUCCCUCUCCCGNNNNNNNNNNNNNNNNNNNNNNNNNNNNNNNNNNNNNNNNNNNNNNNNNNNNNNNNNNNNNNNNNNNNNNNNNNNNNNNNNNNNNNNNNNNNNNNNNNNNNNNNNNNNNNNNNNNNNNNNNNNNNNNNNNNNNNNNNNNNNNNNNNNNNNNNNNNNNNNNNNNNNNNNNNNNNNNNNNNNNNNNNNNNNNNNNNNNNNNNNNNNNNNNNNNNNNNNNNNNNNNNNNNNNNNNNNNNNNNNNNNNNNNNNNNNNNNNNNNNNNNNNNNNNNUUGUAUUUAGUAUUUAAGAAGUGUAUAUUUGUAUUUAGGAAGUGUAAAUUUGUAUUUAGGAAGUGUAUAUAUUUUUUUGUUGACUAAUUGAAUGGGUUUACAUUGUUUGAUUUUGUGGUGUUGUUACGAAUAUGAAAAUAAGCAUGAAACUGACUUCAUCUUCUUAUCAUGAAAUAUAAAUCUAAAAGUUAGGAGCUUAAAAAAUUAAUUUUUAAAAGUUACAAAUGUAAAUUGUUUUUUUUCAAAAGGCUGACGCCUUGGUGAGGCUCUCGCUCCAUAGCCUCGGCUACGCCUUAGCCUUUUAAAACAUUGGCCUUGAUUCAAAUUAAUAUUUUAAACAGGAUGAGCAGUAAUAUUAGAUCGACGAAGAGUUCAAAGGGCCAAAGAUCCGAAUCGUCUGAGGGAACCUCUAGCAACCCUCAAACGUCGUUUCAGGGCCCUAUGAUAGCCAGACGUGCCAGCCUUCUGCAGACGGCGCAAAGGCAGCCGGAGGUGCCCCAUUCAUCGAGGCAGCAGGGCGUCCCUCAUUCCUCGAGGCAGUUGUGGCCUCAGACCCAGACGAAGGUGUCUGCACCCUGUAUGCCUGAGAUACACCGGGCGCCCACUCUAGGUCCUACUUCUUCGGAUAGUGGGUCAUCUGGGGUACAGAUGCCGCCGCUUCAUCUGUUCCUUCCGCGGAUGAUACCGGCCUUACCUGUAGUUGAUGGCUCAGGGACUCCGAUUUAUCCACUGCCCCCGCCAGUGGCUCCAUCAGCGGCGUACCGGUUCGUGCCUUUUGAUACGCCUCUUAUUUCCGCGAGGGUAUCAUCAUCGGCGACAGAGACGGAAUCAGUCGCGUCCGCCGCAUCGCCCUCAGGUAAUGAAAGAUGAAUGAUUUGUUUUCUUAUAAUUCUCCGAUUUUAAUAAUCAAUUUGGUUUAUCAUGUGAUAGGCACCGUUGGAGCGAAGCCGGCAAAGAAGAAGAGAGACCCCGUCACAGGGAAGGCUCUCUAGAAGAUCGUCAGUACCUCAGGGAGGAUAGUCAUCCGUACUGACGGGGAUGGCGACAUAGUAUCGGGCGGGAAGUCGAAGACGUACUCGGCCGCGUGGGAGCGCUCAUUAGGGAUAGAGUCCCUAUGUUGUGGUCAAACUAGGAUGAGGUCCCGCAGGAGGUUAAGGACAUGGUCCACAACGCGAUGUCGGUGAGUUUACAAAAUACCUCGAUAAUAUUAUGUAUUACAUUGUUGAUUUCUUGAAAAACUAAACUAAUAAACGGUUAAAUGCAGGUGUGGUUUGAGGUUCCCGAGCACCUGAAGAGCAGCUGGGCGGACGUGGUGCAUGGGGGAAGGUACGUUGGGAAGUUAAUGAAAAAACAAAAUUGUAUGUGAUAUUAAUAAUAUUUCUAAUAUUUUUGUUGUAUUUGUAGGUACAAGGAGUGGAAGAACGAGUUGUGGACCCACUGGACUACGCACGGGAAUGCACGUUCUGGUACCCCUGUUGAGUUCCAGUACAAGGAGUACGAGUGGUGUUGGCUUCUGACAUCAGAAUUCAAUAACCCUCGUAAACAGGUAUUUAAAAAAUUAAUUAGUUAAUUUGUCAUUAAGUACGUGCGUUUUUAAAUAUUUUACUAAUAGUUUAGUUUUUUCUUUGAAGGCCAUUUCUCGGCGAACGCUCAGAACCGGCAACGCAACACAAGGAACCAUUGUGCCGGUUCUAGACCGUUCGCUGUCUUCAUGGACGAGGCGGCCAUGGAACAUCCAGAAGUCAACCAGUAUGUCUAUACGUACGAGAAGACAUAUCCUGACGCCCAGGAGGAUAUUGUAAGUUAUCUUACGUUUUAAAUUUUUAAUUUUACUUAUAUAUAUGUCAAAAUGUUAAUUAAUAAUUUUUUUCCUAUCCAAUUAGGCGAAGGUAAGGGAGGCUAGUGACGAGGUGAUGAGUGCUAUAGUGAGAGAGACAUGGCCGGACACGCAGGAGGAAGAGAUGUCCGAAGCCAUGUCCCGGAUCGACACUUCGAAUCCGAUGGUUGGGGCGAGGAUCAUGGGCACAACCUUCCCACCGCGAGCAAAAAACUUCUACUGCCGAGGUCUAGGAAAGAAGGGCGAGGGGGUCCUGAAGACCACUCUAGGAUUUCAACGAAAGACAGCCUCGACCAGCAGCAGGACCACGACCACGACCACCAGGACUACUCAGCUAGAAUCGGAAGUUCAGAGACUACAGGAACAACAAGCUGCUCAGGCUGCCUAUAAUGCCUUGCAGGUAGCCUAUAAUGCCUCGCAGGCAGCCUAUGUUGCCGAGAUACAUGCUAUCCAGCAGGCCCAGUAGCAGCAGAUGUUCUAGUACAUGCAGGACUUUACAGCUGCCCAGCUUCAGGGACUUCCGGCUCCACCCAUACCUACGGCUAUACCGCUACCCCAGCCGCCGCAACCUCUGCAACAGCCCCCAAAAGCGGAUAUUAAUUUAGACGAUCUAGAUUUUGUGUAGUUGAUGAAUUAUAUAGUUUUAUGUGCUUAUUGUUGUUGUUGGUUAUAUGAAAUUGUUUUGGUGUAUUUUGCAGCUUGUUUGGAAUGGUAAUUUAGAAAUUUCGGGUUUUUUUUUUUUUUACUGGAAUGGACUUAUAGCCGACGAAAUACGCAAUAAUUUGUCGGCUAUAGUAUUUUAAAUUUUUUUAAAUAAGGUUUAGCCGACGAAUUAUGGCAUGUUUCGUCGGCUAAACCCUUCUAAAGCCGACGAAACAGACUAUAUUUCGUCGGCUUUAGUUAUUUUUUAAUUUUUAAUUUCACACUUUAGCCGACGAGUAUCUUAAAUGUUUCGUUGGCUAAAGUCUGAGGAAAAUCCGACGACAUGUUUUUCGUCGGCUAAACUCUUGGACUAUAGCCGACGAAUAUCUUAAAUGUUUCGUCGGCUAAAGUCUGGGAAAAAAACCGACGACAUGUUUUUCGUCGGCUAAACUCUGGGACUAUAGCCGACGACGUAUUGUAGUUUCGUCGGCUAAAGUCAUCGCCGACGACCUUUUCCUGACGAAAUCUUAUCCGACGAACCUUUAUCGGCUAAGAUCUUAGCCGACAAAUUAAGCUAACAGGCCGACGAAACUUUUUCGUCGGUUAAAAUGCUUGUCCUGGUAGUGAACUGAGAGAGGAGAUAAGAGAGAGGAUGAGUGGUUGGAAUUAUAUGAUAGGUACAAAAGUCUUUCCAUCCAAAAUAAUUGAGAUGGACAUUAGAAAAAUGUUUUUAUUGAUUUGGGCAAUAAGACCUAGACCUUUAAAUUAGUACCAAAGUGACAUUUGCUCUAAUUACAAAUCAUCAACUAUUGAUUAAUUAAUUCAAUUUUAUGGAUUUUAUUACGAAUCCGAGUAAAUAACUUAAUAAUUAGGAAUCUUAAAUCUUGUUGAUUCUAUUCAUCCUAGAAAUAAUAGAUGUGUAAGAUUGUAUGUUACAUCGUCAAUUUGGGCUGGCCACUAAUCAUUCAUUAUUAUGUAAAAGCAACCACUAAUAAUGUCUAAUGUAUUGCUAAGGUUAAAGAUAUUGCAGAACUUCACUUAAGGAAAGCCUCAUAUUCGAAUCUUAACAAUUUGAAUAAUACUCUCAAGUCUCAAUCAACCCUACGUACGCAUCAACCCCUCCACCUAUUUUGAUUAUUCAGAUUUGAUUCAAAUCCACCACUUUGUGAGCAGAAAGUAUGCAGAUAGGCAUGCACUAACUAAAUGAUUAACAUUUUGCAUUUCUUUUUCAAAUGUUAUCCGAAUCCAGAUUCUUGGUUUGCUUGUAAAAAACAACAAAAUUGCAUGAUUUGCACUAUACGUACGUGUAUUGCAACUAUGUCUUCCCAAAACUGUCGCUUCAUUCUGAAAAUGCCCCGGCCCGUUGUGUAUUGGUGGUACUGAUUCUAAUAUCCUAUGCUUAAAAAACUUUCAAAAAAUUAUAUAUGUAUACAAGAAGAUCAUGGUUUCAGAAUAAGCUUGUGUUGAUCUUGAAAAAUGUUCAAAUAGAGGACAUGAUGAUGUCAUAAUGCUAAUCCUACUCAUGCAUCCAAUAGAAGGGAGGAACCAAAUAUAGAUUAUAUGUCAAUUGCUCAUAUUAUAUGAUGGCUUUCAAACAAGUUUAAUCUACAUGACAACCACUAGGCUGCUUAAUCAUAUGCAAAAACAUUUGUUGAUUCUCCACAUAGAAAUAUCUUCCUUGUGCUACUACUUUUCAUGCACUUUGUUUGUUCCAUAUCAUGGAGACACUCGGCAGUCCAAACUCUAUCCAAAUACUAUCUAUGUGGCUUCUACUUCAUUGAUAAUAUAUAUUCGAUUCAUAUAGUCUGUUUAAUUUUGAUGUCAUUUUCGGGUUUCAAGUUUCCUUUUCUUCAUAAAAUAAAUUAGCUUUUUAUGGCCAACACAGAUUAUUAAUAAUAUAUACUAUUUACGAAGAAAUUGACGAAGAGUAAUCUGUGUUGACCAUAAGAAAACACAGAUAGUAUCCAUGAAUGCCAUUCUUGGCACAAUGUCGCUUACAAGUCUUUACUUUCACCUUCACGCAUCAAAAUUAUUAAACACCACCUCAUGUUAUUCAUGCAAAAGAGUAUCUGGUCAAUAUUACCUGAUAAAAUGCAAACUUGUUUCAUUCCAACUGAAAUUUCUUUAGCUCUCCUAAUAAUAGAUAGAUACUACUAUAUAGGCGGUGACUCAAUUCCUUUCUACCCUUUCACCAAAUCAUUUACACUCUAAUCUUAUAGAGAACCAAUCAUCUUUACCCUAUGUUUCAACAAGUAAACUAGUGAACCUUGAUGAACAUGUCUACAAGCUACUCAGAGAGAGGCCUCAAUUUCUCCGAGAGAUAGAAUCAUCCUUUGGAAGAGCAACAUAGUUAACAGGUGUCAUGUUGGCCCUCCCACUUUCUCUGCGUUCUUUUCCAGCUGACACUCCAUGACGGCCCAAAGGGGUACCUGUACGACGACUAAUUGGGGUCCCGAAAUUGGUAUUAGCAUUGGUGCUUUGACCCAAUGGCUUCUUUGUAGACGGCCUUGAACCGAAUAGUGCCUCCUGUUCGGUAGCAUGUUGUUCUUGCAGACGUUUUUGCUCCUGUAAAGAUUCAACCAGAGGCCAGUUAACUUUCUGCUAAAAUAUUCUUAAAGGUCAAAUUAUGUCGCACUAUCAGUGCAGAAAUAACACCGAAUCAGCGGAGAUGAAUCCAAACAGAGGAAUUAAUAUUAAGAUCAUCAUAGAAGAUCUUUUCCCUAAUGGAGGACAUAAAAUCACUGAGUUGUUACAGAUAAAUGAGAUUAUAUAAACUUCCACAUGCAAUGGUUGCACUUGCACCAGGCAUUAAAAAGAAAAAUCACCAAAAUAAGCAAUGAAAAUACUUGAUCUAAUUGUUUCAUCUGCAUAUUGGCAAAAGGGUGAGAAAAAGUAGCAGGUCCAAGCAUACCCGAGAUUUACGCUUUUCCUCCUCUCUCUCCUGUCGUUGUGCACUGUACUCCUCCACGAUAUGUAACAGGCGAACCUGGAAUUCACAAAACAUUGUGUUCUUCAGAAGACUGGGAACAAAAAAAUUAUACAAAAAGAGAGAUAACAUUGAAAGCAUAAAAUAUAUAGGAUCACCUUGUCGUAUAAGAAAGGGACUCCUUUCUCGCUCUCCCAUGCUUUAACUCUGGCAAUCAAAUUUUCGAUGAUAGCUAGAGAAAAAAGUUUUUGUAGUUAAUAGAGAAAAUUUAAAUCUUUACUACUGAAUACAUACAUAUAGUAACAGAAAAUGCAGGAACUAGACAAUGGUAAGGUGUAUUUGACUUUUUGUUGAACCCACUUUCAGUUACAUGACACUUUGAAGAAGGCAGCAAACAAUCACACACAGAAUGAGGUUUAGUGAGUUAUUCGGAUUUUCCAGAUAGAAGUGCCUCCUAAAAAAUUCUAUGCUCCACCAAGAUCCCUCACUUCUACCAAUUACUACAUUCAUUCUCAUACUCCACAAUAUAUUCAACUUCUGCAAGCUGUGGAAUCUAUUGCAAAUUGCAAAAGAAGGAUGUUAGGCCUGAGGAGCAUGGCUAUCCCAAGAGUUUCAGAAACUGCAUUGGUGUGUGUGUGUGUGUCAGAGCGUAACUGUAUUACAUGUUUAUGGGAAGUAUGUAGUAAAUACAGUUACACUCUCAACAAAGCUUACUCCCCUCCCAACAAAUUAAGUAAAUAAGCCAUACAUACAGAGCUCUACCAUUUUUCAACGUUAACAUUAACAUUCCAUUAACUUCCAGACACAUCAAUUCACUGAAAAUAUUAGGAAAAUCUAUUGCAGCUAAGUAUUUCUAGCAUCUCUUUUUGUACCAAGAAUACAACAAUAACCCAAAAGUUGUUGCACACCCAAUAAUGCAUAUACUAAUUGGACUAUUUGGUUAUCAGUUCUGAUGGCAUAAAUAAAAGACACCCUUAUAGUUAGUAAUUCACUCAGCCUAGUCCAUCUCAGAAAGGGAGAUCAGAUACAAAAGGGAAUCAUCAAGUUAUGAAAAUUAGGUAUAAACGGGGAAGAGUCCAAAGGUUAAGGGUUUGUUUCCCUCGGAUACCCAUGGCUGGGUAUGUCAUGUCACUUAAAUACAACUUUUAAGCUAAAGAUCUAAGUAAAUAUAAUUCAGCCUCCAUAAACCAACUGCUAUCUCUUUAUUUGCUUCUCAAAGCAAUUUUCAGUUAUUACCAGUCUAGUGAGCCCAUACGUGUGAUUCUUGAGAUUAAGUUUUAACAAACUGAUGUCUGGCAAAACUUUUUACUCUAUGAGCUCCUAGCUUUCGAUGCUUUAGCAGUUCAGCCUUAGAAUUCAGUAGGUCUUAGAAGCAUGACAUCCUUCCUGAAUGGGAGGGGAAACAGUCUUAUAUAAUGUGGCUCCUGUGGUUGGUACCCUCCUCUUAAAAUUAAUCGAAGAAGAGUACUCUUCUAGAAAAGGAAAGGAUAGGACAUUCCUUCCUAGUCAGUUCAUAGAGUGAUACUUUCAUUGGACAAAAAGGUUAGCUUAUGUAGAAAUUAAACUAUUAAGUAUAAACUAGGGGUUUACUGCUUGCAUCAACCACAGAGACAAUUUUCCAACAUGAACAGUAAGCAUAUUCCUUUUCCAUUUCAAUAUACUACUAAUGGGGUCAAUAAUGGCUUCAUUCCUCUUUUUUUGUAACAUAUAUUUUAUCAGCAAGCAUGGAGUUUUUCAGGAAUUCGCUUCUCUGCCCAAGGUCACACAUGUAAGGCUUUGCCCACAUCACACAAAACAAUAAAGACACUGAUCAAUAAUUCUAUGUAUAAAGUUAACAGCUGUUCCAAAGUCAUCAGAACAAAUAACUUCAUCUGAACACACAACAUACCUAGACUAUGGACAUAAAGAGUAGUACAAGUUCUGUUAUACAUCAACAAAAUGGCAAGUCUGCAGUAAGAAAUACCAAUAUAUCAAGAGAAGAAAAAUAUGCAAGUUCCCCAAAAUCAGGCAAUGGAUGGCGUUAUCUAAUAACAUAUAACUCCAAUGGCAUACCCUAGAAUGACUAGUAUUAUAUAAAAACCUAACAAUCUUUAUAACAUAAAAAAAAAAAUAUCAACACAGUUAUAACUCCCAAAAUAAAGGGACAAGGAACAUUGGUAAAACAAAAAAGGCAUUACUUUGACAUAAUUAGAUAAGAACUGUGCUGUUAAUUAGAUAUGAAUGAUUACAAGCUUACAUGGUAUUUUUCCAACCAAAAUCCGGGCUUUCUCAGCACGCUUCAAAUUUUUGUGUGCUCCUCUUCCUGCACUAUACCUAUUUUCGUCCUGUAAGGGAAAGAAAACAGAUAUUUGAAAAAAUUAAAAGGAGAGAGAAACUAAAAAGUUCAAUUAUAUUGGUCAAUAUGCUAGGAGGAAAAUUCAAAUAUGGUCAAUAUGCUCCUCUUCCUGCACUAUACCUAUUUUUUAAACUUCUCUUGUUUUUCUUUGUGCGCCUCUCGUUUCACAUAAGGGAUUCACUAUUUUGUUUUAAUAUUGAAAGAGAAACAAAAGUGCCCCAAGUUCUUUUCCAGCUUCUUCAGUCUAGUAUUCAUGAGAUUAGGUACUUGGAAAAAAAAAAAUCUGAUUUAUAAACAAUUGGAUCUGAAUAUAACAUAACAACCAAAAGCAAAAGAAAGAGUGGUAUUCAGGGCUUUGACUAUAAACUGUUUGCAAGUGCUCCACCUUAAAUACUAUUCGACUACGACCUUAAAACAUGCUAAUAAUUCAUAAGAAAAAGAGAAGUUUCCAGAGUAAGAUAACAGCUAAUGCUUCAUGAGUCAGAAUAAAUAAAUAGAUGUACCAAGCUCAUAAUAUUAAGAUGUAACACUUUCUCAAUAUUUACCUUUUCAUACUCAUCAAGCCACUUGUCCUCCUCAAAAGCAAAUUUGCAUUUCUCUAACUUAUCCAAAAUAUCCUUUCUGCUUAGAGCUUGCUCUUUGGCCUUUACAAUCUGAUCAUCCAUGCUCGAAAGCAGAUCAGACAAAUCAACAUUACCUGUUAAGACAUAUCCACAACAUAGUAUCAAGGGCAAGUUUUCAACAAACAAAAUUAGUAAAUUCAUUGUUAAAGGAAUAUAUGAGAGGCCUAAAAAUAGAGAAGUUUUAAGACCAGAAUCUAUGAGGCUGGUGAGAAUCUGUCUAGCUCCAUCACUAUCUACAUCCAUGUGGACUCCUCUAUAAAUUUCUUCCAGCUCAUUUUGCCUCUUAAAGACCAACUCCUUCAUCUUGCUGGCUUUCAAAACAUUCAACCGCUGGACUUCAGCCUCGGUCUGAAAAAAAAAUAAAUCAUUAAAAAGUUACCAAGUAAUUAAACUAACAGUCCAUUAAAAUUACAGUGCUCUUUAGUCUGCAUGAGAAAUUACAUUAGACAUUAAACAUAAUAGUUUGCACCUGCUCAAUGACAUCAAGAGAAAGGCAACCAUGCCUUGAUAGCCCAUCAACUGAGGAAGUAAUUAAGCGCGUAACAUGGUCAAAUUUGUUCCGUUCCUCAGUCGGUGUCUCCAUUAGAUUCCAUACUUCUAUCAGUUUGCUUCCCAGCUCUUGUAGCUACGGUAAAAGAUAUACUGUUAGAGUAAGAGGAAUGCUGACAGAUGGAAAGAAUAAAAAGAUAAUCAGAAGACAUCUAAGCUACUAAGCCACAUGUCAGCUGGACUAACAAGCUCAGAAAUAAUUCUAACAUAAAAUUCUCAAUUACUUAAAAUUCAUCUUAUAUCAUAAGGCUUAAAUUCCAAGUUCGAUUAGUUUAACUAAUUUCUGAAUGAGGUUCCUAGCCACUAGUUUCAAGAUAAACAAUUCCUAAAUUUUCUCUUAUCUCUUUUAUACCUCAAGCAAAGGGGGAAAAACUUGAUCUUUGAGAUACUACAUCAUUGGCCAAGCUCACAUCUCUCGCUAAGCUAUGAGUAGUAUAUGUUCAGCACUCUUUCAAUUCAGUAUAGAACUUCAUCCAAACUGUGAGCUCAGUUGCAAAUUCAGCAGGAUAGAAGACAAAUGCUAUACAUCCUCAACAUCAUGUGAUAAGUAAAACUUCAUGUCUACACAUACUCAACAGCUUCAGCCGCAAUUAAAACUAAAGUAGAGCAACAAAAAUUAGUGGCAUUACACCAUUUUACACGUACUUGUACUGUUUUAUAUUCAGCAUAUUGAACCUCGGUGAAUUUAUAAUAGUGUGGACAAUUCAUAAUUCAAAUAGCUAAUGUGUGUUUGUGUGUGUGUGUGUAUAGAGAGAGAGAGAGAGUCACCUUAUGCAGUCUUUGCUGUUUCUCUUGCUUCAGAGAGCUGGUCAGCGCCGUCAAUCUAGCAAGAGUGUCAUUGCUGAUGCUCUUGGAAUGAGUGGCGGACUGAUCAGUCAAGCUCGGGUGGACUUCAUUGAGCGUCUCAAAGAAAUCAAUUGACAUUACCACCGAGAGGUCAUGGAUGAUAUUGACCUGACUAUUGACUUUCUGUAACCGCAAAGCCUGCAAAAAUCGUACCAAUUACCAAGUAAAACCCCAUUACAACCAACAACAAACUAAAAUCUACCGACUUUAGUACCUUUUCUUUGUGAAGCUCCUCAAGGUGAGACUUAAGCUCUCCCAACCUCUUCAGAGUCAAAUCCGUCUCAUCCACUCCGGCAUACUCACCGGCAUUCCCAGCCACACCGUUGCCGGCUAUCUCCGACGAGAUCCUGGCAAUCUGCGACUGAAUGACCGAAAAGUCCUUGACCCUCUCUUGCUUCUUCAAGCUCAAUUCCUCCAAAACAGGCUUGACAGCAGAAAUCUGGUCCCGGAGAGUCCCUCUAGCCCGGGAAAACGAAGUGGCUUCGCCGAGAGCGGAGGCGAUGGCGGCGAUUUGAGCUUGGCCGUCGGCGAGGGACCUGUGCAACUCGGCCCGGUACUUUCUGGUCAUCUCCACCUUCUUGCGGUAGAUGUCGAGGCACUCUUGCUCCAGCUGGAGAAGCAUGGUGUCACGCUCCCUGUCACUCUCCCCAAUCUCGUCCCAAAUUAUCUGCGAAAAUCCAAAAUUCAAAAUUCGAAAUUCGAAACUCGAAAUUAGAGGAGAGAGGGGAAGAGGAGUACCUGGAGCUCGUGGAGGAGAGAAGCGCAGGUGGUGCGGGAGGGUGAAACGGCCGGGGGCGUCGCCGUCAUGGUGAAGGAGGCGACGUCGUUUCGGAGCGAAACCCUAGAAGAAGAAUUGGGGGAGAAAGAGAGAGAAAUGGGUCGGGGGCGUUAGAAAGUCUCUGGAUUUGGGAAAAUGAAAAUGAAUGUGUUUAGGUGGAGGAUUUGGGAGAUCCCUAGAUAUGAACCCCAGAUAAUGUUUGAGCCCCAAAAGGCAACUACGGGUUUCUCGGUCGUUUUGGCGCCAAAACCAUGUCCUCUGCUUUUUGUGUUUUUUCCUUUUCUUCCUUUUUUUUCCCCUAUUCUUUUCUCUUCUUUUUUUGAAAAUUAAUUAUUAAUUUGUUCUUUUUGAGAAGAAUUGAUUUAACGCAUUGAUAUUGAGGAGGUUGGUUCAUAUAAAUACGUGUCCAAAAAUUCGGUCUUAUUUGUUCUAGUAAUAUCAGGUUUUUUUUUUUUUUUUUAACAAAUCUAGUAUAUUUAGACGUAUGUAGCAUCAUGACUCAGCUAGAACAUUAGACAUAACAAAAGACAGUUGUGAUUUCAACUCAAAGAAUCAAUCAUAAUACUCAUUAGGCCUUGCUUGGUUCGUGAAUGUUGUUAGUGGUGAUACGUUAGUUGUUUGAUGUGAUUAUCGUGAGUUUAUGAUUACAAUUUAAUGAGGAGAAUUUUUUUCAAUGAAGUUGAGGAGGAUUUGGGUAGAUUGUUUCACAAUACCCAGUCCUAAUCACAUAUUGGGGAUCUACUAAAGGAUUUUUGAAAAAGAAAAUAAGCUGAAGAUCAACCCAAGAGAGAGUUGAGACUUGGAUCAGGACUUUGACUCCCCUGAGACAUUUUUCAUAAGUUCCUCAACGGAUUCAGCCACUUUGAACCUAUUGUGUACAUGGGCUUAAGCACACCGGCAGCAAAUAAGAUCAUUAGAUCCAGCUUUCAAUGCCACAAGGGAAAGAUCAAUCUGUCACGUUGGCUACCAACAGUUGAACUAGGGAUUUCCAUCUCUGUCUUGUCCUCCUAAGUUCUAACUAGCUCAUUCACAGGUUAACCUGCGACAGAAAGCCAAGUUCCAGAACACAUUCCGCAUCUUAUACAACACUUCUUUCUCCUGUAGCUCUAGCCAACACAAAAUCAAACUGGAACCUGCGACAUAAUGCACUACUCACACCCAAGCUCCACAAAACUAACAUUUAACGAAGUCCUUUUCCACCAGGACACCUAUCGAGAAACAGAUUCCACAAAAAUUUGCCUUUAGAGUAACUGCUAAGACCAAAAGCCAAAUUUUGAGAAACAGAAGUUUAGUCCUUCCCGCUGACAGAAAUGAGGGAUAAAUUUAAUCACCUAAAUCAUUUCUAAUAAUCUAUGUUCACUAUUUUGGAUAAUGAAUGUACAAAAAGACUACUUUGAGAGGUAAGCAUUAUGACAUUGAUAAAAGAUAAACAUUAUCAAAAUUCAAAUGAGACAGUAGUCUUGUCAAAGGUCCUAUGUUGCAGUAGGUGCUUCCAAACCUUUCUCUAAAUUUUUCUGCUCUGAGGGUAAAUUCUUUCUGGAUUUCUUGGUACCUUCUACUUUCCACAUAUCCCAGACUUUUGUUCUAGGUGGGGGUGUGGAAUCUCCAAUUGGUGCAACCAACCCUGGCUUUCCAUCAUCAAUAACAUCAUCAAUCAACCCAUAAUCCUUAGCUUCCCAGGGAUUCAUGAAAUUAUCACGGUCUGUAUCCUCCUCAACCUGCAAUGACAAAAGCAAUUACAUAUAGAGUUUAAAACUCUCAUAGACUAAAUAUUUACAAUUACAGAAAUCUGAUCUGAUCCCUAACCUGUUCAAACGGCUUUCCUGUGAUUCUUGACAAUAUCUUGUUCAAUUUAAUCUUGUGGUAUGCCAUUUCUCUAAUUCGUAUACCCAUUUCUGUUGCCUGAAUACACAUGUACAAACCACCAAUCAAUAUACAAACCUCGUAAACAGAAUUGUAUACUUCUCAUACUCAACAAAUAUGUCCUAGGGAGAAAGGAUAAAACAAAGAAGUAAAGCAGAUGAUCAAACUCCUAAGUGAAAAUUAAUGCUCGUUUAAUCAUUUUGGAAUUGAACACAGAGAUUUUUUGGCUGGGGAAAAAAUUAAUAUAAAACUUAACCAUCAUAGUGAAUAUAAAAUAUAAAAUUAGAAUAUAAAACAUUAAAAGCCUUCUGAUAUGUAAUCCAAGAAAAUAUCCGCUUGGUUCCAUCAUUUUCUAUACAGAUUUGGAAAGCCACCAAUUAACAGAAACAUCUAGCAAAGCUAGACAGAAAACAAGAUCGAUAUUGUCCUGGCUCGGCUAUGCCAUUAGUUGGUUAGCUAAUUCUUUUGUUCUAGGAUUCUUCUGCCCUUGCAAGAUCAACACCUGGGAGGAACAAAAUAGGGAGCUCAAGGGUACCAAGCUAUCUUAUCACUAUUACAAAUAAAGUCUAGCAUUUCUGGUUUUCGAGUCUACCUAAUUAGAACAGUUCAGUAAUAAAAUGAGUCCCCACCCACUUAGACAAGUAAACAAAAACAAACCAUAUAAAAAAUAAAAACAACCCCCCAAGGUCAUGAUCUGCUGCAUAUGGCAACUUAAAAAUUAUCUCCAUGCAAAGAUAUCUGUCUCUUUUGAUUUUGUAUAAAUAUCCAUCAACAUUUUAGCAAUUUCUGGAGUCUGACACGUCACGGAAAGUGUCAAGUGUCUAGAGAAAAGUUUCCUAAAUAGAGCGAGAGAGACAGAUUUGGUCUGUCUCACAAUUGCUCUUACUCCAGGCAUAAUUCAACAGUGAAGCUCAAGGUGAUAAAGGCAUCACCUGAACUGUAGCAGAGGGAAAACUAUCCCCUCAAAAACAAAAUCCUCACAACAAUGUAAUGACUAGUCGUUAGAAAACUUGAUGAAUGCAACUUGAGUAUAGAUGAAGGUUUGGUGCCUUGGCAAUAUCCUCAACUACCUUGUUUCUCUAUCUUUCCUCCCUUUAUUUGCUUGUUCCCAUAGUUCUCUGACUACAGCAGCUAUAAACCUUCUUUCAUACUAAACUAUCUCUUAAAAUUUGUAUCUUUCAGAGCCACCAUAAUUACACUGACACCCACAAUUGCUUUGUCCUCUAUCAUGCAUAUCUGGUAUAACUAAUCAACCACAUGAAAAUAGCAAAUAUAUAGAUGGAACGGACUGGGGAGAAAUCAACCAAGAGGAGAAUAGCUACUGGGAGUAGUGGCCAGAAUCUUACAUUUUGUGGUCUGAAUAGAGUUUGUCAAGUAAUGACAGGGGAUUUGGCUUUUUAAAAUCUGAACUAAAGACCCUUUUUUGAGUGGCUUAUUUUGUUCUUACAGCUGCCAAAUAGGAAUCAUUGAUGAUUGCUUCUUAUAACCUAACUAUGUAAAAAAGGAAUCAUUGAUGAUUGCUUCUCAUUGAUGAUUGCUUCUUUGAGUGUUUGCUAAUUUGGUGAUGUAUAUGUAAACAUACUACAAGAUCAGUAUAUCAACCUCCACUGCAUUGCCAUACAGAAUGGGGUUUUGGAGUUCGUCCCAUGGAUGCUUCAGGGGUUUCUGUUAUGGCACCAUUGGGAUCUUAGCAGGUACAUUGUGUAUGUGAGGAUCAUCCAAACUGAUUUUCUUUAGAACAGAUGGCCUUACUAGUAGGCUUCAAAUACAACUCCCUUAAGCUUUCUUAUUAGAAAAUUUAUUAAAUAACAAGAGGCCCUUCAAGAAGUUAGAGAAAUCGUACUUGCACUAAAAGGACUCGAAUUAGAAAUUGGUUACAACUGUAAACAGAAAGUCAAUUAAGUGAAACUGCUCAGGAAAAGAUGUUUGAAUGUAUUAAGAGGAACUUGAGUCAGCACUCUUAGCAACUGGGGUGGAAACUGGGGCCUCCUAACAAACCCUAUAAUCUUAAAGAGAACUCUAGAAAAUAGCUACUAGGUACCAUGCCACGUUGGGGGAAUCCAUGGGCUUCUGACUAACCCCUCAUGUGUAGCUAAGUUUGUAAAUUCAUCCCAAAUAAUUGAAUGGCAACUAUAUCUCAACCAAAAAGUCAAAAACAAAGAGCUAGUAACAAUAUUAACAUCAAAUAGACCCAAGGAUACAAAUAUCUAGACCAUUGGAAAAGCAGAUUUAUUAAAAGUAGCACAAAAUAACAGACAAUUAUUUCAAACAAUUUAAUAUUGAAUGAAGCUUAAAUUUUAUACUAAUCCAAAUGCAUUUUAGAAAAGGUAAAAUCCACAAUAAAUGUUUACAUGUAAUAAGAAUUUAAAUCCCCCAUAAAUGAAGAUAAAAAUCCACAAUAAGCAGAGAAAGCACUUACUUUGCCUCCAGCAGUUCCAAGAGGUUGAUGGAUCAUCACUCUUGCAUUAGGCAUGCAGUACCUCUUUCCUUUUGAGCCGGAAGCAAGGAGAAAUGCACCCAUUGAAGCAGCAAGCCCGAAGCAAACAGUUGAAACAUCUGCCUUGCACAUUUUCAUUGCAUCAUAUAUUCCCAUUCCUACACACAUUCCAAAGUUGGUAAUGAGAACAAAAUAAGUCCAGGAGAAAUUUUAACAGAAAAUACUGGAUUCAACAGAGGGUCACAUCUCUUAGAAUACUGGUGGCUAGGCUAAAGGCUAAAGCACAUCUGAGUUUUCCCAAACACAAACAAAGCUGUAUAAUACUUUUGUAGUUCACCAAAAAGAUGCAUGGCAAUACACAAUCAUUUUUCUCUACUACCUAUACUAUGGAUAUAAAUGCUUUUAGGUUAUUCAAAAGGGUUGUUCUGAUGUUGGUUACUUGCAGAACUUGAUGCUGGCAGUAUGUUGGGGUUUAUGGAAGGAGUGUAAUAAAAGAAUCUUUUAGCAUUAUAAGGGGUGGAGCAGAAGACUGCAAUCCGGGUCUACUUUAUGGGCAUUGAUACUGUUAUUUGAGAAUAUUCUUAUUCUUCUUUUAUGAUGAAUCUGUUACUGUUCUGAACUGAGGCUGGUUUAUAGUGCAUAUCUGUUUCCUAGCCUCUCUCGAGUUGUUUGUAAACCUAUUCUCAGCUGUGGGAUUUCUUAUCCACAUCUGGCCUUGAACUUUCUAAGUUGAGUAAGGACCAGUAAUCGAAUAUCCAAUGCAUUGAAUAUUAUAAUCUCAACCAAAAAUAGGAGAAACGAAAAAAAAAAAAAUAAUAUAUAUAUAUAUAUAUAUUAUACAAAUCCUAGAUUUGAAAUUCAUGCUUGUUUAACCUCAACUGCAAUAUUGAAAAUAUCUGCUACUAAAAUGGUUUACAGAAUGAACGAACAUGUCCUGAAGUUCCUCAACUGAAGAUAUGAUUUGGAUUACAAACAGAAUCGGAAAGCUAAAAUAACUAAUGCUAGAGAAAUCAGAGAAGCACCUAGGUUUAAUCAUGAAGUUUAUGUUAAUUGCUGCAUUAGAAAGGAAAACCUCAGAUGUCAGGAUCUAUUGCUUUUGUAGUUGGAUAAGGCAUACAUAUUGCACUAUACUCUGGACAGUAUUAUGCGGAGAAAUUAAAUAAGAUAGAAGAUUGAAUCAAUUUCUGUAGUAGAACAUUGUAGUAUCUAAGGCACAAAGAAGUUGUAUAAAGCAAGCAACCACUCACUUUCUUCUCUGAAGAUAAAUUUAUCCUACAGGCCUCAUCCAACAUCGAACUAUAAAUCAACAAGUACCACUUCUACUUUUCCUUUCUGCCCACCAAAAAUCAUUUCCUUUUCCUUUUCUUGAAACAAAGGUCUUAACAGGUACUACUCUUCCCAUGGGCAAUAUACCAAGCUAAAAAUGUACUAUAUGGGGUACAUUAGUGUUCCAGAUUGCAGUGGAGGGGCAAAAUUGAACGGCUGUAACUAAUGACGGCCAGUACUGUAUUGAACUACUAAUUUUCUUUUUAUCAUUUUGCCAGUUGACAGAGCCAAAUCGUUUUAGGGUGUCGAUCUUCAAGCACUCAUGGCACUUUACCAUCAAAUUCAGUGUUUUUAUACGUGAAUGGCUGUGCGGUUAAGUAUGCAAGUAUGGAGACGGCUGAUCGGGGCACAACUCAACUUAAUUCAGGUUCCACCACAGGAGAGAAAAGAAAUGGUUUGCAGGAAGAGUUGUCCAAGAACAACUUGGAGUGAGCAGCAUAUACCAAUACUGAAACUGAGAAAUAUUCUCUAAAUUCAUUUAUUUUAAUCAUCUUCUUCACACUACUCUGCACAAAAGGAAAUUGUGAUUCCGAAAAUUUACUUUGCUUACAAAUGCAUUUCAGCUAUUCUUAUUCUACUAAAUCUAAAACAUUUCAACGGUAAACAAAGGAAAGUUGAUGAUACAACUUCCCUAAAUCAUUUUCAUUGAAGCUUCUUAUGACCUUGUAGAACCCGUAACAACGGCAAAUCCAAACAAGCUGGCUUCAACAUUGACUUAUGUUAACAAAAUUUAGCAGACACAACCAUGCUUUACAUGCUCAGAUAUAAUGAUAAGGUCACAAUUGGAACUUAACAUGCCAAGGAAUUGUGCAAAGUUUCUUACAAAAGCCAAAGUGUUAUAAGCUCAACCCCAGAAACUUUAUUGAACUGAUCAAGAUAUAAUUGUAAGUCAAGAGUAUCCAUAUACAUCACUUGCUUUACAUUUAUGUACCUACGACACUCUUUUCACCAUUUCCUCAAGCACAUAUGUUGCAAAAACAAUCUAUCAUCCUGCAUUUAACCUUUGUGCUAGAUGCCAAAGCAUGGCUUCAUAGCACACCAUUUCCCUAAUAUAUUAUAUAGUUUCCAUGUCGUCACAAACACAAAUUUGUUUACCUACUUAAGUCAAACUUCAUUACCAAAUUCUAAUGGCUCCCAUAUCAACUUAAAAAACAAAAGACACAAGGACCAAAACAACAGCAGAGAAUUAAGAAAUCAACCAUGUCGAAGAAAAACUUAAUACAAACAUACCAGCCGUAACCGAGCCACCGGGUGAAUUGAUAAACAAUGUAAUGUCCUUUUGGGGGUCUUCAGCAUCCAGAAACAGCAGCUGGCUUAUGAUCAAAUCCGCCGUCAUGUCAUCCACCUGUCCAUCAUCAUUGGCAAAAAAUUACAAAGAAUUCAGUCAUUAAAAAAAUCCAGCAAGACCCAAAGAGCAAGAGAAGAGAGAGAGAGAGACCUGAGAGCCCAAGAAGAUGAUUCUCUGGCGGAGGAGCAUGUUGGUGGUGUCGAGCUCUUCGAAUCUGGGGACGCGUGUAGGAGACGGGGCAGUAGCAGCGGGGAACUGGAAAUCCCAAUUGGUGGACAAGGUGGGUCUUGUGGGAGACGACGAGGCUUUAACUGAACCCACGACCUUCCUUGAGCUUCUGCUACAACCGAUGGUACUACUAGUACUAGUAGCCGCACUGAGAAGACCGUUGUGAAGAGCAACCGACGGUUGGGUGUUGAAACACAGAGGCCUUGACGCUGGGGCUGCGUACGUCAUCAUCGUCGUCCUCCCGUUUUUCUGGGUUCGAAAAUCUGUCUAAUUGGGAAGGAAGGAGAAAUAGGCUGAGGGUAUUUGGCGUUGUUGUCUGCAGAAAGCUGAAGUAUAGAUAAACGACGUCGUUUUCAGACGGAUGUAAAACCAAUGGCCACGUUCGCCCACGGAACAUUUUUUGUUUAAAAAUGGUUGCCGGGGAGCUAUUAUUCCGAGACUAAGAGCAAUUUUAUGUACGCUCCCUGAAAUGGGUUCGAACCAAAGACCUUUUAUUACUAGAAGAAUCUUUAUAGUGUCCGUCUCACUUGCAGCUUAGCGUAUGCUUCUACAGUUCCACUAGACCAACCCUAUUGGGUUAAUACACAUAUAGGGUUGGGCAUAAAGACUAAACCAAAAAAAACUAACAAAACCGACCCGACCGGUUUGGUUCGGUCUCAAUAACAACCAGUCCGGUCCCUGGCCGAGAAAUACAUAAGACAGUAGAGCCUAAAAGCCCAACAUACACAUUGUAAUACAAUUAUUGGACAAUUGUAGUGAUCCCUACACUACUAAUAUAGAUUCAACCACAGUUUGCAUUUGUUAAUUAUAAAGGCUUAGUUUGGCAUUGCAAUGAGAACAAUCUGCUGUAAAAUAAAUCAACAGUGAAAAUAAUCAACGAUUCAAUAAAUCAGUUACAUGUUUGGCAAAUUUUGUGCUUAAAAUUCUGAACACAAAAGGCAUUUUAAAGAUGUUAGGUAAUCUUUACUUUAAAUGAGUGUGUAUUGUAUAUAAUGAUGUAAUUUGACAUGAUAAGAAUAUCAUCACUUGUGAUAUUAAUCUGCAUGACUUUGUUUGAAAUUGGAAGUAGGAGUUCAUCACAUGGAUAAUCUUAAAAGGAUUAGAGAGAAGUUUGUGAGGACAUAAAAUUUAAGCCUCUCCCAACAAAUGGUUACACUUUUAGGCAUCAACCUCUCAUUCGAUAUGCAGAUAACGACGGUGUAGAAUUGCUCGAGGGUGGAUGGGGGUGGGGGAGUGGACCUUCCAUAAACAAGGGAUCAAAGAUGAUGAUGCUAUUGUGGUGUUACCAUUCAGUUUCAAAGUGAGCAUAACUGGAAUAGGCGUGGAUGCAACUUCAGUGGAAAUUAGGUCAUCAGAUUAGAUGGUGACUUUAAGAUAGUUGUUGUAAAGACACUAUACUGAAAAUCUACCAACGCAUUUUAAGUUCUCCUUGGGAGAGGUAUUGAUGGAUGAUAAAUGUCAUUUCUUUCGUAUGGCCUUCGUCGGGGUGAUCACAUUAGAAUAACUCUUCAAGCUUCCUCUCUUGGUCAACCUGAGAACACUCAGAAGUAGUAACAAGCUUUCAACCUUGAGUUCCAUAUUAUUCAUGUACAAAAGAUAGCGUGCUAGCUUGGUAGUGCUUGCUUACAAUUGUCUUUCUAUGUUUUAAUAAAGAGUUUUUUUUAUAGUAUUUUUGAUGGUAUGUUUUAAUAAGGAUAUCCUUGUUCAAUUAAAAAUAAAUAAAUAAUUGUAGAUGAGAAAAUUGUCUAAACAGUGUCUCACCUUUUAACAAAGCAAAGUUUCGGUAUCUCACCUUUAGAAAACUUCAAAACAGUAUCUCACGUUCUUACCACGACUGAAGUUUGGUAUCUAUAACCGUUAGCUCCGUUAAAAAAACUGACGGCAGCCAUUUUUAUUCAUAAAAUGACCAAUUUAUCCUUGAGUUUUUAACUUUGUUAUUCAUUUUAUAUAAUGAAGUUAUCAAACUUGAGGUAUCGUUCUAAUGUUAUCAAAACUUGAAGUACCAAAGUUUAUAAGGAAUAAAAGAUGAGGUACCUUUAUGACAAACAAAAACAAAAACUCAAGGGGUAUAUUGGUCAUUUCAUGAAUAAAAAUGGUUGCCGUUAGUUUUUUUAACGGAGCUAACGGUUCUAGAUACCGAACUUUGGUCGAGGUAAGAAUGUGAGAUAUUGUUUUGAAGUUUUCUGAAGGUGAGAUACCAAAGUUUUGCUUCUUCAAAAAGUGAGACACUGUUUGGACCAUUUUUCCAUUGUAGAUUGAAAUAGAUUUUUUCUUUUGGUAUAUGGUGCGUUCAUAAUGGAAGACGGUCAUUAUUUCUUAGGCUAAGGUUUUGAUUUCUAAUAAUGGAAGAUGGUAUAGUCAUCAGCUAAGGUUGUAGUUUGUAUUUGGUAAUUACAAAGGCUUAGUUUGGCAUUGCAAUGAGAAUAAUUUGUUGUAAAAUAAAUCAACAGUGAAAAUAAUCAGCGAUGAGAUAAAUCAGUUACAUGUUUGGCAAAUUUUUUGUUUAAAAAUUCUGAUCACAAAAAACAUUUUAAAGAUAAGUAAUCUUUAGUUUACAUGAGUGUGUAUUGUCUAUAAUGACGUAAUUGGACAUGAUAAGAAUAUCAUCAAUUCUGAUCAAACCUACACGAUUUUGUUUGAAAAUGGAAGAGAUCAUCCCAUGGAUAACUUCAAAAGGAUUAGGGAGAAGUUUGCAAGGGCAGGAAAUUUGAGAAGUAGACUCUCCCAACAUAUGGCUACACUUUUAGGCAUCAACCUCUCACUAGCAACGAUGCUGAUAACUACAGUGUAGAAUUGCUCGAGAGCGGGGAGAGGAUCUUCUAAAAACAAGGGAUCAAAUUAAGAUGGUAAUGCUAUUGUGGUGGUACCAUCUAGUUUCAAAGUGAGUAUAACUGGAAUGGGCGUGGAUGCAACUUCAGUGGACAUUAGCUCAACAGAUAAGGUGGUGACUUUAAGACAGACAUUGAUGGAUGAUGAAAUGUUGUUUAUUUCGUAUGACCUUCGCCGGGGCGAUCGCAUUAAAAUAACUCUUGAAUUAUCCCCUCUUGGUCGACCUGGGAACACCCAGGAAGUAGUAACAGGCUUUCAACAUUGAGUUCCAUAUUAUUCAUGUACAAAAGUUCGCUUGCUAGUUUGGUAGUGCUGUAAACACAAAAAAAAAAUUUAACGAAUAACAGAAAGACACGUGUACAAAAUAAAAUAUGUGUAUUCAUGAUUUUAUGGGUAAGUAUUCUUUUAAUAAGAAUUUCCUCUGAUUCAAUCUCCGACGAGCACCUUAUCCAUAAUCAAAUAGUUUAAGUUUGAACUUCAUGUCGUGUUGACGAUUUGUAGAAGAUGAUUGACCAAUGGCCGUAGAGGCUUGUUCUUGAUCAUUGGACUUAGGCCACGAGUGGUGUCAGGUGGUGAACGUUCUUCAGCUUUUAUGGCGGAUAAAUCGGCACGUGUGUUCAGUGCUUGUUGAUUCUCCAUGAGCUCGUUGAAGGGUAGAAGUUUAAUUUGAUUUGUUGAAGACUUGAAAAUGUGGUUUUAUUAAGGGUCGCAUAGGCUUGAUAAUGAUCGGGUUUGCGCCACGAGCAAUUCCACGUGAUGAAUGUUCUCUAUCUGGAAGUUGGUGAAAAUGUCAGCUAUUUAGCAACUUGAUGACUCUUCAUGUUUUGACAACUUCUAAGCUUGAAGUUCAUUAGAAACUGGCUAUUUGUGAGCUUAGUAGUUCUUCACAAGUGUUUUUGAGACAUUUGAUAUUUCGGAAGUAAUUUGUUCUCUCUACCUCAAAGCCUCCUCUUGAUAUCAGAGGAUGUAUUAUUUAUAAUGUCAAUGCUCUUUCGUAUAUGAAAUAUAUUAAAGACAAAACUUUAAUUCUAUUUUCUUAGCGGUACAAUUAAAUUAAUCAUUUUUUUUAUCGGGUAAAUCAAUCAGUUUUGAUUGAUUGUUUCAAUUAUUAUUAUUAACAUAAUUUAACUAAUCGAUCAAUCUUAAUUGAUUGAUUUAAUUAUGCCCAUGUAGACAUAUAAAAUUUAACAAUAAUAAUAAUCGUUGGAUUAUUCAAACAACGCGUGGGCCCAACUAAUUGCAUACGUGGCUCGCGAGUUGACAAAGUUGAAAAGUUGUCGGAAAUGACACGUGGCAAUGUGUGAAUGGUCGGUCGACAACAAAACCUUAAAUCCCGACUAAAAUCAAAUAUUAAAUGUCAAUCGAUAAUCAAAUAUCAAUCAAAUUAAAUUGAUUAUUGAAAAAGAAAGUUGGACAUUUAUUCCAAAUUGGUUAUACCUUAUCGGUCGUAAUUAAAUCAAUCAAUUAAGACUGAUUGAUUUAAUUAUGUUAAAAUUAAUAAUUAAAUUAAUUAAUCAAAACUGAUUGAUUUAGUUAUUACCAUUAAGGAAAUAUAAUUGAUUCGAUGUCUUCAUUACAUGCCAUAAACGGAGGUAUGUCAACACUAUAAAUACCCCUUUUCUUAUCAAGAGGAUGACUUUCGACAAAAGAGAGAAAAAUCACUUCGGAGAGCUUAGAAGUCUCAAAAUUCCCCAAAGACCUAUUAAGCUUCCAAAUAGCCAGUUCUUCACCAAACCUAAAUCUCAAACACUUGUCGCGUGAUCAACCCUCAUGACCCCUUUUGUCUCAAGAAUAAGUGUUUGUCACCCUUGAGUCAAACUCAUAUUCAGAGAUAGAAUCAGAGGAGUUCACAAAGAUUUGUAACCGACAUUCAUAUCAAUAAAAUUAUAUUAUUUUUUUGUACACGUGUUGUUCUGUUAUUUGUCGUAAAUAAUUUCUUGUUUAUAGCCCGAUACGGUAUUUAUCAAUUUGAUUAAAUGUAUGAUUUCCAUUCGGACAAUUAAAUUAAUUUAGUUGACAUCUGAUUGACGGAUGCCAUUUAAUGCUUGCUUUUAGUCAUGAUCAAUGAUUUUGUUGUCGACUGACCUUUCACACGUCGUCACAUGCUAUUCCCGGAUUCUUUUUGACUUUGUUGACUCAUGAGCAACGUAUAAAAUUUGUCGAGCCCACUCAUUAUUUGAAUAAUUCAACGAUUAAUAAUUUUGUUAAAUUUCAUAUGUCUACAAAUGCCCCUACUUCCAAGUGCGACGAUGUCGUCAUCACGUGUCGGAGGCGUGGCUUGAAUUCAAUGCUUUUGAUGUGGGCUACAUAAUUUCGCCAAGUGUGGUCCAUUGCAUAUAAAGCACGAAAGUAACCCUUGUUGUGUGGAAGAUCAUGGGUAGUUCCCCUGUUUUUGCUCAUUGUGGAAGUAGUGGGUGGGUUGGCAGUUUUGUAAUGGGUCAACUCCGAUUUUUCUGCUUGUCUCUCUCCUCUUGUUUGAAUAUGUAGGGCUUGUCAGAAAAUCCACCAACCUUUCGGAUAAGGCUAGUGCAGAUUGCAGAUCUCCAACGUUUUGCCUUCGUAAUUCUUGUCUCGCCCAAGGUUGUAAUCCCGCCAUGAAGCUAAAUAGCUUGUCUUCCUCCGCCAUGUUGUGGAUGUCAAGCAUCAAGGAACAAAACUCCUUGAUGUACUCCCUUAUGGCGGAAUCCAUUUUGAGAUUGCUCAAUGCUUCGCGAGCCAUCCAUGCCGACUUGCAAGGCAUGAAAUGACUUCGUAACUCCCUCUUUAGAGCAUCCCAAUUUUCAAGUAGGUGCUCGUCUUCAUUCUCCUCCGCGUCUUGCACUCUCAUUCUCCAUCAUAAUUUUGCAUCACCCUCAAGGUACAUUGAAGCCAUAGAGAGCUUUUUCCCCUUCCGCUAUGCGAGCAGUUUUGAAGUAUUGCCCGAUGUCCCAUAUGAAAUUUUCCAAGACUUUGGCAUUCCUCUCUCCAUUGAACAUCUUAGGCUCCGGGAACUUUUUGAAUGAUGCCGCCCUCCAUGUUGAGCCCGGCAUUGGCUGUAACGCUUUUCACCAAUGCCAUGUUCUCUUCUAUGUCCGUCAAUCUUGCUUUUACCACGUCCGAUAAAGCAUUUAAGUCUUGCAUCAUGUCAUAGAACUUGGUCUCCGCCUCGGUAACAUGCACCGUGAAUGCUUCUCGCAUCCUCCUUGUUUCAUUCUUCAACUCAUCAACUUGCAGUGAGAGACAAAUCGCUCCAUCACUUGUUGGAUAGCCGAGAAAAUCCUCGACUCGUGCAAUGCGGUCCUUCAAUGUGUCACCGGUCAUUUGCUAAAGCUUUAGACUUCUUCUCCCUUUUGUCUUUGACCGAAUAUCUAGCGACUCCCCUCCCUUUAUAAGUGCUUUAAAUGUGCACCCGUGCUUCAAUCCGCACCUUUUACUCUGCAACUUGCCCUUGGGUCCGCAAGGCAAUCUUUUGUCUUACUUGCUCCCUUCUUGUCCUUCAAUCGGAAUGUUGGUGUGGUUCUUUGACCCCCUUCUUUUGUACUUUCUCUAGUGCAUACUUCCGUCAGUCACUUGCACUUGGUGCUUCAAUUUGCCCCUUUGGUCCACAAUGCAACCUUUUGUCUUAAUUAUGUCCUUCGUGUCCUUGAAUUUGGACUUUAGAGUGUCAGACUCUGCUUUCACUCGUGUUUGUGUUGUAGUAUGUUUAGCCCCACCUAUACUUUACACCAAGCACUGCACACCCGAACCGAAUGUUAGGAUAUGAAGUACUUAAUUAAGUACUAAUGGAUAUUAAGUACUAAUUCCGAAAAUGAGGCAAAGUAUCGAGCAAUUGUAGCUCCGAUACCAAACUAUCACGAGCCUUGAGUACGUAGCGUAAUUUUUCUUGUCUCUUUUGUUUUCAAAAUAUUAUGCGAGGCUCCUCUGAACUUCGACCAGCCAACUCUAUCUCCCCAUACAACGUCUUGGUUCUGGUAGGCGAGGGCCUUAUCAUGCCAGGUUUGCAUUAUCUGUGUUCACACUUCACUUUUCUCCCUUCUCUCUUUUGUAUUGGAUUGCAAUCCUUUUUCAUACAAGUGUCUACCUUCUUUCUCACAAGUUUUGGGAUUCUCUAAUGCUCACAUACAUACAUAGUUUGUGGAACUAAGCAUUCCUUUUUUCAUUGAUAGAUGCAAACUACAAUUACAUGGAACUCUUCUUUGGCUUGUCAAGUCUAUUAGGCAAAGUCCAAAUCUAAGUUUACCUAUUAUGAGCUACGCCCUAUAUAUAAGCCUACUCGAGUUUGGAAGUUACAACCCAACUUCCCUUAGGUAUAUGUGGCAUUCAUACCUUAUUUUUAGGAGUAGUGGACAUCCCCCACUAUAUAGGUUUAUUAACCACUUUAGAUAACCACCAAGAUAUGCAUAACUUCUUUGCAAACUUCCCAACUUUUAUAGUUUUAGUGUUAGGUAACCGCCCACUAACUUGCAUGUUUUGUGGAGAUAACUUCCCACUAACUUUGUAACCGUCACGCACACGUGUGCACCCUAGAGUGCACCCGCACGCACCUUUCGUUGCAUCUUACCGAACACCUUGCCGAGCACCCUGCAGCGCACCUUCCUCGCACCUUUCUCGCACCUUUGUAGCACCUUGCCGAGCACACUUGUCAUGCACCCAGCAGUGCACCCUCUCAUGCAUCCUUCCGCACCCAACAACGCAUCCUACCGAGCACACUCAUCAUGCACCUACUAUGGGUUACACCUUAUAUAUAAGCCUACUCGAGUUUGGAAGUUACAACCCAACUUCCUUUAGGUAUAUGCGGCAUUCAUGCCUUAUUUUUAGGAGUAGUGGACAUCCCCCAUUAUAUAAGUUUAUUAACCACUUUAGAUAACCACCAAGAUAUGCAUAACUUCCUUACCAACUUUCUCACUUUUAGUGCUAGGUAACCGCCCACUAACUUGCAUGCUUUGUGGAGAUAAUUUCCCUCUAACUUUGAAACCGCCAUGCACACGUGUGAACCCUAGAGUGCACCCGCGUGCACCCUUCGUUGCAUCCUACCGAGCACCCUGUAACACACCUGCCUCGCACCCUUUUAGCACCCUGCAGAGCACACUUGUCAUGCACCCAGCAGUGCACCCUCUCAUGCAUUCUUCUGCACCCAACAACGCAUCCUAUCGAGCACACUCAUCAUGCACCUACUAUGGGUUACGCCUUAUAUAUAAGCCUACUCGAGUUUGGAAGUUAGAACCCAACUUCCUUUAGGUAUAUGCGGCAUUCAUGCCUUAUUUUUAGGAGUAGUGGACAUCCCCCAUUAUAUAAGUUUAUUAACCAUUUUAGAUAACCACCAAGAUAUGCAUAACUUCCUUACCAACUUCCCCACUUUAGUGCUAGGUAACCGCCCACUAACUUGCAUGCUUUGUGGAGAUAACUUCCCUCUAACUUUGUAACCGCCGUGCACACGUGUGAACCCUAGAGUGCACCCGCGCGCACCCUUCGUUGCAUCCUACCGAGCACCCUGCAACGCACCUUCCUCGCACCCUUGUAGCACCCUACCGAGCACACUUGUCAUGCACCCAGCAGUGCACUCUCUCAUGCAUCCUUCCGCUCCUAACAACACACCCUGCCGAGCACCCUCAUCAUGCACCCAACAUUGCACCAUGCCGAGCCCUUUGGAGUCCAUACCAACUUCCCACGUUUGGCUUGGAUUGUUGUCGUACAUCAACUUUCCCAUCCUACUUGUGCUUGUGUUUGCUUGUGCCUUCAUGCGUGUCGACAUAGUGCAAAGACAACUCAUGUCGCUCACCUUGCCGGCUAUGGGACUUUAGAGAUGUAACAAACCGCCCCCGUUUGAGUUUGGCGAUGCCCUUGUUGCCAAUGGUCUUGCGCUUCAUCCCUUGCUUGCUGCCCGCUUCUUUCUCCCACUUGGCUGCAUCAUCCUUGAUGCCCUUGUUGGCAUCAUAUACUUUCAAUGCCUUGGUAAACUCCUCCCAAGUUACCUUUUCUCCCUCCUUUAGCCUCGGCUGAUUGCCUUGAGUUUUUUCACCAAGGAUGUCGAAUAAUGACUCUUCGUUCAACUUUUCUAGUUCUCCCCAUGCAGGCCAAUUUGCUGCAGCAUCCUCCUUCUUUUGCUCAGUCCAAGUAGUAGUUUCCAAGCUCUUCUCGCUCUCGAGACUCUCUUCUUCUUCGUCAUCACUUAUGACGAUGACAUCCGGUAGAUUCAUGGCUCCCUUCUUCAUGUCUUCAUGCUUCUGACUGUUCAAGACCCAUUCAUACGCAUAUGCGUCCAUGACUCGCUUGGUCUCCUCAUAGAUUGCACUCCACCUUCGGAAAGGAGGAAACACGCUAAAGGUGAGCAUGUCUCUCCAUACUUUGGUGUAGAGCUCGAAUUUCUUUCCCUUCAAGUGCUCCUCCCACAUCUUCAUGGUCUGGCAGCAGAAAUAACUUCCGCCUCCUUAAUAGUGUAGGUUGAGAGCAGUGGAUCCUCGAAUGGCAUAAUCUCGUCGAUAAAAAGGAUGUCUCCUUCAACAAUGAGUGAGGACAUGAUGGUGUAGUUCCCAUAAUGGUAGGCAAAUAUAUCAACAUAGACAUCUAAAUCAGCAUACUUCAUAUCACCCUCCAAUGAUAAAGUAUUGUGUAGCACCAUCGAACUCAUGAUUGCCUCUGUUUCUUCUUGUGUUUCUUUUUCUUUGAGGUUGUUUGCAAUUGAAACUAGAGCACUCAAUGCUUGCUUUUGGCUACAGAAUUUCACCAAGUGUGGUCCAUUGCAUAUAAAGCACGAAAGUAACCCUUUGUUGUGUGGCAGAUCAUGGGUAGUGCCCAUGUUUUUGCUCAUUAUUGUGGAAAUAGUGGGUGGGUUGGCAGUUUUGUAACCGCCUCUCCCACUCUCCAGCCCCUUGACACGCCCUUGGAAUGAGUCAACUCCGAUUAUUCUGCUUAUCUCUCUCCUCUUGUCUAAAUAUGCAGGGCUUGUCCGAAAAUUGACUUGGAUACAAUUCACGCAAGCGAACGUAUCAUUGUCAAGAUAGGGAAGUAUAAGUGCCUAAGUUAUCGUACCACGGGGAUUAGUGGCUAACCCACAAUCCUAGGCUAAUCGAAACAAAAGUCACUAAUAAGCAAACAAAGAAAAAGAAAAAGAAAAAGAAAAUAAGGAAAUUGCUAAUCUAGGCACCAAGCCUUAGUAAUGCUCAGCUCUAGUUCUCACCAAAGCCUAAUCAAAACUAGAUGCCUAGUGACGGUUAUCUACAAUGAGUCAAAAUAUAAAAGGGAGAUGGAAUGAGGAGUUGACUAAAUUGACUACAAACAAAAUGAGAAAUAAACUACUAACUAAUGAACUAGAGAAUGAUGAGAACAUGGGAGUGUCGGGUGAUCCACACUAACUCAUAUGCAAACAUCGAUACCAAUUUCACAAAUGCAUAUCAUAUUGUGUCAAGUCCCGUAUCUAAUACCGGUUAAAGCUACUAGAUCAAUUAUCUUUUCGGUGUAUCGAUUAUGCCGGUUAAGGCCACAAUCGACCCUCUAACAUGGGCAUUACACCGGUUAAGGCUGUAACAUCCAAAUUAGAGGCCUAGAGUGCAAGAUAAUAGAGACACAAACAAGCUUAGCUACAAUCAAGCUAACUAAUGGUUACCACAAUUCAAAUCCUAAAUGCAUAAGACUAAUAAGUUGUCAAUUUAUCAAUCUAAUCAUCAAAUUGUCCACAACAUAAUCUCAAAGGGUGACAAAGCCUAGAAACAUGCCUCUAAGGACCAACACAUUCGGAUUCAAAGUAUACACAAUGAAAAUUGCAUUCAUUUCAAUUAAAGUACCAAUAUUUAUACAAAAUGAGUUUAGGGCUUCACAACCCUAACUCCCAAAAUUGAACUACUCACUACCCAUAAUCAAAUACAUUAUUCAAAGCAUAAAAAGAUAAUAAGGAAGAAAAUGGGAGAGCUAGAUUGGUCACUUAUAGCUAUAGGCUAGUAUGAACCCAAAUCAGUUUUUCACCCAACUAUCCAAUUGAUGAAGAGGUGGUGCUCUUGAUGAUGCCUUGAAAGCCUUGAGUGAGUCCUUCGAAUUCCCAAAGAAACUCUAUCUAAAUUAUGAAAUGAGAAAAGAGGAUGAGAAGGCGAAUUUGUCACAUCCCGACCCUUAAAUUUUUACCUUAUUUACUAACUUGGUUAUAAUAAGAAUUUUACCGUCUCCGUCAUUGAGGUAAUAGUUUAAUCGGUCCCUAGAGGUGUUUUGAGGGACGAUUAAUUUCGGGGAAUUAUUCGUAGGAGAAAAAUAUGACGACGGUAAAAAUGGUAAAUUUUAGCUAGUAAAAAGUAAUUUUUAUUCGGGGUGUUUUAUUUUUGGAAAUGGGUUGUAUAUAGGACUUGGACCGGGUAGGAGGCCCAAGCCUAUUUCUUCUUCUUCUCUCUUUUCUUUCUCUCUUCUCUCUCUCCCUCCCGAGCUCUCUCUCCCCCGCCGGUUUCCUCCGCUCAGCUCGCCGCCGUCCGGCCACCGUAGGCCGCCGCUCCGGUCCCGUUCGGUUGCCCUCCGACCCAGCUUCCAUUUUAGGCCGGUGAAGGCUGCCCUAGCGCCGCCAUGAAGGAGUUCUCCCGCCUAGAACCUCGGGCUGCCCAAAGUCCUCCAUCGCCGGAACUCCCUCCUCCGGCCACCAGUCUAGGCAAGCUUGGUACGGUUUUGAAGUCUCCAACCCAGCUGCCUUGCCCUAAAAGGGCUCACUCCGGUUCGCUUCAGGUAAGGAGAAAUUAGAGGUGGAAGUUUUAGGGUGUUUUAGAUGUUUUUGCUCGUUUGACCUAGUUAGUUUUAGAUUUUGGGUUUGUGCUAGUUAGGAAAGUUGUAGAGGGAGUGGAGAGGAAGCUACUGUUAAAAUUUGGUACGAUUUGGAGGUCGCCGGAAUCGGCCUCCGGCCGCCGCCGGCGCCGCCACUGUUUGGAAGAUUUUUAGGGUUUUAAAUUUAGAAUUCUAAGGAGCGUUUGUUGAAGUGAGUUAUAGAAUUUUUGGAUGAGUUUUGGAUAGGUUUAUGAAUUUCCGAAGUGUGGUAUUUUUGGCAGUUAAUUAAUGUAGAAUCCGGCCGUAGGAUUUAAGUCGUAUUUUUGGGGAGGUUGUAAUUACGGCUGCCGAGUAUGAUAUUUAAGUUCGGAUCGUUUCGAUUUAAGAAUAUCGAAGUUAGGCAAUGAUGAGCGUAGUUAUGGUUCUCGGUUAAUUUUGCCUAUUUUGUUUAAAUAUUGGAGUUUUAGUUGGGAAAUUAAUUUUAAAUUUGUGCCAGGGUUCGAGGAAACCUCAUUGGAGUGGCGAUUUGGAUUUCGUCGGGCUUAUGCCUAGAGUUGUGAGUGGACUUUUAUUUUAAAUAAUAUGCAUGCUAUGGUUUUGGUUGAACAUUUAAAAUUGUUAGAAUUUUGACGUCAUUUAAUUUUGACGCUUUUAUUUCUCUUGGAGAGUUACCGAAAAAUGGGAUUUUUCGGUGAGUAUAAAUAUGUAUAUUGAGGAGAGUAUGUAUAUAGAUGCUAGCUAGCCCUAUGUGUCUGUCCACUUUAAUGGCGUAGCAUAUAGCCGCAUUAUGGUGUGAUGUGAGCGUUGGACGCGAGCGUAGUAGCUCUAUAUAAGUGUUUAAUUCAUAUAGGGGGUAUGGACACAUAUUUAAACACCCGUCUGUCCAUCUUAAUGGCGUAGUGUAGCACCGCAUUAAGGCGUGACGUGAGCGUUGGACGCGAGCGUAGUAGCCCUAUAUAGACCCAUGAAUUUAUAUAGGGAGUAUGGACGUGUAUAAAUACAUACAUAUUUUAUAGAGCCUGAGAGGCUCGAUAUUUAUGAGAUAAAAGUUUUAUCGCUUGCAGCAUGCAUUCGAUUUUCCUUGGAAAUUGAUUUGGGGAAACAUAAAUAUUUUAUUCGUUAAUUUAUUUUUGUCCACUCACUCUAACGUGUUUCAAAUGUUUUCCCCUAGGCUCUUCGUUUUAAAAAUGCCCAGUUUGCAGGAUUGCAUAGUUGAGGUCGGGCGUACAUGGAGAUGAGGCAUAGUCAUCAUAUAGCUUCCGCUUGUUAAUUUAUUAUGUUUCCUUUCUUCCUGAUAGAGUUGCUCUGAACCUAAUAAUGGUUGGAUAUGAGAUUUGUUUAGAUUAGUAAAUAAUUUGGGUGGUGUUGUGAUUUGGGGAGCACGGAGGCUACAGGAGUUUAAGGUUGGAUUUAAAUUUUCAGAAGUGUUUGCAGGUAUUAUUAGGAAGGGUUGUCCAUUUUCAAGGGAGGUUACGCCGAUUUUUCGGUAAAUUUUCCUUGGAGGUGGUCCCCGCACGACUUACUCUAGGUUUUCAUGAUGAAAUUUGGGGCGGGUCGUGUCAGAAUUGGUGGGAGAAGGCAAAGCCCUUCCCUUCUUCAUUGUGCGGCUGCCUUCCAAGAUGAAGAGAGAAUGGUCUAAGUUGGUUCGGUGUGUGGCUAAGUUGAGAUGAGAGGGUUGAGGUGCCACGUGCACUUUCUAAUUGGCCACAAAAGGAAGGAGGAUGGGGUCUGAUGCACACGUGAUGAUGCUUUGACUUACAUAAUUGAGUAUAUAACCAAGUUAAUUAACCAACUCAAUGGUUAAUCAAUUAUUUGGUUAAUUAAUUAUUCUCUAAUUUUGUCAUUUUCUCGGAAUCACCAUUUUGCUCCAAUGUUGCACCAUUUUCUUCUGAAAUCCAAAUUUCCGCUUAGUUCCUACAAAUGAAUAAAAAUAGAAUAAAUUACAUAUUAAUUAAAAUAAAGAUUAGCUAAAUUCUAGUGUUUUAGUGGUAAUUACAUGUAUAAAAAUGCACGUAAUCAAAAAUCCACCAACCUUUCGGAUAAGGCUAGUGCAGAUUGCAAAUCUUCAACAUUCUGCCUUCGUAAUUAUUAUAUCGCCCAAGGUUGUAAUCCCGCCAUGAAGCUAAAUAGCUUAUCUUCUUCUGCCAUGUUAUGGAUGUUAAGUAUCAAGGAACAUAACUCCUUGAUGUACUCCCUUAUGGAGGAAUCCAUUUUCAAAUUCCUCAAUGCUUCGCGAGCCAUCCAUGCCGAGUUGGAAGGCAUGAACUGACUUCGUAACUCCCUCUUUAGAGCAUUCCAAUUUUCAAGUAAAUGCUCGUCCUCAUUCUCCUCUGCGUCUUGCACUCUUGUUCUCCACCAUAAUUUUGCAUCACCCUCAAGGUACAUUGAAGCCAUAGAGACUUUCUCCCAUUCUGGUAUGCGAGCAGUUUUGAAGUAUUGCUCGAUGUCCCAUAUGAAAUUUUCCAAGACUUUGGCAUUCCUCUCUCCAUUGAACAUCUUAGGCUCCGAGACUAAUUUUUCAUAUGAUGCCGCCCUCCAUGUUAAGCCCGGCAUUUGCUGUAGCGCUUUUCACCAAUGCAUGUUCUCUUCUAUGUCCGUCAAUCUUGCCUUUACCGUGUCCGAUAAAGCAUUUAAGUCUUGCAUCAUGUCAUGGAACUUGGUCUCCGCCUCAAUAACAUGCACCGUGAAUGCUUCUCGCAUCCUCCUUGUUUCAUUUUUCAACUCAUCAACUUGCAGUGAGAGACAAAUCGCUCCAUCAUUUGUUGGAUAGCCGAGAAAAACCUUGACUCAUGCAAUGCGGUCCUUCAAUAUGUUGCCAGUCAUUUACUAAAGCUUUAGACUUCUCCUUUUUGUCUUUGACCGAAUAUCUAGCGACUCCCCUCCUUUUAUAAGUGCUUUAAAUGUGCACCCGGUGCUUCAAUCCGCACCUUUUACUUUGCAACUCGCUCUUGGGUCCGCAAUGCAAUCUUUUGUCUUACUUGCGCCCUUCGUGUCCUUUAAUUGGACUAUGUUGGUGUGGUUCUUUAACCCCCUUCUUUUGUAUUUUCUUUGGUGCAUACUCCCGUCAGUCACUUGCACUUGGUGCUUCAAUUUGCACCUUUGGUCCGUAAUGCAACCUUUUAUCUUACUUGCAUCCUUCGUGUCCUUGAAUUUGGACUUUGGAGUGUCGGCCUCUGCUUUCACUCGUGCUUGUGUUGUAGUAUGUUAAGCCCCACCUAUACUUUACACCAAGCAUUGCACACCCAAACCGAAAAGGUGGCAAAGUAUCGAGCAAUUGUAGCUUUGAUGCCAAACUGUCACGGGCAUUGAGUACUCAGCGGAAUUUUUCUCGUCUCUUUUGUUUUUGCAACACUAUGCGAGGCUCCGUGAUGGCGACGAGGCUUCUCUGAACUUCGACCAGCCAACUCUAUCUCCCCAUACAACGCCUUGGUUCUGGUAGGCGAGGGCCUUAUCAAGCUAGGUCUACGUUAUCUGUGUGUACACUUCACACUUCACUCUUCUCCCGUCUCUCUUUUGUAUUGGAUUGCAAUCCUUUUUCACACAGGUGUGUACCUCCUUUCUCACAAGUUUUGGGAUUCUCUAAUACUCACAUGCAUACAUAGUUUGUGGAACUAGGCAUUCCUUUUUUCAUUGAUAGAAGCAAACUGCAAUUACAUGGAACUCUUCUUUGGUUUGCCAAGUCUAUUAGGCAAAGUUCAAAUCCAAGUUUACCUACUCUGGGCUACGCCCUAUAUAUAAGCCUACUCGAGUUUGGAAGUUACAACCCAACUUCCCUUAGGUAUAUAUGGCAUUAUACCUUAUUUCUAGGAGUAGUGAACAUCCCCCACUAUAUAAGUUUAUUAUUUACUUUAGACAACCAUCAAGAUAUGCAUAACUUCCUUGUCAACUAACCAUGAAAUCAAUAUCGAAAAAUGUUUGCACUAUCCGAUGAGCAUGGGAGAUUCUAUUGAGAAACGAGUUGCGAAGAUUGAGUGGCUCCUCAAUACUAAAUUAGCGAAUGAUUUGGUUAGUUUAUUUGCUCACAUCAAGUAUUUGAAGAAAGAGAUGAAGUUGAUGCAAAAGACGAGCGAGAUUUAUGAGGAAGAGCUCAAGGAGAAGAUGGAGACGUCCAUCCAAGAAAUUGAAGUCUUAUCGCAUGAGACAAAGGCAAGAGUUGAAACAUUUGACGCUAACAUUGACAUGCUAUUGCAUCCUAGCAGCAAUGGAGGCAGAGCAAACGCUGCUAAGUUCAAGGUGCCAAGAGAGAAAAUAUCAUCGUGGUAAAAUCAUUACAAGGAGGGGACGAGUUUGGACAAGAAUGAUGGCAAUUCAGACAAGGAAUGGAAGAAUCCAAUCUCUAAAGAAAAUAGUGGGAAAGUUGAGAAAAAGAAGGAGAAAAUCGUGAAACUAAGUGCACAAGGCGGUUAUAAGCAGAUGAAGAUAAGAGAAGACCAAUUCAACUCGAAGUACAACUCUCCACUAACCUAACUAACUCCCACAAGGAAAGGAAAACGUGGGGAUGAGUAUUUUAUCUGCAAAAGAGACCAUCUUACGUGGGACUGUUCAUUCAAGCAUUGUUUUAAGGAGUCCAACGCAGAUAAGAAGAAUUUCAACGUAGCUAAGGAGGAGAAAGUCGAAGAAAAUACUCAGAAAGCCAAGAUGUCACUGCUAAGUGUUGUUGUUGUCGAACCAAGGGAAGAGAAGUGGUGGAAGGGGUUCAAGGAAGCUCCGACUCAGUUGGAGAUGUUUAUGGACAUCCACAUCCAUCCGAAGGGGCAUGUAACAAUGAUUGCAUCACUCCACAAGCAUGGUGUUGCAACGCACAAGUUAAAGAGGCACGAUAUCGACAUCGAGGUGAAAGAGCUAUGUCUAGAAGAGAUCGAAAUCAUGGUGGUACAUAGAUGUAUCAGUCUAUGGGCGUCUAUACUACUGCAAAGCAAAUUCAGUUUGAGAUCAACGAUUUAUCAAAAGGAAGGAAGCACACAUGGCCAACCUAAGAGAAGGAGUUCGUUGUAUGCAAGGUUCAAAGAAGCACUUGAAGUCUAUGAUUUUACAUGGAUCAAGAUUGCUUCAUAUCAUGAGGAGAUGAAUGCCGAAGCCCAACCACAGCCACAAAAGGGAAUGGUGAUGCCGCUCGGAGAGAACGAGCAUGAGAUGAGAAAUCUGCCCAUAGGGGAAGAUCGAGGGGGAAUAAUGAAAGAUGCUUGGAUUAAUUUCCCAAGCACAAUGGAGGUAAUGAGGAAGGAGCUAGCCAAGGGAGAGGGCGAGCAAGAGGAUGUUGAGAUGCAAGACUUGGGAGGAUAUGUACCCAAGCAAGGCAUUGAAGGAACAACAGGUUGGUUCGACUUGGCUGCCAUGCAAAGGCAAGCAAGGUUGGACGACCUCGUGGACAAAGUGUGCGAUAAGUUGAGGUUCAAGGAGCAGAAUGCCCGAAUUGAUGAAGAAGCUUGUGCCUAUGAACAAGCAUAAGUGAACAUGCUGUGGGAGAAUCAUGCAUACAACGCGGGCUAGCGAGAAGGCGAAGAGAGUGACACCGAAUCCAUCAAUCAAACCCCAUUGACAACGAGGGCGUUGUCAAGAUCAAGUGGGGGUGGUUUGUCACACCCUUGAAAUCAACAAGGGAAAAUCCACUAAGUGUUGGUUAGUCUUGCACCAUACUUAGUCGGAUGAAGGGCAGCAGAGGUUGCCACGAAGCAAGAUGGAGGCGGCAAGGGUUCGAAGGCAGCAUCCAAGGGUCCCUGCAGCGUGCACCCUUACGGGUCUAGCAGGGUGUGUGGCAGAUCGGCACCCUAGGGCUCGGCAAGGUGCACACCUCAUCAGCACCUAUGGGUCCAGCAGAGUGUGUGGCAGAUUGGCACUCUAGGGCACUCCAGGGCUCGGCAGGGUGUACAGCUCACCAGCACCUACGGGUCCAGUAGGUUGUGUGGCAAAUAGACACCCCAGGGCUCGGCAGGAUGCGCAGUAGGGCUCAGCAAGGUGUGCGCAUCAUGCAUGCACCUCAGGGUUUAGUAGUGGGUCCAACAGGUUUGAGCACCUUCAUACACCUAAGGGUCGAGCCUCAUAUGAACCCAAGGGUUUAGUGGGUUGCAAGCUCGUCAAGAGCAAAAUGUGUGGAUGCGGAGUGCACACGCUGACGCGGUGACAAAACAGCCGUUAUGUGGAGGUUACCAAGGCCUAUCCAAAAGGUGGUUACCAAGUAGUGGGCAAUGGCAGUUACUUAAUGUUGCAGCCAUGAUCUGUUAGUGAGGAUCAUGAGAAGUUACUUCCCACUUUGGAUAAACAAUGUAGUGGGUAGCUACUUGCUUAAGUAGUGGGUAGUUAUUUACUAUCAUCCUAAGUCGGUUAAGGAUGUCAACCGUAAGAGUAUACUACUCUAUAAAUAGUAGUAGGCAAGUAACACUCAAACGAAGCUUCAAGUUCGGAGUUUUGUUGAGUUGCACUAGCCAAAGUCCUUUGUUAAGUAAGAGAUAUAUCUUUCUUGUAUUGAUGUCAUGGUUAGUUGUUAGUUUGUCAGCUGUGGGUGAUUUAAACUUGUGUUUGUGAACCCAUCAUUGGUUACUCAACAAGUAACGGAUCCUAACAUGGGUCAGAUUGGGGAGCUGGGGAAUGAUUUUUCCCUAGAGAGAAUUCUAUAUUAGGUAUGAAGUGACGUACCAUGUGCUUCAUAUGAUGUUGGGCAGUGAAUACUACGUAUCUAUCUAGAUUGACCGGGGAAGGUCGAGGAUGUAAUUCGUCACUCUAGUUUAGGGGAUUAUGAGUAUCAUGACUAUGAGACCCGGAUUCUCAUAUUUUUGUCGGUUUUUUGCACCCAUGGAACCUAGGGUCCUUGACUCAGAAGUUUCAGCAGGGAUCAAAUCAAAUGAUUGGAAGGGGUAGCUCCUUGUUUGCUACUUGUUGUGGUACAUGUCUUAACUAGAUCCUUGAGUUUCACGCAGGAGUUUUAGGUUUCUCGGAGAGCGAGGGCGACUAUAGGGAUUUCGAGAAAUGACAAAGGCAGUUGCUGAGAGUGGUCGUUAGGUUUUCCUACGGUGCAUGGUUAAACCCUUGUUGUUGACAUUUUGUUGUAGAGUGUCGUUGUUUUGUUAUCUUGAUUGAUACGUCUUUCUUCAGUGGGUGGUAGACAUUUUUUACCACUCUGAUUGUUUUUGCUUGUGUGAUAUGAUGUUAUAAUUUAUGUGUUGAUUGAUCGAGGCUUGGCCUUAGCUAAUCGUGAAUUUAGAAGUGGUUGAAAGUUUAUGAGUAGUGACGUAUGUAUUGUUGACGUUUGAAUGAGUCCUUUUUGUAGUAUUGUGAGGUCACCUUGUGAAUUGGUUGAGAUAUGACCUUAAUGGCUUUGUGUUAUGUAAUGUUGAGCAGUUAUUGAGUGAUGAUGCAUAUUCUAUAGCUCUAUGAAGGAUUUGUAUGGACUUGAUGACUUUGUGAUUUAUUGAAUUAGGAAGUGUAAGAGUUUGAUUUCUAUUGAGUGAUAAAUUUCUUAGUGGGUUGUGCUAUUGUUGUAGGUUUGUGUGGCGGCGCGUCCAGUAGGGGUUGGGAGGUCUGUAGUAUUUGUUACCUUGUGCUCGUCGAUACGAACACGUUGACAUGUCAUGAGGUUAUGUUAUGAUCAAGUAAUGCAUCCUAGGUUUAAGGUUAAGUUGAAAAUCGUGUAAGGCUGUUAAGCUAUGGUGUUCGAGCUUUGAAAAUCUCAUUAACUAUUUCAAUAGGUUGUUUGAGUGUUCUGAUGACCUUGGGAGGUCUUGGAAGAAGAUUGCUCCGCCUUGGGAAAAUCUUCGGGCAACGAUUAGUUCAAGGGUAUAAAGGUUAUCUUUUCGUUUUAAGUAGUCACUAAGGUUGUGAUGACAUCAUUUAGGUAAUUGACGUAGUUUGGUGGAGCUUGACCCUUGGACCUUCGGUGAAGACGCAGCGGGAUUAUAAGAUGAGUAAAUCUCACUUGGUUCAUAAUAGAACCGUAAUUGCUUUAUAGUUCAUUUAUCGUAAAAUUGUGAAAUUGUUUUCUUGGAAACAAGUUUUGGUUUAAAUCAUAUGAACUUGAUCGACUACAGUUCAUGGGUAAGUAAAAUGGGUUUUCAUAUAAAAAUGAUUUUAAGAGAUUUACGAAUAUGAACUAUAAGUUGUAAUAGUGGGGCGUAUGACUAUUGAUGUGGGUAUUUAUGCCUUGUUGAAGUGAAUGCAUUGUUGAUGUGAUGUUGUAAAUGGAGAUUUGUGUAUUCUGAUUGAUGUGUUGUGUGUUGUGUGUUGUCACUCUUUUUGGGAAUAGGUGAUAUCAUAUUGUGUUGAUAUAUUGUCAUUUAAGAAGACACAUUGUGUUGAUAUAUGUCAUUCUGAAUAGGUGUUAUCAUAUUGGUGUCGAGGUUGAGUCAAUUGAGACUUGUUUGAUGUUUCAAUUCUGAAGACUUGUGUCUUGGUGGUGAUUGUGUGUAUUAGUUGUGAGUGUGUGCCUUAGUGCUGAUUAGGUGCCUUAGUGGUGGUGACAGUAAAUCGAGAACCAAGCCUUGGUCGGGUGAUUGGUUACGGUCAGUUUAGAACUCUAGUUUGUCUAUUAAUAAUGUAUGGGGGAUGACUAUGUGUUGACGAACUCAUCAGUACGAGGUUAUGGUGUGUAUGGGGGAUGACUGUGUUAACGAAUCUAGAAGCACGUUUGUGAAUUGUGUCCUUGUGAGAUUUGACUUGCUAAAAUGUUGUUUUAAGAUGUGGUAUGAAGAAGAGAUAUAUGAUUUAUUUAUGAGUCGUUGAUUUUCCUUAUUUGCUUGCAUUUGAAAUUCUUUGCUUUUAGAAAACUCAUGAACUAUGUUUUCUGCGGGAGAUCCUAUAAUUUUAUUUGUGUGAUUUUAAACGGAGUUUCCUGAACUACACUAUUUGUAGGAUUCUUUCGAUCUUAUAUGAAUUAAGUAAUUUCCCGAACUAAAUUUUCAACGUAGGAAUUACCGGUUUUUAUCUUGAGUGAUUUUGUGGUUCGAGUCAUUUAAUUUAGAUUUACUCAUAUGAGCUUUAAAGCUUACCGGGUUCGUUUUUUCACAACCCGGUGUAUCAAUCUAUGGUGUAUGGUUUGAUCUUGCAGGUGAGGAUUUUCAGGAUUGAAACAUAAAGGUUUAGAAGCUCUUUUUGGAAAUGGAACUCUUUUUAUUAUUAUUGAACUGUUGAUUUGUAGUAAGCUCUUUAGAGCAUGACCUUUAUUUGAGAUCUCAAGUUAUGUAAACUUUAAAAUGUACGUAAUAUUUGACUCAAAGGGUUGGGUCUAUAUUGACAGUUUAAAAUUUGGUUUGGCGUUUUAGAUAAACGGUAAUGAUUUACAGAAUUUUGGAAUUUUGUGUGGUUAUCAUGCCUCGAAAUUGGAUUUUUAUUUAUCUAAAAUUCUAGGUGUGACACCAUACACCAAAGAGUAAGGUGUGGCAUUUGUAGCAGUUUGAUAUAUCUUUCUAUAUGCUCACAGUGCUUUCGCCCAUCUUCUCAUGCCAGUCUCUUCGUGACUUGCUGACGGUCUUCUUCAAGAUGUUGCAGAACGUCUUAUUAAAUGCCUCCACCAAACCAUUUGCUGGGGUAUUAUACAUCGAAGAAAAGUGUAGCUUGAAGUGAUACCUCUUGCUAAGUUUUUGCAUAGCACUAUUUGAGAAAUAAUUGGCAUUAUCUGUGAUGAUGCAACGUGGCACAUCAUACCGCUGAAUAAUACAUGUCUUGAUAAAGUCUACAACAAUCUCUUUCUUUAUCUCUUUAAGCAGUACCGCUUUGACCAUUUCGAGAAGGAAUUCGUGGCCGCCAAAAAGUACAUAUGACUGGCAGAGGAUUUUGGAUUAUAGGUCCCACAUCGUCCAUCCCCCAGACAUCAAACGGGUGUGAGGCAAUUGUAGGAUGCAAUGGUUCAGGCGGUUGAUGGAUGAAGUUCGUGUGGAAUUGACAAGCUUGACAUUUCUCUGUGUACACCAUGCAAUCUUUGACUAUUGUAGGCCAGUAAUACCCAAUUCGCCUCACUUAGAAGUGCAACUUAGGACCUGACUGAUGAGCUCCACACAAUCCCGAAUGAACUUCAUCCAUGGCUUUCGCUGCUUUUUCUUUUCCCAAGCACCUAAGGAGUAACCCAUUAAAUGAUCGUCGAUACAGAGUCUCCUUGUAGUAGAAAAAGCGUGGGGAUCUUUGUUUGGUAUCUUACUGUUGCUUCGGAUCAUCAGACAACUUGUUGUGUUCAAGAUAGUCGAUCAGAGGAUGCCUCCAAUCCUCAACGUCAAUAGCAUAGACGAACACAACAUUGGAACUUUCGUAUAAAGGCGCGAUCACUGUUGAUACCACCCAUCAUUGGCAAAUUGGUAGGUUUAUGAUUUCAUUAUUCGACAAUGCCAGAGUAGCUGCUAGGUUGGCCAAGGCGUCUGCCAUGUGAUUUUCCUUUCUUGGUCGAUGCACUAGUGUAACCACAUCAAAGCCCUUCAAGAGUUGUGUAGCGAGACGAAAGUAAGGAACUAAAUCCUCCUUCUUGACUUCAUAAUUAGUUAGCAAUUGAUCAAUUACUAACUUCGAAUCUUCGUACACUUCUAGAUUUGCAAUCUUCAUUUCUGAUGUUGUUUGCAACCCCAUGAUCAGAGCUUGGUAUUCCGCAACAUUGUUGGAGCACAAUUCACCAAGAGUGAAUGCAUAUGGCAAUAUUUGCCUUUGUGGGGUGACAAAGACAACGCUAGCCCCUACUCCAUCUACUCUCGAAGAUCCAUCGAAUAACAUCUUCCAAGUGGAGAGGACCUCCGCAAGAAAUACUUCCUCGUCUGGCAAGUCAUCUGAAAUCUCCCAAUCUACAAGAAUUGGGUGAUCCGUUAGAAAGUCAGCCACAACUUGGCCUUUGACUGCCUUGGCAGGUACAUAGACGAUGUCGUAUUGAUUAUGGAGCAGUGCCCAUUUUGUCAUUUGUCCUGAUAAGAUUGGUUUAGACAUGACAAAUUUGACUGGGUCAGCUCGUGCCACUAAAUGCACUGUGUAAGCUUGCAUGUAAUGCCUCAACUUUUGGAUGGCAAAGAUGAGAGCGAGAUAUGUCUUCUCUAUUGGAGAAUAAUUUAAUUCUGCACCUGUGAGAGUUUGACUUAAAUAGUACAAGGCCAUCUCCCAUGCCACCUCAUCUUUCUUGAGCUGUGAUGUAGAGAAUAAGAGGUUUCCCAUGAAUGAGUGCACCCAACACCAGAGGAUUAGCCAAUUACUUUUUUAUGCCUUCAAAAGCGUUGUGACAUACUUCAUCCCAUACGAAAGGCACAUUCUUCUUCAUGAGUUGACUUAAAGGUUGGCAUCGACCCGCGAGGAUUGAGAUGAAUGCGAGUUUUCCUUGGAGGCUUCUCAAUGCUUUUAAAUUUGUUGGCUCUGGCAUUUUUUGAAUGACCUUAAUCUUUGAUUGAUCUACUUCAAUGCCUCGAUACUUCACAAUAAAUCUAAGGAACUUGCCUAAACUCACACCAAAAGCGCAGUUCAAUGGGUUCAUUUUGAGUUGGUACUUGCGUAAUCUGUCGAACACUUUUCGUAAGUCUUGCAAGUGAUCACUUCUUUUUCUUGACUUGACAACCAAAUCAUCAAUAUAGCACUCGACGUACUUGUGAAGCAUGUCUCCAAAGAUUUUCUGCAUGGCGCGUUCGUACGUUGCACCAGCAUUCUUUAAUCCAAAUGGAAUGAUAUUGAAACAAUAAAUGCCUUUAGGAGUGCGAAAUGCAAUUAACUCCUCGUCUUCUAACGCCAUCCUUAUUUGGUUGUAGAUAGAUGAUCCAUCCAUGAAAGACAAAGCUUCAUGACCCGUGAUCGCAUCCACCAUGAGUUCGAUGAUAGGCAGAGGGAAGUCAUCUUUCGGACAUGCAUCAUUCAAGUCACGAAAGUCUACGCACACACGCAACUGUCCAUUCUUCUUUUCAACUACGACAAUGUUCGCAAUCCACUUGGGAUAUUGCACCUCUCUGAUGAAGCCUGCAGCGAUCAACUUGUUAACCUAUGUUUCAAUUUGGGUUUGCACCUCUGUUCAAAAAUGUCGUGUCAGUUACUUGAUGGGUCGAGCCUCCAAUUUAACAGUUAAUCAAUGACUGCUACCUUAGGGUCAAGACCUGGCAUUUCUUUGUAAGUCCAAGCGAAGACAUCUAUAUAUUCGAGCAACAAGUCAUAGUACUCCUUCUCUCCUUGGGGACUUAGUGAUGCGCUCACAAAUAUUGGUCUUGGGUCCUCCUCCUUCCCCAAUUGAGCUUCUUGAGUUCAUCAACUGUAGCUUUCACCCCAUCUUCAAGUUCUGGAGAAGCUGCCUCCACUUCAUAUUUGGAGCCCUUAUGGUCACCCUCUUCAUAAGCUUCCAUUUCCGUUAUUGUGAUGUGAUAAGCACAUUGAACUAUAUCACCCUCAUCGUCACUAGUACUAUCGCCUUUUUUGUCUUGACCAAUGAGUAUGAUGGUAUGUUGCUUCACUUUAAGUUAGUCAGUCGAAUUCACCUCUAACAUGCAACGUCUUUUCAUGUGUGAUGGGAUGAGACUUCGGAUUUCUUUAUUUUCUGAUUGACCAACGUCUUCUUUUCUUUUGCUCCCUUGUUGUUCUUUAGGCGCUUGGAUCUUUUCAAGUGCCAACUUUCGAGGAGUUGGCUUCACCUGUUUCCUUUCUUCGUUUGACUGUGACAACCUUUUAAACACAGAAGUUUGUGUAGCUAAGGUGUCAAGAUGAUUGAAGACUAACCUUCAACUUGUUGACCUAUCAACACGCUCAAACACCAAAACUCUGCUCAAGGCCGGCCCUGUGUGGGGAGGCUAUAGGCGAAGAACAUUUUGAGGCCCCAUAGUAAAAGGUCGUUAAAACAAAUCAAUAGAUAAAGAUCAUUUUCAUUAACUCAUUAUUUAUUUAUAUAUUUAAUGAUUAUGAAAAUAGCUAUAACUUGGUUAACAGAUCUUAUAAGAUUAAGGUAAUAUAAAAGAAUCGUAUCCAAUAAAAUUUAAAACAAUAUAGGGAGUCAAAUACUCAAACAAAAUUAAGGUGUAAAUAAAAGAUAUGAAACACAAGUGUAAACUAAAAGAAAGACAAAAAAAAUUAUAAAGAAAACAAUAAAAAUUAGACAUGAGAUGCUCGAACAUAGAACCUCUUGAAAGUUAACACAAAUGCCUACCACAAAAACAAAUUGAUUUGCAAUACAUGGUUGCACCAGAUGAUUUAUAUAUAGGGGCCCUUUGAAUUUGAGGCCCUAGACUUGAGCCUUGCCCGUCUUGCCCCAGGGCCGGCGUUGACUAUGCUUGUUGAUUCAGUAGUAGUACUUUGAGAACUUGGACAGAUGCGAUUGAAUGCCGAAGUGCGAGAGACAGAUUGAGUUUGUGGAACUUCAUCUUCUACUUCUUCGAUACUUAUAUAUUGCAUGCUUGCUUUCUCCGCUUUUCUUCUGCCUGAGAAUUUGAUUGACUUGCUUGGGACAAAACCAAGACCCGCCUUAGCCGAAUCACCUGUGUUUCCUUGUUCUCUUAACUUCUUUUGAGACUCAUUGAGCUCAUGUGCUUUCUUGCUGACACUUGAUCAUCCUCUUUACUUGACGAACCAAAAUUGAAUCCAGCCUUUGCCAACAGUUUGUAAGCAUUAGGGUCGAACCCUUUAUUUGUUCUUUUCAUGUAAAGGCCCGUGCUCUACCCUUCUUUGGGCUAGUUUGACAAACCCCUUCAAUGGUUGCUUGGUAGGAGUAUAGUCGUUCAACUCAAUAUCGACGCUUCCUUCAAUAAUUUUAUGUCCUCUUCACCCAACCUUCGAGGACUUAUUUGCUGCUUCACUCCCACAAACGGAGACUCUCCCUCGAUCCUUGCACUUGGACUUUGGCACAUAGCGAAUGACUGGAACAACUGGAUUGGACUUGUCUUUUGUAGCUGAUGCCACAGUUUCGGAUGAAGAUGACUCUUCAUUUCUCUUGCCUUUUGUUUCAAUUUCUUUCCUCAUCGCCUCUGUGGCCUUCCCUGUAGACGGUACUUUGACCGGAAGAACUUUUAUAACUGAUUCUUCAUCUGUAUAGAACUUGGAAUCCAUGAAGUAAGACUCGGCUUCAGUGAAUGACUUGAUAUCACCUACCACCGUUUUCACACCUCCACGAUAGAACUUGAAGCAUUGAUACAGAGUUGAAGAUAUGACACCAUUUUCAUGAACCCAUGGUCGCCCUAACAAUAUGUUGUAUGAAGUCUUUGCAUCGAUCACAUGGAACAAAUUGUUUGAUUUCAAUUCGCCAAUAACCAUGUCUAGCCGAAUCAUGCCUUUUUCUCUUUGCCCUCCUUGGUUAAACCUUGGAUCAUGAGACGAAUUUUAGACAACUCGUCGACAUUGAUGCUGAGUUGAGACAUUGUCGAUUUUGGAAGAAUGUUCACAACAUACCCUUCAUCUAUAAGCAUGCGAUUUAACUUUUGCUCUCACAUGUAACCUGUCACAAAAGAGGUCGAUUGUGCGGCUUUGAACCCAAUUGUAAAUCUUCAUCCGUGAAGUGAAUGGCGUCACAACAUGCUACGUAUGUCGUGCAUUUGUUGAUGUUCGAAGAAUGCUUGCCCAUAUUAAGCAGCAAUUGGACUAACGCACAUCUCGCUGAUUUGAACAGCUACAACAAGUCAGUGAGGCUAAGUUUUAGAGGUAAGUCUUCCCAUUGUUUCAACACUUCAUUUUCUUCUAAUCCUUCAUUUCUGUUGACUGUGUUUUCUUUAGCUUUCUCAGAAUCUUUGGAACCACCUUCAUAACUUGUUGUCAUUGAACUGGCUCUCAAACUCAUUCGCGCUUUAGGCAUGCACUUUGUUGGCGAGUUUUGAUUGAGGGACUUCUGUAUGCAAGGAGCGAUCUUCUCCUUCACACACCUUGUCUCAUUCUUCUCGAGCCAUCGACGACUCCCAUAUGGUUAUUUGUGUAACAUCCUGAAAUUUUGGUUUUCUAUUUUUAAUUGGAAAAUUAUUUUUCGAGAUAUUUUUAUUUCGAUUUCUAUUAUUAUUUCAAAUUCUUUGUGGCUCUCGAAAACUAUUCAAAUUUUUAGUUUAUCAAGUUUUGUCUUUCGAGCCCAUAGGAGUAAACUAGAUGUCGUUAAGAGUUCGUGGGAUUUUUUCAGAGCAUCGUUUGGACAUCGAAGCUAUUUUUAAUUAUUUUCGGAAGUUGAUUUUAUCCAAAAAUUUAAUUACAAAUAGGAUAUUUGCUGGCAUGAUCUGGACUGUUGGAUCUCUUAAGCCGCUAGAUUAGGCCAUCGAUUUGGGUAUGUAUAUACAGGGAUUAGUUUGGACUGGAUCAGUACAAGCUCAGACCGACUCGGUCUCGAGCUGCUCUGCAGCGACGGAGCUCAGCUCCUUCCUCCGUCGUCCGGCCGUCUCCAGGCGCAAAACCGAUGUCCACAGGUCCGUCUCAACGUCCCCGUCCUCAAGAUGUUCUUCGUUUUUGAAGAGGAGCUCCGGCGAGAGAGAAAAGAAGGAGAGAAGGCGAUUGUGUUUCCGAUCGGGUUUUCGAUUCCGACCACGACGGCGAGCGUGAAUGGUACUGGUAGCUUCGUCUUGCCAUCCUCGUUCUAUAUGUGGUCUCGAAAUCUUCAGAGGAGCCUUCAUGAGGGAGAAUCGAUUAAUUGAAGCACAGGAAGUUUCCCGGCGAGAGUUCGAUGUUUUCCGGUCACCGGCGAAGGCAAGUGAGGUAUCAAUCUUGAUCUUCUCGUCGAGCUUUACCUCUGUAUAUACUUUAAAUUGAGCUUGGUAGUGUUUGGAAGAAGUUGGAAUUUUAGCAGAAAGGACUGCCGUGAGUGCUGCUGUGUAUGGCGGUGGUAGGUGGUUGUUCUGGUAGUUUCUGAUUUUGUUAGUUUAUCGGUUAUGAAGGAGUAAAUUGAGAUGUUUGGAUUCGAGAAAUAGAGGAGUUAGGAAUUUGGAAGAUUAAAUUGUCAGCUGGGUUGGGCAGGAGUUUGGAAUUGCCAUACUGGGUUCUUUUGGUUUUAAUGUUGUCAAUUUGGUUAAGCUGUGUUGAUAAUAGUAGUUGAAAGUGGACUAUCAAAUUGGUGUUGGCGGAAUGGAGCAGAUGUCCAGUUGAUGGCUUUACUGUGCAAUUGCUAUUGUUAUAUUUGAUCAACUGAAAUGGAAGAAUUGGGUAUUUGGAAGGCUAAGUUUUGUUUGCUGGGUUGCUUAGGAAGUUUGAGAGCAGUACAAGACUUCAUAUGGUUUUGAAGUUUGGCAGUUUUAGUUACUGUGCUUGAAUUUCAAGUUGGAGAGGUGUGUUGACGAAUUGGGAAGUACGGCCAACUAUGAUGAUAUGAAAUAAUGUAUAAUGGUGAUUGUUGGACUUUUGUGUUAUAAUGGAAACUGCCGUAUAUGGAGACAUGUUCAUUGUGAAUAAGUCUACAAGUUACUUGUUAUGCGGGUGUAAAGGAGACGAGAAGAGUGAUCGUGAGUAAUAUAGGUAAGUUUUUUUUUUUUUUUUUUUUCUUCUUUCUUUCUUUUAAGUGAUCGUGAGUUAUAUAGGAAGUAAUUAAGAGGAUUUGGGUGUCUAUAGUGAAUUUGUAAUUGGAUGGGUGUCCUUGGUAAAUUUUAGAGAUUGAUAAUUUCAACUAGAAGAGAUUCACCUACUUUCUCGGAUUGAGGAUUUGGUACUAGGAUCGAAUGCGAAUAGUUGGAUUGCAGUUCCAAAAGCAGAAGGAUAAGGAUUUCAGAAGCAUGUCGUUGCGUUACAAAUUUUAGCUGGUGUCAUAACUAACAUUUGGAUUCCAGGUAGGGUUUCUCGGGGAACCUUUCUUUAAAUUGAUACUUAGGUUAUUAUCGAAAUCGGUGCAUUGUGUGGCAUUGGUUGAUAUAACUCUUGAAUGUUAUUGUUUUCGAUAUUAUUGAUAUCGUUGACUUUCAUGAUCGAUGUUAUCGCUUAUCAGAAAAGCAUGUAUUGAAUGUUAUGAUAUGAGUAUUGAUAUUCAUUGGCAUAUAUUACGCAUUGUGAGGAAACGUGAGAAUAGUAAGAAUGAUGAUUAUGGAGAGGAGAAUAAGAUUGAUAGAAUAAAUACAUUUUGUGUAGUUGAGUUUCCUCAUGGGUAGUCCUCGGGAUCUAUGAUUAGCCCACACGUGCACAAAUGCAGGGAAUGUAUGCCCUUUCGAUGGCGGACAUCGAUAAAACGAUCUUAUCGGGUUGUGAAUCGGGAAACCAUGAGUAUAACAAGAAAACUAACAAAAGAGGUACAGGUGGUGAGAUAUUACUGAUUGUUAGAUCAUAUAUUCGAGACAUAUGAGUCACCCCCGGUUGGUAAAAUAUACGGUAUGGGACGUGUAGGCUCACCUGUCUUUGAUGUAUGGACUGAUCAGCCAGUAAUCAAGGAAGUCAUUCAUUAGCAUACAUGUAUCAAAUUGUCGUUAUAUAUUUAAGGUAUUGUUUGAUUAUUUGAUAACUUGUUUAUGCGACAUAGUUAAGUAUAACUUAAAAAUGUUAGGUCCUACUGAGCGUAAGCUCACCCCUAUGAGUCUUGUUCAUGUUUGUAUGAGGACACGUGUUUCUAAAAGACUAACUGUGGCGUUAGCUUAUGUGUACAAGUGGUGAGAAGUACAGAAGAUUAGAAGUCAGUUAGACCUCAAGACCUAUUUUGCCUUUGUAAUUUGUUUCUGUUAUUGUAAACGUUUUAUUUUCUUUUAUUUAGAGAAAAGUAUUUGAAAUUGUUCUAUUUUCUUUUACUUUUCCCACUCACACCUCGGGUUCGACGUCAGGUGCUUGGAAACCAUCGACACCGGGUCGGAGGUGUGACAGUUUGCCAUUUGGCCGCGUGGGUGGUGGACUUGACAACACACUUUUGCACACUUUUCUUCGAGUGACAAGUAUCCAUCCUUCAUAAUCGUCGCAUAAGGCAGCUUUAAAAGUGAGGUUCACUUGCUGGAUUGGCUCCAUUUCCUCCAAUUUUUUUUAUCAUUGCUGGGGUCUCUUUUGAGAAAUGGUAUGGCGCUUUCAUUGGCGCAGAAGGUACUUGAACUAGCUCAAAAGACCUAAAUAAAAUGGUAGUGCAAUUGACCUCAACAACCUCACCAACAUCAAGCUCGAUUCUCCCUUGUCUGGCAAGUUUCAUGAUCAAAUUCUUUCAAAACACUUCUUGACGGGGUGGCUAAUGAUGCGAUGAAACUUGCAAUACUUCGGGUCGUUGACUCGAUGCAUUUCUUCUGAAGGAUUGCACUCUGGAAGUUCUAUCACCUUGUUUUCAAGCAAAUCCUCCAACAUGCCUGCUACGUCAGAAUCUGAGAACGGGUAAGUUUUUUGUUCUAACUCCAUCAAUGAGCGUUUUCUCUUCUCAUAGGUUUGUUAGUUCUACUUUCUUAGCCUCCUUGUCUUGUGUGGAGAUUUUGAUUGGAGCAACAUUCACACUCAUCGACUCCUUUGUGGGCCUUUUCAUAACCUUGUCAAAUUUGCUGCUGAAAACUUUAUCUUUUCGUUGGUCAAUGAUAAACUCUUUCUUUCCCUUGUGGCUGGCUAUGCUCAACUUUAUAUCAUGUGCUCGCGUAGCCAAUUCUUUAAAGGUUUGAGGCUCGAUACCUUGGAGAAUGUACAACAAAUCAAAGUACAUGACUUGGAUGCUCAUUUCAACUGCAGACAUUUCUGACAAGCGAUCUUUACAAUCAAGACUGAGCGAGCGCCACCUAUUAAUGAAGUCAAUUGCUGGUUCGUCCCUCCAUUGUUUUGUGUUGGUGAGUUCCAUCAUACUCACAGUACACCUUGUACUGUAGAAAUGGUUUAGGAAGUUGCGUUCCAUUUGGUCCCAACUGUCGAUAGACUCGGGUUCUAAGUCCGUGUACCACUCAAAGGUAUUGCAUUUCAAAGAGCGAACGAACUGUUUGACAAGGUGGUCACCCUCCAUCCCAGCGUGGUCACCCUCGGGUAAAAUUGACAUGUCAACAACGUAACAACUUGUCCUUAAUUGUAAAAUUUUGUCCUUAUAUGUGUAAGAUAAUGUGUAAAUGAUGUAUUUGUAAACUGAAAUUUGGUUAGUAACUAUAAUGUUAGACUCCAUUAAAAAAUAAAUUUAAUAAAAUUCAUGUAGAGAUGUAGAGUUUGGUAACUAAAUCAACUCGAUAAAAAAGGUAACUAAAUCAUCUAGAUGAGAAGAAUUUGGUAUAAUUAUUGCCUAAUUUGGAUUUGAGAAGAAUACAAUUGUAUUUUGACCUAAGGAUGAUAUGACAUGAUUUUUUAAAUUGAUUACGUGUUUAAGUGACAUAACAUGCUACAUAAGAUUAAGACCAUAAAUCUUAGGCCUUAUUAAAACCCUCUACACUACCCUAAAAACAAGUAACUGAAAACAAUAAAAUCUAGAUAAUGAUGAUGGUAGUCGUAAUAUGAACAGUCAUCAAUAAAAAUAACUUACGACAUAAUGAUUAUAGAGAUGGAAACGUUCAUGUUAUCAUGAUAUUUGUAACAAAUACUCGUAACUAAAACAAUUAUGUAAUAAUUAAUCACAAUUAUUGGGUGUCAAGAACACUGUUGUUGAUAGACUUAAAAUUCAUCGGAGUUAAGAACAUCGUUGUUGACCAUGUCAAAAAAAAACAUGUUUCACAUAUCUCCACAAAACAAAUUGUCGGUUGCGUCUUAUCAUUUGUCAAGAUGAUGACGAAAAAGGAAUUAUAUAUUUGACAUGAUCUUGCUCAUAUACCUUAUUGCCUAAUAUGAUGACAUCUCCAUGGUUGUUAACCGUGAGGGUAAAUUUCGGCAACAAGGACCUUGCUUAAGUAAUUCAUGCCAGAAAAAUCAAGACCUUCAAAGUCCAAUUUUAUUUUAUUUUAUUUUAUUUAUUUUUUUUUUUAAAGUAGCUUCAAGCUCAUAAUAUAUUUCAAUAUCAGAACAUUGAUUUUUGAUCUAAGUCAAUAAUAUACAUAUCACCUCCAACAAUAAAUUCAUAAAUCAUUAUUCAUGGUCUUAACUCUUAUGCAAUGACCUUGCACCAUAGAACACAUCAAUCAUCAUUGAUCCAAUUAUGUUCGUUUAGAAUUUCAUGUUCAUAAAAAAUAAAUAUCAAUAUCGAAACUUCAUAUUCGAAUCUAAUGAACAAUUAAUCACAUGUACAUGCACAAAACUUAAGAUUUAUGCAGACAAUUACAAUCACAAGUCUAAUGUAAUAUUGAACUUCAGGUUCAUAAUCUCGAAAAUAUAGGUUCAAGUAUUAUUAUUGAAACUUCAGGCUCACUAAUAUAAACAAUUGUAAAUAUAAAAUUAAGUAAUAUAAACAAACAUAUAUGUAGAAAAAUCAUGGAGAAUUAGAUAUUACAAAACAAGAGGAGAAAACUCAUAGAUCGUGGGUGUGGAUAAUAAGCAACAAAAGUUGCAUAAACAUCUUGUAGAUCAUUAUGGAGUUCAUGGACCGAAUGAGCAAAAAUGUGCUGAUAACGUGUUGUAAACUAAAUAAUUAGAUAGAAAGAAAAGAGAAAGACAAAAUGUAGGAAGAGAUAGACUAUUUUAUUCUCAUUAAAACUCUUUAUAUAAAAAUAAAAUUUACAUUGUAAGGACGUAGUUAAUAAGUAUUUACGUGGAUAACCGUAUAUAUUAAAAAAAAAAGAAAAAGAAAAAAAAAAAAAAGGAAUAUUAGCUUACCCAAACCUGUUAUCCCCGCGGAUGACAAAACAAGCAUGACCUUUUGAAAUGCGAGAGUAGAGUAGCCCACUUCUCCUUCUUCUUCUUGGAAGGUUUAGGGUUUAAGCUUAUCCUUAUCCGAUGAUUCUCCACACCACCUUCUCCGCUCCUUCUCUUUUCUCCUGCUGCUCUUCUUAUCGUGCCCUCAGGCUCCAUCCCUUUCUCUCCCCCAAACGACGCCGCUCCGUCACGCCCAGGCUCUUCACAGGUCACUCUUCUCUCUCAAUUUCUAACCUCCAUUUCUUGCUUUCUUCUUCUUCGUCCUCACGGCUCCUCCUUCCAUUUUCAGUUGUCGCCGCCGCCGCCGCCGAGAAUGGCGUCUUUACUUCUCCACAGACUUCCAAGUCCUUCGAUUUUGCUAACGAAGAGAGGAUUUACAGCUGGUGAGUUCAAUUCUGACCUACAUUUUCACAGUCGCGGAUUGCGAUUUUGAUGCGGAGUUGUGUGUGAUUGGUUAGGUGGGAGUCUCAGGGUUAUUUCAGGCCCAACUUCGACCGCGGAACUGAUCCUUUUGUGAUUUCAAUGCCGCCUCCAAAUGUGACCGGCUCGCUGCACAUGGGGCACGCCAUGUUCGUCACUCUUGAGGUACUUUUCUUGUGUUGUGCUAGCACAUUGAUCUUUUCUUGGUAUUGUGUUUGUUUGCUAAUUGCACAUAGUGGUGUGAGGCUGUACAUAAAUUAAUUAGUUGAGCCAAUAACCUGCUCUUGUUAGCGAAUUUCAAAGAAAUGAUUGCGACUAAAGGUAUAGACAGUUGAAAGCAAAGGUAAUUGUGCUGAAUGGUGAAAGUACUUGAACUUGAUUCGUGAAUGGUUUGUUUCAGUUAGACUUUGACUCCUUGAGCUCAGGGAACAUAUUCAUGAAUACGUUUUUGAGAGUAAUAAGGAAGAUCUGGAAUUAAUAGUGGAGACGAACAAUUUCUUCAGUAGUUUUUCCAUAUGCCUGGAUGACACAUUAUAUAUCCAAGACCAUUGAUCAAUUGGAUUCUAGUUUCAUCUUCAAUCUACAGAAUGUUACAACAUAACCAGCUAAAUCUAGCCUUUGAGAGAAAAGUACCAUGUAUUUUGAUGUUACCCCAUAUGGACCUCCUUAUGUUUCUGCAAGCUGAAAGGUAACCAAGUCUUCCACGACCUUUUAGGGGCACACAAUUGGAAAUUUUUGUGAUAUUUUGAUCCAAGGCUUAUAGAAGUAUUAAUUCGGUUGUUAUGACAUCCCAUAUUUCCAAUAGUCAGAUUUCGAAGACUUAGAUGGUUCAAGUGCUUGGAUGGCUCUUAUCUUUGUUCUCACAUAGAAUGCAAAGGAAGUGCUGUUCAUGUAUACGUACACUGCCCUUUAACAUUAGAGAUUAGGUGGAAAUUUACUAAUGAAGCUAGUUUAAGUUGGGUGAGGGUGAUACCAAGAAGGUGUUGCUAAUUGUUGAGCAUGCAGUUCAAAGUUCAGAGAAGAACGCGAACAUUGAUUUGGGGGAGGAUGAUGUUAGUGGCAGUUAUACGCAGUUGACAAAACAGAAAGAAUUUUUUAGGACUAUUGAGGGUGGGUGUUGAUGAAGUUUGGGCUGAGUUUAUUUGUGUUCUGCUCUUUGAGCCUUGGUCACUGUUAAAUUUAGGCAUUAUUCUUUGUCAGCACGACCCUUGGAUUGGGAUGCAGGCAUGCAGCAGUGUGUUGAGGCUUCAAUCUCUGUUCCACACUUGUUUGAUGAUGUUCUGUAGGGGAAGAAAGAACAGGGAAGCCGUGCCCCAAUGUGCAACUCAGCCUGUCUAUUUUGGAGAGAGACCUUGACAUCUGUGUCAGAAAUUCAGAUAGUGACCCUGAAAUUAUUAACUGUGCUGUAGUUUGUUGGAUUUGAUGAAUUCAUCUACUAUUAAAUAAUAUACCAGGAUUUAUAAAUUAUAUUUAUCAUUUACCUAUGUACCCGCAGAUUUCACAAUACAGUUUUAGUGCGAUAGAAAUUGUAGUUAUAUUUGUGGUGGCAUUAAUUUUCAGAUGGGUUCUCUAUCAUAAACUAUUGUAAUCUAAAAUUGGGUUGACAUAUGAGUUGCUCUUGACUUUUUUGUAUCUCUGGUGCAAAGAUAAAAGGAUGUCAGCAACAUUUGUUUAUGCUUAUAUAACCCAUAUCAGUUGCAUAAAAUCAAUCUUCCUAUAUAUCAACACAAUGUUUGCUGUACUAUCUGCUCUUGACUUUUUUGAACCUCUGGUGUAAAGAUAAAAGGAUGUCAGCAACAUUCGUUUAUGCUUAUAUAACCCAUAUCAGUUGCAUAAAAUCAGUCAUCCUAUAUAUCAACACAAUGUUUGCUGUACUAUCUUCUCUUUGUAGUUUUUGUGAUUCUCAGAUAAAUAGUUAAAAUCCAUACCCUAGUAAGAUUUCUACAAUUCGUAUUACUCUAAAAGUCUAAAUUCUAGAAACUACAAUAGUUCCUUAAGUAGUUUUUUGUUUUUAUUUUUAAUUUAUUUUUGAUCAUUUAUUCUUUUCUCACAUUAUGUUCUAGGACAUUAUGGUUAGAUAUCAUCGUAUGAAGGGAAGACCAACACUUUGGGUUCCUGGGACUGAUCAUGCUGGUAUAGCCACACAGGUAUGUCUCUGAACCAUAGCCCUACAUUAACUGAUUUUGCGUCUCUGAUCUCUUUCCUAAUAUGUUUUCAUAUCUAAUUUCACAAUUCAACCACUGGUUUUAAUGUUGCAACUUCCUUAAACUUGUCUUCUGUUGGGACUUUGGAUAAUAUGAUUGGGACUGGAAGGUGGUAGCUCAUUACUUGGUCUAGAAUAUAAGAGUAUCUUGUUUGAGGUUGUUUCCUUGUUGUCACAACUUCUUUUGAGUGAAUUUAUUAGCCCCAAGGUUUUUUUUAUCCCUUGUUUCAUGUGGUUUUCUUGUCCACUGCUUUGUAAUCUCUCCUUGGUCCUUGUUCUUAGAAAUAAAAUCUGGUUUCUUUUUAGAAUGAUAUUAUGUUUGGGGAUGAAUUACCUUAUACUUUUUGAUAGUUUAUUUUAUGUAAUGUGCUUUUUGUUUGUCAACUCCAAUCUAUAAAGUAUUUCAUGACUUCAUGGUAAUAAAAAGUUGUAUUAUUUUUGAAAUUUGUUACUCAUACUGUUAAUAUUUUUGUGCCAGUUGGUUGUGGAAAGAAUGCUUGCAUCAGAAGGAAUUAAAAGGGUUGACUUGGGUCGAGAAGAGUUUGUGAAAAGAGUUUGGGAGUGGAAAGAGAAGUAUACAUGCCUAUCUAUCUUACAGUGUUUAUUAUUUUUGCUAUAUAUGUUUCGAGUCAACUUUUGCAUAUGCUCAUUUUUUCUUACAUCAUAACUUUCCUUCUCUCUCUNNNNNNNNNNNNNNNNNNNNCUUCUCUCUCUCUCUCUCUCUCUCUCCUCCUCUCUCUCUCUCUCCCUCCUCUCUCUCUCACACACACUUUGACACACAAAUGCACACAAUGUCUCAAGUGUUCUCACAUAUAUUACAUUUGUUGUUGAGCUACAAAGAGAGAGAAAGAAAAACUAUUGUGUAGAUAUUAGGUGCUAUUUUGUAUUAUGCAAUCCUUUUAUUUCUAACUUCUAAGACAAAAUUGGUGUAUAGUAUAAACUGAGAUAGAUAAACUCUGGUCCUGACAUAUCUCCUAAACACACCUCUCUCUCAAGUCUAACAAAUCAAGUUAAAAUUUAUUUAUAAACUUCAUUUUCUUGACAGUGGGCUGCUCCAUGUAAUUGUUGUAAAAGAUUAGCUAAAUGCAAAUUCUCCUUCCAAAUGAUUAGACUUCAAUUAUUAUGAAAUCAUUUUCUUCUCUAUCAUCUUGCUUAAAGCAACCAACCACAAGAGUAAAAAGCGAAAGGAUCACCUCGUCAUAAAACCUACUGACCCCAAACUUCCCUCAAAGGUCUCCCUUUUUUUUUUUUUUCCGGAUCUCAAGCAGGCCACUGACUGUAGCUCUGAAGUUUUGUUAUCCAAAACAUAUCCAGAUAAUUCCUUUCAACUUGGUCAGAGGCUUUCUCAAAGUAUUCAUGCAUAUCUCAGUCUCCCCACCCUUCUUAGGUGGGACCAAAUACAAAAGUAGCACAUUUAUCGACAGUGUUCAGCAAGCUUGUCAUAUCUCAUCCUCUAGUGAAGUUUCUGCACAUUGCUUUUGUUUCUAUUGAUAAAAGAGAUAUAUAGAUGUUAAUCACUAUAUAUAUAUAUAUUUUUUUUCGUUCCAGUUUUCUACUUUUCUUACUGCUGUAAGAUCAGAGCCUAAUCUCAAAAAAAAAAAAAUCUUUGUUUCAAUGUAGUUCUUUAUAUUGACUUUGACUGACUGGGAGAUAUAAUAAUCUUCCAGUUAUUUGAAUAAAUUUACAUGUGUAGAGACAAGAUGAAUGGAGUAACUUACUGAAGAACUUUAAAUAUAUUUGGACUGUAUAUUAUAGUACAUGCAUACUAAAUCACAAAAUCCAAAAAUGCCAUCAAAGCACAUCCGAAACCUUAAACUAUUUAUGUUUAAAUAAUCUCAUUAAAUCAUUAUUCUCUAAUGAUACUUGUUAUGUCUAAUAGAUUAUUCAUAUUGAUCAGGUAUGGUGGAACGAUCACAAAUCAGAUCAAAAGGCUUGGUGCUUCUUGUGAUUGGAAGAGGGAGCAUUUCACCCUUGAUGAACAGCUAAGUCGUAAGGCAUUUUUCUAUCUGGUAGAACUCCAGUCAGUAAAAAAAAGUAACUAUAGGAUACUUUACAACACUGUUGUUGUGGCCAUGUGAUGUAAAGCAGAGGGUUUAUUGAUGCCUAAGGAAGUGCAUAAAAUUGAGUCAGUGUCCUCAGUCUUUUAUCCUCCCCAUGAGCCUUAACUAUAGUUUAAGGUAAUCAAUGACAAAUCUUGGUAAAUAAGCCAAAGUUGUCAGGAUUUUCUAGGGACUAUUCAAUUAAAGCGGUCCUGAAGGUUCCUAUUGUUUAAGCAUGUCCUGAUUAUGCUGUAACAACAAACAUUUAGAGAAAUAUCUUCAGUCUUUAUCAGAAUUCAGUAGGUACUUUUGUCCGUUCUAGAAUUUUAUCAAGUUACAAGAGGUUUUCAUGGUGUUUGGAGCAUACUUCGUUAGUAGUAUUUGCAUUUUAUUGAGAUUAGGUGAUAGCACAGCUAUACUUUUGGUGAUGUGGAUUGAAUAGCAGAGGAACAUUAAAAAAGCUAACAAUCAACCAGCUAGAGUUAAGAAGUUGAGGUCAACAACCUGGGAACCCUAAAGUACAUCCUGGGUUUUAAAAUUUGUCAUUGAUUUACAUCAUAGUAGGCUGCAAACCAGUUGAUACACCUAUUAAACAUGAUCAUAAGGUGGCAGCAAAUACCGAUGACAUGUCGGUAGAUCAAUGCUACCAAAGAUUUGUGGAAAAGCGAAUAUAUAAACUCAUUUUGGAAGAUCGUAUGGAUCAUUUGAUCUGGGUUUCUCAUAAAACUAUGCAGUCAUAUUUCUAAGCAACAACUCACAGAAUUCAUGAAAGGCAGUUUAAAGUCAUUGUUGGAAAAUCUUGUGAGUACCUAGGUUCAAUUAAACUCGACAGUAGCAACAAAGCGGCUAUAUGUGUCCUGUCCAUAAUCCAGUUCAACAUGAUAGUACUGAACUGGAGGAGUAUCAAGAGAAACUAAACGCUGGCUUGAUAAAGUAGUAUGAGGUUCACAUCCAAAACCAAUUGGAAAUGGAUGGAGUGACCCAAACCCUUAUAAACCCAUAGGCAAGUCUCAUAUUCCUGACGUGGGAUUGAUAUCUCAACAUGGCUUAGUAUGCCCUUUGUUAAAAGAAAGCCAGUUGGCUGAUAUCCUCAAACCUACCAAAGGACUUUCCAGUAACUCCUCUCUGGUCCUUUAUAAUGUGAACUUGUUUUUCUUUCUUAAAUAACCGUAUUAUAAUAGGUGAAACUGUAUUAUUAAGAAAAUGCAUAAAUCUCUCAAGGCUCAUAUUCUUUUACUCUUUGCAGGAGCUGUUGUUGAAGCCUUUGUUAGACUUCAUGAGAAAGGCUUAAUCUAUCAAGGUAUAACCCUAAGAACCAUUCAAAAUUGUUAUUCCCUACUCUGAAAAACAUGGUGGCAUACAAUUGCAUAUAGAAUACAUGACUAACUAUUGUUGGAUAGUUGUCUUUGUUUGUGCGAAUUUGAAAGAAUUGAACUUAAAUAUAGAGUAGAAUAUUGAUAUAUAUAUAUAUAUAUAUUUUAUGUUUCCCCUCAAGGAUCUUACAUGGUGAAUUGGUCUCCUAGUCUACAAACUGCUGUUUCUGAUUUGGUGAGUUACUUCUUGUCUCAUGUACGUUAUCUUACAGAGCUUUUCUUUAGCAUCACAAUAUUUAACGUGAGCCCUUAACUUUGUGACCAGGAAGUAGAAUAUCAUGAAGAAUCCGGUAGUCUUUAUUAUAUUAAGUAUCGUGUUGCUGGAGGCUCAAAGUAAUUCCAGCUGACCACUUGUGACUCGUUAUGAUUUUUUAAUUGUCUUUAUCUUAUGGAUUAUUUAAAGCUUAUACUUCCUAUUGUGCCAGUACAAUAAUAUAUUUUAUGAUGUUUUAGAUGGCUGCAACUUUACUGCAAUGAUUAUGUGUUAGUGGAUUGAUUGGCUAAUGGCCUACCUCUAAUUGGUAAUUUUGAUGCAUAAUGAUGAUUUAUAUGGCAUUUGUGAAUAGCAUAAUUCCUAAAAAUGUGUAUUGCAGUGAAACAUUAUUUGUCAACUGUGUGAUAUUGUUUGGUCCAAAAUCAAUAAUGGUUGAUUCAACAAUGAAACUGAUGCUAUGAGUAACCAACUUAAUUUAGUUCAUGCAUUAUUCUCCUGAACACCUUUACAUGAUUUUCACACCAUACUAUGUUCCAUGUCUGCUUGUGUGUGAUGAGUGUCAGUUAUAUGCUUGAAGUGCCACAACAUUUUAUGAGGGUCAUUAUGCAUUCAGUUUGACUGAUACCUCCUAUUUUUGUAGGACUGACUUUCUGACAAUAGCAACAACUCGCCCGGAGACUUUAUUUGGUGAUGUAGCUAUUGCUGUGCAUCCUGAGGUAUAGUAACUUCACAUUCAUUUCUUGGCUUGCUUUAAUAUUUAAGUGGUGGAUUGCCCAGGUGCUGACAAUUUUACAUGGUAAAGUUUAAGAAACUUGCACCAGUACUUAGUGACUGUUACUUUUAUUGUUAAUGUUUCUGAGAAGGACAGGAUUAAAUAUUUUUGAUUGCAUCUCUGAUCUUUCAGGAUCAAGAUGUAUCUCCCUAAUUUAUCAUAAAACAUGUAUCUUCAUUUUAAAGAAGAAUAACAGCUACAGGAUCAAGAUGGUUUGAAAAUGUUUCUUUUUUUUUUUCAUUGUAAACGUACAUGAUGAAUCUUGUAAGUUAUGUUGCUUCAAGCUUAAGCUAUAGAUUUAGUACACAGUAACCUUUAUAUUCUGAACUCGUAAUGCUCAUAGCUGUUGGUUGGAAAAUAUAUUUGACUAAUUUUUCAGCAGAGUCCUGCAUAGUUACCUUUAUAUUCUACACUGGGAUGACAUAUAUAAUCAUAUAAGUAAUGUUGGUUCAUACUUGAGAUUCAGUACAUAGUUACCUUUCUAGCCUGAACUGUAAUGCUAUCAUAGCUGUUUUUUUGAAGAAUUAUAUGACUAAAUUUUUAGCAGUGUUCUCCAUCCUAGUGGAAAUAUUGUCAUGUCCAUGCAAAAUCUGGAAACUGUUUAUUUAUUAUCUAUCCAAUUUUUUGUUUUCUUUUUCUGUCAUGCAGGAUGAACGAUAUUCUAAAUACAUCAAUAGAAUGGCUAUAGUGCCUAUGACAUAUGGUCGCCACGUCCCUAUCAUCGCUGACAAGGUACACCUUGUAGUACUAAAUAGCACUCUUUAAUAGUAAUGUCUGGGGCAGUGUUUAGAGUGUGGGGGCUUAUAUAGAAGCACACAGAUAAAGCAGUGAUCAAAUUGUUGGUCGAAGGCUCUAAGUCUUCAUUGUAAUGUAUAACGUCUCAGGACUAUACAUAUUUGUAAUCUUAAUUGAAAUGGCCAUAUACUAUUUGUUAAAUCACUAUCCUUUAGUCUCAUCACAUAUAAUGCCAGGUAAACGAAUUGAUAUGUAACAAUUGAUUAAUUUCUAAUCUAACAGCUGGUUGAGAAAGAGUUUGGCACCGGCGUGUUAAAGAUAAGUCCCGGACAUGAUCAUAAUGAUUACAACCUUGCAAGAAAGCUUGGUCUUCCAAUACUAAAUGUUAUGAACAAGGAUGGCACACUUAACAAAGUUGCAGGACUAUACUGGUAAAUGGUGCAUCACUUUGGUCAAGUCCUUGAGGAUAUGGAGAAAAGCUUCUUUAUUGUCUUUUAAUUUUUAUCUUUUAUUUGGCAUGAUGUAUGUGAUGCGACAAUUGUUGUCCUGCAGUGGCCUUGAUCGGUUUGAGGCCCGAAAGAAACUUUGGGCGGAUCUGGAGGAGACAGGAUUGGCUGUAAAGAAAGAACCACAUACCUUACGAGUUCCCAGAUCUCAGCGUGGUGGAGAAGUGAGUUGAUUGUUUUCCCUUUGGUGUGUCGGCGUCCAAAUAAAAUUGUAAAAUGUUUGCUUUACCUUCAUUGUUGUACUGUAUUUCCUUUCCUUUGUCUUAAUAAUUUUUUUUCGGUCUCAGGUGAUAGAGCCACUAGUAAGCAAGCAGUGGUUUGUAACAAUGGAGCCCUUAGCUGAGAAAGCCCUACAAGCAGUUGAAAAAGGAGAUCUGAAAAUUAUACCUGAAAGAUUUGACAAGGUAUGUAAAUUUGUGUAUACCUUAUAUUAACUCCAGUAGGACCUGAUAUACACAAACGUUUGAAAAAAAGAACUAGAAAGAUAAUACAUUUCGUAAACCUUUUCAUUGACCUUUUCAUUGACCUUAUAUGUGCUUUUGUAGAGAGCAGAAAGAGAGGUUUCCUAUCUUUUGUAUUGAAACUUAUCAACAAAAUAAGCUUUUGAAGUUGGUCCCUUGUUUUCUAUACCUAUUACUUAUAUAUUAAUGUUCUAUCUUUAUUAUUUUUGACUGUUUUCAGGUUAGUCUUAAAACAUUCAUGUUUUGUUCUCGUGUCAUGUUGUAUGCAGAUAUGCAGUAUGUGGUUUUUUGGUGUUGAAUUGUCCUUUUUGUUUUCUCAGUUACAAUUUGUUACCCACCAAGUCUCAGCCACAAAUUUGGUAAUAAUUUGUCAUUUUGAUUGAGGAAUAAUAAUAAAAUAAAGUUGUGGGCUUGUGGCUAACAAAAAAAUUGCCACCAAAUAGUUGUGUAUGGUUGACAUUACAAAUUGUUGAACCAAAAAAAAAAAAGGAAAGAAAGGAUAAUAACAACAAUCACGACUAACCAACAUUUCCAAGUGUCAUUGGAGCGAGCCAAUGUUCCUAGGAGUCGUUGGCUUAAGUUGUCCUCGACACAAAUUUUAUUUGUAAGAGCCAUUAGACUUGAGGGGUCGUUUGUUUGGUCCGCAAGAGUAUAGUGGACCUUUUUUGUUUUUUAUACUAUCCUGGAUUCCUGAGGUUGGGCUAAAGCUACACUAAUUAGUGCUGCAUUUGGUAUAGUUAAGUAAACCUAGGUUCUAGUUUCUACCCUUUUCUUUAUAAUUUCUUCUUUCUUAGUUCUGUUGCUUUUAAGAGAAGUUUACAGCCCAGAAAAUUUCUAGAGGCAAUCAAAGGUCCACAACAUGUUUCAUUCUAUAGCCAUUGAGUCAUAUCAAUCCGAUUUCUCUACCUUCAUCGCUCCCACCUACUUAUGGAACCUGCAACCCAAAUUAUACACCCGUAAUAAGUAUCUUUCUUUACUUUCAGGUCACCUAUGGCAAUACACAAUACCCAAUUCCACAAAAUUCUAAAUAUAUUCAAAUUCAUCCUGGGCUAAGCCUCCUAAUUAAUUCUGCAAUACCCAAUAAUACAAAAUUCCAAAUCAGUUGCAUUUUCUCUUAUUCAUCACUUUCAUGCAGUACUCAGACAUACAUCAACCAAAUCUUAAAAUUCCCACGAAUCAAUUCAGAUUGUUUUUGUAUGUGAGAUCACUGCAUGCAAGACCGAGAGCAAGGUAGUGAAUCGAUGAGGAAAGAAGAAGCACGAUGAGGGAGGACAAGGAGUGACGAGGAUGCUAGGACCACUGUCGAGAAAGUGACAAACUGACAUUGAUGAAGACAGAAAGCAGGGGUUAACUAGAGAUGUCAAAACAGAGUACUCAAUUUAACAAAACCUGAUGCUGGAAAGGGAAGCAGGCGGUAUCUAGUACCAUAUACUUUUAUACCCAUUGUCCAAACUCAACUCGAACCAAUUAAGACCUCCUAUUUAACAUAAGGCCACUUAGUCCUGACAAACAAUGUACCCUAAGACUUUAGGGUAAUUAGAAGAGUCAUUGUGGCUUGAAUAUGACUCGAACCAAAGUUACAUAUUAAAGACUUGUUGGUUUAAGCCGCACAGUCCAUCUCAACAUUUCCUUUUGAAAAGAGUAGUUGGGUUAAACCUUAGAGUCAUUGGCCUAAACUGACACACACAGAUAUGUGUGUGUGUGUGUGUGUGUGUAUUUGUUUUUUGUUCAAUUAAUUUAAAUUUACAGAGUGCAUAGGCUCAUCUUCUUUUUGUGCCUAUGUGGUUAGUAUCGUGUCCCUGAAAGUCUCAAUGGGCCAGAUUUGUAUUUUUCCCCUCCAUGGCAUGGAUAUCUAUGCUAUGCGGGUCCUUUUUUAUUUUAUGUUUUGUAUCGUAUGCCAUUACCAUUUCAGUACUUGACUGCACUAAUGGAAUGAGUUAUCAUCCCAAUUACUAAUUUUUUACUUACACUAAUGCCAUAUAUUGAACAACAGAUUUAUAAUCACUGGCUAUCAAAUAUCAAGGAUUGGUGCAUAAGCAGACAACUAUGGUGGGGACACCGCAUACCAGUUUGGUACAUUGUGGGUAAAGAUUGUGAAGAGGAAUAUAUAGUUGCAAGGAGUUUUGAAGAAGCUCUUGGUAAAGCUCAAGAAAAGUAUGGAAGAGAUGCAAAAAUAUAUCAGGAUCCAGACGUUCUUGAUACUUGGUUUUCAAGGUUUGUUAUUAUUAUUAUUUUUUUUUAAAUUUUUUAUGGGAAGCCAAUGAAGUGUUUCUCCUGUAAACACUUCUAUCAUGAUCCCGCUUCACUUUUUUAUUGUCAGGAAAUCUGUCUAAUUAGUUAUUACAUAUUAGGUCAUCCAAUUCUUUCCAUCACUAUUAAGGUGUGUUAUUUAGUCACCAAAUAGAAUAUGUUAGUUGCACUGAACGAUGUUCCAAAGAUUCUAUUUUUAGCUGGUUUGAGAUUAUAAUCUUAUACACUUGUUAAGAGAACUAAAUUGAAGGUGGAAACUGAGAAGGCUUCCAUGUGUUACUCAAUAGAUCUUCCCUGUGAAUUGCUGAUAUCUGGAUAUAAUCAAGAACCUUAAAUAAAAGAUAGACAGGGAAACUUUUUGCAGCAGUUAUGUUAUAUUGGAUCCCUGAUCAGGCAUAAUAAGGAAAUUAAUACCAAAGAUGUAAAAAAAAUUAUAAAAUAGCUGAUCAUCAGAAAGGAAAAUCUUGGUAAGCUAAAACAUUGAUACAAAAGUAAACCAAUUUUUGGUUCAGUUGUUUGAAGGGAAUAUAUACCGAUGCUAUAGUUUGUCUGUACUUCUGAAGCUACUUGUACCUCAUUCAAUAUUGUUUCUUUCCUAUUAAUGCAAUAAUCUAGUAGAUGCCAAGUAAUUUGCUGACCAUGAAUUAUAUUUUUCCCUUCUCAGUGCACUUUGGCCUUUCAGUACUCUUGGGUGGCCGGAUGAGUCAACAGAGGAUUUUAGACGCUUUUAUCCUACAUCAAUGCUGGAAACUGGGUAUGUGUGAUCACAUAAAUUUUUUCAUCCUUUUUGUUCAUAUAUGGCUGCCAUUUACCAUAAAGCUAAAAAUUUAUUCCCAGAUAAGGAAGGCCAGAUUGUCUGGCUAAACUGACUAUUUUUAUUAAUGUUUCCCCAAUGGAAUGUUUGUGAGAAGGAUUUUCUUUCCAGAUGGUAUAUCCUAUGGAAGCGUUUAUUAAUAACAUGUGGUCCUAGUUUUGAAAAUGAUGCUAAUGCAUGCCCCAACUUGUUGUCAGCUUUAUGAGCUGCUAUUUGGUAGAAUUGAGAAACUGAAGUCUUUGUAUAUUUUGCCGGACUAAGGGGGAGUUGCAGUAUCUGUCAUUAUGAAGUUUUGUGUGCUGCUAGCAAAUUGUAUUUAUGUAGCUUUCUGUGCCUUCGUUUCUGUUGGAUGUUCCUUUCUGCUGAAUUUCUUGUCCACUUUUAUUGUAUCAUUUAUUGUGAUUAAUAAAAUUUGUUUUCAUUUUUCAAGAAAAUAAAAUUAAAAAACAUAUAAAAAUAUGAUGUACAUGUCAUUUUAUAUUCCUGGUGCCUAAAUAUCAUUAUUUGGCACCAUUCAAAAAUUCUGAAAGGCUUUUUGUACUAUAGUUAAUAUUUGUCAUGAAGUUUACUGUCGUUGAAAGUUGUAGAAGUUGAAAUUGUUGUUUGCAUGUUGAACAGGCAUGACAUAUUAUUCUUUUGGGUUGCGAGGAUGGUGAUGAUGGGAAUUGAGUUCACUGGGACGGUUCCUUUUUCAUAUAUUUAUCUACAUGGUCUCAUCAGAGAUCCAGAGGUAAGUAAAAUUUCAAAUUGUUGAUACUAUAUUUGAAUUUAUCUUUAUAUAUUUUUUCCUUUGAAAGAAUUUAUUCCCAUCCUCUCUCAUGUGUCCGUGUGACCAUCUUCAAACUUGGUAAUGAAAUUCUGUUACUAAAAUAUCACUAAUUCGUGGUUUCAUGAUUCAUGCGUGAAUUUUACCUCUCGACUGCUGAUGUGUUUUCUUUCUUUCUCUACAUUCCAAUUCUUUUCCAACUUAAAUUUUUGAAAAAACACUAAUUACUUUUCAACAUCUGGAUAUGUAUACAUGUAGUUUGGUGUUAGAUCUGCAAAAUCAAUGAAUUAUCAACCACCUUUGUGUUACAUUUGAGAUGAAUGGAAGUUGUGGACUUAUUUUUGCACCAGCCUAUAGUCAAUUGCUUUGUACUCAAAUGAGAUUCGGGAAUGUUUAUAGAUUUGUACAUGAAGUUAUUUAAUAGAUUCUGGAUAUGUAUACAUGUAGUUUGGUGUUAGAUCUGCAAAAUCAAUGAAUUUAUCAACCACCUUUCUGUUACAUUUUAGAUGAAUGGAAGUCGUGGAGUUAUUUUUGCACCAGCCUAUAGUCAAUUGCUUUGUACUCAAAUGAUAUUCGGGAAUGUUUAUAGAUUCGGGAACGCAGAGGUGUAUUAGCAGACAAAAGAUUCCCUUUCAUAAAAACCUGCAGUUUCUAAAACCCAGAAACCAGAACAGAUAGGUUUCACCUACGGACCACUGCUUCAAUAUGAUAGUAAGGCUCUUCCGCUGAGCACAGCUGUAACCCAUUCUCAUCAUCUUUUAUAAGUCAAGUAAUCAAACUUAUAAGUCCUUAGUAGGCAUUGAAAAAGAACCUGUGGCGCUUGGGUCGGGUUCGGUGAACCAAAGGGAAUAGGAAUGGACCGAAUGAUGGAUUGCGACUGGUUCGGAUGCAAGAGAGCGGUGAAAAGCUUUGCCUAAUAAACAAAAACAACAACCAGAAAGAAAUAUUAUUUGAUCAUGGAAAUGCCGGAGUUCCCCAUGCUCCAAUCACCUGCACUUAGUUCCUCUUGACUACGGGAACGUGAGUAGCAGAUGCUUAAUUUAUGGAUGACUAGAUGACGAGGCGGAUGAAGUCGAAGGCGAAGCAGUGGAUUGCCACAACCUAGAUGGCGAGAGUCGAGUAGCCGAAAGCAGUCCUGCACUGAUUACUAUCUGGACAAAAUUAUCAUGACUCAUAUGUGUAGGAUGACUACUUCACAUAUUUUAUGUUCACUUAAUGUCUUACGUGUGUUUCUCUAUAGAUAUGUGGAUGGUCCCUCAGUUGCCACAACCUUGUUUGUUGUUUGAGGGUAUCUUUAAUGUAAUGCAUCUGUAGUUUUUAUUUUCUUAUCCCUUCUUUGAUAAAACAUUUUAGGGGCGAAAGAUGUCAAAAACCUUGGGGAAUGUAAUAGAUCCUUUAGAUACAAUCAAAGAAUAUGGAACAGAUGCUUUACGAUUUACUCUGGCUCUAGGGACUGCUGGUCAGGUUUGUUUUUCCAUGACUUCAUUUUCUCAAUGGAUAAUAUGUAUGAAGUGUUAUGCUUUUGCAUUUCAAUAGUUUUAUAAGCUGAUUUGAUUUUACUGUUCUUGCAGGACCUUAAUUUGUCCACUGAGAGGCUGACAUCCAAUAAGGCCUUCACUAACAAACUAUGGAAUGCUGGAAAGUUUGUAUUGCAGAAUUUGCCCAGCCAGAAUGAUGCUUCUUGGGAAAGUAUACUAAUGUAUAAGGUUUGUUCCUCCUCUAUUUUUUUGUUGUCUGUUCUUAUAUCAAAACAUGUAUACUACUUUACUUCUCACGGUUACCACACUGAGCAGUCAAAAUGCUGCUGCCAUCAAUCACUUAGCAAGUGCUGUUGAUGUAUAUGUACACCUCUUAGUUCAUUGUUCUUGCACUAAAAGCUUGUGUUGUGUGCUGGGAUAUAAUAAAUCAGUUACUAAACUGCAUUACAUACAUACUGUAUCCUGCUGAGAAAGAUGAAAUUUUGUGGGCACCGGAGUAUGUCGUUGGCAUGCUUAAUUCUUUGCUAUUAACUUACUAACUCGUGAAUGUUUUUUUCUUUUUAACCGUUUAUUGGUGGGGAUAUAGGUCUUGGGAUGAUCAAAAGAGAAAAUCAUCAACACCCAGGAUGUCAUCUAGAAUGAAAAUGUGAUAUAUAUAUAUAUAUAUAUAUAUAUAUAUAUAUACAGAAAAGGAUACAGAGCGGACGUCCGCACUCGGCUUAAAGUGCGGACGUCCGUCCGUUCUCCACUGUCCGGCGCCGGCGACGGCGCACCUCCACCCCAGAUGACUCCAGCAGCGUCCCUGACCACAAUCCCUCCUCGGCAAGUCCGUUAUUUUCCAGUUUCCGGCGAGAUCGACUUUGUUUGAAGUUUUGGGUGAUCUCACCGGAAAACUGGAAAAGAAUGGACUUGCCGGGGAGGGAAAGUGGUCGGAGACGCUGCUGGAGUGUUCUGGGGUGGAGGCGCGCCGUCACCGGCGUCGGAGGGUGGAGAACGGAUGGACGUCCGCACUUUAAGCAGAGUGCGGACGUCCGCUUCACAUCCGGACUGUAUAUAUAUAUAUAUAUAUAAGAAUUAAAUUCGGUUUACCCCUUUGUGUUUGGGGGUGACUUCAUGUUAGUCCCUACACUUUUAUUUUCAUCAGUUUACCCCUUGAACUCUUUAAUUUCUGUCUGCGGUGCCCAAAUUCUCAUAUUCCGUUUGAAUUGACCUUUAAUUAUCAGCAGUUAAGGUCCGAUUUGGACAUAUAAGGUCCGAUUUGCCCAAAUUCUAGAUACUGGCCUCACAGUUAAGGUUAAAAUUAUCAGCAGUUAACGUCCGAUUUGGACAGAAUAUAGGACAUUUGGUCACGCCCGAGGAAAAUUCAAAAGUUUGAGGGGUAAAUGAAAUUGAAAGUAUGGGGAUUAACAUGAAGUUACUCCCAAACCUCAUGGGGGUAAACUGAAUUUAAUUCUAUAUAUAAUAUAUCGCUGUCUCUACGAAUAGAUUAUAUAGCAUGCACCUUCGUUGUAAUUUGUAGUUGGGUGAGGCUACUACCACUACAGGUAUUUGAGUUGGAAAUUCCAACAUUCCCUAACUUAUGACCAAGAAACUACAAAAUAUAUGAAAUAAUAAACUCAGCGACCACCAUCAGAUCUACCUUCUCCUCGAUGGAACAAGUCCUCACUGCCACCACCGCACCUUCUCUGCUCAAUCCAGCUGCCACCGCAUUUUUCUGUUCCUCUCUCUAGCUGGAGCAAUCCAGUCUGGGACAAGAAGCAAAUAAUUGGUUUGAAAAGUAAGCAUUAUGAUAGUUAGAAGAAAAUGCACCUGUUGCUGGAUCUAGUUCAUGAAAUCAUGGAAAGCUAUAGAGUUACUGGAAAACAAACCAAGUGCUCUUCUAGUUCUAAACUCAGAGGACCAAUACAGGAACCUGUGCAAUGAGAUUAGGAUGGUGGAGUGCUUUAGGACCAUUGCAUAUACUGUAUUAAGGUGUUGAGGUGCUGUAUUCCUUCUGCAAUUGGGUGAGUGUACUUGUUUCAUGUUUCUUGUGCUUGAGUUGGUAGACCAUGACAGAUUCUGUAAUUUGGGAUUUAGUCAAGCAAUUGCUCUAUGCAGCAGAUGCAGAGAGUGAUGGUAGUUGUUUGAUGGAGUUCUUGAAAGUUGUUUGUGAUUUUGGUUUUCUUAUACACAAAUAUGUAUUGUUAUUUGAGCGUUAUAGCCGAGAUAUGGAGUUUACAUGUAGGUUGUAGGGGUAUUUUGUAGGGCGGUAGCAGGCCCACCAUUGUUAUUUUGAUAUUUUCCAUCAAAAUCAUGGAAUUUUUUAUUUUUUAUCCACUGUAGCUGUUGUUACAUCAUAUUAGAUGAUGAUGAGUGUUACCUGGUUUGCUAAUUAAAUCAUUGUAAUGCUCUUUCAGUUUGACAAAGUGGAGCUUCUAGACAUUCUACCUUUACCAGAACGUUGGGUGGUAAGACAAUUUUCAGGCUGUGUUUCUGCAUUGCGAGUUCAUUUUACUUCUUUCUCUAACCAGGAGUAAGCUUCUGCUUUUGCAGGUCUCGAAACUUCAUUUGCUUAUCGACUCUGUGACAGCAAGCUAUGACAAAUUUUUCUUUGGAGAUGUAGGAAGAGAGACAUACAACUUUUUUUGGGGUGAUUUUGCCGACUGGUAUGUCCAGAAUUUAAUUCAAAAUGUUUUCCAUAAGAUUUAACAUGAGAAGGUUAUUAUAGGAAAAUCACCAAACUUUUAUCUGAGAAAGGUUUGACACAAACUGUAUAAACAUUUUACUUCAACAACAUUCAUCAAGUAUGAUGAAUUGAUGAGUUAUUGCCUCGAGUGCUGAGACACCAUUGAAACUGUGGAUGACUUUAGUUCUUCAUAGUGUUUGGUAUUUUUCGUACAGAACUCAAAUGAAGAGGCGUAGAAUCUGUACAGCUUUAAAACUGUGCAUAAUAGAGGUUCUUAGCUGAUAUGUGGCGUGCUAAACUCACUCCGCAUUCAACAUAUUACAUUACUUGUACUCCACAUAUAAUUAGAAGUGCAGUGCAAGUGUGAAAGUGGAGUGCCAAGAUCACUUCCUUAAGCUGCUGGACUCUAGUGGUUGUCUAAAAUGAAAGUUCAUUAGAGAACAGUAGGAGGAAAACAAAGAAGAAAGUAAAAGGUGGAGACACUAAGGGGGUAGAUAGAGUUUUAACUGAAAAAGUUUUAUGUAAAAAAAAAAUGUCUAUAGUUAUGCUAUUACUUUCUUUUUUUUUCUUAAUCUUGAGAUUUUUGUCCCUGAACCUUCUCUAUUACCACUGUUUAUGUAUCCAAGGUCAUAUGUUGUAGUAGUCCUAUGUCUGUUGUAUGGUUGUCUAUUCAAAGUUAAUAUAGUUUCAAUCUACAUCCUGCAGAAGCUUAUUUCCUAAUGCCCAAAAGUGAAAAAACUUUUUUUAUUUUUUUUGUUUUUCAUUUCUUUCUUCAGAAGUUUCUAUCUUCAUUUUUGGUUUCAAGAGGUAUCCUGUUGCUUCUUUAUUGAUCUCUUCGGCCUGAAUCGGAUGUGCUGAAUUACUGCUGUGCAUACUAUUAACUUCUUGCACUUCUCCAGGUAUAUUGAGGCCAGCAAAGCUCGUCUUUCCCAAUCUGGUAGUGUCUCUGAGGCUUCUGUUGCUCAGGCAGUUCUAUUGUAUGUUUUUGAAAACAUACUUAAAUUGCUACACCCUUUCAUGCCAUUUGUAACUGAGGAACUCUGGCAGGUAAAUGGUUCAAGGAUAUACAUGAUAACUUGUAGUAAAUUGAAUUGCUUUACCUACAAGGUAGAUGUUGGUUUUAUAAGUUUGUUCAUGUUUCUUGUGAUGUGUAAAACUUUUGUCAUGAUUUGGUGUCUCUAGGAUACAUGUGAAAAUGUCUAGCAGAGAACAUAAUGUUGUUAUAUCAUUCUUCUUUCUAAUGAGGUCUCUAGAAAUUGAAAUAGGGAAUGACUUGGUGGAGUUUCAAAUUGUAGUCAAAUUCGUACUGAAGUCUUUGAAAGCUUGUUUGUUGAACCCUUUGACUUGGAAUUGGAAUAGAGUGGUUUUCAGAAGUUUGGUUUUGGAGGGUUAUCUUGAACCCUUUGUUCCUGUCUCAUUUGUCAUAUCCUCGAAACUAUUUUUAUUUCUGAAAUUUUUUAGCGCUAUACUUCUUUGAAUGGGGUCUUAAAAUUAAUUGAAGUCUGAGCUUCUAUUUGAAGAAGUUACCAAAGGAGCAUCUCGGUAGUCCUACUUGUAUCACUUAAUUGAUAAUAAAGAACAUAUUUAAGUUCUUAACAAAAUAUUAUGUGCCCAUUAAUUUGCAUGAUGUUUGCUCCAUUUCUCACCCUACAAUAAAUAUACAUGCGUAAUUACUUUUACCUAUGGAAGCUGGUCACUUUAACCAAUAUAGUUGGCGGGCAUUUCAUUUUGAUUUGACGACUGUUGUCUGUGGUUGGAAUAAAGCUACAAUUUUGUGGACAAUCAUUCUUUUCUUCAGAACAGAUAUAGCAGGAGGUGGUUUUCUUGGGAAAAUUAUUUUGUUUGUUUUUUAGGUUUCAUUUUUUCCUGAAUAUCUCUAAAUUCCACUUCAUACAUAAAGACAAUUUUAUCUUGGAAUUUAGGGUGAUUUUUGUGCUUUUUUACUCCAUUGUAAUGCAAUCCAUCUUUUUAUCUGUAUUUCUUCCUGAUUCUAUAGAUAUCUAUGGACAAUACAGGCACUCCCCAAUCGAAAAGAAGCCCUUAUAGCAUCUCCAUGGCCACUGACUUCCCUUCCAAGGCAAAUCAUCUCAAUUAAAAAGUUUGAAAAUUUACAGGCCUUGGUGAGUAUAUAUGUUCCUUCUUGUCUCUUUCUUAUUGUUUACGCAACAAAUGGAAUUUUAUUUAAUUAUUUUAUUUAUCUACUCUAUGUUUUUCCCAUAUUCAAUGUGUUAGUUAUAUCACUGAUGCUACCUUGUGAUUCGUAGACUAAAGCCAUUCGGAAUGCACGAGCAGAAUAUUCUGUUGAGCCGGUAAAGCGUAUAUCAGCAUCAAUAGUUGCAAAUGCAGAAGUUACUGAAUACAUAAUGGUAAGUAUCUAGGCUGAUUACAAUAUAAGAGUACCGAGGUACUCAUUCCAUGUCAGUCUUUUCAAGUUGAACUCGGGGAUAUGAAUUUCAGCACUCUUGCAAUCAUCAGAAACCCAUCAUAUAGAGCUGUCCAUGCCCCAUAAGCCUUGCUUUGGUCUAGGUUUCAGUAGCCAAGCAUGGGCCCUAGAAGGAAAAAAUCUUGUCAGUCAUUCUUCAAGGUUCAUGUGUCAAAACUAUGGUUGCCAAAAGAAAAAGAAAAUUUAAAAAAUUGAAGAUUUAUAAAUUCCAGAUGACUAGUUGCUCUGCUUCUUUCGAAGUGUACAUAUCCAGAUGACUAGUUGCUCUGCUUCUUUUGAAGUGUACAUAUGGCCAACAAUUUUAACUUUGGUUGCUUUAUAUUAUUUUUAUCAUCUACAUAAUUACUAUUAGCAUUAGUCAAACUUAGGGUUAUGGUUUUAAAUCUACUUUAUGAUGCAGAAAGAAAAGGUGGUUUUAGCUCUCCUAUCCAGGCUAGAUUUGCAAAGCAUCAAUUUUACAGAUUCUCCACCAGGCAUGUUCCUCUCUAUUUAGUUUCAGUCGGGCAAGUAUAUCCAUUCUUACAAUGUGACAGUGAGCCAUUAUUUUAAUGAAUUUUAUGUGUUUUACUUCAGUGAAUGCCGAUCAAUCAGUCCACCUUGUUGCUGGUGAAGGACUCGAAGCAUAUCUUCCUCUUGCGGAUAUGGUUGAUAUCACUUCUGAAAUCCAACGGCUUCAUAAGCGACUUUCCAAAAUGCAGACUGAAUAUGAUGGACUCAUAGCUCGGCUCAAUUCUCCUAAAGUAAGAGUUGGUCUACAUGAGUUUACUUACUUUCAAGCACUUAAAUUGAUAUGCAGUUUCCGUUUCUAUUUAUCUGAGGGUCUAUUUGGAUGACAGGAUUUAUAAUGUUGGAUUUGGAUUCAAUGGUUACUGACAUAUCCAUUUCUCAUCUUUAUAAAGUCAAAUGUGUGUGUGUGUGGGAAAACGGAGAAUUCAAUACUCUGGAAAAUGUGUCUCUCUAAAUUGUUUAGAUCAUAUAUACUACUCGAUUUAUAACAAACAAAGUGAUACUUUAUUUUCAUAUUUAAGCAUUUAAAACGGAGUUACCGAAAAUUUAAAAUUCUGUAAUUUGACUUGUUGUACAUGUAUUUACAAAAAAAAAGAAAUUAAGAAUUUCAGGCAGUUCUUCUGAGUAGACAAUCUGACAGUCCACCUCUUUUUCUUUACUAUUUUGGCCACAAAAUCCUGUUUGAAUCUUUUUAUGGAUUUCAUUUGUAAUUUAAUAUUUUUGAAGGUCCAUCAACCAAAUUCAACUAUAGUCAUGAAGAAUGUGUUUUUCAUUUCGAAUCCAGUUAUGUACCGUACAUUUGGGUCCAUUUAAAGUUUGCAGUCCGGGGAUGUUUUUUGUUUUCUUUUCUUUUAUGAUAGGAUUAUAAAGAUCAGUUGCUUGAUUGAACUUAACAUUAUAUCAUGAGAUCUGUUUGAGAUAUGUUCUUUCUAGUUGAUUCAAAUACAAUAUCCAGCUUGUAAUAGUUUUCUCCAUAAAUCUGUUCUUGAGAAAUCAAAUUCUUUUAUUUAAUCGUUCAAUCCAUAGGAAUUAUGAAUUUCACUCAGAAAUCUAGAUCUAAAAUGGGAAGACAUGCAAGUGUGUUUUAGUCAUAAACAAGAAAAUAAAGUCCAAUAAGUGAUUCGCAGAAUCAACAAGAUAUCAGAAUAUGUUUACAUAGUGUUUUAAUGUGAUGCUUAAACUGUUGUGUCCUUUGUUUAUUUGUUAUGGUAUCUUCCCGUGUCAUUAUGGUUGGUGGUUGCACUAGUACCAUGUACCUGUUACCACAUCUACUUUAUCCUAUCAGUUCAAAGAGAAAGCUCCUGAGGAUAUUGUUCGUGGAGUUCAAGAAAAAGCAGCAGAAGCCGAAGAGAAGAUUGCUCUCACCAAAAACCGAUUAGCAUUACUUGAAUCGACUGCUCUCGUUACAUAAAAUGAUAAUGCUUAAUUCCAGGCACCAAUUUGGCUGGAUGAUGAUCUCAUUUUCGUAUCAAAAUGGUAUGUGCACCUUCAGAGAAAAGUAGACUGAGAUAUAUUUCAAGAAGUCUAGAAGGAAAGCAGGUCCCUCAUUCAAUGCCAAAUGAAAGAUAUCGAAGCAGUAGAUAGAUUGCUUCUUUUUAGUGACAUGUGACUUGUUCUGUUUUUUCUAAAACAAAAGCGCCCAACAGAUUCAUGGUCAAGUCGGUUAUUCAGCACCAUUUUGUUAAAUUCAAAUGUAAUUAAUUGUAAAUUUUGUGUCAUUUUUACUAGUGUAGGUAAAGCCUGUAUGCCAAUGACCAGAGGCAACUUCCCGAAAUAUGAGCUAGUUGUGAAAUAUUGCUUGUUCAAUGAUUGAUAAGCUACAGGUAGAGUGAGAGCACCGUUUCUGCAUUGUUGAAUGGUGUAGUUUACAAAUAUCGAUUUGCUAAACUAUGGCGAUGAUUUACUCAUUUGAAAGGUAGAACAAUUAACAUUAAACACAUGAACUUCUCGCGCACAUGCUGAACUACUGAACGAUAUGCCUCGAUCUUAUUCAGACUAGUGACUACUGACUAGUGAACUUUAUUGAUCCAAUAGUUGAUUUGUUAGUUACAAUGUUUUUAAGUUGGGUACCAAUGCGGGUCAGCAGAACAAUGGACACCAGCAAAAGGUACGUCAGGGAUUUGACCGGAAUGUGGAAUCGGGAAUUGAGAAGGCCCAGAUUGGGUAUGGGGCACCAUCCAAGCAAGAGAGGAACUGAGCGAAUUGUGUCGCCGUGACAUCAGGUAUGGAGGGGCGACUUGCUGCCGAUACUGGGAGGAUGAAUGGUGCGUACCGAAGUAGCGGUUGUAAGGUGGUUGGGAAGUCGCCGACAUGAUGAAAUAUGGGAGCCAUUUGCGGCAGAGAAGAUUUUUUAUUUUUUUACUGUAGAAAUUUCAUGGAUUUUUGGGUGAUGGUAGAGGAGGAGAGGUAGGAUAAAGGAGGGCUAUGAAAGCUGAAUUGAAUAAAAAAACUAGACAUAUCAAAUGAGCAGCGAAUUAGGACGUGGAUAGAUGUAGGAGAAGGACAAGAACAAGCUGAGUUGAGGGACAAAAUAAAAGGUAGGAAAAGGAACUAUUUACUGAGGUCAGCCUAUCAGAUAGCUGCAUACGACAAGUCGUACAGAAAAGUCGAUAUAUCCCAAAGCAAUGAAACUGACUCCAGAGUCCAGAGAGGAGAGCUCGUUCUUGUUCAGCAUCACUGAACCAGGGAUAUGAAACGAAAAUGAAACCCUCUUCUUCUUCUUCUUCUUCGUCGUGCGGAUUAAGCACGCCGCUUACCAUUCUGUUCCAGUCGUCGAGACCCAAAGCCUGCGACAACCGCAACAGCAACGAUUCUCUUCUCAGAGACUUGGCCGCUCGAGAGUUCAACGCCUUCCUCUGGAUCGCUCUCAUCGCCGUCACCGCUCUUCUGCUCCGCGAACUCGUCCAGGUGCACCGCUCAUGGGCCUUAGCCAAGCCCAUCCCUGGCCCUCCUUGCCCCUCUUUCUACGGCCACUUCCGCCUUCUUUCCCGCCAAAACCUCACCGGUUCGUUCAAUUUCCUUCUCUUUACUCUAAUUGGAACUAAGUAGGUUAGUUUUAGUGAAUUGGAUGCUGAAUUUGAAUUUGAAUUUGGCAAUUCAGAGGUGUUGGCUGAUUUUCACAAGAAGUAUGGCUCCGUUGUGAAGCUGUGGCUGGGACCGACUCAGCUUUUGGUAUCGAUAAAGGAUCAGACUCUUGUCAAAGAGAUGCUGCUCAAGGCUGCGGAUAUGUUGCCUAUGACUGGGAGGGCUUUCCAGUUGGCCUUUGGAAGGUCAACUCUGUUUGCUUCUUCUUUCCACCAGGUAGCACCCACCUCUUGUGCUACUUUACUAUUUUUAUAGCUUUGCUUUUGUUUUUAGUACAGUGAUUCAUGUAAGCAUGGCUCCAUAAAUGGAUAUUCUUUGAUCACGUGAACCUUUUAUGAUCCUUUUUGGUCUUGUGUGGAACGUUGACGCGCUGGUUUCCGAGCGUGCGAUAAUUAUGAACCCUGUUUUGACAAUUGUAAUAUUGGUAGAUAAAGUUCGAUCAAUCCGGGGACUUCAGGGUGCUCUUGCGUUUACAAACCUAAACAUAUUAGAAUCUAAAAUAAGAGUUAUUUACAUAAUAUAAACAACAAUUACAUUUAUAUGAUUUCGGGGGGGGGGAGGGGGGGGGGGGAGGGGGGAUUUUAGGGUUUGUUCUAACAUUCUUACGAAAGCAGUAAAGAAAAGAUACUAAACUAUGUACAAGUGAUCAUCUUCCACACACACACAACCUUCAAACAACAAGUAUGUAUCGAUAUAUUAUCAUGUGAAUAAUAAAAAUGUUGUCAAGCAAGAUAUGUCAAUGAACCCGAAACACAAGCUUGAAGAAGUCAUUGCAUUCCAUCGAAUUCUACUUAAUAAUCGUCAAUGAACCCGAAACACAAGCUACUUGGGAAUCAGAGGAGCAAAUGAUGCAACAAUAUCCGUAUCUCUUCGGAUGACAUGUAUAUUAAUUUCGAGGACGAAAUUUUUAUAAGGAGGGGAGAAUUGUCACAUCCCGACCCUUAUAUUUUUACCUUAUUUACUAGCGUGAUUAUAAUAAGAAUUUUACCGUCUCGAUCAUUGAGUAAAUAGUUUAAUUGGUCCCUAGAGGGGUUUCGGGGACGAUUAUGUGCGGAGGAUAAUUCGUAUGAGGAAAAUACGACGACGGUAAAAAUGGUAAAUUUUAGCUAGUAAAAGGUAAUUUUUAUUCGGGUAUUAUUUUUCGGGGUAUUUUUAUUUUGGAAGUUUGGGUUAAAAGGGAGAGUUGGGUCGGCUGGGCCGAGCCCAACCCAUUUCUUCUUCUUUUCUUUCUCUCUCUCCCUCCCGAUUUCCUCUCCGCACCCGAGCCUCCCGCUGCCCGGUUUUCCGGCCGCCCUCCCGCCGCCGUCCGGCCUCCGUUCGCCGCCGGACCAGUUCCGUUCGGUCGGUCUCCCUCCCAGCAACAUUUCUAGACCGGUGAGAGGAGCCCUAGCGCCGCCGUGAAGGAGCGGUGCCACCCGUAAGGUCCGACUGUCCAAACCUUCACUUCGCCGGAACUUCCUCCUCCGGCCACCAAUCCGGGCAAGCUUGGUAUGGUUUUGUAGCCCUCCAACCCAGCAACCUUGCCCUAAAAGGACUCACUCCCUCUUGAGCUAGGUAAGGAGAAAUUUGAGGUGGAAGUUUUAUGGUGUUUUUGAUGUUUUUAGUCGAUUGCCCUAGUUAGGCUUGGAAUUGGUGUUUAUGCUAGUUAUGAAAGUUGUAGAGCUUGAUGAGAGGAAGACGCUGUUAAAAUUUCAUAGGUUUUGGAGGUCGCCGGAAUUGACCUCCGGCCGCCGCCGGUUGGGAGAUUUUAAUGUUGUUAAAUUUGGAAUAUUAAGGGGAGUUUAUUGAAGUGAGUUAUGGAAUUUUUGGAUGAGUUUUGGAUAGGUUUAUGAAUUUCUGAAGUUUGGUAUUUUUGGCGGUUAAUUAAUGUAGAAUCCGGCCGUUGGAUUUAAGUCGUAUUUUGGGGAGGUUAUAUUUACGACUGUGGAAUAUGAUAUUUAAGUUCGGAUCGUUCCGAUGUAAGAAUAUCGAAGUUAGGCAAUAAUGAGCGUAAUUAUGGCUCUCGGGUAAUUUUGCCUAUUUUGAUUAAAUAUUGGAUUAUUGGUUGGGAAAUUAAUAUGAUAUUUGGAACAGGACGUGAAGAGGCUCGAGCAGACGAGACCCCAGAUUGACAUCAGGCUUAGGCCUAAUUCGUGAGUGGACUUUUAUUUGAAAUAAUAUGCAUGCUAUGGUUCAUGAUUGAACAUUUCCUUUUGUUGGAGUUUUACCGUCAAUUAAUUUUGACGCUUUUAUUUCUCUGAGAGAGUUACCGNNNNNNNNNNNNNNNNNNNNNNNNNNNNNNNNNNNNNNNNNNNNNNNNNNNNNNNNNNNNNNNNNNNNNNNNNNNNNNNNNNNNNNNNNNNNNNNNNNNNNNNNNNNNNNNNNNNNNNNNNNNNNNNNNNNNNNNNNNNNNNNNNNNNNNNNNNNNNNNNNNNNNNNNNNNNNNNNNNNNNNNNNNNNNNNNNNNNNNNNNNNNNNNNNNNNNNNNNNNNNNNNNNNNNNNNNNNNNNNNNNNNNNNNNNNNNNNNNNNNNNNNNNNNNNNNNNNNNNNNNNNNNNNNNNNNNNNNNNNNNNNNNNNNNNNNNNNNNNNNNNNNNNNNNNNNNNNNNNNNNNNNNNNNNNNNNNNNNNNNNNNNNNNNNNNNNNNNNNNNNNNNNNNNNNNNNNNNNNNNNNNNNNNNNNNNNNNNNNNNNNNNNNNNNNNNNNNNNNNNNNNNNNNNNNNNNNNNNNNNNNNNNNNNNNNNNNNNNNNCAUAAUAUUUAUUUAUUAUUUUAUUUUUGUCCACUCACUCUAACGUUAUUAAAUGUUUUCCCCUGGGCCCUUCAUUUUAAAUUGCCCAGUCUGCAGAGUUCGGGUUGGAUCUAGUAGGAGACGAGGCAUAGUCACCCGCUUUUCGGCCAGUUUUCAUCAGUAGGUUACAUGUUCAACCUACUCGUGUUUUCUUGCUUCCGCUUGUGUUUAGUAGCUCUGAAUACUUUAGAAUUUUUGUAUAUUAUGUGAUAUUCAGAAGCGUUAAAUUAAGAGUGUAAUAUGAAAUUUUCGAGUUAGGGUUGUCCAUCUGCAAGGGAGAUUUUCUUAAUCUUUUCAGUAAAUUUUCCUUGGAGGUGGUCCCCGCACGACUUACUCUGGGUUUCAGGGUGAAAUUCGGGGUGGGUUGUGUCAUUUAUAGUGUCCAUGUCGCACCUAGGGUUUAUUCUCCACCCUUGAUUUUACCUUGAUCCAACGGUCCAAGAGAAUUGCUUGAUCUCCACAACAAAUCAGCCAUUUAGUAUCCUUCCUUGUAUUGCCGAAAAUCAGCUCUUCCUCUUUAAUUUGCUGCGCCAUUUAUUGUUCCUAAAAAGGGAAGGAGUUAGUCUUGUAAAAUCAGAUUUUUAGACAAAAGAAUUUAAGGAAUUAAUUUUCAGAUUUUCAGAUUUGAAUUGCAUAAUAAAUCCCUUAAUUUAGACAAAGAAAUCUUGUCUUAAAAUCCUAGAAAGACUCGGCAGGAAACCCUAGGGUUUUGCCGUCCCUCUCCUUGAUUUAUGGCGACCACCUUAGGCCUAAUCCAUGUAGGAUUUGGCAUCCUUGCUUCAUGUGAAAUCCCUGUCUCAAGAGGAAAGAAAGUUUCCAAAAUAAAUUAGGAAAGUCAAAAUAGGAAAAAUUCAAAGAUAGCAAGUUUCCCAAAAUGGAAAAGGUAAGUUUUCUCUUUUCAAAACAGGAAAGUUUCCUAAAUGACUUAUCCUCGACUUUUGCGCCUCCUUGAGUUUCCUAGUUGCACCAGGAAUCCUUCUUUGAUUAGGAAUCCGCUCAAUUUUCUCGUUUUAGCCUUCUUUUGUGUAAAUCUGCCUUUAUUGACUCUAAAAUAUAAAACAUGUUAGAAAUGGAGUGAUUAAGGAAAUAACGAGGCUAAAUAGGGUCGGAAAUACAUUAAGAAAGUAGCAUAAAAUACGUCUAUCAAACGUGUGUUGGUUUAGACUUUCGAGAUUCUAAGGGACCUUUUAUUGUGAUGGUGGAAUCUUUUCUAAGGUGUUUGAAGUAGUGGUUUCUAGAACUCUACCUUGUGAACUUGGAACUUGAUAUCUCUUUCUACCUUCCGUUCUUUCUUUUCUUGUCUUAAACAAUUUGAUGGGGUAAACUAAAACCUGCCUUUUGACCAUCUUGGCUGCUGGUCCUACAUGUAAAUAUUGACAAGAAUAGGUGAAGGAACGAAUGAGACUGUCCACAAAAUGAACGCAUUUAAUAUUCUAACUGAAAGUAUCAAUAUUAGAGUGUCCUUUGCUGGCACCAGCAAUUUUAGGCAAAGUUCAUUGUGGUCUCACAUCAAAUGUACACACAAAUGAUUCCAUAAAGGGCANNNNNNNNNNNNNNNNNNNNAAAAAAACAAGAGAAAAGAAAAGGAGAGCUGAUUCAGCUGAUGAUGGAAAACAGUUAGAAUCUUUGACAGAAUAUGGGUUGUAGCCUUGUAUGUCAGUUUUCAGAUCAGAUAGAUUUAGGUCACCCCUUUGGAUGUGAUGUGUUUUUUGUUUAGUGAUUAUUCCUUUGUAACUACUUUUUAUGAUGGCCCUUUAUGACGCUAAUGCUGUAAAACUUUGGAUUACUCUCCUCUGUACUGGUUUGUUGUAGUCUAUGAUAUUUUGAGAUUACUAUCCGUUCAGUGGACUCAUCAUUUCCUGUAGUAUUACAGUCCACCUUGCAUAUUUAAAUUGUUGAAUGUUUGUGUUUUGAAAAAGAGAAGGAAAUAGAAGGCAGAAGAGAUGUGGAACCGGAACAAAGUGCAAGAACUUAAUUAUUGAGGAUCUUGAUAUUAUGAAUCAUAAAACUAGAACUUGACUUCUCUUUUGGAAUUGUCACUCUUAAGGCUAGAACUAUUGUGAUACAAUACUUAUGCGAUUUAUAUUUGCACAGUUGCACUGAUCUACAACCCUUCUUCAUCAAUUAUGCUGUUUCAUAUAUCCAAAUCUUAAUUUUCUGCGCAAAGCAUUUGUAUAUGUCAAUUUCCCAUUUUUAUGUGGUGAUUUCAAUGCGCUCAUCCUGAAUAGUACUUCGUUUGCAGGUGCAGAAGAGAAGGGAAACAUUAUUUACAGAAUUAAAUGGAAAACAUCGUGAGAACAACAAUGUGAUCCCCACCAAGGCUGUGGACAGUAUUUUGAUGAGGAUAAACAAUAUGGGUAAAAAUAGUGUUGACAGUAAAGUAGUGUCUCAAAACAUGGCUUUUACCAUAUUAGGAGCCACCCUUUUUGGAGAUUCUUUUUUAGCUUGGUCUAAGGCUGAUGCUUACGAGGAGCUCCUUAUGAUGAUUGCUAAGGAUGCUGGUCUUUGGACUUCUUAUUAUGUUACUCCCUUUUGGAAGCGUGGAUUUUGGAAGUAUCAGUCUGUAUGCAGAAAGUUGAAAUGCUUAACUCAAGAUAUUGUACAACAGUGCUGCUACCUCUGCUUUUAGGAAACUGGAAACUUAGGAAAGAAAGUUGCAUGUGGCGGACCAGCUUGCUCUGAAGUUGGGAUAAAAAAUAACAUAUUCUUUGAGGAGCUUAAUCGCUAUUUUAAUAUUAGCGAAGAACCAUAUGGGAAUCUUAUGGGCAUCAUGUUUCAUGGAAGCCUCAGCACAGCUAGUUUGAUUAACAACAUUUUCAUGAACCUUGCUAUGCAUCAACAAAUACAGGAUAAGGUCUCUCUCUCUCUCUCUCUCUCUCUCUCUCUCUCUCUCUGCUUAUACGUGUGGACGUCCUUACUGGAUAAGCCCUAUAUAUACAUUACCAGAGCAACUGUGCAAAAAGCAACUGUUGAUCAUAGUAGGAAUGAAAGUAAGAUCAUAUUGCCUAUCUACCAAUUUUCUGAAAAUAUAAAUUCCCAGCUUUCAGUCAUCUUUUAUUUGUCCAGACCUAGAGUGUUAUAUGGGUGUACUGGAUCCCUGCAAUUAUAUAAUAAUAUUUUAUAACCUAGAUCAUGUAUCAACACAAUGAGUUUGGAUCGUCUUCCCUUAUAUGUGCAUAGAGAAGUACAUAUUAAUCACAUAUGCUAAGCUCCUUGAGUGAAGCUGAUCAACAAUCUGAUGGGCCUAAACUAAACUUUUCUUAUUUCUUUAACUAAAAGUUCUUGUCAUAUUUUGGGUAGUUUCUACAUAUUAUUUGAUCACACUAGAUGGCUGAGUAUUUAAUGACGCUUGUUGUUGCUUGUAGAGAAAUAGAUAAUGAGUCAUAUGAUACCUUUAGCUAAAUAGAAUUAAAUUGCAUUUUGUAUGUUUCUGAAGAUCUACUCAGAGGUAACUAUGGCACAAAAAGGUGGACAUCACUUAGAACUUCACGACCGAUCAUGGUGGACCUCAUAUCGCGAUCUCUCCGGCCUUCUUCUUCAUUCCAACACCGUCGGGGGAGGUCUGGGAUCACGCCGGGGAGAAGAAACGGUGUCGCCGGCAAUGGUGGAGAAACGGUGAAAAUCCAGACGGAAAACCCGUCCGGAUGUCCGCAUCUGAUAAUCCCCGUGUAUAUAUAUAUAUUGGAUGGAAUCCAAAGCUUUUCCCAACUGCAACACAAAAUACCCAUUGUAAACUCACAUCAUACUCAGAGAACAGAGAUUGAGAGCCAAACAACCUCUUGCAGUAUAGUGAUUGAGUUCUAAAAAUAUUUGAUAUAUUGCAGAUAAAGCUAUAUCCAGAAGCUCAGGAUACCUCAAAACCAAGUAACUUUGGGUUUCAGCCUCUUUCUAGUUUGCAUAUAGUUUUUGUAGAAAGGAACUGCUGAAAGGAUGGACACAAAAAGCUUUCGUUGUGGAUUACUUGGUCAUUUGUAUUUGAUAUUUUUCCCUCACCCGGGUUUUUGAUGAUGGAAGCUCCUUUCCGCUAUUUGCUAUUAAGGUAGAGAGGAUGUUGCAUGAGUAAAUCCACAGCUCAUGUUUUUGUGCCCUCUGUUUAGACUUUUUUAGAAUAGCCCUGCUUUUAUAAAGCUAUCCUGGGCUAUUGUUGUAGCGGCGCUUUGCAGUUUUCUUCCCCAUCAUAGAUUCUGCAACUUUGUCUUCUAUCAUGAUUUUUUUCUCACCCAAUGGGUGUUCAUCUUGUAUUGUACGUUGACGUGCACCGACUGUAAGUAGUUAUGUAAUAUAACCAGAAAAAGCCUUUUGGUGGAAUGCAACAUCUCAGGAAACUAUAUUUGUUAUUAUGACCUUCCUUAACAACGUCUGCCAAAAAACUAGAUUCUCCCUAAAUAUGUUUGGAAAUAACAUAAUCUUUUCACUGAACUGUCAAACUGGCUGUGGAGUUUUAGAGCAAGCAUGCAUGUGAUUUUUCAGAUAGGACAGGAGACCUCGACAUACUCAGAACUCACACCUUAACUUGCUGCAUGUUUUUUAGUUGGUGAGUUACGAUUGUCAGCUAAUCUAAUCAGAAGUACGUCCAAAACCAAUCUGGCGGGUGGAUCCAUGCCAAUGUAUAAGCAUGUAGUCAUUCCAAAGAAAAAAGGGAGCUUUAAUUCUAAUAGGAAAAAUCGUCUCAAAAACUUUAAAAUGGUAUUUCACGUUUUUAUCCUGACUUAAAAACGGUAUUUGGAACCAUUAGUUCCGUUAAAAAACUGACGGUGGGUAUAUUUUUAUAACUAAAUGGCCAAUUUACCUUUCAUUUCUAUUUUUAUAUUUAAUUUUUUUUAACUUCAAAUAAUAAAAAACACAAGAAUAUUAGAUAUAUGAAUGGAUAUAACAAGGCCCAAAAAAAAACAAGAAGAAGAAGCUACAGACCCCUUAAAAAACAAGAAGAAGAAGAAGCCUACGCUAAAGACCAAUGGAUGGAAUAGAUGUUUGCUCAUGUUUUUACUCUUUUCUUGUGUCCCUCCUUCUGUCUCAGUUGGGAGGUCCUUGUGGGUGUAGCAUCAACGACUAAGCAACCCCCUAAUCACCAACAACGACUUGUCCUCUUUCUUUGAUAAUCCAUUCGUUGUUAACAGUCUCUAGGAUCCCGAGCAUGAAUUCGGUUGUGAUGAUCCCUACCUGUGGCCCCAAGUCCAGAUUGCAAUUAUAAUUCCUCUCUUUUCUUCUCUGAAAAGAAACUCUAUAUUAUAUAUUAUGUUAUUAUUCUGUUAAACUAACGAUCUUGUAUUAUCUUUAAAGAUUAUUAUUUUAAUUAACACGCAUGCCAAGAUAAUUAAUAAAAAUUAGUCAGGGAAUCUCUAAGUCUAUGAAGCUUUGUCUCUGCUUUUGUUUAACAUAAUAAUAACAUAAUCAUUUCAGUGUUUUCUGUUUUGGACUAGAAACUUACAAGAAAACUAGAAAAGAAAGAGGUGAAUAACCUACUUGUGUGUGCUAAAUUGCUAAUAGUAUUCACUACAGUCUUCUCUUCAAAUUCUUCAAAAGGUUAGGAACAUGAACAUGCACAAGGCUUGAACAACUAUUGUUUCUCUUCUUGCUCGAGGAGAUUCAAACAUAAAGGUGUAUGAAGAUUGCAUAAACAUAUGCUCGAGUAGAUAUAUAUAUGUUUGAGGGGAUAUGCAUAUAUAGUCGAUGGAAUUUAUUUAUGGUUGAAGAGUUAUGAGAGGAGAUAUUAACAUAUGCUUGAGGAAAUCUAAACAAAGAGUUGUUGUGAAUUGAGAAAGUUUUAUUGAUACUGAAGCUUUUAUAGACUAAGAGAGGUUUUGUACUGAGAUUUUUGUUUCUCUAGCGUACUGUCCCUCCUUUCUCUUCAUCUUCUUCGUAUACUAGUUAUUGGUCUAAUCCACCGUUAGGUGCUCUAAACAGGUGGUUAGUGUUACUAUAUACUAUUGUUUGAGAUGACGUCAGCUUCUAAUAGGUUACUGUUCAUAUGAAACAGUGCGCAGACUUCUUUGCCCAUGUUGUUGGUCUGUAUAAUUCCUUAAGUGCCCUCAGACUUUUAGGGCUAGGCAUAAAAGCGUUCGUCUUCUCCUUAUUUCUCUUCUUCGAUGUGUCACGUUUGUCUCAGACCUUCCAGAAACAAAUAGAAUAGUUGUGGCUUCCUCAGCGAUCUACUCCAUUGAAAACAAAUUUUGGGUUCCUUCAAUUGAAAACAAACUUCGGGUUGUUUCAUGCAGAUCUUCUUCAAUUGAAUGUACAAUAUGUCAUGCAAAAGAUGACAAUCUUUUCUUUCUACAGCUCUUUAUACUAGAUUGUAUGGAUUGGUCAUGCAUUACAAUACAAAACACAAUUUACAAUGAGCUAGAAGACAUAAGUAAAGAGCCAUAUAUUUUUCAGUCUGUAUUUCUAACUGAUCUUAAAUUCUCCGCGAGUCUUUUCGGUAUUGAGAAGCCCACAAAAUACUCUUUUUAUCUUUACUACUCUACGUGUUAUAGCGUGCUGUAUAGCAGAAUUUACUCUAUGCCUCUCCCGUUCUGUCUUCCUUGCACUACUAUUUUUCUUAAGCCUUGUAGAUUAAGAUUGAAUAAAAAAAAGCAAAAGGCAUAGAAAAAGCUUACUCCCUAAGCAAAGAUAGAUUCCCAGAGCGACGCGUGUUACGACACGUAUCAGAAAAAUAUCCGAGAACCGAACCAGUAUAAAUAUCGUUCUCCUCCUCCAAGUCCAAACCGUCAAAAACCAGACUAUGAAAUUGAGAUCCCAAUCGAACUCAUCGCCUUCCUUCGUCUUCUUCUUCGUCCUCUUCUUCUCCUUCAUCGCUCUCUCUGAAAUGGCCACCCUCGGCGGAAUCGGCGACUCCCCUGCCGGCUCCGAGAACAGCCUCGAAACCGAAGCCCUCGGUCGCUUCGCCGUCGACGACCACAACCAGAAGCAGGUGAUUAAUCAAUUCAUCAAUUCAUGAAUUUGUUUUCGAAAUAGUUUUGAAGUGAUUUGUGAUCGGAUUGAAAAUUUGAUUGUGCAGAAUGGUAUGCUGGAGUUUGUUCGGGUGGUGAAGGCCAAGGAGCAGGUGGUUGCCGGCACUCUGCACCAUCUGGUGGUGGAGGCCAUCGACGGCGGCAAGAAGAAGCUCUAUGAAGCCAAGGUCUGGGUCAAGCCUUGGUUGAACUUUAAACAAGUUCAGGAAUUCAAGCACGCUGGUGAGCCCGAGACUGUGUCCGGAACGCCGUCGUUUACCUCUUCCGAUUUGGGGGUUAAGCAAGGUGACUUAUUUACUGAUCAUUUUUUUUAUGGGUGUUGAUAUGAAUUUGGAGUGUGUGAGACUGAGUGGGUUGUGAUCAGGUGGGCAUGCUCCAGGGUGGCAAGAUGUGCAUCCUCAUGAUCCUCAAGUUCAAGAUGCAGCCAACCAUGCUGUGAAGAGCCUUCAGCAGAAGUCCAAUUCGUUGUUCCCUUAUGAGCUUCAAGAGGUUGUCCAUGCUAAGGCUGAGGUCAGUAGCGAUUUCCUUCUAUGAUUUCUUGGCUUAUCCAUCAUUCGUUUCGAUUAAUUGAGCUCAAUAAUUUGGAUGACUAGGGGUUGUGUUUAGCUGUAAGGUCUAUUGAGUUUGUCUUUACAAUUGGGGUGGAUGUGGAACAGGGCCUACAAAUACUGUUUGAGAAGGGAAUUUGCUUGAAAGAUUUGCACUUUCGGUGAACUUAUGUGCAUCAUGUGUAGGAAAUCCAAGUUAUUCAAUUAACUUGUGUGCCAUGCCUUGAGGCUGGUCUGUGGUUGAAGAACAAAGAAACUUGAAUAUAGAUUUACCAUUAAGAAUCAAAAGUUUUGUACAUGAGCACGAGCCGCUUAUACUUCAUUUUAUUUGUGCUUUCCUUGUAUUCUUUUUUCUGACUACUUGAGAGAUUGAUUGAUCGUUAAUUAGUCAUGUUAAAAUUGUGAGAGCAGGUGAUGGAAGAGCAUGCCAAGUUCAACAUGCUACUCAAACUGAAGAGGGGAGACAAAGAAGAGAAAUAUAAAGUUGAAGUGCACAAGAACAAUGAAGGUGCCUACAAUCUGAAUCAGAUGGAGGUGGAGCACUGAUUAUAGAGAGUUCCGUUGCAUCCCAAUCAUAUAAGAACUUGAUGUAUAUUACAUGUUUUUCUUUCGUUGCAAUUAGUUUCUCUGUUUGUCCAAAUUUCUGAUACAAUCUUCACUAUAUAUCAAUAUCAGCUUUCCUAGUGUAUUUCUUGUAUGGCUUGGGAAUGCAACCACUUCGUUAACAUUUCAUCUGCCCUUCUUGCUACCGAUAUUUCAAUUGGCUGUUUAUGAGUUGCUGUUAGACCACUUAUCUUGAUUGAACAAGUUCACCCUUGUUGGAAAAGGUCAUUGAACUGUGGAACUUACUUUCAUGUAAAGGCUACUCCGACCUUUGUUUAUGAGAGUGGCCGGGUGGUAAAGUCUGGCUACUAGUUUGUCCUCAUUUUGUCUCUCUUUGUUGUGUUUCUUUGGCAAUGGUUCAUUCCUGAAGUCUGAACUAUUGAGCAGAGGCAGUCCCUGAAGACGCAGAUGACCCUGAAGACCAAAGGAGCCUUAAAGACAUGUGGUCUAAACUCUAAACAUAAUUUUUGAACUCUUGAGAAGAUGAAAUUCCGAAGAGAGAUGGGAGAUUAGGAGUUGGAGGUGCAAACUGGAGAUGCGAUGAUCUUGUUUAGAUUAGUCCUAGUCAAUGUAGGAACACUGACGGACUCAGUUGUGGGAAUGGGAGAAACCUAUAGUCAGCGGAACGAAUUCACUUAGAAUAGAUAAAAGUAAAUUAAUGGACCCUAUACUCGCUGUAUCAGAUUGCGAUACUUGUGUUUUCCUUUAUGCUAUCGGGAACCUAGUACUGUUAGAAAAGCCAGAAUUUCUAACUUUCUAUAAUGGUGAACGACGUCUGCUCUAUAGAGAAACCAAUGUAGAACAUAUGCAUUAGUUCUAGCACUGUUUAUUACGUCUCAGACGAGCAAACGAGUAGAAAGCAGUUCGGACUUCGGAACGAGGUGAUAACUGAAUUUUGAGUCUCAUUUUGUCAUGGACAAGGUUCCCAGUUUUAGGCGGAAGCUUCUUCGGGAUAGGGAGAGAAACUUAUGUAAGAAGGCGAACGAGCUUUCGAUACUUUGUGGUACUGAUGUAUGCAUGAUCACCUUCAAGCCUCACAAUACCAAACCAGAGACUUGGCCCCAAGAACGUACAGAACUACAGAAGUCCAUCGCAUUAUCGAAAAGUACAAGACUUGACCCCAAGAAGAUGAAACUGGACUUGAGUUUUUCUGAUUCUUAUGAUUCCGAGACUAGAGGUAAGAAGUUGCAUGCUGACUACAAUGCUCUGAAUCCUGAAGAGGCCAUGGCUAUGGAGAUGCAGUACCAAGAAGGGACUGCAAAGCAUCCCCAGAACGAAUUGAUUGGAGAUGACGAGGCAAAGCUUGCUUCACUAGAAGUUAAGCUGCAAGCUAUAACCAAGAGAAUUGCUUCAAUGGAGGCAAAUUAUUUUUAAAUUCUAUAGGAUAGUAUGUAACUUGCUUGAUCAACAACUCAAUAUUGCUGGAUUAACGUGUAUGACUAAUGACUGUAUAUUUCUAUUAUGCAUUUGGUGUUAGUGCCAAUGUAGUGAAAAAAUAUGAUUAGGUGAGGACGAGAUAUUGUUCAAACACCCAGUUAAAUCUUGGUGUUUUGUGCAUUAGCUUAUGCUUAUAUAUAUAGUUUUUCCUUUUCUUCUUUCAAUCAUCAAAAUUGGUAAACAACAAAUAAGACACCGGCCACCCUUAAACCAACAAUCCAUGUUAUGAUUAAGCACUAUGUAGUACUGCAAUUCAUGAAACUUAAGCUUGUAAACAACUGCUGACCAAUAUGAUACCAAUUGGAGCAUGUUCAAUAACACAAAGUAGGAACUAAACUACCCUCGAUCUAUAAAGACAAUAAACUUGGAAUCAAGAACUGAAAUUUCCCUCAUGAUUCCUGAUCAGCACACCGUUCCCAGUUUAGAGAAAGAGGUGAAUAUGCAGAGUAUUCGAAGAACACUUAAUUAACUACUCCAUAGCAGGAAAUCCCCUCUCCAUUGUAAAUACAUAUAUUAUUAGUGUUGCAUCACUUAUUUUGGAUUUUGAGCCAAACUAGUUGACUCUUGAGCUUCAUUUUUUAAUGGCAGUGACGAUGAUAGAGCUGUUUCCGAAUCAUCUUCCUCAUCCACUACUGGCAUGUCUUGUGGAUAUAGGAAUGGCUUUGGAGGCAUUGGAAUGGAUUCAACUUCUCCUUCAAGCAUCUCUACUACUUUGUUCAUCGAUUUAGGACGGUCACUAGGCUUCAUUUGUAUACACCACAAUGCUACCAUGAGCAUCUUCUUUGUUAAUUUCUUUUCCUCGUCGGUCGCAUCUUCAAUUUCCAUCUCAUUUCCUUCACUGAACUGGUCAUAAACCCAUGAAGGAAAGUAAAUUUGGCUAGAAUGGGCUGCAACUGCAUUCAAGUUCUUUCUUUUCCCUGCUAUUUCCAUCAGCAACAUUCCGAAACUAUACAUGUCAGCUUUGUUCGACACACCACCAAUAUUCUUGUAAAACAAUUCCGGAGCUAUGUAUCCAAUGGUUCCUCUCACUGCAGUCAAAAUUAAACUGCUGUCGUCUAAUGGGCAUAAUCUAGCCAGACCGAAGUCUGAAACCUUCGGAACAAACUUCUCGUCGAGAAGAAUGUUGUGUGGCUUGAUAUCAAAAUGCAAUAUCUUCAUGUCACAUCCUUGAUGCAGAUAACCAAUACCACGAGCCACUCCUAGUGAAAUUUCAAAUGCUUCCUUGCAGCUUAAGGAAAUGGAUCCUUCCUUAGAAAAAAUGUGCUUAUCAAGAGACCCGUUUGCCAUGAACUCGUAUACAAGAGCACGCUUUGAUCCCUCAGCACAAUAGCCAAUUAGUUGCACCACAUUUACAUGAUGAAUUCUUCCAAUGGUUGCAACUUCAUUGAUAAAAUCUUGACCAUUAGCUUUAGACUUUCCCAACAGUUUAACAGCAACAAGGCGACCGCUGCGAAGCUUGCCUUUAUAUACAGAGCCGUAACCUCCUUCCCCUAAUUUAUCCUUAAAUCCCUUGGUCAUUUUCUUGAUAUUGGAGUAGGAGUACCUUAUUGGCAUUAGGUUGUUAUGAGUUUGUAAGAAUUCUUCAAUAACGCCGUACCCUGAUAAGUGACGUCUUUUCAACUUGAAGAUUAAAAACACAAUCACACAGGGAAAUCCGAGUACAACUUUUAUCCCAGUCCACAUAAUCACUGUAAAUGAAAUAAUAACUGAUCAUAAAAAUGAUUCUGUAAAGAUUGUAAGCCUCAAUCAACUUACAGAAGUCCUAUAAAUAUGAAUGAAUCGAAUAUGAUGAGAAGAAGCAUGGUGAAGAAGGUCAAUUAAGGAAUACGAUUAAAGUUUCUCUCAUCUGUAUCAAUAAUACCGUCUUGCCCAACAUCUUGCUCCUAAAUACUAGCUUGUCCAAGACACAUUGUCCUAGUUCACUACUACUAAACACGCCUGCAUCAAUAUUCCUAGCUAUAUAGUGGUAACAAAGCCAUAAAUUCGAUCUAACAGACUUUGUAAUGGCUGGAAACAAUAAUGUUCUGAAAUAAUUAAAGAUGAGUAAUUAUGGUUGUUUAAAGGAAAAAAAAAAAAAAAGAGAAAACGCACCUGCGUCUUCAGCUGAAUCUGAUAAACAGACAGAAGAGUUGUUCUCAGAGAUGUUAAAUUAAAAUGGUCUGAAAAGAAUAAGACUGAGAUAGUUGUCACCUCUUACAAGCUCCGCAAUAGUGUCGAUGUAGCAAUUAACUUUGUUGGUAUCAGUGUCGAUGUAGCAAUCUCCAGCUGGUCGCCCGUAAUUGUGCAACCAUGAAAGUUCAAAACCAUAGAGCAGCUCGUUGUGGAUGUCGAUGUAGGACCUGUUCACAACCUUUGUUCCAUUCCAUGAUGUCAGAACCAUCAGCUCCGUCUGGCAUGAAUCCAACAAAUCCGAUGCAUUUAAGCUGCCAGUGUUAACAAAGGAAUGUCCACUCGUUGCGUUGAUGCAAGGAGCAGCAUCUACAAAGAGGGAUGAAUUCCCUGGCCGAAAUUCACAGGUCAUGAGAAUUAUAGGCUUUGACAGUUCAAACCGACGAGUUUUCCACCACCUUGUACCUUUCCUUUGAUACGUGCUAUAUGGAUCAUUAUAACUGAAGUUAUAUGCAGUCAAGGAAUAAGGAGGGAGUGAAGAGCAGUUAUCCUUUUGAAGAUUGACAUCCACAACUCGGAUCGUGCCGUUUUCAUAAUUGAUGGCAAGGACAUAGUAUCUUCCUGAAUACAAGUGUAAAACAGUGAGAUUAUUCUCACAAGACAGGUUAUACCUGAAGUCACCGCACUUCUGUGGAUCACCGAUGAGUCGGAAAGGGUAACUUAUAUUACGGAUGUCGCCGCAGGAUGAAGGCUCACAGUUUUGAUGAUCCUCAGCAUGACAACAAACUACACAGCACAAACCAAGAACUAGAACAAUAACGAAAUGUGCUGGAAGGGGUAGUAGCCUGAUCACCUUGAUCAUGGCGAGAAAGACAAAUAAUUCUAGUUUAGCUUGAUGCCUUCCUCUGUUCUAAACAAGCAGAGAUGAUAUGAAUAAAUACUGCGAUCAGUACUUGAACAACAUUAAUUGGAUAUGAACUUCGCUCACUAUUCAACAUGGGAAAGAGAAGUUCUGACCAGUAGACUAGUGGAAGUUCAUUUGGAAAAAGAGCGAGCAAUUGAGACAUCUCUCAAAUUUGGUUCCAUUUGAUUUUGUGGAUUAGCAAAUGCCAACAUUAUUGGUUUUACUAGUCAACAUGGAAAGAUAGAUCGAGAAUAUUUAACGCGUGGAAAACUGCAACCAGUUCAUUUUAUUUGAGUGCAAAAGAUUGAAUGAGCUUGACUUGAGGUCAACUUAAUACGGAUUAGUCACUCUCAAGCAGUGGCGGAGCCAGGAAAAUAUUCAAAGGGGGCACAAAUUUUUUCUAUUGCCUCUCAUCUUCUAUACACAUGAAUGUACUCGCAUGGUUUUUAUCCAGUUACGUGAUCUCCCCCAUAGUUUGAUUGCUCUUAUAAUGUGUGUUUCUACUGUCAGUUAUCGAACAUUCUGGCGCUUCUUCCUCCGUUAAAAUCUACAUUAAUUUUUCUUUUACGGUCAUCUGUUUCCUAAUAACUUUGUCUUCUCAUAUAUAUAAAACUUAUCUAUAUGUAAACUCGGUCUUACCUGCAUCCACUAUUGAUGUGCAAGAGAAACACAUAAGAUCUAUCAUCCGUAGUAAACUAGUAAUCAUUGAUAGAAAAAAGAAGCUAAAUUCUAUAAAAAUUAAGAAAAAUGCAUAGAGUUAACACUGAAAGAGAUAUGCACAGCAUAAAACAAUGGAAGGGAGUGAGAAAAUGCUUUAGAGAGGAAGAAGAGGAGAGAAUUAUGGAGAUAAGGAGAAGAAGCGGUGAGGAUAAGGAGAAACACCCAAAUAUAUCAGAUCUUUAGUGGCUUUUUACUUGUAUAUAUCCACGACACCAGACUUUACUAACUUUAGUGCCUAGUGUAUAUUUUUUUUUUUAAAACGAAGAAGCUUCAUUCAGGAACUGAGGAACACAGUCCAAAAGCCCAGCCAAAAAGACUGAUGCCCAAAUACAAGAACUAGAAGAGAAGGCUAAUCAUCAUCUUGUUCCGAUCUGAAGUAGAAGAACAUGUAUAUCCUUCAUUACAGUGGGGGCACAAAGAGUGUCAGUGGGCAAAUUUCAGUAUUCUUCUGGGGGCACGGGCCCCCACUGGUCCUUCAUUGGCUCCGUCACUGCUCUCAAGUAACCAAGACCACAAAUGACAUAUUUCACAUUUAUAAAAGGUCAAUAUUUGGGACAUGACAAAUAGUUUAACACAAAGAGAUAUGGGUGCUUCCGGGAAGAUGAGUGAACAGAACUAAGCAUUCACAAUUUAUCCCAAGCUUAAGAUAAGCUCAUAUUAAGGUUAAUACUUAAUUAUACGCAUGCAUCUGUUGAAGAGUUGGGAUAGUGACAAUCCCAGAAUGUUUCCUUCUUUGCUUGGGACUUGCAAAGAAGCCAAGACGCUGUCUGGUUAAAAUUUGACAAGAAAAGGAUCCUAAACACAAACCGGUUUGUGUUAAGAAAUCAAAAUUAACAAGAAGAAAGCAGGACUCGCAUACCAUGUCAGACACAACAAAGCCCCAAAGGAUCCUAAACACAAACCGGUUUGUGUUAAGAAAUGAAUGACCCAAAGAGACAUGUAUUUCAAUUAUAUGUCGAAAACAAUCGUAGAGGUUGUGAUUCCAAUUUAGACCUUAGAUGGACUAAGAUUGUCAAGUUCUCACAUGGUAACAGGAAAUCAUUAGCAUAGUUAAGUGAGCGGGAUUAUCAGUAAAAAAGAUAAUAGUAUGAAGCCUGAAUGGAUGAUUCAGCAAGUAGAGCGUCAACCCACCGGAAAGAAACCAACAUUGAAAUAUUCUGUUCAACAUUAAGAGCAUGAACUGUAAACUGUAACGAUGUAACGUGGUAAUUUAACAGCAUGUUAAAAAGAAACAUUAUAAACAUGAUAAUUUCUCAUGUCUCAUUGGCAAAACCAAAAGCCUUCGCUUCUCAUAUAUUUUUCUACUAAGCUCUUAGAAUACAUCAAAAUCCUUUAACCGCACCAAGUAUAACAGAUUAAAAGAAAACUUCAAUUGAUACUUCUAUCUUAAUUCCGAACUCUUUAAUAAUUUAGCUUCACGCUCCUGACAAAGUCUUUACCUCUGGAAGAAAACCACACAGACAUAAAAUGUAAGGAUAGGAAUACAUAGAGACGAAAUAACAGAUGCAAUCCAAUAUUAUCACAAGUGGUUUUAGAUGGUUAUAAAUUAUGGAUCACAUUGUUGUAUUAAAAGACUGAUUGCAUCUCAUUCACCAGACUAAGUAACAGUACCUAUCUAAUCCAAUCAAAUAAUGCUCACGAGAAAGGUGAUGGCUUUGUGAUUGAGAAUGUGCACAAUACUCAUCUGGUGGCUGGUAAUAUAAAUGUUUCUGCUGGCCAUGCUAAUGAGGUUGAUGAUGAUGAUGAGGAUUAUGAUGAUGAUGAUUAUUCUAGCGUUGAGGAAAUAUAUGAGGAUGGUAGUGGUCAUAAUAAUCAUAGCUUGGAGAGGAUUUAUAAUUCUCCACAGAGUCAAAGUUGGCAUGACACGGUAGUGGAGGACCAAUUUAUUAAUCAAACUGAGGUUUUCACAGGUGCAGUCCCCCUUGGUUUUGAGCAUGUGGGUGUUUUAGCAAAGGAUGUUUCUUUAAUAGCUAGCCAUGUUGAGAAAGGAGUUCUAGUGGAGGACGAUUUUGUUAAGGCUCUUUCAAAAUCACAGAAGAAAAAACAGAAACAACAAGCCAAUUAAGCAUGUUGCUGCUGCUGCUAGUGAGGGUCCUUAUCCAAAAAGGGACGGGCAAAAAAAUCAAAAGUAUGCAUAAUGAAGGUUCUUUAUUGGAAUAUUAGGGGAGUCGGUAACUCUGACUCUCAAUCUAAACUUUCAAAUAUUUGUCGUACUUAAAUACCUGAUCUGGUUUGUAUUUCUGAGCCGAUGGUAGCCUUUGAUUCAAUCUCUUCAGCAUUCUGGUCUGCUUUAAAUUUGGACUUUGUUACGGUUAAUGAUCGAGGAUCCAGGCUUCCAAAUCUUUGGUUGCUAAGAGGUCGUCAUGUUCCUAGUCUAGUGAUCAUCUCUACAUGGAGCAGCAAGUUACUAUUCAGGUUUCUUUUGAUAAUGAGCUUAGUCAAUUUUCUUUUGUUUAUGCUUCUACUUCUUACAUUAAGCGUAUGGAUUUAUGGCAUGACUUCUCAGUUAUUAGUACUCAAACCACUGUCCGCUAGCCUGGAUGGCAAUUGGUGACUUUAAUUCUGUGUUGGGAGCUCAUGAGAAGUCAGGGGGUCCUCCUCCAUCCCGUAUAUCUUGCUUGGAGUUCCAAAAUAUGUCAGAUGCUUGUGAUUUUGUCCAUUUGGACACUGUAGUGCCCAUUUUACUUGGACAAAUGGUUGUGGAACUAGGGCGCAUGUUGAGCUUCGAUUAUACAGAUCCCUUUGCAAUACUAGUUGGUUUGAAUCAUGGCCGUAUUCUAGCUGUAUUGCCCUGCCUCGGGUAGUCUCUGAUCACACUCCUAUAAUUUUCUCUGCUUCAAAGCUCUCCCCAAGUGAUCCAAAGCCUUUUCAGUUCCAGUCCAUGUCACUAUGCCAAAAUAUUCAUCAGACGACAGUCCAGGUCUGUCGUCUGACAGUUUUUUUUAUGUCGUCUGAGGCUGUGUCGUGUGAUUGACCUCAGACGACAAUUUUCCACCGUCGUCUGAUAUCUGUUCAGACGACAUAUCUUAUGUCGUCUGGAAGAAGCUGAAUCUGGAAGGUUUCAGAAAAAUAUGUCGUGUUAAUAGAUUACAUACAACAUAUAAAUGUCGACUGAAGCCAGAAUAAGGAAGAAAUUAAUGAUGUCUCAAUAGAAAACCAACAACAUAUAUAUGUCGUCUGAUAAAGCAAUUAUGUCGUCUGAUAGUCUAUUAGACUUUAUAUUUUUGUUGCUUGUUAUAAAGACUUAUGUUGUCCAAUUGUCUGUUGGAAUUCACAUUCUUGUUGCUUUUUAUAAGCACUUAUGUUGUUUGACUAUGAAUUGAACUUCAUAUGUAACAAAAUUAAGAAUCAAAGAAAGUAAAACUUCAUUGAUGUUGAUAAUCCACUUCAAUUAAAAAAGUACAUAAUACUUUUUUAUCCUAAUCUAUAAAAGGCUAUAAGUUAUGGUCCAACUUUCAAUCUAAUAUCUAUUCACUAAAAUGAAUAUAUGGACCUAAUCUAUUUCUAGAAAUGAUAUACCGAAACCUAUUAACGAUGUCAAUAUUGAUGUCAUUCCUCUCAACGGGGCUUCAAGUCGCAAAAUGACCUCGGAAUCUUCUGCAAACACUUAUACCUACAUAUUGACCAAAUCAACAACAAAAAGAAUGAGAGAUUAGUUCAUUUGGUGCAUGCUCCACACACACAUGGAUCCUCUUCCUGAUAAUUCGGUAGUAUACAAUCAGAAAAUCAUCAAAUUGAACUGUGGGCAUAACAGGUCAUAGCAAAUGAGUUGUUAAAUUGAACAAUUAAAACAGGGCAUACAACAAAAGAAACAUAAGCUCAUGAGGAAGCAACUUUUAUCAUCUCUAUUAUUCCAAAAAUGACUGAAAACAAAACAAGUACUUAAAACCAAAAUGACUUAUAUUGUUGCUCCAUGAUAGACAUUUAAUUAAUCUAUGACUACAUACCCAACCUUGAUUCAACAAUUCCAUUCUUUUGUGCAUUGUCUGUGGUGCAUAUUUCUAUCAAGUUUGUCAAUCUAGUAGAGAGCAGUAAUGAGCUUUGCACGAUAUGUAUACAAGUUACAGUUUGCUUUGCUUUCGUAAUUAACUUAGCUAUUACAAUCUAUAACUAUAUAUGUAUAGCUAGGAGUUGUCAUCAGCAAAGACCCUUCAUACAUUAAAUAUACGUAUGCUAAUGUAGGUACUGAGCAAACAAACAUAUACUAAAGAUUCAAAGCAAUUUGUACAUAAAAUAAAUAUAGAAUAAGUUAUAAGCAAGUCAUUCACCACUUUGCAUCUCUUGGAUGCAAAUAAGACUAGGGCGACAAUCACUAUCAUCAUUUUCACUCAAAAGUGAAAUCGAGCUAUUACAAAUUGGAAGCAAGAGCUAAUAGUCAUAAUGGUGAAGAAGGUGAAUACCUUGACCAGUUGACCGCUGCACAUGCACGAGUUCAGGUUUUACAUCAAGUUUUUCAGAAGUGGAGCAACCAAGUGGAAUUCUACAUGAUCUCAGUAGCCAAUACAUUUUCAUAAGCAAUAGUACAAGUUAUGAUUCUUAUAAUUCAAAAUGAUAUUAAAAGCUACUUUGUGUAACUAAAUUAGUACGAGUUUGAAAAAAUCAUGAAUCAGUUAAGGUUUUAAGCAUGCAUGAUGUUCUGCAGAUAACAUCAAAACCUUGUUAAAAAAUGCAGCAGUGUAACAAGUCUAAAUUUUGGGAGUUUUAUUGCUUAAUCUUGUUACUGUUUGCAAUUUUUAUGAAGAUAGAUAUAUUUGUUGAUCAUAACAGCCAAGCAAAUAGGAUUGAAAACAAUUUACAGGCCCUUAUGUCUUACAGCCUAUCACAGCAUCAAAAUUAAAUCGCAUUCAUCUGCAUAAAAUUGAAGUUCAUAUUUCCAAUUUUUAUAAUACAGAAACAAAACAAAAACAACAAUCAAAACUUAGAGUUCUUACCUUCGGCUCAUGACUAAUAUAUCUGCAAUCAAGGUUAGCGGAAGGAAAUUGAAAAACAUAGUCAAGAACCCCUAAAACAUGAUCGAACCCAUAUUAUUCAUAACAACAAAAACUUCAAAGCAAAGAGCUCCAAUCCAAACACAUAUUAUUCAUAGAAGAAAGGGAUGAAUUGUAAAGAGGAUGGACAUUUUCAAAUGCUGGACCGGGAAAUAAACCAGAAAAAAUUAAAACGGAAAGAGAGAGGAGAGGAAGAAGACGAAGAAGAAGAAGAAGAACAGAGAGUUUUCCCCAAAAUGAAGGUCCAGUUUACAAAACUGAAAAUUCUUGCUGACGACGAAGAUUACAGAAAAUCGAAACUAAGAAAAUAGGAGCAAAGAUUUCAGCCCAACUAUGGAUCCAAAUCAAGCACCGCCUCAGACAAAACUAAAGGCAAUGGACGCAUUGCCUCUGAAAAACUGGCCGCCUUUCACAACCAAAAACCAGAAAAGAGUUCAUUUGCUGCGCCGUCGCUCUUGCUGCCGGAGGCGGCGACGGUAGUGAUAGGGCAGGAGGUGGAGGCGGCGAAGGUGAAGGAGGUGGAGGCGGUGAUAGUGAAGGAGGUGGAGGUAUGAGUGAGAGUUUCUGGUUUUGGAGAGAGGAGAGAGAAGGCUGCUAGUGAAGAAGAAGUAGAAGAAGAAGAGAGUUGUGCGGCCGAGUGAAGAAUAAGAAGAAAAAGUUAAGUUGUGAUGAGGAAGAGAAGGCUGCUAGGUUUUAAGUUUUGGUGAAGUUUUUUUUUUGGUCAAAAGUUUUGGUCAAGCUUGGAAACCUUUAAAAGUUGAAGACUUAAAAUUAGGAAAGGGGAAAUUUGAUUUUUGAUAAAAAAUAAGGCGGGGUUAAGUGAAAAAUUUGAAACUGGGUAAAAAAUUUUAUGACGUUUAUUAAGUUUAUGUGCUCGUCAGACAACAUGUAUAUGUAGUCUAAGUUUAUUAAGAAACGAUCGAUUUAACGUUUACCGCGUCGACGAGACCAGAAAUUUAUCAAAAAUGUCUAAAUUUUGUAACAAAGCCAUGUUUCACUAUCGUGAUCAUAUCCAAUAUUCAAACUUUAAUUUUUUGAAUUUUAGUCAUUUGAAUCACAAUGUGCAUACUAAUGUGCUACAACGUAUACAUGUUUACUAGGUUAUAUCUAUAUGUACAUCUUUAUAAAAAAAAACUAUAUGAAAUAAAUAAAACUUGUAAAAUUUGACCGUACGAUGUGAUCACAAUCGUUAAAUAUGGAUAUGGUAGAAAAUUUACCUAUUUUCGAUAACGUUUGGGUCUCGAUCGCAUGGGUCAACUUUAUUUAUGCACAAACUUCCCUACGCUUCCUUAUGGGGAACUAUACCAUCGAUUUGUAAAAGUGACCGAAUUUUCACAUGGAUUAGUUUCACCAAUACUAAAGGAGAGUUUGAGUUUUGAUGAAUUGAAUAUAUAAGUUUUGGGCGGAGUAGAUAAGAGCGUUUCUAUUUUGAUAAUUGUGUUGAGUUUUUCAAGUAUUAAUCAGACAACAUGUAUAUGUAGUCUGACUUUGUUGAAGAAUGAUCGAACUAACGUUGACUGCAUCGACCGAGACCCGAACAUUAUUGAAAAUGUCUAAAUUUUGUACCAUGGCUAGGUUUCGCUAUCAUGAUAAUAUCCAAUACUCAAACUUGAAUUUUUUUAGUUUUAAUCACUUCAAUCAUGACGUGUCUACUAAUGUGUUAUAAGACGUUUACUACAUUAUACCUAAACAUGUAUCUUUAUAAGCCAACUGUAUGAACAAAAUCUAAUUUGCAAAAUGUGACCGUACGAUGUGAUCACAUAACUAAAAUAUGGAUACGGUAGAAAACUUACCAAUUUUCGAUAAAGUUUGGGUCUCGAUCGUACGAGUCAACUUUAUUUACGUUUAAAUUUUUCUAUGGGGACCUAUAUAAUCGGCUUAUAAAUGUGUCUAAAUUUUCUCAUACAUUAGUUUCGCGGGUACUCAAUGAGAGUUCUAGCAUUCACGAAUCAAAAAAAUAAGUUCGGCCGGAGGAGAUAAGAGCGUUUCUGUAUGGAUAAUAGACAUAUCGUUUGUUGACCAAUUUCGGACCUCUUACUACCACAUAUUUAUGUCGUCUGAUUCACACAAAGAAGUGGCGCCAUAAUUCGUUAAGAGCGGGAAAAUUUCGAAUUCGCUAAGAUUGGGAAAACUGCUUCCGCACACAAUUGAAAAUUAAAGUUCUUUUUGGACGACAUAAAUAUGUCGUCUCAUAAGUAAAACUCUGCACAGGGAAGUUUGAAUUGAAAAUUUCAGUUUCUUUCAGACAACAUAUAAUUGUCGUCUCCAGAGUACAUUAAAAGAGCUGAAAACCAGAUUUGGACAGCCUUCCUCAGACAACAUAUAUAUGAGGUCUCAAUUUUCAGCAAAAAGUGAGAAUUUCUAAGUUCGAAUUGAAAAUUUCAGUUUCUUUUAGACGACAUAUAUUUGUCGUCGUCUCUAGAAGUACAUUAAAAGAGCUAGCUGAAACCGGAUUUGGACAGCCUUCCUCAAACAACAUAUAUAUGAUGUCUCAAUUUUCAGCAAAAAGUGAGAAUUUAUAAGUUCGAAUUGAAAAUUUCAGUUUCUUUCAGACAACAUAUAUUUGUCGUCGUCCAGAAGUACAUUAAAAGAGCUAGAAACCCGAUUUGGACAGCCUUCCUCACACAAAAUAUAUAUGAGGUCUCAAUUUUCAGCUAAAAACCUCAUUUCAGCUCAAUUUUCAACUCAAUUUUCAGACGACAUAUAUUUGUCGUCUCCAGAAGUACAUUAAAAGAGCUGAAAACUAGAUUUGAACAGCCUUUCUCACACAACAUAUAUAUGAGGUCUUAAUUUUUAGCUAAAAAUGAGAAUUUCUGGGUUUGUUCACACCACACCUAUAUGUCAUAUGAUUUUUACAAACCUAGAAAAAAUGAACUAGCCUCUUGAAGUAUAUGGCACUCAUACGACUUAUACUUCACAAAUGUCGUCUGAAGGGUCGAAAAAUUAAUCAGACGAUACAAACUCAAAAUCGUCCAAAAUAUGUCGUCUGAAAAGUGUCGUUUGAUGAUGUAUAUGGCCUAGUGUGUGGUUGAAUCACCCUACUUUUCGUGACACAGUGGCUACGUUGGAGUUCUAGUAAGUUUUGGGGAUGCUCGAUGUAUGUCACUGUGCAAAAAUUGAAGGCUUUGAAAUCUUGCUUGCGGAAUUGGAAUAAAAUUGUAUUUGGGGAUGUCCAUCAGAAUGUUAAUAAGGCUCGUGAAGCUUUAUCUGCAAUUAGCAAGACAUUGUUAUUCAUGGUAUGACUGACCAAAAAUUUGAAGAUGAGGUUGACACAAAAUUUCGUGUUUUGAAUGCGGUCAAGAUGCAAGAAAGCUAUUGGAAGGAUAGAGCUCGAGUAAAAUGGCUCACGGAUGGGGAUCGUAGUACUUCAUUUUUCUAUGCCUAUGCCAAGGUUCGUUCUGCUAGUGCCCGAAUGUCUUUAAUUCAUGAUGGAGAAAGGAUUCUUUUUGAACCCUCAGAUAUUGCAGCUCAUGUAGUGGGGUUCUAUCAAAAUCUUUAUUCUUCCUCCUCUACUCUAAGGAAUCUAGAUGAGGUAUGCUCUGUUAUUCUUUCUUUGGUCACCAAUGCAGAAAAUGAUUGGCUUACAGUAAUCCCUUCUACUGAAGAAAUCAAAAAUGCCGUCUUUGCUAUGAAUGCUUCCAGUGUACCAAGCCCAGAUGGAUUUCCAGGUUGUUUUUAUCAAUCUUUUUGGGAUAUUGUCGGUUCGGAUGUUGUUGCAUGUGUGAAGCAAUUUUUUAUGCAAAAUUGGCUGCUUCCUAACAUAAAUUGCAACUUCUUGGUUCUUCUUCCAAAAGUUCAGGAUGCCCAUGAAAUUACUCAAUUUAGGCCGAUUGCCCUAGCCAACUUUCUUUUCAAGAUAAUUCCAAAGAUCUUGGCUUCUCGUUUGGGACCAAUUGCUGCACGUAUAAUAUCUCCGGAACAAGGUGCUUUUAUUUCAGGUAGGCGGAUUACUAGUUGCAUUGGCACAGUGUCUGAAUGCUUUAAUCUCCUUGAUCGCAAGGCCUACGGUGGUAAUGUGGGGAUCAAAGUGGAUAUUGCUAAGGCAUUUGAUACGUUGCAAUGGGAUUUUCUACUUAGAGUCCUCAAGAAUUUUGGGUUCUCUAAUAUUUUCACCAGUUGGAUUAUUACUAUUCUUAAGUCGGCAAUGUUAUCAAUCUUAAUUAAUGGUUUUCCUCAUGGGUUUUUCUCUUGUUCUCGUGGUGUGAGGCAAAGGGAUCCUCUUUCUCCAUUAUUAUUUUGUCUUGCCGAAGAAGCUCUCAGCCGUGGUUUAUCUAUGUUACUUGGUUCGGGUCGAUUGAAGCUUAUAUCUUUUCCUAGAAACUGCACUCCCCCUUCUCAUGUUUUAUAUGCAGAUGACCUUAUUGUUUUUUGUCGUGGGGAUAAAUUAUUUCUUAGCCAUUUGAGAAGGUUUUUUGACCGUUAUAGUGCAGCUUCUAGUCAAUAUAUUAAUGCGGCGAAAAGUACUUUUUACCUUGGUGCCAAGUAUCAUCAUAGGCAAGCGACAAUUCAACGAAUAUUGGGGUUCCGCACAGGUAGAUUGCCUUUUAUUUAUUUGGGUGUCCCAAUUUUUUGUGGCAAGCUUCGGAGGUGUCAUCUUCAAGUUAUUGCUGAUAAAGCAAAAUCAAGACUUAUGGGUUGGCAGGGAUGGCUUCUUUCUAUGGCUGGUCGGACUUAAUUGGUGCAAUCAGUUUUUCAGAGUAUGUUACUUCAUAGUUUUUCUGUGUAUCAGUGGCCUGUGUAUUUGGUGAAGAAGCUAACUUCAUGGGCACGAAACUUUAUUUGGCCUGGUAAUAUAGGGACUCGGAAAAUCGUCAAUAUUCGCUGGGCUCAGGUUUGUGCCCCGAAGCUGGAAGGUGGGCUUGGUAUUCGUGAUCUUUCCUCUCUUAAUUCAGCUGCUAUCCUAAAGUUUGCUUGGGAUUCUUUCUCUUCUCAUUCUCAAUGGGGGGAUUACAUACGAUCAAGGAAUCCUAUUCUAUCUGUCUGCAAGCUGGGCUAUCGUAAAUCCUCAAUUUGGCCAGGUCUUCGGUCGGUUGCUUCUGGUUUUAGACAAAAUUGUUGAUGGUUAAUUGGAGAUGGUAAAUCUGUGUGUUUUUGGAAGGAUAAAUGGCUUCAAGCUCCUAUUUUGUGGACUUUAGGUAUUUCAAAUUGGUCUUAUUUCAGCAAUCUUCAUGUCGCAGAUUUUAUUUCUCAUCAUUCAUGGCAGCUUCCUCCCUUCUUUUGCCAAACUUUUCCGCUCUUGGCUAGGCAGAUUUCAGAUUUGGCACUCCCUCUUAUUGAUGAGUCAGAUAUGCUUAUUUGGGAGCCCUCUACCUUCGGUGAGUUAACUUUUUCUGUUGGGUAUGAAUUUCUGAGGCACCACAACACUGUCAAAGAUUGGGCUUGUAAUGUAUGGUGAUCAUUCAUCCCACCUCGUUACUCUUUUUUGGUCUGGAGAAUUCUUUUUGAUCGGCUUCCAACUGAUGAUAGAGUGAAAAUUAAUGGAAUUCCUAUUGUGACUAUCUGUCAGUUAUGUUAUUGCUCUGGUGAGACAUCAUUGCAUUUAUUUUUAUAAUGCCCUUUUUCCCAACGGGUUUGGAAAUGGUUGGCUGCUCAAUUUGACACUUCUUUAUCUUCUUUCAACUCCUUGAUAGAUUUUUGGAAGAGCUACUGUUGAAAGUCUUUCUCCUCGUAGCUUUUUAAUUUGUGGCUAGCAGCUGGCAUGUUUACUUUCAUGGCUCUAUGGAAGGCUCGGAAUAAGCUAAGGUUUGAUAAUCGAUCCCCUAAUUUAUAUACAAUGUGUUGCUCAAUUAUGGUAGGGAUUCGUCAAAUUAGCCUUUUUGCUCCUGGUCACUAUAAGGGUGUUCUUGAUGCCCGUUUAUUGACCUCUCUUGGAGUUGCUCCUAAAGGUGGUAAGACUCCUAGAAUUCAAUAUGUCUUAUGGCAGCCUCCUCCGUUUCCUUGGAUCAAAGUAAACACAGACGGUUUAGCAAAAGACAAUCCAGGUCCAGCAACUUGUGGGGGUGUGUUUCGUGAUGCCUCAGGUGGGUUUUUAGAGAGUUUUUGUCAUUCGCUUGGAUGGAAUACUUUCUUUUAUUCUGAACUUGAUGCUGUUAUCUUGGCAAUUGAAAUUGUUCAUGAUAAAUGGUGGGUCUACUUAUAGUUGGAAAAUGACUCUGUUAGUGUGGUAGCUUACUUCUCUUCUAGGUCUUUUUCUCCUCCAUGGAACUUAAGAGUUCGUUGGAAUAACUGUCUUUCUAUAAUCCGUCAAAUGAACUUCCAUUGCAGUCAUAUUUUUAGAAAAGGAAAUGUGCUAGCUGACAAGAUGGCAAACUUGGGGUUGUCAAAUGGUUCAUUUACUUGGUAUGAUAAUCCUCCUACUGAGCUUCAUGGUUUCUUACAAGCGGAUUAUUUGGGUAUCCAUAAUUAUCGGUUUUCAUAGUGGGAAGAUUGCCUGGUUUUUUAUGGGUAGAAUAAACAAUGUCUUUUGGUAUGUUGUUUUGGUUUGUAAUUGAAAUGGUUUUGGCCUAGUCCCCAAUUCCUCUUUUAAUGUAAUUUCUUUUAUUAUAAAUAAAAAUUCUGAUAAGGGACGGACAGUGGGUUCCUUGUUGUAGCAAUCCCCUUCGGGAUAGAAUGGGUGCUCUAUCACCCACCAGACUCUGCUACAGAGGAGCUGAUAUCACAUAAUCCUUGUCAGUAAUUAAUUAAAAAAAAAAAAAAAUGUAGGUAGUAACUUCACAAAAAAGAUAGCGAAGGUGAUGUCUGAGUUAAUUAAUAACUGUGGACGCCCAACACGACCAUAAACAGAGGGUUUCGUUUUCAGAAAUUGCCAUAUAGUGGGUGGGGUACGCAUAGGAUAUCCUGGCAGUUAAAAAUCAGGCCAAACAAACAUCACUAUAAAACUUCAAACCAAAUGCUCUUGACAGGAAUUGCCCGAACAUCUGAGUUGCAGUUGAUGAAAAUAAAUAUGUUCUUAAACAAAUAGUAUUUUCUUUGUGUUAGUAAUGCUCAGAAUAUGAUACUAACUGCAUGGAAUAUAUUUGCACAGGACAGUUAGCCCACCGCUCUUAAAUCAUAAUCAUAUGUUUGCAUUGACAAGGGAAUUUGUGCAACUCAUAAGCAGUAGGUUCCCUACCCUACAAGUUAACAAAUCCCUCAUGUUUGUUUGUCCAACUGGACCCAUCAGUUCUAUGUAUCUAUAAUUGCUAAUUAAAUUGCCAAGGGACAUUAAGCCCGUACACGUUGCAAGAGCAUAACGAACAGUGAGCUCCUACAUCAAACCAUAAGAACCAAUAUACAGCAAGGAGAAAGGAGGGCACUGAGAUGAGUGCCACCUCUAAUGACCACAAAUUAGUUAGAUGAUGCUCCAUUGUAAAUACAUAUAUUAUUGGUGUUGCACUUGCAUCACUUAUUUUGGAUUUUGAGCCAAACUCUACUACUUUGUUCAUCGAUUUAGGACGGUCACUAGGCUUCAUUUGUAUACACCACAAUGCUACCAUAAGCAUCUUCUUUGUUAAUUUCUUUUCCUCGUCGGUCGCAUCUUCAAUUUCCAUCUCCUUUCCUUCACUGAACUGGUCAUAAACCCAUGAAGGAAAGUAAAUUUGGCUAGAAUGGGCUGCAACUGCAUUCAAGUUCUUUCUUUUCCCUGCUAUUUCCAUCAGCAACAUUCCGAAACUAUACAUGUCAGCUUUGUUUGACACACCACCAAUAUUCUUGUAAAACAAUUCCGGAGCUAUGUAUCCAAUGGUUCCUCUAGCUGCAGUCAAAAUUAAACUGCUGUCAUCUAAUGGGCAUAAUCUAGCCAGACCGAAGUCUGAAACCUUUGGAACAAAAUUCUCAUCUAGAAGAAUGUUGUGUGGCUUGAUAUCAAAAUGCAAUAUCUUCAUGUCACAUCCUUGAUGCAGAUAACCAAUACCACGAGCCACUCCUAGUGAAAUUUCAAAUGUUUCCUUGCAGCUUAAGGAAAUGGAUCCUUCCUUAGAAAAAAUGUGCUUAUCAAGAGACCGGUUUGCCAUGUACUCGUAUACAAGAGCACGCUUUGAUCCCUCAGCACAAUAGCCAAUUAGUUGCACCACAUUUACAUGAUGAAUUCUUCCAAUUGUGGCAACUUCAUUUAUAAAAUCUUGUCCAUUAGCUUUGGACUUUCCCAACAUCUUAACAGCAACAAGGCGUCCGCUCCGGAGCUUUCCUUUAUACACACAGCCAUAACCUCCUUCCCCUAAUUUGUCCUUAAAUCCUUUGGCCAUUUUCUUGAUAUUGUAGUAGGAGUACCUUAUUGGCAUGAGGUUAUUGUGACUUUGCAAGAAAUCUUCAAUAAGGCCAUACAUUGAUAAGAGUGGCGUCUUUUCAACUUGAAGAUCAAAAACACAAUCACACAGGGAACUCCGAGUACAACUUUUGUCCUGGUCCACAUAAUCACUGUAAAUGAAAUAAUAACUGAUCAUAAAAAUGAUUCUGUAAAGAUUGUAAGCCUCAAUAUCGACUUACAGAAGUCCUAUAAAUAUGAAUGAAUAUGAUAAGAAGCAUGGUGAAGAAGGUCAAUUAAGGAAUACGAUUAAAGUUUCUAGUAUUGCUCUAUUUCUCUCAUCUGUAUCAAUAAUACCGUCUUGCCCAACAUCUUGCUCCUACAUGGAGAGGCUUGAGCUGUAAUACAUAAUACAAUUAACUUUGUUGGUAUCAGUGUCGAUGUAGCAAUCUUCACCUGGUCGCCCGUAAUUGUGCAACCAUGAAAGUUCAAAACCAUAGAGCAGCUUGUUGUGGAUGUCUAUGUAGGACCUGUUCACAACUUUUGUUCCAUUCCAUGAUGUCAAAACCAUCAGCUCCGUCUGGCAUGAAUCUAACAAAUCCGAUGCAUUUAAGCUGUCAGUGUUAACAAAGGAAUGUCCACUCGUUGCGUUGAUGCAAGGAGCAGCAUCAACAAAGAGGGAUGAAUUCCCCGGCCGAAAUUUACAGGUCAUGAGAAUUAUAGGCUUUGACAGUAACCGAUGACUACUCCAAACAAUUGUACCUGUCCGAUAAAGUUGAUACAUGCGAUACGGAUCCUCAUCACUACUGAAGUUGUAUCUAGUCAAGGAAUAAGGAGGGAGUGAAGAGCAGUUAUCCUUUUGAAAAUUGGCAUCCACAACUCGGAUCGUGCAGUUUUUAUAAUUGAUGGCAAGGACAUAGUAUCUUACAGAAUGCAAGUGUACAACAGUGAGAUUGUUCUCGCAAGACAGGUUAUACCUGAAGUCACCGCACUUCUGUGGAUCACCGAUGAGUCGGAAAGGGUAACUUAUAUUACCGAUGUCGCCGCAAGAUGAAGGCUGACAGUGUUGAUGACCCUUAGCAUGGAAAGCUACACAGCAUAAACCAAGAACUAGACCAAUAAUGAAUCGUGCUGCAGGAACAGGUAGACUGACCUUGAUCAUGGCGAGAGAGACCAAUUAAUCUAAUUUAGCUUCAUGCCGGCCUUCAUCAGUUCCACGGAAGGAGAGAUGAUAUAUAUAUAUAUAUAAAUGCUCUGAUGAUCAGUACUAAACAACAUUAUACAUAAACUUCACUUACUAUUCAAUAUGGAAAACAGAAAAAAAACUUCUGACUUGUAGACCAAGUGAAGGCUAGCUAGGUCCAAUUACAUUUGGACAAAGAGAUCUCAACUUUGGUUUCAUUUUUAAUGGCUACUUGAGAUUUUGUGUAUAUAUAGCAAAACUGGAACAUUAUUGGUUUUACUAGUCAACAUGGAAAGAUAGAUCUAGAAUAUAUUUGUAGAAUACUGCAACCAGUUCAUUUUAUUUGAGUGCAAAAAUGAUUCAAUGAGCUUGACUUACUCAACUUAUAAAGAUCAAGUAACCGGCCAAGUCCACAGAUGAUGUAUCUCAUUUAGAAAAGAUCAAUAUAUGGAGUAUAAGAAACAGUUCUAACAAAAAAUAUAGAGAGAAUUGCCUUAAGGCCUCAAGGGAGUCUACUUAUAUAUAAAUUCUAUAGGAUAGUUUGUAACUUAUUACUGGGUUAAUUUUGCUGGAUUAUGUGUGUAUACAGCUUUUGUUUCAUGCAUUCGUAGAGAAAGAACACGAUAGGGUAUGUAACCAAAAAAAAAAAAAAGAACACAAUAGGGUUAGGUAUGCAUUAUGUAACAAUUAAGGACGAGCGAAUCUUCAAACUUUCUUGUUAGGUCUUCAUGUAUGUGCUUGAGCUUGGGCUUAUGCAUGUAUAUAGUUUUAUUUUCAACUUUCAAUCAUCCAAAUUUGUAAACAACUAGAAAGACAUCGGCCUCUCUCAAACCAACAACAGUCCAUGUCAUGCUGAGCACCAGUGCACUACUGCAUUCACGAAACUUGUAAACAACUGCUGACCAAUAUGAUAUGAUUGAAACUCGGAAGUAGCGAAAGUAUUACCAUGUUGCCGUUCUGAAAUGAUCCAAAAUUGGCUAGAUUAGUCACAUAGACAGAUGAUGGUUCAGUAAAACUUGACGAAAUAACGUUCUGAGCAUCUGAAUUAUAAAACAGCCUAUCUCUUCCAUUUCAACUAAGGGGUCCGGCUCGUCUAAAAUAAGGAGUCCGUGAAGUUAGUCUAAGUUCAUAAAAUCCACACUCUUUAUCUAAUCUAAUGGGUUCUGAGCAGGACACGUCACUCUUGGAUUAAUAUAAGUUAACCUAUGGUUAACUUUGGUAAACUGCCGUCAACUACAUAACAAAAAAGAAAAGAAAAGAGGUUUUACGUCUUCUGCUAUAACACGUCCAACUGCUAUCUUCCUCUCUUGCUUCUAAGUCGAUCGACUUGCUGCGCUAUACAUAUGCUCUGUUGCGAAUCACUAUGACGAACUUGGACUAUUGCAAAUAAAUCACUACAUUUGGUAUCCAGAUACAUACUUUCAGAACAUAUGCUCUAUUCCCAGGUAUUACUCUUCACCAAGGACUAUGGAUGAUAUCGUUCAGUAAUUGAAACCUAUUUGGCCGAUUUUGGAAUAAUAGAGUUACUGUGGGAUUUGGAUCAGUUGCAUUUCCUACUGCGUGCUAUGAAAGAGGACCGUUUGAUGUUUCUAAACUUUGAAAUCAGCUGUUUGAUAUUUUUGCAUUUGGGACGCACAUAACGUGUUUGAUGCAAUGACAAGCUCAAUUUUUGAAUAUUGACUUCAGAUUUUGUUCAAGUUAACAUGGAGUAUGAUUUUGGCAUUAAUUGACAAAGGCCAUAAAGCUGAUUUUCAUCUGUACUAAUUUCAUUUUUCAUCUGUAGUUUGAGCACUUCUUAGAUGUAUUGUUCUUAUUUUGUGUUUUCAAAACUGAAAAACACACAUCUAAGUAGGCAAAUACUUGUUUGUUUCAUCUCACUUUUUGCGAAAGCAAGACCUACUUUAUCAACUAAGUUGUAAUAUAAAAGUUAAUGCAAUGCAUAGUCGACAAAGUUGGAAAUAUUGCUCGUAAGGAACUGUGAAAACUGAUUCUCUAAUUGUAGAUAUGGACAUGAGCAAAAAUUGACAUGGACAUGAGCAUCUAUAAUUGUCAAAACUGAUUAUCAAACAUUAUAUGGUGUUGGUGUUGUUGUUGUUAGAAUUUGAGCCUCUACUUUGUAUUUUGAACAAAAUAUGAUCAAGAUCAAUUUACUGUAGCAAAUGAGGCAGAAGAAAACUCAGUUGAACUUUGAAGCAAACCUUAGCAGCCUCUAUUCUUACUUGUGGAAUUCUUAGAGAUUACACAGCAACUGAACCCUUAUAUAGGGUGCAAAGUAACCUAUAAAAUAUCAUAGAAGCACCUAAUUAACUAGAUUGUAAUUGUACUUUACAUACAACAGAAUAUCUAGAUUUUUUAUUUUAUUUUUUUACUAAACAAAAUAUCUAGAUUAAGUGGAGGAGAAAACAUUAAAGCAAGUGGCUGGGAUUGUCUCACUGCAACUCCAGCGUGAGUCCCUGCAGCUGAUUAUUACUAACAGAUAAGCUUCCCAGAUUUCUCAGGAAAGCAUUAACUUCAACAGUUGUUAAUUUCUGUGUGAUCGAUCAUACUUCUGCAUCAAAAGUUAGCAACUAAACAAAACCCAAUUCAUGUACCCAAACUGGAUUUUACAAUUUUGAUUCCAUAUAUUGGAUUCAUGCAAGUUUAAUCAUGCAGCAAAGGUUAAUUAAUUAUACCUCAAUGGUUAUUGCUAUGGUCAUAUGAAUGGAGUUACAGUUGAUCCUUGUGGAUUUCCACCGUUGUACUUUUAGCAUUUGUUAGGCUUGCUUGAAGGUUAAUAAGUAGUGACAAUACUUAGCACUAAAAGGUUAUAUUGGUCCAACGCAGUGCCUUUCAUGCUUCACCCCCAAGAAUCUAUUGAGCAUGUGCUAUGUAACUGCCCCAUCAGUAGAACCUUAUCAAAGCAUCAUUUGAACAUUCCUGUGACUUUGGUAGAAAUUGUUGUGGAUUCUGAUACCACUGUCAGAAUUUGUGGCUUGUUACUACAAUCAGAGUUGGAGUGGAAGUGUUUAGUGUGUGAUGAGCUAGGACAAUGUGUUUAGAACAAAGGUAUUUAGGAGCUAGACUUAGGAGAAGAUGUUAUUAGGACAAGAAUGUUAGGAGGUUAGAUAGGGGUUAAGAGGAGAUGUUAAUAGAGGAGGGAACUUGAUUGCUUGCUUCAACUACUCUUUCAUUCAUCUUCAUUACAGUAUAAGUAGAAGAGGUCAUACACAUAUAUAUAUAGAGCAUGUAAACCGACAUUGCAUAGUAGCCGGCGACCUUGCUGGACUACAUCACAGACUUUGUUUUGUUUCUAGACAAUGCUAGACUCUUUGCUAGCUCUAGAUGACUACAUGCAAAAUUUUCAUGAUCAUUCUUCCCUAAUCUAGAUUAAUCUAGCUAGCUCUAGGACUUCCUUCAUUUCUCUAGAUAUCUUUAGUGUGGUGCAGUAUAUUUUAAAUGGUCAAUGUCUCCACCUUUCAUUUUUAAGGAGUGGAUGAUGGAGGAAGCUAAUUCACUUGCUGAGAAGUUUAACUCAUUGCUUAUGUUUAUUUGGGGCAUCUUGGAGAAACCGCAAUUCUACUCUAGCUAUGGUCUCAGAAAAGUCAAGUGCAAAUGACAUUGUUUGCCGUGUUAUCGCCUGGUAUCAUGAGUUCACUGCUACAAAUCAAUCUCUUCUCACGCUUGAAAAGAUGCAAUUCGGAGGAGAGAGUUAGGAAAUCACAACAGAAUUGGAGUGCAGUGGCAUGAUAAAACUGGAGAUGCGAUCUCAUUUAGUUUAGUCCUAGUCAAUGUAGGAACACUCACCUGUAGGAAUUGGUGAAACCUUUAGUCAGCAGAAUUGAGCUCACUUAAAAUAGAUAAAAGAAAAUUAAUGGACCCUAUACUUACUGCAUAAGAUUGGAAGCUAGUGUUUUCCUUUAUGCCAUCCGGGAACCUAUUGCUGUUGGCAAAGCCAGAAUUUCUAUUCCAUAAUGGUGAACAACGUCUGCUCUAUCUAUAUAUAUAUAGAGAAACCAAUGGAGAACAUAUGCAUUAGUUCACGAACAGUUUAUUACGUCUCAUAUGAGCUAAGAAGUAGAAAGCAGUUCGGAAUGAGACUGAAUUUCGAGUCCCAUUGUCAUGGACUCAUGGACAAGGUUCCCAGUUCUAGACGGAAGCUUCUUCGGGAUAGGAGAGAGGAGAGAAACUUAUGUAAGAAGGCGAACUAGCUUUCGAUACUUUGUGGUACUGAUGUAUGCAUGAUCGAUCAUCUUCAAACCUCACAACACCAAACCAGAGACUUGGCCCCAAGAACGUACAGAAGUCCACCGCAUUAUCGAAACGUACAAGGAAAAGCUAGCGAUGCAGAAUAAUGACGUCAAAGAUAUGAGAAGCACUUCAUCUCUGUCAAUCGGAGACGCCACAAACGCUACUACUUCGCAUUCUACUUCUAGUCAUGAACCAAAUAAGAAGAUGAAACUGGACUUGAGUUUUCUGAUUCUUAUGAUUCCGAGACUAGAGGUAAGAAGUUGCAUGCUGACUAGAAUGCUCUGAAUACUGAAGAGGCCAUGGAUAUGGAGAUGCAGUACCAAGAAGGGAGUGCAAAGCAUCCCCAGAACGAAUUGAUUGGAGAUGAUGAGGCAAAGCUUGCUUCACUAGAAGCUCAGCUGCAAGCUAUAACCAAGAGAAUUGCUUCAAUGGAGACAAAUUAUUUUUAAAUUCUGUAGGAUAGUAUUGCUUGAUCAAUAACUCAAUAUUGCUGGAUUAAUGUGUAUGACUGUAUAUUUCUAUUUCUGUUAUGCAUUUGGUGUUGGUGCCAAUGUAGUGAAAAAAUAUGAUUAGGUGAGGACGAGUUAUUCUUCAAACAUUCUCAGUUAAAUCUUGGUGUUUUGUGCAUUAGCUUAUGCUUAUAUAUAUAGUUAUUCCUUUUCUUCUUUCAAUCAUCAUUGGUAAACAACGAAUAAGACACCGGCUACCCUUAAACCAACAAUCCAUGUUAUGAUUAGCACUAUGUAGUACUGCACUUCACGAAAUUUAAGCUUGUAAACAAUUGCUGACCAAUAUGAUACCAAUUGGAGCAUGUUCAAUAACACAAAGUAGGAACUAAACUACCCUCGAUCUAUAUAAAGACAAUAAACUUGGUAUCAAGAACUGAAGUUUCCCUCAUGAUUCCUGAUCAGCACACCGUUCCCAGUUUAGGUGAAUAUGCAGAGUAUUCGAAUAACACUUAUUAACUACUCCAUAGCAGGAAAUUCCUUCCCCAUGGUAAAUACAUAUAUAUUAUUGGUGUUGCGCACUUAUUCUGGAUUUUGAGCCAUGCAUCACUUAUUCUGGAUUUUGAGCCAAACUAGUCGACUCUGGAGCUUCAUUUUUUAAUGGCAGUGACGAUGAUAGAGCUGUUUCCGUAUCAUCUUCAUCAUCCACUACUGGCAUGUCUUGUGGAUAUAGGAAGGGCUUUGGAGGCAUUGGAAUGGAUUCAACUUCUCCUUCAAGCAUCUCUACAACUUUGCUCAUUGAUUUGGGACGGUCACAAGGCUUCAUUUGUAUACACCACAAUGCUACCAUGAGCAUCUUCCUUGUUAAUCUCCUUUCCUCGUCGGUUGCAUCUUCAAUUUCCAUCUCAUUUCCUUCACUGAACUGGUCAUAAACCCAUGAAGGAAAGUAAAUUUGGCUAGAAUGGGCUGCAACUGCAUUCAAGUUCUUUCUUUUCCCUGCUAUCUCCAUCAGCAACAUUCCGAAACUAUACAUGUCAGCUUUGUUCGUCACACCACCAAUAUUCUUGUAAAACAAUUCCGGAGCUAUGUAUCCAAUGGUUCCUCUCGCUGCAGUCAAAAUUAAACUGCUGUCAUCUAAUGGGCAUAAUCUAGCCAGACCAAAGUCUGAAACCUUUGGAACAAAAUUCUCAUCUAGAAGAAUGUUGUGUGGCUUGAUAUCAAAAUGCAAUAUCUUCAUGUCACAUCCUUGAUGCAGAUAACCAAUACCACGAGCCACUCCUAGUGAAAUUUCAAAUGCUUCCUUGCAGCUUAAGGAAAUGGAUCCUUCCUUGGAAAAAAUGUGCUUAUCAAGAGACCCGUUUGACAUGUACUCGUAUAUAAGAGCACGCUUUGACCCCUCAGCACAAUAGCCGAUUAGUCGUACCACAUUUACAUGGUGAAUUCUUCCAAUGGUUGCAACUUCAUUCAUAAAAUCUUGACCAUUAGCUUUAGACUUUCCCAACAUCUUAACAGCAACAAGGCGUCCGCUGCGAAGCUUGCCUUUAUACACAGAGCCGUAACCUCCUUCCCCUAAUUUAUCCUUAAAUCCCUUGGUCAUUUUCUUGGUAUUGGAGUAGGAGUACCUUAUUGGCAUGAGGUUGUUGUGACUUUGCAAGAAAUCUUCAAUAAGGCCAUACAUUGAUAAGUGGCGUCUUUUCAACUUGAAGAUUAAAAACACAAUCACACAGGGAACUCCGAGUACAAUUUUUGUCCCAGACCACAAAAUCACUGUAAAUGAAACAAUAACUGAUUAUAAAAAUGAUUUUUUAAAGAUUGUAAGCCUCAAUAUCGACUUACAGAAGUCCUAUAAAUAUGAAUGAAUAUGAUAACAAGAAGCAUGGUGAAGAAGGUCAAUUAAGGAAUGCGAUUAAAGUUUCUAGUAUUGCUCUAUUUUUCUCAUCUGUAUCAAUAAUACCGUCUUGCCCAACAUCUUGCUCCUAAAUACUUGUCCAAGACACAUUGUCCUAGUUCACUCCUAGCUAUAUAGUGGUAACAAAGCCACAAAUUCUAAUAGACUUUGUAACGGCUGGAAACAAUCAUGUUCUGAAAUAAAGAUAAAUAAUUAUGGUUGCUUACAGGAAAAAAAAUAAUGAGAAAACGCACCUGCAUCUAGAAUGUAUGAAGCUGACACUGAUAAACAGACAGAAGAGUUGUUGUCAGAGUUGUUAAAUUAAAAUGGUCUGAAAAGAAUAAGACUGAGAUAGUGGUCACCUAUUACAUAAUCCGCAAUAAUAGUGGAGAGGCUUAAGCUGUCAUACAUAAUACAAUUAACUUUGUUGGUAUCAGUGUCGAUGUAGCAAACUUCACCUGGUCGCCCGUAAUUGUGCAACCAUGAAAGUUCAAAACCAUAGAGCAGCUCGUUGUGGAUGUCUAUGUAGGACCUGUUCACAACCUUUGUUCCAUUCCAUGAUGUCAGAACCAUCAGCUCCGUCUGGCAUGAAUCCAACAAAUCCGAUGCAUUUAAGCUGUCAAUGUUGACAAAGGAAUGUCCGCUCGUUGCGUUGAUGCAAGGAGCAGCAUCUACAAAGAGGGAUGAAUUCCCCGGCCGAAAUUCACAGGUUAUGAGAAUUAUAAGCUUUGAGUACAGUUCAAACUGAGGACUUUUCUCCCAACUUGUACCUUUCCAUUGAUGCGUGCGAUACAGAUCCUCAUCAUCACUACUUAAGUUAUAUGCAGUCAAGGAAUAUAGAGGGAGAGAAGAGCAGUUAUCCUUUUGAAGAUUGACAUCCACAACUCGGAUCGUGCCGUUUUCAUAAUUGAUGGCAAGGACAUAGUAUCUUCCUGAAUACAAGUGUAAAACAGUGAGAUUAUUCUCACAAGACAGGUUAUACCUGAAGUCACCGCACUUCUGUGGAUCACCGAUGAGUCGGAAAGGGUAACUUAUAUUACGGAUGUCGCCGCAGGAUGAAGGCUCACAGUUUUGAUGAUCCUCAGCAUGACAACAAACUACACAGCACAAACCAAGAACUAGAACAAUAACGAAAUGUGCUGGAAGGGGUAGUAGCCUGAUCACCUUGAUCAUGGCGAGAAAGACAAAUAAUUCUAGUUUAGCUUGAUGCCUCAAACAAGCAGAGAUGAUAUGAAAAAAUGCUGUGAUCAGUACUUAAACAACAUUAAUUGGAUAUGAACUUCACUCACUAUUCAACAUGGGAAAGAGAAGUUCUGACCAGUAGACUAGUGGAAGUUCAUUUGGAAAAAGAGCGAGCAAUUGAGACAUCUCUCAAAUUUGGUUCCAUUUGAUUUUGUGGAUUAGCAAAUGCCAACAUUAUUGGUCUUACUAGUCAACUUGGAAAGAUAGAUCGGGAAUAUAUACCUUGUGGAAAACUGCAACCAGUUCAUUUUAUUUGAGUGCAAAAGAUUGAAUGAGCUUGACUUGAGGUCAACUGAAUAUGGAUUAGUCACUCUCAAGUAACCAAGACCACAAAUGACAUACAUCUCAUUUUUGAAAAGAUCAAUAUUUGGGGCAUGAGAUAACACACACAGAUGGGUGCUUCCGGGAAGAUGACUGAACAGAAUUAAGCAUUGACAAUUUAUCCCAAGUUUAAGAUAAACUCAUAUUAAGGUUAAGACUUAAUUAUACGUUGAGGAGUUGGGAGUAGUGACAAUCCCAGAAUGUUUCCUUCUUUACUUGGGACUUGCAAAGAAGCCAAGACGCUAUCUGGUUAAAACAAAAGGAUCCUACAGACAGAAAUUAAAUUAACAAGGACAAAGCAGGACUCGCAUACCAUGUCAGACACAACGCUCGCAACAACAAAGCCUUGAAAUGAAUGAUCGGAUGAAUGCCACAAAGGGACAUGUAUUUCAAUUAUAUGCCGAAAAAAUCACAGCAGGUUGUGAACUUGUGAUUCUCAUUUAGACCUUAGGUGGACUUAAGAUUGUCAAGUUCUCACAUGGUGACCAAAAAUCAUUACCAUGGUUAAGUUAGCAAAGAUUAUCAGUUAAAAAGAUAAAGUAUGAAGCCUGAAUGGAUGAUACAGCAAGUACAGAAUCAACCUACUGGAAAGAAAUGGGAUAUUCUGUUAAAAUGCCUAUAUAAUGUGAUUUUUCUGACCAAGUCAGUAUGAGCAUGAACUGUAAACUGUAAUGAUGUAACGUGGUAAUUUAACAGUAUGUUGAAAAGAAACAUUAUAAACAAGAGAAUUUCUCAUGUCUCAUUGGCAAAACCAAAAGCCUUCACUUCUUCUUGUAUUAUUUUCUACUAAGCUCUUAGAAUACAUCAAAAUCCUCUAUACUGCACCAAGUAUAACAGAUUAAUAGACAACUGCAAUUGAUACUUCUAUCUUAAUUCCGAACUCUUUAAUAAUUUAGCUUCACGCUCUUGACGAAGUCUUUCCCUCUGGAAGAAAACCACACAGACAUAAAAUUUAAGGAUGGGAAUACAUAGAGAGGAAAUUACAGAUGCAAUCCAAUAUUAUCACAAGUGGUUUUAGAUGGUCAUAAGUUAUGGAUCGCAUUGUUGUAUUAAAAGACUAAUCACAUCUCAUUCAUCAGACUAAGUAACAUUACCUAUCUAAUCCAAUCAAAUAAUGAAUAUGUAUGUAGUUAGCAACUUCACAAAAAAGAUAGUGAAGGUUGCCACAGCAUGAUUUCUGAGUUAAUUAAUAACUGUGGACGCCCAACAGGUAAACCCAGAACCACAAACAGAGGGUUUCGGUUUCAGAAAUUGCCAUAUAGUGGGUGGGGUACGCAUAGGAUAUCCUGGCAGUUAAAAAUCAGGCCAAACAAACAUCACUAUAAAACUUCAACCAAAUGCUCUCGACAGGAAUUGCCCGAACAUCUGAGUUGCAGUUGAUGGAAACACAUAUGUUCUUAAACAAAUAGUCGUUUCUUUGUAUUAGUAAUGCUCACAAUAUGAUACUAAAUGCAAUGAAUAUAUUUGCACAGGACAGUUAGCCCACCACGGCACCACUCAUAAAUCAUAAUCAUAUGUUUGCAUUGACAAGGGAAUUUGUGCAACUCAUAAGCAGUAGGUUCCCUACAAGUCAACAAAUCCCUCGUGUUUGUUUGUUGAACUGGGUCCAUCAGUUCUAUGUAUCUAUAAUUGCUAAUUAAAUUGCCAAGGGACAUUAAGCCUAUACACGUUGCAAGAGCACAAUGCAACAGUGAGCUCCUACAUGAAACCAUAAGAACCAAUAUACAGCAAGGAAAAAGGAGGGCACUGAGAUGAGUGCACCUCUAAUGAUCACAAAUUAGAUAGAUGAUGCUCCUUUAGGUAAAGACACUAUGUUUUGACUACAGGAUUAAGAGUACAUUUAGGCAUACAGGCCAAGAAAAAAUCCCACAAAACUGAAGGAGGCAACUACAGUUUGUGAGCAACAUUGCCUGGCUAAUGGACUUCACCAGCUCAACCUCUUUGCAUUUUUUGUUGUGUUUUCUACAACUUUCCUUUCCGCCGAGUAUCACUCAGUUUGAAAUAUGUAAUCCAAGUUGGUGAGACAAAAAUUUUCUGACAGUUGAAGUAUACCCACUUGUUAAUUCUUUUUCACAACUUUGUAAUAUUGAUAUGAAGGAAGAAGCAGAACACCUAUGAUGAAUUAAAUUUUAAAAACUCAUUAAUGUUUGUAUGAUUUCAAAGAUGGAUUAGAGCCUAAGAGAAAAUUCAAAUUUUUAUAUUUUGUGGUGUGCACAAUAUAAAAUAGAACCCCUCUAUAAAUACAGGUAUAGGUAAAAGAAAAUUGUGGGAUCAAUGAACUGAAAAUCCAGCAUUUACAAGUUUUCAAAAACAUUGCACUGAAUAAUAAUGCUAAUAUGACAUGAGAAAGGCACAAGCAACAGAUUUAUGUGUAUCACCCCCAGUAAGACCAGUAAGACCAUUAUUUAUUCUUUACAUCAAUACAAUAAAAUUAUACACAUAAAAUAAUAUUGUAUCACACAUUUUGUCAAACUACGUUUUGAGUUGUAUCCUUUAUAAAUUGGUCCCAAUACUUUUUACAAUCAAUCCGGUGACCAUUCAACCUAAACAAACAUUUCUACCGCUUGUAACACCAGCUUUCCAAGAAAAUAAAUAAAAGAGCAGGAUUUCAAAAAAAAAAUAAUAAUAAUAAUAAUCAUAACAAGAAAGCGUACCCGUCUUUCCCAAAAAGGAAGAAAGCAGACGAAAUCAUAGACAGGAGUAAUGGUUGAAACUAAGAUAGCAUUGAGUCCAGUAAACACCAAAAGUGCAGUCAUAGGUCGAGUUCUGUGCGGCAUGUUUCUCUAUUGUCUAGGCUUUCUUCAGCUCUGCAAGCAAGAAAACACAGUUGAGGACAGAAAGCAACACUAUGCACACCUAUCAGUGCUUAAUGCACACGGAUGAAUAAAAGUACUAGUACAGAAAACACAAGAGAGUCAAAAUAAAGAUAUGACAAACCAUGCUCAAAUGGGAAUAGAGGACUAUUAUUUUUUUUUUUUUAUGAAUAUCUUUGAAAAUUAUUAAACAGAAUGCUUUUAUAUAAACAUGUCCUUAAAAGCCAACAAAGAUAAAUUGAAUUCCAAAUAUAUGUGCUUAAAUGCGGUAAAAAAGGGAAAAAAAAAAAGGUGGCCUACCAUGAUGGUAAAAACAAUACGUAUCGGACUUGAAAUCAGUUCUACUUUUUCCAACUGACAAAGCCAACAGGUCAUAGAAAAUGCAAAUGAAGGCCUAAAAAUGCUUCACAUACUGUAACCAAACUAUCGGUUAAUGAGUACAUGAAAAAACAUAAUCUACAAUAUAUAUAUAUAUAUGAAUAUAUAUAGAUAUACAGAUACAUAUAUAUAAAUUAACACAUUUUCUCAGUACAAGACACAUUCCUGUCAUCAUGAAGCUAAUGAAAUUACAGUGGCAAGAAAAUGCCCACUAAAAAAAAUAUUUAUAUAUAUUUUCAACAAAAGAUGAUUGCCCUAGCAGGGGUGGGUGUUCAUCCAUUUUGGUUACAAAAACAACGGAGUUGCAUCUGCAACUCUAAAAUGCAGCACUACUUCAUUUACACACAUAGUAGUGAGUGCAAACCUGUAAGUAAAGUCCAUGAAAACCCAAUAUCUGAGACAUCAUAUUCAAUCUAUUCGCUAACUGUGUAAGCAAAAUACCAACCUGUGUUCUGUCAAAUUCUUACAAAAACAGUUGGGCAAAUCUACCCAACAAAAUGUUCACGUAUAAUGAAAAUGCCAUCACUUUAGAACCAACAUACAAAACACAGGCCUUUUGAAGCUAUUGAAAGUAAGAUCUAUAAACAUUCAUGUUAUAAUCAUAUAUUAACCAUGAUCCAAAUGGGGAAUUUAAUAACUUUGCAUUUUCUGAUCUCACUUACUCCUGUUAUUGGUCACUUUAACUUUACAAUCAUAUUUAGAAGUACCCCCACUCAACAAAGUGGAGAAUUGUACAGUACUCACCACAGCUUGCUGCAGUUGUUGCUGGGAUAUCAGUAACCAACCUGGAAACCAUGUAAAGGAUGAAUACUCAGAAAAAGUAAGCACCACUCCUCAUCAACCUGGCCUAGACACAUCCAAUACCCAAAUUAAAAAGAACACCAAUCAAUCAAAGUGAACAGAUAUUCUUCUCUACAUAUACCCUUGUUGGUCUAGAUCGUUUUUCUAGAGUUCUUGCCAUCUUGGCUUUAAGAAUACAUGAAGAACAAUUUCAAGACCUCAAAAAGCUUAGCAGUAAUGCAUAUCAAGGCUUAUAGCUCACUUUUGCUUUCUUCGUUUUAUUAAUCAAUAAUAUAAUACUUGCAUACAUAUUCAUCAUGUAUAUAUAUUAUGCUGUUUGUCAUCUUUGUUUAGAAAUGCAUUAGUUUAAUCUACAAUUCCCUCGUUACUUCAUCGAGAAUAGAAAACAAAAGAGUAAACACAAACCCAUAAAAGGGGUUGUAUGAUAAAGAAAUAAUAGCUACAAGCUGAGGCUCCAGAACUAACAUGUUAUGCUUGGCUCUUUCAGUUUGAAUUUGAUGGUAGAUAUGAAUUCAAUUCAGCGGCCGAAACAGGCAGAACACAGCCCAACCCAGUUCAACUCACUGUCCAAACUCCAAAACCCCAAUUCUUCAAUAAGCAAGAGUAUCAAAAUCUCACACAACCCAGGUAAGCUUUUCUACUAUAGAACUCGAAUUUCACAGAUUCGACAAUAAUUUCACAACCCCAAUCAAAGAAAUUGAGCUCCUCUAAUCGCAAUUCUCACUACCCAAAUAAAAAUUGCAGAACAAAGUUUCACUGAAACUGUAAGUAGGAAUCUAUUCCCAAUAUUAAGCAAGAAAAUGAACACAGCAGACACAAUCACCCACAAAAGUAAACUCCAACGCCAAAUUCAUAUAUCAAAACUACACUCAGCCCAAAAAUGAACUCACUCUCCCAACUCCAGAAGCCAAUUUGAAUUUAGGAAAAACGGCAUGCAACACAAUGCCACGAACCCAAAAUGCAAGCAAUACCAAAAGAUGAGAAAGAGUAAGAGGGAGGACUACCUUUCUUGGACUUAAGACCUUAGUCCUUCCUCCUCCAAUUCCACGUUUCCCUUCACUAUUCUGUCUCUCUACGCCUCUCUCAAGUCUCACCCUCUAAUGUUUUAGUGGAGCAAUGGAAUGCACUUAAUCCUUGGCAACAAAAUAAUUAUUUUCUUGAACAGCAAGCCCAUCCAGCUCUCUAAAGUUUAACGGAUUACAAGCUCCAAUCAGGUGAAUCAAUUUCUCUAUAUUUUACGAGCUUAUUUUUUGAGUAUUAAUAGGAUUUCCCAUAUUAUAUGAGGAUCUUCCUAGCUAAUGUACCACACUAUACCCCCUCCUCAAGAGUGUGAUUUACUUAAUAUGUACUUUUAGUAAAUUUUUUUUUUUAUUGCGGCAAGACAGUGCAAAAACCAAAAGCUAUUCUUUUUGUUCAUCCAUUGUACAGACUAGUAGAGUAGUAGAGAAUAGAAUUAUUUAGCUUGAGUGAUUCUCACAUAGCCUAUCAAUUUCUCAGAUCUCGGGAAGGAGACCUCUCUCAAACAAACAGUAAAGAUAGAAACUUCACAACAACAUCAACAACAAAAAGAUCUAUACCACAAUCCACAUUACAAGCACUGAUCUAGUUAAACACUGAAAGUAGAAAUUCAGUUACCAUGACAUAACAUUCUGUAUAAACCUAAGAUUAUCUCUUCACCGUAAUCAUAAAGUAACUAGGCAUCUCUUUCAGAAGUUGCAACUCUCCCUAUCUAAAAGCUUCCAAUAUAUCUCCAAAAUAGCACAACAAACGGAGUACAAAACAACACGAGAUUGCCAUUUCAUGUGAUAAACAGUCGAUAUUGGUUUCUCCGACCCUACUUGACUACCAGUUACCAAACACCCGAGAUAAUUUUCGCAUAUACACUUGUAUACAGUAACAUUCUCAUUGUCAAGCACCCAAUCAGGUUCAUAUUUUCUCUCAAAAUUCAGGGAAAUAAGUGCAGGGUACCUCUUUCUACAGACUCUACAAUACAAUGAGUUAGGGAUUAGAAAUCACACCUCGGAACAGCUUGAAAUCUUGCUUUGCAGUGACUGAAAUUCUGGGUCCUCCCGCCAAGCUCGAUUCCUUAAAACCCUAAACCCUAAAAACAUUGACAAUGAUUCUAACUUUGGAAAUGAGCUUCUAAUUUGUCUAGAAGUUUUAUAGAUUUUUUUUUUUUUCCUUAGAAUAAAGUGACAGGUGAAGAAAAGGGACACGUGUAGGGUGGAUAUAGGCGAGAAGAGAGAGAUUCCCGCUUUUGAAACGUGGACGAGUCAAACCCAAAACCCAUAAAGCCACCUCCUCAUUCGCGUUCAUCCACAUUCACCGAUUCCAAUCUCUCUCUCUCUCAAUUCAGCUUCCUUCGUCAACUCUCUCUCUCUAUUUCUCACCGGAAAAAAUGGCCGCCGUCCUCGGAGGAGUCCACGAAUCCCAAGGCAGCCAGAACAGCCUCGAGACCGACGAGCUCGCUCGCUUCGCCGUCCAAGAGCACAACAAGAAGGAGGUCAAACUCAAAACACGCUUUCGAUUUCAUUCAGUUUUUGACGUAAUUUUUGUUUUGUUUUCUGGAUCCAAACGAGUCGAAUUUGAUGUGCAGAAUGCUCUGCUUGAGUUUGUGAGGGUUGUGAAGACCAAGGAACAAGUGGUUUCGGGGACUGUGUACUAUUUGACUAUUGAGGCGACCGAUGGGGGCCAGAAGAAGCUCUUUGAGGCCAAGGUCUGGGUUAAGCCGUGGCUCAACUUCAAGGAAGUCCAGGAAUUCAAACCCGUUGCUGACGUCUAGUUUGCUUUUCAGGUAUAACUUUAUUAUCUUUGUGUUGAUUGAAGCAUUUGAUUUGGGAAAAUGUGGAUUUGAGGAAUUUCAGUGUUAAAUGGUGGUCUUAAGAUUAGGGUGAUAAGCUAUUGAUGAAGAAUUUGAUAAUUUAUGUAAAAGAUAACAUGGUUUUGGUUGAUCAUCAAAUUUUUUAAUCGACUUUGGUAUCCUGAACUCCAAUUGUUCUGUACUUAUACAUGUUUAUGUUCAAUUUGCGAGGGCAGGCAAUAGAUGGUCUUGCAAAGUUUAAGAUGCUUCUAGAGGUCAGGGGAGCAAAGAAGUGUAAGUGCAUACGAAUAAUGAAGGUACCUUCAAUCUCAGUCAGAUGGAGCCUCUCAACUUUCUGAAUAUAUGGGUUUGUAGUAUAUCAAUCUUCUAUGAAUUGGGUGUAAAUAUGCUAUGUUGCUGUUAGUAUUUCUUAUCUCUGUUGAUACAAACACUAGUUACUAAGGUGUUGUUGUGUACUUUCGUUUCCUAAUCAUAUCAAUGAUCAUUCCUAUUUCUAUGUCUUUCGGCCUAUUUAUUGAUGUAAGAGUCAGUAAGACAUCUUAUCUAAGAUGCAUUCAUGCAGAGAUGGUAGGCUUGGUAGCCAGUGGCUGUGGUGUAGAGACAGUUGGGUAUACACAAGUGCGAAAUGACCCUAAACCAGUAAACCUUAUCAGGAGUUAUUCUACCAUGUCCAGAAUUGAGAACCUAUCAAAAUUUUCUUAUCUUUACUCAGUUGACAAUGCAAAUCCAUAUUUAUUUUUACUUUAAAGUAGAGAUAUCGUUAGGACCAAAUCCUUUAUCUUUGGUUGGCAAAUGGUUCACUAAGGACGGGUAACCAGUGUAUAUGCUCAGUGCCCCAAUAAUGAGUCUUCCUGCCUAUAUAAAUGGACAGAAAACUUAAAAAGAAUAUGAAGGAUUGGAAAAAAAUUCCAUCUCAAACAUACUUUCUGGCCAUCUCCGUGUUCCAGAAGAUAAUUUUGCGGAACUUCUGUUACGUCAACAUGUUUCCUGCCUCCUACCAUUGAAGUAAUAACAUUCAAAACUAUGAACACCUGACAUUGACAGUGCAUUACGAAAGUUCCUUAAAAAUUCUUCUGGCGCAAUGUAGCGCAGUGCUGGGAACUGCACAACGAUGCUUGGAGCAUAUUUGCAAGACCAAAGUUAGAGAUCUUUGGAUUGAAGUUGUCUUCUAAGAGUAUCUUUAUCAACUUCCUCAUUUUCUUGAACUUCUCAUAUUUGGGGAAUAUAGAGCUGUUUUUAGGUCAAACAGCUUCUCCGUCCAAUUCCUAGGGCCGGCAUUGUGGCCAUAAAGGCUCAAGGCAAGAAUAUAUUUGAGGCCCCCAAGCAAAUGUUCGACAAAAAAUAUAAAAUAGAAAAACUCAAAAUAUUACAAAAAUAUUGUGUAAGAUCGUUAUGGUCUAUUAUAAAAAAGCCUGGGCCUCUGUUAUGGUCUUAAGAUCGCAAACAACCUCAGUAUUUCUAAUUUGGAUAUAGAAUCAGAUUCUGCUAUUCUUAUAAACUUGAUGCAAAGAACUGAUAUGUUUCUACAUCCCCUUGGAUUUUUAAUUGCUGGCUGCCAUCACUUUGUCUCCACCAUGGAGAAUUUUAAAUUUUUUCAUAUUUUCAGAGAGUGUAACAUGCUUGCUGAUUCCUUGGCCAAGAUGAGUAUUGACCAUGCGCCUGGUAUUACCAUUUUUGAAGAACCUCCUAUUCAUGCCACUGCUGCUUACUUAGAUGAGCUGGGAAUUCUAAUGCUCCUUAGUUUCUUUUUGUUUCUUUUUCUUGGGCCUUUGUGCGCCUCUUGUAACCAAAAAAAAGAAGUAGAAAUAAAUCCUCACCGUGGGAUUCUGUAUAGAUGACGUGGCAGUCCAUCAUGUGGUUCCAUAGCAUCAUCCACAGUUCCACACUAUAACUAGCCCCAAUCCCCUUCCUAAAACCCUUUCUUGUUCUUCUUCAUCAUUCCGUCAAACAAACCAAAGACCUCGUAGACCACCAGCUCCGCCACUCUGCCUAGUCGUCAUGCAAGGCGCUCUCUUAUCCCCAACCACCUCUACUUCCACCUUCCUUCUCCGCCCGCCUCCUCCGCCGCGCCGCAGCACCAAGCCUCCUCCCUUCUUCUCCGUCCGCGCCUCCGCCCAAUCCGCCGCCAAUGCCGUCGCCGCCGACGAGACCAAGCUCAACAAGUACAGCUCCCGCAUCACCGAGCCUAAAUCCCAGGGCGGCUCUCAGGCCAUUCUCCACGGCGUGGGGCUCUCCGACGCCGACAUGACCAAGCCCCAAAUCGGCAUAUCCUCCGUCUGGUACGAAGGCAACACUUGCAACAUGCACCUCCUGGGGUUGUCGGAGGCCGUCAAGGAAGGCGUCCAGGGCGCCGGAAUGGUAGGGUUCCGGUUCAACACCGUCGGCGUCAGCGAUGCUAUUUCCAUGGGGACUAGGGGCAUGUGCUACAGCUUGCAGUCUAGGGAUUUGAUUGCUGACAGCAUUGAGACUGUUAUGGGGGCGCAGUGGUACGACGGCAAUAUCUCCAUUCCUGGCUGUGACAAGAAUGUGAGCCCCCAUUGUUAAGUUGCUUAGUUUCAUUUCUUUGACUCAGUUUGAUUUCAGUUAGGAAUUAUUAGUGUUUGGUGCUGUGUCAUUUGUUUUUGCAGAUGCCGGGGACUAUUAUGGCAAUGGGCCGGAUCAACCGACCGAGUAUCAUGAUUUAUGGUGGAACUAUCAAGGUUGGACAUCUCUAUUUGAUUAGUGAAAAUGGGAGCUAGGAGUAUACUUGCCUUUCCUUUCUGAUUAUCUGUUUUUUUCAGGUGUUUAUUUUUAUGAUUAGUAAUCAUUCCUUUUCUCUUUCAAUAUGUUUGAAAUGAUUAGGUUGGCCUUAAUAAAAUGAGUGAAAUUGAUAUUGUUUCCCCUUUUGUUACUUCAUCAACAAACUUUCGAAUUAUUUCUUUUUCUUUUUACUACGUGCUUAGGAUGAUUGGGAUUUGGUGACUGAAGUCAAAGUUGAACCGGGUUAUUACAUUGUCUAUCUUUUAGAAAUAAUUUAUUAUGCUUUAAUUAUUUUCUUUCUGUUUUCUUGCAGCCUGGGCAUUUCCAAGGCAAUACUUACGAUAUCGUAUCCGCCUUUCAGGUAUGCUUUUUGUAUUUGUGGUUAGAUUUUGGUGUUGGGCUUGUUACUUGGUGUAUAGGAUUAGCAUGUAUACACAUGUCCUCCUUACCUACUUCUACAUCUAAUAUCUUCUGAGAUGAAUAUUCAUUGCAUUCAAAAAUAAAUACUCUAAUUUGAAGCAUUAGAAAUUGUUUACAAGGAAUAGUUGAGAUGUUUAGUACUUUAAUUUAUCUAUCUUGUUGAUGUUAGAUUUAUGGAGAGUAUGUAAGCGGAUCCAUUAGUGAUGAACAUAGAAAGGAAGUUGUUCGUAACUCCUGUCCUGGCGCUGGGGCUUGUGGUGGAAUGUAUACGGCUAAUACAAUGGCUUGUGCAAUCGAAGCUUUAGGAAUGUCCAUACCUUACAGGUAGAGAUGUCUCCACUAUUCUGAAUACAAAUGAGGGUACAAAAAGAAACUCUAUUUGAAGUUUGUGACCGCUAGCUCUCAUUGUUUUUUUUUUUUUUUCCUUUUCUCUUAAGCUCGUCGACACCUGCUGAAGAUCCGUUAAAGUUGGACGAGUGUCGCUUGGCUGGGGAAUAUCUGCUGAGAUUAUUAAAAAUGGAUUUGAAACCGCGAGAUAUUAUUACUCCAAAAUCGCUACAUAACGCUAUGGUUACUGUCAUGGCAUUGGGUGGGUCUACCAAUGCCGUGUUACACUUAAUUGCUAUUGCCAGGUGAGAAACCACCCUCCGAUGCUAAUAAUUUUCAGAAUGAAAAUGAUUUACUGACUAGAUUCUUAACAGGUCUGUGGGCCUUGAGUUAACACUAGAUGAUUUUCAGAGAGUCAGCGAUAAGAUUCCAUUUCUAGCAGAUCUUAAGCCUAGUGGCAAGUAUGUCAUGGAGGAUGUACACAAGGUCUAAAUUCUAGUGAUUUCUUUUACUAAUUUUUUAUUUAUUGGUGCAUGCUAGAUGUGGUACAAAUCAUGUAAAUGACAUUUUUCUUGAAGAACUCUCAUUAUUUAUUGUUUCUCAUGAUCAUCAAGUAUUGACUAAUUCUGUUAAUAGAUUGGAGGAACACCAGCUGUUCUUCGCUACCUAUUGGAGAAUGAUCUUUUACAUGGGGAUUGUAUAACUGGUACGUACUGUUCACGUGAUUUGGAAACCACUACUUAGAUUAACAUAAUGAUAUUAUUAUUUUUCCUUUAGUAACUGGGAAGACACUUGCUGAGAAUGCUAAAAGUUUCCUUCCCUUGUCUGCCGGGCAGGUUUGAUUUCUAACCAUAAAAUAAUUUCACCAUCUGAUAUAUUGCCAUUGUUUACUCUUCAUAAAUCAUGUGUUUGAAGCCAGCUUUUAAUGUUUCUCGUGCUUUUUUUUCUCUCAUCAUUCAGGAUAUAAUAAGACCCUUGGAAAAUCCUAUCAAGAAAACAGGUCACCUCCAAGUAUUAUAUGGAAAUCUGGCACCAAAGGGUUCUGUAGCAAAAAUUACAGGGAAAGAAGGACUAUAUUUCUCUGGUAUUGCUUUUAUUUUGUGUUUUUUGGUUUCACAUUGCUCUUCAUUCUCCUGAACUUUUUUGUUCUUUUAUUGAAAGUCCCUAAGCUGAUGAUUCAUUUAUUAAAAUACUUCAGGUCCUGCGCUUGUCUUUGAAGGGGAGGAGGCUAUGCUUGAAGCUAUCACCGAGAAUCCAAUGAAUUUCAAGGUCAUUUCUUGUUUGAUGACUUCAACUGUUUCUAGCAAUGAUCUCUUGACAAACUUUGAAUUGGAAAACCCUGAUCUAAGACUUGUUGCUUAACAUUGGGAGGCAUUUCUUUUUUUUAUUCUAUUUUUUGCGUCAUGCAACUUCUCGUGACGACUUUAAACUGAUAGGUGUUUUUGAUUGAUCUCACAUGUGCCGUGCCUAAUUUGUGUAUCUAUUACAUUUCAGGGAAAAGUAAUUGUUAUUAGAGGAGAGGGGCCAAAGGGAGGACCAGGCAUGCCUGAAAUGUUAACACCUACCAGUGCAAUAAUGGGUGCAGGUCUUGGGAAGGUGCACUUAUUUUAUAGUAAACAUUUAGUUUUUGAUUAGUUUUAAGUUAACUUUAAAAUGUAUUUUCAUCAAAUGAAGUGUGUUCGGUUGCUUUAUUUUAUGUCCAAAGAUGGUGAUUUGACUUCAUUACUUACUAUUAGGUUCUCUUUCGGAUUGUGAUAUUUAUUUAUUUUUUUUGUUGAUAUGGUUCUUUUGGUAUUGCUUUUGAGUCGCAGGACACAGCAUUGUUGACCGAUGGUAGGUUUUCGGGAGGUUCACAUGGAUUUGUUGUGGGACACAUAUGUCCUGAAGCACAGGUUAUUUUAACUUCUUUUCAUAUAGUUAGAUUGUACUCGUCUUGGUAUCAUAAGUAAAGAUAGUUUCUGCAACUGAUGGGAUGCGUUUCAUAUGGUUUUCAGGAAGGUGGCCCUAUCGGAUUGAUUGAAAAUGGGGACAUCAUCACUGUUGAUGUCGAGAAGAGAAGAUUGGAUGUUCAGUUAACAGAUCAAGAGAUGGAUACUCGGAGAAAGAACUGGGUUGCACCUCCAUACAAGGCUAACCGUGGAGUUUUGUACAAGGUAUGUUAAAAACUUCCUAGUGCAACCAUCUUCUUGUUAUAGCUGUCUUUGUGUUUAAAUAACAUCAUCUUUGUAUCUCCAGUAUAUCAAGAAUGUACAAACAGCUUCAAGUGGAUGCGUGACGGAUGAGUAGUGGAGAUUGCAGAAGCAGUUUGUAUCAGAAAUUGCAGGCAGCUGCACAUCUCGCCGAUGAGUAGUGGAGAUUGGAGGAAACGACUUGAUAUAGAGAUGGCAUAAAUAUGCAUUAGUGCGGCUCUUUAGGAUGUCUAUUUGGUUCAUAGUUCUUUCGGGGCUCGGCUUUUUUCACUUUACUUUUCUUGUAUCUUCAUCCAUUUGAUUCACUGACUUAUAAAACAAAGUUGUUUCGUUAAUAAAAUUUUCAAUGGUGCUUAAACAUUUGUUUCAAGUGCAUCAUGGUAAGAAUUUUAUGUAUUUCAAAAAAAGAAUUUGAUGAAUGCUGCUUUUGGUGCAGAGACUGGAGCACAUUGAAAUCUGUUUUUGCUGCUUCUGUUAGCAAAUUUAACCAUGUAUUGGCCAUGAAUAAUGCAGCUUGGCCAUGAAAAAAGUUCUUGGCCAUGAAUGAUGCCAAGCUUUGAGGAUUCCCCAAUGUGUUGCCAACAAUUCUGGCUUGAUGAUGAUCAAGAUGUGACAAAGAGGUCUUUAGCAGAUGUCCACUAAUUAAAUAAUGCAGCUUCAGCAAGUAUCUUCUCUUGCUACACCUCGCUGUGAAGGUUCUCAUCAAAAUCUUGAUGUCUUCACCCAAAGCUUGCUUGAAGCUUUCCUUGAAGUUGUUUAACACAUCUGUAUGAAUCACAUCGAAAAUAUGUACUAUUAUACAUGCUUCACAGCUUUUUAAUGAGUUCGUUUAGUGAACUAAACUUAAGGGUCAUCACUGAAAUUUGAUUUUACUUUACAAAAUCCGCAGCAAGGAUAAAUCAGAUUAAGAGGCGAGUCAAAUCAUCAAGUACUCUCAUCUUUGUUAGCUAUGGUCAAGGUCAGUACUCUACACGUUCCAGCACCAUGCAUUGUUCUUCUAGUUCUUGGUAUAUGCAAUGUAGCUUGCCACGGUAAGGAUGAUUGUGAGCCUUCAUCAUGUGGCGACAUCUGAAAUAUAAAUUACCCUUUUCGACUAGACCAUGAUCCAAAAACUUGUGGUUCCUAUAGGUAUAAUCUGUUUUGUGAGAACAAUCUCACUGUUUUACAUACCAUGUUCUUGCCAUCAAUUAUGGAAACUACACAAUCCAAGUGGUAGAUGCCAAUGUUCUUAAGGGCAACUGCUCUUUCAUCCUUCGUUAUUCGUUGACUGCGGAUAACUUCACUGUUGGGGAUCCGUAUAGCAUGUUUCUCGUGAAGGGUAUAGGGAGUACAUUAAACUGUCAAGGCCUAUAAUGUUCAUGACCUGUGCAGCUCGGCCGGGGAAUUCUUAUCUCUACGUGGAUAGUGUUCCUUGCAUUAACGCAAUGAGUGGCCAUUCUUUUAUUCACACUGGAAGCUUAAUUGCCUCAGAUUUGGGGGAUUCAUGCCACAUUCACAUGAUGGUCUUGACAUCAUCCUUAAUUGGUACAGAGGACAUGAACAGUUCCUUGACUUCCUUCAUAGACAUCCACUAUGAGCUGCUCUAUGGUUUUGAACUUUCAUGGUUGCCGGCUACGUUAUAUUUUCACUUGGGGGUUGCUAUGUCGAUAUCGAAACCAACAGUUAAAAUGUGGUAAGGAUAUGAAAGAACAUCCUAUCUGCUAUCAUCUCAAGCUUGACUACUUAUAUAUCCACACUUCUUUUAUUUUCCAUUUACUUCUUCAUAGAGUUGAUAGCGGCUUGAUAUUAUGUAUUUCUGCAGGCAAGAUCUUUGAUAUUGUGGAGUAUGUAACAGGUGAGAACUAUCUCAAUGCAUUUGUUUUAAAAUCAUGUUCAAUUACCAACUCUUGGAACAACUAUUCUCUCCUUUUUUUCUUUGCAGUACUACUGCAACUUCCAUUCAUUCUAUAUCCAUGUGCGCUCUCCCAUUUCUUUCUGUACAAGCAACCUUGAUCAUACAUCUUGAUUUCAGAACAUAACUAUUUCCAACAGUUACAAAGUCAUACAGUUUUGAAUAAUUGUUUUUAGCAGUAGUUCUAGCACCUUACAAAAUCACUUAUGAAUUUUUUUGUUUCUUUUCAGUGAUUGCAUGGACUGUGACGAAAUCUGUACUUGGAAUUCCGUGUGUGAUUGUGCUUUUAAUCUUGAAGUUCAAAAGAUGCCACUUAUCAAUGUAUGGCCUUAUUGAAGAAUUUUUACGAGGUAACAACAAUCUUAUACCGAUAAGGUACUCCUACUCCGAUAUCAAGAAAAUGGCAAAAGGAUUUAAGAAGAAAUUGGGGGGAGGAGAUUACGGCUCUGUGUAUAAAGGCAAGCUUCGGAGCGGUCGCCUUGUUGCUGUUGAGAUGUUGGAAAAGUCCAAAGCUAAUGGGCAAUUUCAUGAAUGAAGUUGCUACAAUAGGAAGGAUUCAUCAUGUAAAUGUGGUGCAACUGAUUGGAUACUGUGCUGAGGGAUCAAAGCGUGCUCUUGUAUAUGAGUUUAUGUCAAAUGGCUUUCUAGAUAAACACAUUUCCUAAAGAAGGAAUCAGCUAUUUAAGUUGCAGAGAAGCAUUUCAAAUUGCACUUGGAGUAGCUCAUGGCAUUAACUACUUACAUCAAGGAUUUGACAUGAGAAUUAUGCAUUUUGAUAUCAAGCCACACAACAAUCUUCUUCAUGAUAACUUUGUUCCAAAGAUUUCUGACUUUGGGCUAGCAACAUUAUGUCCAUCAGAUGAUAGUAGUCUAAAAAUGACUGCUGCAAGAGGAACCCUUGGAUUUUGACCCAAAAAAAAAAAGAGGAACCCUUGGAUACAUGGCUCCAGAAUUGUAUUACAAAAAUAUAGGGGGGUAUCUCGAACAAAGCUGACAUCUACAGUUUUGGAAUGUUGCUGAUGGAUGGAAAUUGCAGGAAGAAGGAAAAACUUGAAUGCAGGCGCAACCCAUUCGAGCCAAAUUUACUUUCCUUCUUGGGUCAAUGACCAAUUCAAUGAAGGAAAUGAGAUGGACAUAGGAGAUGUCACUGAGGAGGAAAAGUUGAUAAUAAAAAAGACGAUCAUCGUGGCAUUAUUGUGCAUCCAAAUGAAGCCUAGUGAUCCUCCUAAUUCAAUGAACAAAGCGGUAGAGAUGCUUGAAGGAGAUAUUGAACGUCUUCAAAUGCCUCCAAAGCCUGGCCUAUAUCCAGAACACAAGCCAAUAGUGGGUGAUGAAGACGACUCAGAAACCUGUUUCCUGUUGGAUUUUUGGUGUUCCAUUACAAAUUGUCUAUUCUGUGAUUAUCUCUUUAACUAUACGUCAUAUGUUUUCUGCUUUACUCAUUUGCCACUUUGAUCACUAAACUUCAACUCUGUCAUUCACGGUGCAUGGAUGUGCUGAUGUGCAAUACGAUCGUUUCUGGUAUACAUGGCAGCAGCAGAUGGGUAGGAAGAAAUGUUAUGACCAAUUGCCCUACAAGAUAUGCAAAUAGUGGUGUUCCGGCGCUAGUUGCAGUUGGAACUCUCAUCGAAGUUCAGCUCAGUAGACAAAGUCAUCACUUGCAUGGCGCAAAUGCACACAACUUAAAUCGGCAACGAAACAGCACACAAUGUUAUGAACACAGAGAAUUCACUCAAUUGAGCAUCACUGCACCAUCCAAUUUCACUAAAAAUACCAGUAAACCUCGUACUAUAUGAAACGUGUUCUAGAACCUUUUAGCAGGUAAAACACCAAGAGACAGAAAUCCACCAGAGGUUAGAUUAAUCAAAGGCCUACCGUAAACUAAUACUUCCAGAAGAUAACUGUGAGCUGUAUUACAUAUUGUACCACAUUCUAAAACAAACAUUAAAUUCUUUUUUAAAAAAAAAGGGCAAUCCACCACUAUCUAAGGGUGCCAUAUUCCUCAUACACUGCUCAAAGAGUUAAAGUGCAGAGGCUAACCUCUCUGCCACUGUCAGCAAAAGCUACCUCUGGAAAUGGAUGUUAGCAAAUGCUAUAGGAAAAGAACUUCCAAGUCCUCAUCAACACUAGUGCAUAGGCCAUUUCAUCUCCAAUGAAUAAGUCACCAUCCAAAGCUUUUGUAUACUUUUAUUUGAACUUUCCUCCAUGUGCCUCCCAUUGAUAAUUUGAUCUUAGUAGCUUAUUUUGGGGUAAUGAGAACCCAUCAAGGGAAGGUUAGCCCUCUUCAUCAUAGUCUUCCUCAUCCUCGUCCAGCCUUUUGCUCAGCUGUGCAAGUUGAAGAGGGUCAAUGGCCAUUUUGUCGACGUCUGAAAGAGACCAUCCUGGAUAUUCUUCAUGUUUAGUCUCAGAAGUAGGUGCAGCGGAUGAGGCUUGGGCUGCUGCCGCUGCAGCUUUUGUGUCCUCCUUUUCAUGCACAUCAGCAUUCAAGUCAAAAUUUCGAACUGUCGGAUCAGAUUCAUCAGGGACACCGACAUUUUCCUUCAAUAAAUCCUUUGACUCGGAAACAUCAUCCACCACCAUGGCAGGGUUUACAUUCAGUUUGCUGCUCUGCUGAAGAGAUGUGCAGGGUUCAGAUUCAGUCUCAUGAUGCACAGGCUCUCUUUCAGUUGUUCGAGCACCACGUCCACGGCCUCGCCCUCGACCCCGUCCUCUUCCCCUGCCACUGCUGCUUCCAUGGCUUACCUCAAGCUGCAGGAAGUAAAGAGAAGAUUCUGCCAUCAGUUGAAUUCUUAACAAUAAACUUACAUGCAAUAUCAGAUAAAUCAACCCAGGUAGCAAAACUCAUUUACAGAUAUUCAUAUUUCCUAAAGAAGCCAAAACAAAUGAUAUAGCGGUCAAACUUCUUCCAAUCAUGAGAAAAAAAAAAAAAAAAAUAAUAGUUCACAAUAAUCAAAGAUUCAAAGAGAACUUGGUAACUCGGAAGUCACAUUAACCACCAACAAAAACUUAUAAAAGGAAGAGCUCACAAACUUGGCAUGUUGAUCUAUGGAAUCUUAAAAAGAUAAAAAGAACGAAGUAUGGGAGUUAUAAGUUACCAUCUUGCUCCUCUUCAACUCCUCGUCACUGUCAAUGCAUUCAUCACCUGGUGGUUUUCUGAGAAAGAAGCAAAAUAGAUUCAAUAGUUUUCCCAAAAAACAAAAAACAAAAUAGAAGAGUAGACUCCACAACUGCAUCUAUUAAGAUAUAUCGAAGGUGAAUAACAAAGUAGAUGAACUAUACCUUCUCUUUGUGAUGGCUCGAUCAUCAGCACUAGCAGCAGCAUCAGAAUGACCAUGACCAUAGUCAGGCACUCUACUGACAAUUUCUCUUAGAAAAUCAAACACAUUAUAGCUCUGUACACAAUGUUUUCUGCAAUCGAGGUAGCGUAAUUAGUUAUGAAGACUUAAUGAAAACAAAACUCAAAUAUUACACAUGAUAAUAAAAUGAUAGGAACUUAUACAAGGCAAGUGCAUAUCCUUUUAAUUAUUUUCUUCCAGGUAUACACAUGACCAUAAAGCUGAAAAACUAUAUCACUUGUUCAUUGUACUAACUAUAUCUAUAUAUAAACUAGAUAACUUAGAUUUGGCUACAAAUAGGUGGACCCACACGAUAUUUUAGAUUUGAUUCAGGUGCAAUGUUGCUUAACAGUUCUUAGUACAAUUAUGAUAAGAUGCUUCAGGUGAUAAAUAUAAGCUAUUAGAACAUCAGAAGAAAAGAAAAAAAAAAUGAUAAAGCGAUAGACUUUUCACACCUUUAGCUUUUUAAUUAUGAGUUUGAUGUAUUGGAGUUCAACUAUUAGGUGCCAAUAACUUUACUAGAGCACAUUGGGUAGACAGUUCAUUCAUAGACAAUGUAUCUUUUUUCCUUUAGAAUUGUCUGUUAAUUAUCCGAAUAGAAGAAUAAAGAAAAAGAAUAGCUUAAUCUUUCACUUACAGAUGCACUGAAUUCAUGGUUUUAGCUCCUCUUUGGAGAGUUAUUUCGUAUGUACGGUCACAAAGGUCUUGUAAAAAUAACUCUAAUGCUUUAGCUGCAUCAACAUUCAAGAAGCAAACUAUAAGCAACACAAAAAACAAAUAGUCUAAAAUGAAAAAAGAACCCCGCAUGCUAAAAAAUCAGAGCAACUCACAAACUAAAACGGGCACUGCCAAUGCUAUCUUGCCAACAUCCUCAUCAGCUUGCAUAAUUUUUUUAAUCCGGGCCUGCAAAAGUUAAACUUUGUAUUAGAUUAAGCUAUAUAACAAGGCCUCACAAAUUAGAAGGGCAAGAUGAUGUAAAACUUUAAAAAGCAAACUAAAAACAAGUCGCUGCUACCACUGAAUAAUUCCACCCUAAAAUUUCAAUAAACGAAACCUUUCACCAAAGGAAGCAUAAGAAAACAUGUACCUAUUUUGAUAGGAACUGUCAGUAAAAAAGAAUCAAUACAAUACAUGGGACAGGAAGUCCCUCCAAAAAACAAUUAACACUAAAGUAUUUCAAUCAUAUCGCUAUUGCAUGGAAUAGGACAGCAACCACACCAUGUCAAAGUUCGUAAAUAGACUACCAAGAGGUUGCAAGCUCAGCCCAAUAUUUUGACCUGGUGGGAUGAGGGUACAGCAGCCCUGGUGGGAUUUAGCUUGAUUCAAUCAUAACUGUCAUAGCAGUUUUCAAAGAUGUUCCUACAAGGGUUUAAAGGUUUGAUCAAUGUGUCAUUUAAUUAGGAGUCAAGUCAUGCUUGGUUGACAAUUUGGGUCACUAAUGCUGAUAUUUAACUUAUGUCUUGUAAAGGGUGACUAGAAGGUUCUUGUGGGUCUCUACAGUCUACUUAAAGCAUGUAACUCUGUCAAUUUGGGAAAUGAACAGUAUUAUUAAUUCACAAACAGAUGUGAGUGAUCUGUACCAAACCUAAAUUUUAUGAAAGGACUAACUGCUCAACAUCAGAAUAACCGCAAGUUUCAGAACAACUGAACCCCAAUAAUGAACUCUCUCUCCCUCAAAAAUAUCCAACUCUUCAUCCAUUGCACCCUGCAAAAUCCUCAUAUUCCUCUACACCCACACCCCAUAAGACCCCUAACACAUCAUAUUACUCCAGCACCACACCUCUAUUUCUACAGCAAACACAUUUGUCCCACCCAUAUGCAACACAAGAAUCUGAAUUGUUAGAGCACACUUGGGUCACCCUAGGGAAUAUAAAUACUUCCUGUCAAGCCUAAAGGAGGACUCCUCUCGCCAUUUGAAAACAUAAACAUCGACAGCCAUCUCAAAGGAAGUGCCAAUUGAUAAAAAGAAAUUAAUUAAAGAAAACCUAUAAAGAAUAUGAUGACACUUUUGCCACUUGAAGUCUUGGAAGCCAGACAGCUCUUUGGCUGUAUAGUAUCGAACACCACACAUUAAGGAAGGAUCAAGGAUGUCGCCCUUAAUAACAAUUUGAGGAAAUAGAAAGUUGGUAGAAGCUAGCUAAUUGGUGGGCAAUAUGUGAUGACAGAAGCAAAUGCUUCAUUGUUAUGUCUCUAAGAGAAGACGAACUCUAUCUCUCUCUGUCUCUCCACUUUUCCUACAAAUGCUAUAUUUCCUAUUGCUUCGGUGAAGCACCACAAAAAUCAGUGGGCUUCAGAAGGCAGAAGCACAAAUUGAAGAACUAGUCGGUGACAGCAUCACCUGCUAACACCAACCAAAGAGCAUGUUUCGGAAACAACCUUAUGCAUAUAAGGAAGUUCAGUUCGUUCACAUUUCGACAUUUUCCCACAUCAUAUACCAUGCAAAACGUUACACAGCAUUGAUUCCAAAAACUUUAGACAGAGGUACAAUCUCGGCCUCCAAACAAUAGGAAGCAUUCUAACUGUUAAUAAAUAAUAACGCUGCACAAAUUACCAAAUACAUAUCCACUUCCCAUCACGACCUUUACAACCGCCAAGCAUCUAAUAUGUUUGUUUUUUUUUUCUUUCCAAAAGUCUAUCAUGCAUAAGAUCUAUACACACAAUUCCAAUUCUUGUCCACCAACUCAUAUACAGUAAGGGUUACACACUAAAUAAGGAAGUGGAAACCCAUCCUUUCCUUUUAUUUUCACGACAAAUAAUCCAAAAUUCCCAUCCAGAAGUAAAUAGCAACAAAACCAGAUCAGAUUAUCACAUAUCAACAUUACAAUUCACUCUAUAUCCCAAUUGACUUUUAACCCUAAACCAAAAUCCAAAACCAAUUCCUACCCACAAAUCAAAAAUUAAACUUGAACCAAAUUCAAUUCAAACAUUUCCGAGUUUUGUGAAAUGGAUGAUUGCGAAACAAGUAAGAAGAAGAAGAAGAGAAAAGGGAGACUUACAGCAGGGAAACGAGUAUCGAGCUUCUUCCUCAUGGCGUGGUCAGAUUCGAAGAAACAUUAAAUUAAUUAUAAAAUUCAAAAAGGCAAAACAACAAAAACCCAAAUCAGAAUCGCUGAAUGAUUACCCCCCAUCAUUCUCUCUCUCCCUCUUUUCCCCAGAUCCGAAAUUUUUAUUUACUUUCAGAAAAUAUGAAAAAUAUAUAAAAUCAAAAUUAUAAAACAAAAUUACCCUAUAACUAUAUUCGACCAGGAAAUAAAACCGAACCGGGUUUGUUUUUGGUUUCCAACACACACAGAGUUGAUCAAAACAAAAAGGAAAUACCCAGAUAGCUAGACUCUCUCUUUUUAUCUGUGAAGAAGAAGCUCGGGUGGGAUGGGUUUGCUAAUUAAUGUCAAAGUCGUCUGUUUUAUUCCACGUGUAAAGUUUUGAUUGGGAGUAGAGCAGACUCAGGAUUAUGCUCCGGCAAUAUUAACCACUCGAUACUAACCGAUGUAAGUCACGGCCGUUGGUUUGCUAAAGAACCAAAAACUGGAGCCGUUAGGAUCGUGACACACGACUCAUACUUUUAAUGUUUCAUAACACACGCUUUUUUUUUCUUUUUUUUUUGAGUGAUGUUAGGGAUUCCAAAAAUUUCUAUCAGAUUUUUUGAAUACUAAAUGAUGUGUCAAUUGCCACAUCAUAGAUUCACACACUUUAUAUUUUCUAUAUGUUUUUAAUCAGAAAAAAUUGUCCAAACAAUGUCAUAUCUUUUAUAGAAUCUAACUUUUGGUAUCUUAAUUUUUAUAAACUUUAAAAUGAUAUCUUACGUUUUUACCCCAACCUAAUAAUGGUAUAUGUAAUUGUUAGUUCCGUUAAAGCAACUACCAGAUUAAGGGUACUUUCGUCCUUUCAAUAUUUUAAUAAUUUUUUUUCCUAUUUUCCUACCCUCUUUAUUUUUUUCAUAUUUUUUUUUAAGAAGAUUGUCUCUCUCCAUUGAAGCCCAGCCCUAGAAUUCUCUCUCUUGUCCCUCACUCACAAUUAUAAUUCAUCACAAACUCCACUUCCCGAUCAUCCAUUUCUUCACUCAAACAUACCCCAAAACCAAUAACCAAUCUAUUCCCUAAACCUGAGGCCACUGAAGACCACAUAUAUUUUGCGCAACUCAACUCUUUGAUAAUUACAUCUGGGGUAUUUUCAGAGAUGCAUGAGCAUUGAGUUUUCGCCGGAUGAGUUCAUAUUAGGCAAUGUUCUUUGUGGGUGUGUAGGUUUAAGAGGAUUGAAUGUUGGGUGUCAGGUUCAUAGUUAUGUGGUGAAAUGUGGGUUUUGAGAUCAAUUUGGUUGUUGGGAACAUAAACACAACACAAUUCUUUACCCCCAUCCAAGUUUUGAAGGGUAAGUUAUUAAGUAAUGAACCCAAACGCAUAUUCUCCAAUACGUGGAUGCCAUAUGAUGGCCACUUCCUUGAAGGCUUUCAUGUUUUGAUUUGGCCUUUGGGGAUAUGGCCUGCAGAACUCAUCUGCUUGGAGGUGUUAUAGAUAUGGCGAAUGAAUAAUGGCAUUUUUGUUUGAUAAACCACUCACCAAGACCCAAAACAAAUGCACCUAGCCAUGAUGACAUGAAAACCCCAACCAAAAAUAUGGAUGUAAUGGAAGUGACAAAUCCCUAGCCGAAAAUGUUGAUUCCUAGCUGAGCAUAUAUUGGAGAGAAGAAGCCAUCCACAAAGUGAAUACACCACCAAGUUAUGUAGAAAGUGAUGGCUAUUGGAAAUAAGAUCACACAUGUAUCCAGUCAUAAAUUUCUUUGACGCCCAACUUCUGAAAAUCUUGUAAAAAGUCUCCCGGCCAAUGACGAAGAGGACGAGGGCUUGGAAGAAAUGUCUUCAUCAUCGAAGUUGGCAACCGGAAUGAGGAGCUCUCGAUCUCACGGCUCUCUGUCUCUGCUUGCCAAUUACAAUUGACUACGACUUCUCAUCGUCCAUCACCCGCAUNNNNNNNNNNNNNNNNNNNNGAAACGUGGGAUACCGUUUUGAAGCUUUUUAAAAGUUGAGAUACCAAAAGUUAGAUUCUCUAAAAGAUAGAACAUUGUUUGGACAAUUUUCCCUUUUAAUCAAGAAUUAAAAUAUCGACGAUUACAGAAAUAUCGUUGGUUUGGAAAAAUGAAAUCUCGAUGGAAAUAUCGAGAAAAUAUCGAAUAUCGAUGGAAAUUUUACAAAAAUAUAUAUAAAAAUUGUGUAUUUGAUCAAAAAUAAACUAAAUAUAUAAUAUCAGAAAGAUAUGAAAAUUAAUACAGAAAUUUCAAUGAAAUAUCAAGGAUAUAAUAGAUAUUUUAGUUCUUGUUUUUAAUAUAUUACUGAAGUUUUAUGAGAUUAUAUACAAUAGAUUAAAACUCAAAACUCAAAGAAAAAUAUGAUAGAUCAAUAAAUCAAAUCUCAUAUAUGAGUAAAUGGCCGCAUCUAAACCCUAAAACCCUAAGCCGUUUUCUCUCUCCUAGAGCAUGGCCACCAAACCCAAAAAGCUCCGUCUAACAUCGGAUCUCCUUGUUUUCAAUCAUUCUUAUGACCUUUUCGCACCCAAACUUUGAUCUCUCAUCCUCUUCAAAAGGAUCGAAGAGCAAGUUUUCCAUCACUCUAUCGCCAUCUAUUGGCAAAAACUCUAGCAUAGCCAAUAUGCUAGCAUCCUCAUCCUCAUUCUCAUUGGGUAUUCAAAACCCUAGUCAAGGAUUUGCUGCCUCCUUGGCCUUCGCAAACGUGAAGGUUACCAAACUCUCAGAUCGUGUCUUUGCUCCUCCGAAAAAGAAGAGAAGACACCCUAUUGGUUCACGAAACACAACGGGUCAGGAGAAGAUGCAAGAGGAAGAGAAGCCUCCCACCAUCACCCAUGAACCAAUUAACACUACCAGGACAAGCACUUUAGCCGACGAAAGAUUUUCGUCGGCCUGUUAUCUUAAUUCGUCGGCUAAGAUCUUAGCCGACGAAGGCUCGUCGGCUAUAGUGUCGUCGGGAAAAGGUCGUCGGUGAUGACUUUAGCCGACGAAAUUUUUUUUUUCGUCGGCUAUAGUCCCACAGUUAGCCGACGAAAAACAUGUUGUCGGUUUUUUUCCCAGACUUUAGCCGACGAAACAAUUAAGAUAUUCGUCGGCUAAAGUGUGUAAUAAAUAAUUAAAAAAUAACUAUAGCCGACGAAAUUUACUAUAUUUCGUCAGCUAAACCUUAUAAAAAAAUUUAAAAAAUAACUAUAGCCGACGAAACAUUCCAUAAUUCGUCGGCUAAACCUUACAAAAAAAAUUUAAAAAUACUAUAGCCGACAAAUAUAGUAUUUAAAUAUCGUCGGCUAAAGUUGCUGGGUUUUGAAAAAAAAAACUGCAGAACCUUUCGGCCACCUCCAAUCACGACCAAAAUUUGACAGAAUCUUCCUCUCAACAUUUCGAACAACUUUCUAGAAGAAGUCGAAGCUCAAUUCUAAGCCUAAACAGGUCAAUCGACUCAAAAUAUAAAAAUCCCCAAUUUUAAACCCUAAAAACUUCAAAUCUUCGAUUCUCUUCACACACACCGAAUCGAGCUACCAAAUUCUAGGGGAAUGUAGUACUAAUCAAACUCAACUUAUCCAUAUAUAGAACUCACCAAAUGGUGGCCUAAGGAAGGAGAAAUUUGAUCGACACCGAAUCAGAACCGGCGGAGUUUUGGAGCUCGAUUUAUCCCUCACGGCGGCGCCACUCGAUGCACCACCUAUCCAGCAAUGAAGUAGAGACGACGGCGAAGCUUUUGGGACAAGUGUGACGGUCUCCGGUGGCUUGACGGCGGAGCUAGGCCGAGAAGAAAAUCUGGCAGAUAAUAGACUUCUUACCAUCCAUCUUCGCCUAUAUAAAGAACUUUAGCCGACGAAAUUCUUUAUUUUCGUCGGCUAAACUCUUUUGAAAAUUUUGGUUGACCACCAAAAAAUUUUGGUUGAAAAUUUUGAAAAUUUUUCGACUUUAGCCGACGACUUUUCAUAUAUUUUCGUCCGCUAAAGUCCUUUGAAAAUUUUCCUCCAACUUUGGUUUACCGCCUAAAAAUUUUGAAAUUUUUGANNNNNNNNNNNNNNNNNNNNNNNNNNNNNNNNNNNNNNNNNNNNNNNNNNNNNNNNNNNNNNNNNNNNNNNNNNNNNNNNNNNNNNNNNNNNNNNNNNNNNNNNNNNNNNNNNNNNNNNNNNNNNNNNNNNNNNNNNNNNNNNNNNNNNNNNNNNNNNNNNNNNNNNNNNNNNNNNNNNNNNNNNNNNNNNNNNNNNNNNNNNNNNNNNNNNNNNNNNNNNNNNNNNNNNNNNNNNNNNNNNNNNNNNNNNNNNNNNNNNNNNNNNNNNNNNNNNNNNNNNNNNNNNNNNNNNNNNNNNNNNNNNNNNNNNNNNNNNNNNNNNNNNNNNNNNNNNNNNNNNNNNNNNNNNNNNNNNNNNNNNNNNNNNNNNNNNNNNNNNNNNNNNNNNNNNNNNNNNNNNNNNNNNNNNNNNNNNNNNNNNNNNNNNNNNNNNNNNNNNNNNNNNNNNNNNNNNNNNNNNNNNNNNNNNNNNNNNNNNNNNNNNNNNNNNNNNNNNNNNNNNNNNNNNNNNNNNNNNNNNNNNNNNNNNNNNNNNNNNNNNNNNNNNNNNNNNNNNNNNNNNNNNNNNNNNNNNNNNNNNNNNNNNNNNNNNNNNNNNNNNNNNNNNNNNNNNNNNNNNNNNNNNNNNNNNNNNNNNNUUGUCUAGAUCUGCAAAUAUAAGGCACUUUAGCCGACGAAAUUAUAUUUUUUCGUCGGCUAAAGUUUAAAAAGUUCGUCGGCUAAACUUUUAAAAAUUUCAUCGGCUAAACUUUUAAAAAUUUCGUCGGCUAAAGUUCACAGACUAUAGCCGACGAAAAAAAUUAUUCAGCCGACGAAAUAUUAAUUUCGUCGGCUAAAGUUGACCAUAACCGACGAAAAUUUUAAAUUAGCCGACGAAAAAAAAUUCGUCGGCUAAAGUCCACUUUAGCCGACGAAAAAAAAAUUCGUCGGCCUGGUUUUUUUAUUUUCGUCGGCUAAAGCCUUUCCUCUGGUAGUGUAAGAUGACAUCGGUUGCAACUAAAGGUCAAACGAAGAAGUGGAGACGUCCUGUCGACUUCAGGAACCCAAAAGAAAUGUCAAUCAGGAAGAUCAGACUCCUUCCUCGAAGCCCUAGCUUGAAGGGCAAGGAGGUUCUUUGAAGUCUUUUUUUCUAUAGGGAAUUUUCAUAUACACCCAAUUUUGAAGAGUGGUUUUAAAUAAAACCAAUAUAUUCAGCUUUCACUUAUUGACAAACGAUCUGAUCUGAUCCGCGAUGAACUUGGCUUGUUCGUUUUUAAGUGUAUCUGGAUUUUGUGUUGAAAUCCUAUGAAGUGUGUGAUCUAGGUGUUUUCCAGUUACUUCUGUUCCAAAUCCAUGUACACUCUUCGUCUAUCAAUGAUUGUUAUCAAGGAUUAAAAUCUCUGCGAUAUAUCCGAUAUAUCCUCUGAUGUCUCCUUUUUUCGAAUGACCGAUAUAUCUAUAUGGGUCAAUAUCUUAUUUUCCACCGUAUCUACGAUAUUUCCUUGAUAUUUAGGAAAUAUCGUCAAAUAUCACCGAUAUUUAGGAAAUAUCUCCGACAUUUAUGAUAUUUUCGAUAUAUUACUGACAUAUUAAAAAAAUAUCUAUAAAAAAAAUUGAAAUGAUAUCCGGAAGAGAAGUAAUUCCCUCGAGGUGUAUCCCAAUGAAGAGUGGUGGUCUCGACUCUCGAAAAAAGCAUGAUUCCUUUCAAGAUAUAUCUGGAUGCAGAUCGAUCUAUUACACAAUUAUCAAACUUAGAGAUGAGUGGACAGUGGAGGAAUAUUUACACUUGAGAAAGAGAAUGGGUAUAAGAUAGAGAACACAUGUGUACUAGUGAGACUUUGAGUCCGUGACAUAAGAUAGAUAACACAAUUAUAGAGAUGAGAAACAGAGAGAGAGAGAGAUGUGAGUCAUGUGACUCCAACGUCCACACUCCCACCAUAUCUUAAGUGAUUACGGUCAUGUCUCCCAUGAUCAUGGCUAUAGAAGUACUAGAUAUGGAGCACAAGAGGAUACCAUGUAUGGGAGGAGGACUAGAGGUCUAAAUGAUGAUCAAGAUGUUGCUUUAGUUGCGCUAAGUUCUGAUUCUAUCAGUUUAGGUAGUGGGACUGGAACCUCAAAUGAAUCCCAAGAAGGCAACAAUCAAUAUGGCUAUAAUGUUUUUGUAAUCAAUGCACGAAAGUCAGUGAUUAGUCAUCCAGUUGGAUUCAUCCUUACUAUCCACUUAUAGGGGAAACAGUUGGCAACGCGCUUCAAAGACAUAUAUGAUUAUCAUAUUCAAUACUACAAUUUGUACUAUAUGAGUCAUAUAUCUUGGUCUGAUUAUUGUAUUUUUGUGGACCAGCGUGUGUCUUAUGACUCUUAUUAACAACCUAGAUUCUCAUUCUAGAUGUAGAUGAAGUUGAUGUUUGUAAUAUUUAUAUAUAAAUCCAAUAAAUUAAAUAUUUCAAGAAAAAAAAAAAUUCUUCCCAAAAUACCGAUAUUUUUUCCCGGGUUUCCUCGAUAUAUCCCCGAUAUAUCCGAAAUCUCCCUUUUUCAAAGGACUGAUAUAUACACCAAUACCGAUAUUUUAAUCCUUUGUUAUCUUGAUAGAAAAAAAAAAGAACCAAAAAAAUAUUAAAAAAAUAAAAAAAGAAUAAAAACCUUCUCUAGCUAAGCGUUCUCCUUUAUUGCUAGCAGAGCGAUGGACAUCCUCAUCAUCUUCUUUUCGCCAUUAGUAAGGAACUAAGGAUGCAUGCGAAAUAAAUAAAUAGAAGGGCGAAUUUUGAGGAGAAAAAAAAAAGGAUAUCUAGUCCCUUUUAGCAACGACCCAACGUAAGAGUAUGAAUAAUUAACAUGCAUUCUUAAAUAUUCUAUGAGUAUGUAUGGGGGUAGCGAGGGCAAAACUACAUGCGACAACAUUUUUAUUCUUUUCUUUACUAAAUCAGUGGGUGACAAUAGAAUGAAAUGAAGUAAAGGAAGUCACGAAAUAGGGAAGCCUGCUAGGAUCAGUUCAUGUCUCUCCCUGCAGCACGUUCCCCCCAUCUGCCAUACCUUGCUUAGACACCGACACAUCCAACCCCAUUUCCCCAUACUACGCCACUCUCCUAGGCUCCUCCUAGCUCCUCCCCUCAAUAAUAAUAUACAUCCAUCCCUCCCUCCCUUUCUAUAUAUAAAUCCCUCCCAUCCAUGCAUACUUGCAGUCUUGCAUAGAGCCCCCCAAAACCAAACCAAUUCAUACACUACUUAACCAUGCCGACACCACCGCAAUCCUUGUCGUUGCUCCUGCUCCUCCUUGCUCUUCCUCUCCUUAUCUUCUGCUUCCCGGCCGAAGCCGAGUCGCCACCGUCGCCCCCCUCCUCCUCUGCCUCCGCCGCCUGCAAGUCCACCCUCUACCCCAAGCUCUGCCGUUCUAUUCUCUCCGCCAUCAGAUCCUCCCCCUCCGACCCUUACAACUACGGCAAGUUCUCCAUCAAGCAAUGCCUCAAAAAGGCGCGCAAGCUCUCCAAAGCCCUUGAUCAUUUCCUCCACCACACCAAACUCUCCUCCUCCAUGACCGACGCCGAGGCCAACGCUUUCGACGAUUGCCAGCAGCUAUCGGAGCUGAACGUCGACUACUUGGAGGCCAUCUCGACGGAGCUCAAGUCGGCAGAGCUGCUCAACGAGGAGCUGGUGGACAAGGUGCAGACGCUGCUGAGUGGGAUAGUGACAAACCAGCAGACCUGCUACGAUGGGCUGGUUGUGGCCAAGAGCAGCAUCGUCAACUCCAGCACGAGUCCCUUGUCGGUGGCCUUCUCCAAUGCCACGCAGCUCUACAGCGUGUCGCUUGGACUGGUCACUCAUUCUUUGGCUCGAAACCUCAAGAAGAAGCAUAAGAAACGAAACGGCUCUUCUGUCUCCCAGGGUCACAAAAUCCGCGAGCCACUUGAGACUUUCAUCGAGGUACGUACGUGUUCUAGCUUUACCCGCAGCUUGUACGUAUAAGUCUCUUACUUAAUUACCUAAACUCUUGCAUAUAUAGUGGCAUUCAUCAAAUGGAAAUUAACAAACUUUGUAGCAUAUCUUUGAGGUGCCUACGUACAUUCGUAGUUAGCUAUGUAGCUAGGGAAAUUUAAGUAAUUGCUUAAAUUUGCCUCAUACUGUCAUUCAUAUGGAACUAUAUAUAUCUGAAAAUUGAAUUAAGGUACUGUAGUGUAAUCAAUAAUUAAUCACUAUGAGAGGAAUCCAUAAUCUAUAUCUCAAUCAUGAGAUUUUCUCCCUCUUUUUCUGUUUUUAAGGACUUCAUUUCAGUUUUUGGCUUGUCCAAACUUUGUGAUAUUUUUUUUUUCCUUUGCUAUUUUGAUAGUACGUAAACAAUAGCUUUUGCUUCCUUGCUCGAUGAAAGAGUGUAAAAUUUUACAAGAAAGAGUUGAACACAAGCCGAGUGAAUUUAGUUCGAUCUAUCGAUGCUUGAAUUAUAUGGAUUAAGUUGAAGUUGAUAGAAAAAUAUAGAUGUAAUGUCUUGGUGAAGAAGUAAAUCAUAAAUCGUAAACGGGAAAUAGAUAUGUCAUAUGUGGCACGUCCAUGAGGUUAAUUUACCUCAAAAUGAGAUUGAAAGGAAUGUGGAUAAUAGAUAGAUACAUAUACUAGAUUUGAUGCUAGAUUAAUUCCUCCAAGAUCUCAGACAAACUAAUUAACAUAUUGUUCAAUAUUUAAGUGAACAGGGAGCUUCGUGUGACCAUGAAUUUAUAAAUUGUAAAAUUGAGAUCCAAUUAAACAACAAGCAACAGGGGGGAGUCAACUACGUAAUGUGAAUUAAUUAAUUAAGGUCAAGCACGUAGUUGGGACAGGUAGCCCAUUAAUUAAUUAAGGUCACUCACAUGAGAAGUGCAGGCAUUUCGACCGCUGUGAUCAUGUCAUCACCGUCCACCACGCCACCGCCACCGCCACCGCCACCGCCACCACCCCAUCCCCAUCCCCAUCACUACUCAUAACCAAACUAGCUAUGUGGUUCAAAACAAUAUUAAUUUUAACGUACGUGGUAUAUAAAAGGCAGAUGGAGAGAGCUGAUCGAAUGAAUAUGAUCAUCUUGCUUGCAUGCAGGGUCUGAGAAAGAGUUCUUCCAAACACUCGAGAGAUGAGAGAAUUCUGGACGAAAUGGAGAGCAGUGGCAUUAUAGUGAAUGACGCUGUCAUUGUCAGUCCACAUGGUGACGACAACUUCACUUCCAUUGGAGCUGCCAUCGAUUCUGCACCUAAUAAUACAAACCCAGAAGACGGUUAUUUCGUAAUCUACGCUAGAAAAGGUCACUAUAAGGAAUAUGUUGUCGUCCCCAAGUACAAGAAGAACAUAAUGCUGCUCGGAGAUGGUAUUAACAAGACUAUCAUAACUGGAAAACACAAUUUCGUCGAUGGCUGGACUACUUUCAAUUCCUCAACCUUUGGUAAGUUAUACGUACACAUGAUGCCUAGCUAGCUAGCUACUACUUCAUUUCGUUGUCUAUUUACCGAUGUAGAUUAUAAACCGGCAUAAUGUGAUUCAGUACUUGUAUAACAAACUGACAAUUCUGAACAAUUAUGGAGAUGGUUUGAUGUAUAUUUCUAGCUUUUCUGUUGCAGCUGUUUCGGGAGAGCGAUUUGUGGCCAUAGAUGUUACCUUCAAGAACACAGCUGGUCCAGAAAAGCACCAAGCAGUGGCCGUAAGAAACAAUGCAGACUUCUCCACAUUUUACAGAUGCAGUUUUGAAGGGUACCAAGACACUCUAUAUGCACAUUCUCUAAGGCAAUUCUACAAAGAAUGUGACAUAUACGGAACCGUGGACUUCAUCUUCGGCAAUGCUGCUGCUGUCUUCCAGAGUUGCAACUUGUACGCCCGAAAGCCCAUGCCGAACCAGAAAAACGCAUUCACAGCACAGGGACGAACUGACCCGAACCAAAACACGGGAAUCUCAAUCCACAACUGCACUAUUGAAGCUGCACCAGACUUGGCAAUGGACUUGAACUCAACCCUAAAUUUUUUGGGAAGGCCUUGGAAGGUGUACUCUAGGACUGUGAUCAUGCAGUCUUAUAUUGGCCCUCUGAUUAGUUCUGUUGGGUGGUUGGAAUGGAAUGGGACUGUUGGAUUGGACACACUAUAUUAUGGUGAGUUUGAGAAUNNNNNNNNNNNNNNNNNNNNNNNNNNNNNNNNNNNNNNNNNNNNNNNNNNNNNNNNNNNNNNNNNNNNNNNNNNNNNNNNNNNNNNNNNNNNNNNNNNNNNNNNNNNNNNNNNNNNNNNNNNNNNNNNNNNNNNNNNNNNNNNNNNNNNNNNNNNNNNNNNNNNNNNNNNNNNNNNNNNNNNNNNNNNNNNNNNNNNNNNNNNNNNNNNNNNNNNNNNNNNNNNNNNNNNNNNNNNNNNNNNNNNNNNNNNNNNNNNNNNNNNNNNNNNNNNNNNNNNNNNNNNNNNNNNNNNNNNNNNNNNNNNNNNNNNNNNNNNNNNNNNNNNNNNNNNNNNNNNNNNNNNNNNNNNNNNNNNNNNNNNNNNNNNNNNNNNNNNNNNNNNNNNNNNNNNNNNNNNNNNNNNNNNNNNNNNNNNNNNNNNNNNNNNNNNNNNNNNNNNNNNNNNNNNNNNNNNNNNNNNNNNNNNNNNNNNNNNNNNNNNNNNNNNNNNNNNNNNNNNNNNNNNNNNNNNNNNNNNNNNNNNNNNNNNNNNNNNNNNNNNNNNNNNNNNNNNNNNNNNNNNNNNNNNNNNNNNNNNNNNNNNNNNNNNNNNNNNNNNNNNNNNNNNNNNNNNNNNNNNNNNNNNNNNNNNNNNNNNNNNNNNNNNNNNNNNNNNNNNNNNNNNNNNNNNNNNNNNNNNNNNNNNNNNNNNNNNNNNNNNNNNNNNNNNNNNNNNNNNNNNNNNNNNNNNNNNNNNNNNNNNNNNNNNNNNNNNNNNNNNNACAGUUGUGGAGUAGUUCUUCCAAGGCCUCCCGAGGUAAGUCUUGACCGAAGACAAGUCCCCGAAAGGCGAAAUGGUGCAGUUUUGAAAUGAGAUUCCUGUGUUUUGGUUAGGGUCGAUUUUGCCUUGUGCCGUGAUUGUGUUCUGCUGGCCAGUCAUUGGUACCCUGGGGAACACCUUACAGUUCUGGAGGACUACUGCUGAGUUUCCAAAAAUGAAAUCAACUGUUCCGUAGAUGUCGCACUCUCGGUAGAAUUGGCGAUUGGCAUGAACGUAGAGCGAGUCCUGGAACGCAUCGAUGCGGCAUCUGUAGAACACCGUCUGGUCAGCACUCGACAUUAGUGCCACCGCCUGGUGCUUGGCUGCUCCAGCUGUGUUACGAAAUCCAAUGUCUCUAGCAACGAAUCCCUUCCCAAAUACGGCUGCACACAAGGCCAAAAAUCAAAAUCAGUACUGAUCUAUGGCAUUACUCAAUCAUGCAUGUGUCAUAUCGCGCAUUAAUUGUUGAUGACGCAUGUUAUUUGCUAUAUAUAUGCGUGUGUGUAUGGUGAAAUAACAAACUCUAUGUAUGUUUUCACAGAGCUUUCCAAUUUCCAUCUUCUUUUUUUCAUUUAGAAAUAAGGUUAAGUAUCUACUAAUUAAAUGUCAUGAAAACUAGUAACAGCAGAAGGAUAUAUAAGUGUCUUGGAAAUUAACUUACCAAAUGUUGCACUGGAAAAGUCCACAACGUUGAGGCUGGCAGACACAAUCGUUGCAGUCAUUCCAUCGCCCACCACUACAACAUUCCACUUGGUUUUCUCGACUCGAACAUUCUCGAAAUAAACCCCCUUCUUCACGUAGAUGACUGUUCUCUUCUUGCUUUUGUCCGGCACAGCCUUGAGUGCAUCACCUAUUGUCUUGUACUUACCACUCCCAUCUUUCGCCACAACAAUGUUGGCCUUCUUCCUCAAAUCAGAACUUUCAAUUAGCCUCCGGUCUGUCUGGUGCAGCCACUCGGGGAUGCCAUGGCUAGUCGCGGUACCGUCGUGACUCAGCAACCGCCUUAGCUUCACAGAGUUAGCUACUUUCGAUAUCCAAGAGACAAUGGCAAGGCUGUUACUAGUUAGCUCAGUAGAAGUCUUGAGAUACUUUUCAAUUGUAUCCUUGAGCUCUCCUUUUGCAUCAUCAAACCCAUCUACACAUGACUGCUGGUAAGUUCCUGCAGAGCUCAACCAUGUUUUGAGAUCUUCAACCACUUCAAGCAAGGAACCAUCCCCAGACAACGACUCGUUGAGAUGAUCCAAGGCAAGACCAAGAAGCUCUCCGCAGUUUUUCAAAGCUUCCACUGACAAUUUGUCCGUGACAGUACCAUUGAAGAGCCCUUGAUCCGAAAUUUGAGCGGCGGCUUUGGAUAGUUCCGCAAUCGCCACUUGAAGAGAUCCUCAGGCUUAAAAUUGCUGGAGUUGACAACAGGACCAAGACUAGAAUAACACGAGUCCUGGUACAGUGUCACGUCACAAACGGCUUUGACGGAUGCGGAAAGUGUCCCUUUGCCACUGUCGUCACCUUUUUUGGAGUUAUGAGUAGCGGUUCCAACCACGGAGGCGACGAUGACACAGACAAGAACUAUGGAGGAAAUGGAUAUGAUGGCGACUCUCUUGCAAGUCUUGCGACGAGCGUCGAGCUUGGCUUGGUCGGAUUCACUGACUUUGCCAUAAGCUUUGAAGGAAGACAUACUUGUUUCUGCUCUUGUGUAUCUCUACUUCUUUCUGUUUAUGGAUUGCAUAAUAUGGCUGGUGAGGUGUUUGUGUUUUUAUAUAAAAGCAAUAGGAGCAUACAUGCAUGAAGAACAUAGGUGUGUUGGUAGGCAGACGCGGUAGUACUACGUGCAUUGCACUAUUCUAUCAACUUAAUUCUAACUGCUGGAGUGCUGCACAUGUUGGAACGCCUGAAUAUAUUACAGACUAACAAGUAACAACAACACACCUUUUCUUAUAACAAGCGCCUGCAUGUAACAAGAAGGGCCAAUGAUAAAAGGGUACAGUUAGAUGUAAUAAAUGAUAACACAGUUAAUAAAUAUUCAUUGAUGAUAAAACAGUACCUCUAUUUAAAUCUCUUAAAGCGUUACCCAUGAAAAUAAAAAAAUUACGAUCUAUGCCACUGUUCUCUUAAAGCGUUGCCCCUAAGAAUGAAAAUAACUACGAAUUAUGCCACUGACGCCGUUACCCCAUCCACGCCGUUACCCCCAUAUCUGAGUCCCCCNNNNNNNNNNNNNNNNNNNNNNNNNNNNNNNNNNNNNNNNNNNNNNNNNNNNNNNNNNNNNNNNNNNNNNNNNNNNNNNNNNNNNNNNNNNNNNNNNNNNGAGAGAGAGAGAGAUGUUUGGGGAAAAGAAACUGACGUUUUGGUGUAGAGAGAGGGGAGGGUACUUUGGUUAUGGAAUAAAAGUAAAAUGACGAAUUUGGAUCAUAAAAUGAACUUGUAUGGAUAAAAAUAUUAAUGUGGACUUAUGUAAUAGAAAAUGUUAAAAAUAUGACUUAUGUGAAAUUUUCUAAAAAAACAAACGCGGUCUAAGAAAUGUAAUCAAAGAGUGCAUGUUUAGGCUUUCUUCUUUCUUUUUCUUUUUUCUUUUUUUUUUAAAGAGAAAAAAAUCACAUUAAUUGUGGAAAAACGGAAGGCAAAGCUUGCAGAAAUUUAAUGAUAUUUCUUCUUGGUGAGGUUACAAACUUAAACUAUAUAUAGAAGAAGUUGAAUGAGAAACACACUUCAUCACCCAUACAUCUCUUACACACAAGACUAACAUAAAGAAACAAGGCAACAAGGCAACACAGCUGUGGCACUAAGACCAAAAACAUCAUGCUACUUUAGGAGACCAACAAUUGUAUACAGCCCAUGAGUAGUUGUCACACAAUCUCACACCUCUAAAGUCAAUUUGAACUAAUGUUUGAACUAAUCUCUUACACAACAACUUUGAUAUACAAGUAAUGUAAAAUGUACAAGUAACAUAUAAACAAUAAACGGUAAACCUGGAAAGAGACCACAACAGCCAUGUAUCCUCAGAUCUGGGAGACCACAACACCUAUGUAUCCUUCGGAUACAACCAUUUUGCAUUCCACAGCCAUACCUCCAAUAUUUCUCCAAUAUUAAGAAGCCUCUAGCACACGUUUAGUUAAGAGCAUGCUUUUGUUACGUACAUUUCAUAUUUGGAUAGAGAAUGGGCAUCAAAUCCAUUAGUGAUGCAAUACUAUCCUUUUCUAAAUAAAGUAAGAGUAAAAAGUGAAAAUUGGAGGGAAAUUUCUCUUGUUUUCAUUGGAAUUUUGGAAAUUACAGUAUAACGAUCAUGAUUCAUGAACGAAGAUAGAUCAUAUAUGUGGUCGAUAUAUAACUGCAGAACUAACAGCUUUGCUAGCCCACUCUUCUUAUCAGUAUUCAUUCCAUGGCGAGCUUCAGCUUCAACACCACCAGAAUCAGAACCCCAACUCUUCAAUCUCACAAACCCAUCUCUCGCUCUAAACCCACCAGACUUCCCUCUACUUUCACUUCAAACAACCUCCCAAAGCUUCACCAUUUCCGACCAAACUCCGUGUCGGAAACCUCCGUCUCAACGCAACAAAUAGACGAACAAGAAGUCGAAGAUGACCCGACUGCCGAACUGAGCUACCUGGACCCGGAAACCGACCCGGAGAGCAUUACGGAGUGGGAGCUGGACUUCUGCUCCAGGCCCAUUUUGGAUAUCAGAGGAAAGAAAGUGUGGGAGCUUGUGGUUUGUGAUGAGUCUCUUUCUUUACAGCACACAAAGUACUUCCCUAACAAUGUCAUCAACAGCAUUACUUUGAAAGAAGCCAUAGUUGCCAUUAGUGAUGAGCUAGGUGUGCCUCUGCCCGAGAAGAUUCGAUACUUCAGGUAAGCAAAUCACUAAAUAUCAGAAAUGUGGGUUUGUAUAUUUCGCAAUCAUGUAUGAUAUGUUUUGUUUGGUGAAUUGUAUAUAGGUCACAGAUGCAGACCAUUAUAACAAAAGCCUGUACCGAGCUUGGGAUAAAGCCUAUUCCGAGUAAAAGGGUGAGUAUGCUUUGCUUAUUUCUUGUUAACUCUGUUUUUAUUGCCAAACUCUAGACUACAGAUCAAUCACUGCAAGUAAAAUAUACCAAGUGACUUCCUGUUAGUCACGUAAUUCAUUGUUUAGGCAAUUUUCCCAAUCAGGUCACUUGAGAUAGUUCAGCUAAUUUCCCCGAGGGCCAUUUCACAGUUAAAAGUUUUCAAUGUAUGAUGAAAUCCGGUUGAUAGAUACGCGAGAUUGCGAUGAAUUUAAAUAAAGCUACACCAAUUUCAUCUGUAGGAGUUAAUCGUGCACCUGUGCAUGAAGCUUCUACUCAUUUAGCCAGCUAUGUCUACUGAAAAUUUGAGGUUGAUUGUUUUUGUUGUGUAGAUGGUCACCAGAAAGAAAGUUGUUUGUACUAUUUGAGUAGUGUCAGGAUAUCUUGAACUACAUUUACCUGUUGCUAACACUCUAACUCAGCUCUGUAAAGGAAAAAUUGGUAUGGAGUUGAUCAGUUUCCCUCUAGGUAAGAGAGAACAAGAUUUCCUUUCAACGAACCCAAGUAAUUGAGAUUUAGGAAUACACCUCCUUAUGACAUGAAGCGCAGAUUAGUACUAUAAUUGUUACUAUUUUUUUAUUAAGAGCUAGCCAGACGUUACCACUAACUAGACAAGAACUAUAUAUCAGAACGAACCAUUCAUGUUAUUCAUUUUAUAGAGAUACUAUAACAAUGGUGGAGAACUUGUGUUUUUGAAAUAUAGGACAAGAUUAUAGAGAUGUAGCCUGCUUUGAGUCCUUGGUAGAACUGGUUCCCUUCUCUAUUUACUUGUCUUAAAACUUUUCUUUUUCUCAGUGCCUGUCACUGCUUUUGUGGUUGGAAGAACGCUAUGAGACUGUAUACACACGCCAUCCUGGUUUCCAAAAAGGUUCAAAGCCUCUCCUUGCACUAGAUAACCCUUUCCCCAUGGAACUUCCAGAAAAUCUUUUUGGAGAAAAAUGGGCCUUUGUCCAACUGCCCUUUUCAGGUAAGGGAUUUACUGAGUACGAUGUUUGUGCUUGUGACAAAUAUAAUAUGUCUCAUUCUGUCUGUCCUUACACAUCCAGUAUUUCUUUUAAACAUCUUUUGUUCUCAUACAAAUUCUAAUCGUGAAUUCAGCUGUCCAGAAGGAAAUCUCAUCCUUGGACUCGAAUCUGGUGUUUGGAGCAAGUCUGGAUUUGGAUCUGUUGGGGAUUGAAAUUGAUGAUGACACAUUGAUUCCUGGAUUGGCUGUUGCGUCUUCACGUGCUAAACCACUCGCAGGUGCAAAUUCUCUCUAAUAUAAUCUUCUAGUAUUUCUAGAAGAUUAUAUGACCAUUGCUUCUCAUCACUAUUGACUUCAUAUGAUAUAUACACACCCACAAAAGGUCCUCUGAAUAUUUACCAACUUGGCUACCUCUGAGUUGUCAGAAACUUGGCUCCAUAUGGGAGCCUGUGAUACAUUUUAAAAGUACAAGCAAGGUUUAAAAGUCAUACUUGUAUUUGAAGUCCAUUGAUAGACUCAUGAAAGAUUUGGUGAUAUGAUCCUUCAGAGUGCAAACGAUAAUCUUACGCAGUUCUAACAUUGUGAAUUGAAUUACAAAUGCCAGGACUUGUAUACAUUGUGCAUGAGUUGUUCAAUGUAUUGCCCUCCAAUUUCAUGUAGCCCAACCGAAGAGCUGCACUUUCUUUUUGAUGAGGCAGGGAUAACUAAACCGCAUAUAUACUACAGUCCUGCAUGUUUCAUAAGUCAUAACAAGGAUUGCUGUCAGGAUUAAAGACCAUACUGCAAUCACUUGCCUAGUUACCUCCUUCCUCAAAGACCACACUACAAAACGUUUCUACCUUCAGUAAUUUAGUCAUUAAAAUUGUACUUGGCAUCACAAGUGAUUUUGGAGUACACAUGUUUGCUUGAAUCUGCUGUGUCAUCCUUAUUUUGCCUUACACAACUUCGUAACACUUUUCCUGCAGCUUGGAUGAAUGGGUUGGAAGUUUGUGCGAUUGAAGUUGAUUUUGCACGGGCGUGCUUGAUUCUUUCUGUCGGAAUUUCUGGCCGGUAUAUUUAUGCUUCAUAUAAGAAAAGUCCAGUGACAACAAAGGAAGCCGAAGCUUGGGAAGAAGCAAAGAAGGCUUGUGGAGGCUUGCAUUUCCUUGCCAUCCAGGGGGACUUGGAAUCAGAUGACUGUGUUGGAUUUUGGCUUCUUCUAGACUUGCCACCUCCACCUGUAUAGUAGUCUCAGUUGUUCAAAUGUUUUGUAAGGAAAUUACUGUUACACGAUAGUUUCUCAGUUAUAUUGCUUCAAGCUCAGUUUCUGAGCUGUCUGAUAAGAUGCAUCUAGAAACUCAAUGUCGGAAUGUGAUGGAUGCUGAUCGAGGCUAAUGAUACAUAGUAGUCCUUACUUGGAUACUAGCAAAUGCAUAUAUUUGGGCGGUUUAGUGUUUGGGCUAAUACAUGGGUGAUUUGUGCAGUCGGAGCUUCAGCAUUCUCUAGUUCCUCACAGUUCUAAUAGUACCAUGCAUCAUUCUAAAUCAUUGCUUUGGGCACUCAAUUACAGACAAUCUACACAGAAAUGAGAGUACCAGAAAACAGAUAAUGAAUUUUAAACAUCUACCAGAAAGCACAUAAUGCAAGAGCUAGAACAAACAUAAAUCUUUUACUAAAUCUUCAUUGCUUUGAACAAUCAUUGUUGAUGCAUGGAUCUACGGAGAUCUAAUUAACUGCAUCAAGAACUCCUACAAUUCCGUUCAGAUCCUAACCAUGAGUAUCAAAGCCAUUCAAUACAUCAAGAGCAUCACCCUUCACCAUGACUCAUCACUCCUAGCUGUUUGCCGUAUUUGAGUCCAAAAUAAAAUGCAAGAGCUUCAGUAGCCGCUGGAGCUAUAAGAAAAGGAAGUGAUAGGAAGAGCACCCAAUAAGUUUCCUGUCCCAUUCUCUUUAUCCACCGCCUCAUCAAAAUUCAAGACUGGGUAUGAGAGAAUUGGGGUUUGAGAGAGUCAAAGAUCUCAACUCAGGAACAAAAUCAAUUCUAUUUAUUUCUACAUAUGGUAAUGCAUCAAGCCUGAUAUAAAAACAGCACCCUAUAAUUUCAGGGUCUCCAUUCCUGUCCUAUCACAGAAAUCUUUUUUAACAUCCAGACUGAGUCACUAGACUAUUGAAAUACAGGUGGAGAGCGAGGGAGCUGUAGCGGAGAAAGCUUGCCGUGUAGCUGACCCUGGUUGGAAGGAGUUAACUCUUCAAGGAAUACUAAAGAGCACCCAACAAACAACUCCCUCUCAGUCUCUCCUCAGUGAAGACUGACAAAUGAGCAAAAUUACAAGCCACGGCAAAUGCUACAACAUACGACUGUCAAAGACUACCUAACCAAAAUGGGGAAGGAAGCCACCAAAAAAAAAAAAAAAACCCCAAUGAAGAUGGGUAUAUCCACCUCAAGUUUUUGACCUCUUCUGCUUUUGGGAUACAAAGCGAACUCCUUGCUUUCCAAGUUCCAGAGAUUUGACCUUGCCGUCAUCUAAAGUAACAGAUAACACUGAUGUGCCUUCAAUAACAUCGCUAACAACUCCCUUGUGCCUGAAUACAAGAAAAGGGAAAAUGAAAUCGACAUAUAAUGUAUGAACCGCAGUUCUUCUACCAUACCAACACAUACUUGGCAAGAAAGGAGCACUAAUACAGUAAUUUUUUUUUUUUUUUUUCUUCAAAAUGCACAAAAAUUAUCACACCAAAUGGCAUUCAUCAUGUUCUCUUGACAUGAUACAUACAACACCAGCCAUUUAAUCUUCAUUCCUUUAUAAAAAUUAGCCCCCUCCCUUCAGUAGACACACUACAUAGUCAAUAAUAAACUAUUGCCCUUGUAUAAUGAAAGAAACUUUAAACAUGGAAGGCAGCUAAAAUGCAUAUGCAUGACACAAGCUGAGAAACAUACACAUUGUCUCCUAAGCUGUGAAGCAGAUGUCUUUGUAGUAUCAUUUAUAUUCUAGAUGUAAGAAACAUAAAGUGUAACAUUCGCAGCUCACCAAACAUGCAUUAUUCAAUGUUUUGAUUCUUGCUUUGUUUUACUUGGACGAGGGUUUUGUUUUUCAUCAAGCAGAGUUGGAUCAACAACUAAGCAUCAUCCUCCCAAAAGCUUUCAAUUACUGUAUACUACUCUAAAUUAUAGAAUAAAUUAGGACAAUUUGUAGAUAAUGGAACAAUUUCAACACAUGACUGAUGUCCCAAACCUAGGUAAAACUUCGACACAAAAAAAAACUAGGUAAAACUUCGACACAAAAAAAAAAAAGGUAAAAUAAUAUCACUCACCAUGAGUUGUCAGAUAGCUGCUGCACUUCUACUCGCUUUCCAACUGCAUCCUUUCCCAACUUUUUCAAUAUCCAAUUAGCAUCCAUGAUCUCGUCCAUUAAAUUAUCUUCAACUGACGGUCCCCUAUCAUUUUCACUGAAUGAUGUUUUCUCCAUAAACGGUGGUCUCUUUCUUUUUGAACGUUGGCCCUUAACAGAGCUUUUUUCUUCAUCAUGCUGAGAAGAACUCUGGCUUUCAACAUUAGGUUUCUUAAGCUUAAACUUCAAUGAAGGCUUAUGUUCUUUGGAGGAAGAUUGUGAAACCGGUGUUUGGCCAGAUUCAUCAUUCUUGUGAGCAGAUACGGCAGACCUGCUUUCUGAGUGCUUCCUUGAAUAAACCUUGUUAUUUUUCAUAGUGGGGAUCUCACCUACAGGCUCACUUGCAGUCGUGCCUUCUUCAGUGCUUUUUCCGGAUGAAACAUUCACCUGCUCUGGAGGAAUGCCUUCGACUACCUCAACCCUAUCACUUUUCACAAGUUUGGGGUUAUGAUCCGGUGCUCCUGACCUUACCCUUCCCAACUUUAUUACAUUCCCUUCUCUUCCAGCAACCUUCGAACCUAUCACAUAAAAACAAAUUAUCAAUUCUAUCUGCAAAUUGUACACCACCAGGAAGGUUUUGAUUACAUAAAAUAAUGAGAAUUGACCAAGAUACUAAUAAUUAAAUAGGAAACAGAUAAUAAUCAAAUUUAAUAAUCAGGGGAUUCUACCUUUUAUACCUUUAGCAUCGCCAAAAUUAGCAGGACUAUCAUGUUUAUUUUCCAUUGUUGUCUUCUGGCUCGCAUCUUCACCACCUGCUCAUCAAUAGAAUAACAAAUCAUAAAGAGAGUGAGAGAGAGAGAGAGAACAGUAUGACAUUUGUUCCCCAUACAGUAUACAGAUGACAUACCAUUAGAGGUCACGGGAGCAUGCACUCUUUGAUAGGUUGAAGCAUCAGAACUUGGAGAUUUAGUAAUAUUAAUCUUUUUGGCGCCGAAGUUUAUCACAAGCUUCUUCUCUUUCACAGGCUUAGACUUACCAGCAUGCUUUCCAGUGUCCUCUCCACUAUCCAGACCAUGAGACCUGCCCUUGAUACGAACUUUGGACGUCCUAUCUCCCCCAUUUAACAUCACUUCAUCAACAGACUUGUGCUUCAAUGCACUUGGCUCACUGACAGAGAAGAUCUCUUCAGUAUGGCUCAUACUUCCAGCAGGAGGUGAAGAAUAUACUUCUGGUUCUGCAUUUUUGGAGGACUGCAUCUCAUCAUUCUUGUCCGACCCAAGAUACUGGGAAUCAUGUCCUCGAACACUCUGAUUUGCUUUGGUACUAACUGAAAUUUCAUGGUAUUCCUUCUUCUUAGCAGGAAUUCUGAUCAAGGAUUUCUUACCACUAUCCUUGGUCUUUUUUGGCGACUUAUCAACUAAUCCUUUGAGAGACAAUUUCAAAGAGCGUCCAUAUUCACUCUUUUGUUUUGGGGGGCCAGUUUCUUCAUCAUCAGAAUAGGGUGGAAUAGAAAAUAUUUCUUCAUGAGCUGGCAACCCUGCAGCAGCCCUUAAGCUAGUAAUUAAAUCUCGUUCAGCUUCGUCUUUUCUCUUCCAAAGCUCUUUCGCAGCAUCCUCAUGAUUCUUGACCUGGCAGAAGAGAUUCAACAGAAGAUCAAUUCUUUUUUUUUUUUUUUUUUUUUGGGGNNNNNNNNNNNNNNNNNNNNGGGGGGGGGGAGUAAAACUGGUAUCUAAAUUUAGCAGACCUGAUGGCACUCUCCACGACAUGUGGCACAUUUGUACUGGAGAUUUCCAUCUAACUGAAAUUGUUGAUAUUUUUCAUCACUGGAAAAAGAAAUGACACAUUUAGUAUACAAAAAUAAAUAAAAGAAAAUAACUGAUACUAUAUUCGAAAAAUAAUUGUGCGUUUAUAUAAGGAUCGAAGGGAGGCCCGAGCAGAAAACAUUCAUUUAACAUAAAUGCAAAAUAAUAGAUAUGAUUUGCCUGCUAGCAAGACCUAAGGCUUUAGAAAUCUGAGUAACGAGAGAGAGUGAACAUAAUGACAUGUCAUUCCAUUACUUUCCCCUAAGAGAAAUUCGUCUUAAUGGUAUACGAACUUUUGCUACUUAUAAACUAUGGUAUAUCAAGUUUUAAAAAUAUCAGAUUGGUAUCUCAUGUUUCCAUCCCAACCUAGGAUUGAUAUAUAUAGCCAUUAAGAUGACUAAUUUACCCUCAGACAAAAAAAAAGACCAACUUACCAUUAAAUUCUCUCUCUUUUUUUCUUAGUUUUCAUAUUCCAAUUUUCUUUUUUUGGCUUUUUAUAUUUUUAGGAACGUAGAGAAAAAAUUCUUCGUCAUUUUCUCCUUGCUAUUAAUCAGUUCUUCAUCUCAAUCGUCCUUGAAUGUCAACAGCAACAACAAGAUCCUUGACUGUCAGCGAAAACAACAACAAUUGAACUUCUGUAUGUUUCCUCUCUUCAAUCUUCUUCAAGUUUAUAAAGACCAACCCAAAUCAUCAAAUUCCAGAACCUCUUCUAAUAUUUCUGGAAUAUGAAAACAAAUAUAAAAAAAACUAAGAAAAAAAAGAGAACUCAAGGGUAAAGUGGUCAUCUUAAUGGCUAUAUAUGCCAAUUUUAGGUCAGAUGGAAACGUGAGAUACCGUUUUGAUAUUUUCAAAACUUGAUAUACCAAAGUUUAUAAGGCGCAAAAGUUCGUAUACCAUUCGGACGAAUUUCUCUUCCCCUAAAUGAAAUUACAGAAUGAUAUGUCAUUCCAUUACUUUCCACUAAAUGAAAUCAUAUCUCCUAUUGAAAUUGGAUGAUCAAUCAUUUUCUUGAUAAAAAAAAAAAAUCCUUCAGAACCAGCGAAAUCAAAGGACGAGACUAAGCAGAGUACUUGUUAGUAUAAAAAUAAAUCAACCUGAUCCCAUCACAAUGGCAAUGUACCCAACGCUGGCAAAUAUCGCAGCAGACCAUAGGUGUUGAUUCUGAGUCUCUGUAAACCUAUAAAAUGGCAAAACCAAAAAAAGUCAAGAGUGUAGAAAGAGGACAUAUUCCAAUGAGAUGGUUAAAAAAAUAAGAUAUAUUGUUUAAACUAACUAGUACAUCAGGGCCCUUCCAUUGAGGGAUCCCUAUUUUUAGUCACUUUUAGGGAUAAGCUCACAUCAUUGGAUCUGUCAUUUAAUGAGGUUGGAUGGCUGAGAUUAAAACAAAAAGUUACACACUUUAUAUCAAACCUGGACCGUUCAAGAUCAUUAAAAAUAAAUUGAAGUUUUGAAUGGGUUAACGAUCACUAAAUUAUCUGAAAAUUUGUAUAAAUAAUCUACUCAUAUAACCCAAUGAAUUGAACGGAGUAGAUGCAAAAAUUUGAUCGGGAAGUUGGUGUAAUGCCCUAUCCUUAGAAAUAGUCAAAAAUAGGGAUCCCUCAAUGGAAAGGCCCUCACUAGUACAUACAUACCGUAGCUCUUAAUAAUAAUUAGCUGAUCAUACAAAUGCAACAAAAAUCAUAAAAGUCAAUUAAAACAAAUCACCUCAGGAAAAUAGGCUACAGAAAUAUAUAGUACCUUCAAGCAAACAGGGCAAUAGUUCCCCUUAACAAAUAAUCGUCCACAUGCAUCACAGCAAGUGUAUCCCAAAAACCACCUGUCAAUUUAACCAGCGAAGCUUAAGUCUAUGACGUGCUCCCAAGUUAGCUAACUGGGUGAUAACAGUAAGAAACUUAAAGAGCCCAUAACAUGUUCCUAAUUUAGAAGGCUUUCAACGACAUAGAGAAACUAUGCCAUAUGCCAAACACUAAUACCACAGAACAUAAUAAUAGGCAUGGUGUGAGGACAGAAUCUAAGAAGGUGCAGAAUACAGAAAACUAAGAUACUACCAACUGAACUAAAUCAGAAUAUCACAAUAACAAUCAUCUUAUCAUCAGUGUAGGCAAAGAAAAAGAUUAAUAGAUCAAAAUAGUAACAAUACAUACCUAACACUUAGACCAUUUCCUGGCACGUUUGACCCACAGCUGUGACACUUUGUAUGUUUUGGGCAUACAUAAACCCCAGCAGAAACAUUCUGCAACAUGCAUGAACAAAUAUAAGCAUAUUUUCAACCAAAGAUAGGAAAUCAUGAAUAUGUAGUGCAUCCCACCUUGUGUGAAGGAUGUUGGCAGUAACAGUGGUAAGCACCAUCACACCUUUUGCAGAACAUAAGCUUGUUUGGAUCUCCUGUUCUUCGACAUACCUGGAGAAAUGAUGCAAUAGGCACCUGGUUAAGAAGUGCCUCUUUGGAAACCGAAUACCAGGAACAUUGGCCCAUACCAAACAAUAUGGCAUCUUUGGUAUAAAAUGAAAUCUAUUAAAGAAUCAUAGGUUAAAUUAAAUGAAUAAGUCCUCAUGAAGUGUUAUUAAGAGACAAUUUAUAGCCUAUGAUAAUAGACCAAGUGGAGGGAUAUACAGAAUGUAGUGGUGGCCAAAAGCCCUAAUUUUAGGUAUAGGCAUCAGACUAAUCUGUUUUCAUUUAUCAUGGAUCAUAUUAUUAGGAUGCCUACAAAUAUUUAGGGUUAUGAGAGUUACAAUAUAAGAGAGCAAUGAUCAAAAUAGGAAAGGAAAAAGAAACAUACAUAUAAACGAAGGCAUAUCAGGAGGAUACUAGAAAACACACCAUAUUGGGUGUGCAUGCAAUAUGGAAACAUUACUUUCGUAGACCAACAAUAACAGAUAAUACUGACACACUGAAAAGGUAAUGUAGGAGCUUGAAUAGAAAAUACAUGUAACAACAUGGACGAGUACUGCAAAUCACUCAUUUACCUCACAUAUUCGGCACGACGGGCAUGCCCAUGAACUCCAGUGAAAUAGAUCUGCAAAGAAGUUCCAUUACAUUAAUAUGUCAGAUCUAUAGCCUCCUACAAAAGCUUGGGAACUAUUAGUACCUCUGUGUUGAGACCAAGUUUUCAAGCAGUUCCUAUGGUACUUUUUGCCACAGGUUUUACAUGGAAGCAUCCUUCUUGCUUUCUCACUUCCUUCAUUUUCCCCAGAAAAGCAUAUCCGACACAUAACAUUGGACUGACCCUGCUCUUCUCCCACAACUCCUUUGGAGGUGUCCUGAUAACAGGAAGAAAGAAAUGAAUGAAAAGUUGGUAUUUUCAACAUAAAUAAAAGAGGUGAGUAGGGGGAUAGAGUAGCAGAGGAUCGAAAAGAAUUUAACAGCUAAAUUUUUUUCAUCUAAAUCACGAUACUAUAUGAAAAGGUUUAAAUGGCACAAGUAUGUCAUAACAAUAAGGUUAUAACGGAAAAAAAAAAAAAAAAAAAAAAAGAAGGCCCCAACAUGUCAAAUACAACAGAUACUCUAAAAAACUUGCAACUAAACGGAGGUAUGCCAUUCAAGUAACAGAAAAACUUGCUUGGUCUCAUAUUGUGUCUAAAGCUAAUGGGGUAUAAAGUCAAUAUAACCCGAAGCGGGUAAGGGCAUUUCAACAUAAUGUUCUAUUCCUUAUCAAAGCAUAUAAAUUGGAGUUUUUCAUAGCAUGGCAUCUUGAGUGUGUAGCUGGGAAAUUCUAUAGUCAGGGAAAAAACACAGUUGCAUCUUAGUUAAAGGUUAUAAUAUGAGAGUAUAAACCCUACUCUGGGUUCUUACGUUUAGAAGCUACUUCAAAGCUUUUUGCAUUUUUUUGCAGCUAAAAGUGCUGCAACCACUUAGACUCACCCUUUACUACAAUAAUUUCACCUAUGUCUCAUAUUUUCUCCUAGUCAAUCCUAUUGGCCUUUAUAAGAGAACCAAAAACUGACUGAACUUGUCCAUAUCUCAACCAUCUUAACCGCAUUGCCUGCAAAUACAAACAUGUCAUGUAUCAUAAUAAAUGGACCCCUAUUACUCAAAAAAAUUCCCGGUUGGUAAAUCAGAAGCAUAUCUCAUUGCGGGAAACCAGCAUGAGCCUGAAAAACCUACAAGUCAAUAUCUAGCCGAAACAGUCAAAAUCUAAUAUCCACUCCCUAACCACUUUCCCAGUACCAUAUAUAAUCUCAGAUUCCUUAUUUCGCAAUCAACUCUACAAAAACUCGAAACUCACAUAACAUGCAUUCAUCUACGCACAAAUACAACCCAAAAAUUAUCUCCAAAUUACAGCCAGUAACUCCAAAAACAUAAAAUUCUAACAAGCAGAUGCAUAGCACACAAAAUUCAAAAGCAUUGAAUUCGAAGAACCUCACCGACAAAUCACCAGACUCAAAGCGGCGAGCAAAGUCCUCAGCGGCCACCAUAUCCGCAGCAGCCUUGCGCUGGAGAGCGGCCCGCUUGGCCUGCGCGGUGGCCGCAGCUGCCGACUCCUCAUCAACCGUCGCCGCCACCGCAUCCCCAACGACCGACGGCGGAACCGGCAGAGGAGGCGGCGGAGGCGGCGGCGCGACUCUGGGAACAACGACCUGGACAGUUCUGCCGUCGUCGCGAGCCCUAAUUCCGGACGGAUCGCUGAGAAACUGAUGGACUUUGAUGACCUCGUCGAGGAAGCUCGCCUUGGAAUUCGCGGUGGCGAGGGAUCGAGGAAACCCUAGCGGGCAGAAGCAGAUUCGCCGGCUGAACACCACAACAGAGAAGAAGUUUUAGAGAGAGAAAAUGAGAGAGGGUUUUAGAGAGAGAAGGAGCGUACCAUGUAAUUGGGCAAGCGACGUGAAAUGCCAUAUUGCGAUGAUACAAAGGGGAUUUUAGAUUUCCAAAUUUUUUUGGUGUUCAGGGAUCUCGCCCCUCCUAAAUUUUUUUACUUCGCGAGGAAAAUAUAUAAAUAAAAAUUAAAGUUUAUAUUUUGGAAAAUAAUUUGGUUUUAUAGGUAAAGGGGGUGACUGUGAUGACGAAGAAGAGAGGGGAGACACGAAGAUAGAAACAGGGUCCUCCCUCUCUGUGCCUGUGCGUUUUAUUUUCAAUUUUGGGAUUUCUCGUGUCGUUUCGGGCUCCUUUAACAGCGAUUUGUGGGCCACUUGGUUAAUACACAUAUAACAAUGGGUCAAAUUAUAAAUCUAGAAUUUUAAACUAUCCAUGGUGACAUGGGGUGAAUGUUGGUGGUGGUCAUUUUACAUAGAAGAAAAAUAUGUCAUCUAAAGGGCCAUGUGGUUAAGUUGUUACAAAUAUUGAUAUGAUAAUAUGGACCAACACAACACAUUCAUGUUAUUGGUAUAAAAUAAAAAAAUACACCGAGCAGAUUACGUGACAAACGUCUCGCUCGUCAUAUUUACCUUGACUAUUAUAAUAACUCCUGCCGUAAUCUUUAUGUGGCAUGUAAAUUAAUAUCUUGUAGAGUUACUAUAUAAACUAAUUCUUGGUUCUAUAAUUUUCUAGAAUCUCCUUCAAUAACAAUUAGCUUUUUAGUUGUAGGUUCGUGUAUCUUGGUUAGCUUUAAACAUACGGUAUAAAGGCGAUGUAGGUUCAGAUCUCCGAUGCACAAAUGGUGUCAAAUCGGGAAGUAUAUAAACUCAUGCCUCUAAAAUCCUGUUUGGGUAUAUAUUUCUGAUGAACAAUGAUCGAACCUGAUUGUCACACCCCAAUUUUCGAAAGAUAAAAUUUCAAAAAUUUGGGCAUGAUAAAACUCAAAAUCUUAAUAUCCCACAACCUGCUCGACAAAUUCCAAACUAAAAACAAAUACUGUAAACUCAUGCCUCUAAAAUCCUGUUUGGGUAUAUAUUUCUGAUGAACAAUGAUCGAACCUGAUUGUCACACCCCAAUUUUCGAAAGAUAAAAUUGCAAAAAUUUGGGCAUGAUAAAACUCAAAAUCUUAAUAUCCCACAACCUGCUUGACAAAUUCUAAACUAAAAACAAAUACUGUAAAUGUAAAUGUAAAUUAACUCCUCAACCGAGUUAAACACUUAAUCUCCUUAAUUACAUUAACUUUCAAAAGUCUAGUAAUAAACUACUUCGCUCACAUGAGCUUCAAAACAACCACCAUAAAAUACAAAUAAAUGUAUAUCAUCAAAAACCCAGCUCCUAGGCCACUGCCUCAAACCUUCUGAUCAUCACCUGCAGGUCUAACCCCUACACCAUGAAUUGGUGCACCGGGUUGUAAACAACAAACCCGGUAAACUAAAAGCUCGUAUGAGUAACUCCCAAAAUAUUAAUUCAACAAUCCCAACAUCACAUAUAAUUAAAAUUGAUAAUUCCUGCAUUAAUAACUUAGUUCAGGAAUCACCUAAAAACAAGAGAAUUCAAAAGAAGCAAUUAAGAAAAACACCAUAAUUCAAAAUCACUCAAAAUCAUAAAUGAAACAAAUAAUUAACAGGAAACACAACAAUUCACAAUCAAACAAAUCAAAAUGAAAUUCUGCAAAAAGGCAUAGUUCAGGAAAUACUUAAAACAAAGAAUUUUAAAAGACAACAUAUAAGAACAUCAUACAAUCAUUUCUCUACUCUUACUUAUGAGUUCGCCAACACUUAGUCAUCCCCCAUAAGUAACCAACAAUGCGUACUCAUGGGUUCAUCAACACUUAGUCAUCCCCCAUGAAGUACCGACUGACAGACUAGAGCUCUAUACUGACCGUAACCAAUCACCCGGCUAAGGCUUGGUUCCCGGUCCACCACGAAGGCUCCUAAUCUAAGAAUCACCACUAAGGCACACACAUACAUAACUAAUGCGCAAAACCACACUAAGGCACGCAUUCAAAUACUCUCCCAUCAUAACACUUAUCAAAUCAUAAAUUAAUAAUAUAAUCAUAACCGUAACCAAUCACCCGAUUAAAGGCUUGGAACCCGGUUUGAAUAUUUAAACAACAAUUCACAAUAUAAAAUAUAUCAUCGACAACAACACAAGAACACUUCAUAAAUUAUAUCUUUCCGCCUAGAUAUAUUUAUAUAAACGAAGACAUAUAUAUUCUCACUAGAAUAAUAUAUCAACAACCAUAUUUCAACAUCACAAUAUCACAUGAUCGGAAGUCCUUUUGAAAGAUUCUAUUUUACCAGAAAAUAUAUUUUCACUUACCCAUAAGCGUUGAUGAUCAAACUCAUUUAUUUUUAAAACAAAAAUCAUUUUCCUUAAAGGACAACUUCACAACUAACAAUAAUAAAAUUAUAAAAUAAACUCGGUUUCUUAUGAACCCAUGUGAGAUUUACUCACAAUAUAAAAAUUGCAUCAUAAUCAUCAUCACCAAAAUCAACAUCACAAUCAUCAUAAUAAUUGUCAUCAUAACAAUUAUCAUCAUCAUCAUUAUCAAAAUCGUCACCAUAACAAUUAUCAUCAUCAUAAUCAUCUUCAAAAUCAACAUCACAAUCAUCAUCAUAUUAAUUAUAAAUAAUUGGUCCCAAAGUGGACCUUGGUGAGAUGUUACUCACCUCAAAUCCAGCUGCGUCUUCGCACGCACAACACAAACAUAUAGUACAAAACCACACCCACAAGUCACUUAUUAACAAAAACGUUAACCUUAGCAACUAUGAAAAACAACAUUAUCCGACUCGAACCAAAACUCAAGUCCUAACCCACGAGCUUGCCACUUGAGACAAAACUUCCUCCUUGACCUUUAAAAGGUCGCCGAAACGUCCAACACAUCCUAUAGAACUACUAACCAGAUUCUCAUGUUCGGAUUUACUCAAAAAUGAAACGAACGAAACUUAACACCACGGGGAAACCCUAGAAUGCAAUAAUGAUAACCAAAACCUACAACCCACAUAUCAACACGCUCGUAUCAAAGAGUACUAUCUAACCAGCACCACAAAACACCCCAGACACUACCGGACACGCCACCACAGGCGGCGGCGAGUGGGCCCCACGCGCCACCACGAAAUGUCUGAAUUUGGGCAAACUCAACACAUUAAACUUGUAGAUUGAGGAGAGAGGAGCAUCUUUUAUACCUGAGGGUCCAACCAGUUCGACCGGAAUCGGCCGGAAAUCACCGGAAACUUGCCGGAAAAGUUGGAAUUCACCACCACCACUCCACACCGAGAGUCGAGCUUCAAGACCACCGGAAAAUGAACCAGGUCGCCAAGGAGCUCCUAUCCCGACCUUUUCCAAGUUGCGUCGCCGCUGCCGGAGGUGGGAAUCCCGACCGGUCUCUAAGCCGAACUUCCAAGCUUCAGGUCACCACUUCGGGACUGAAUCGGCGUAAGUCACCACCACAAGGUAGCUCGGACGGAGGAGAGGAAGAGAACCCGACCGGUGCCGACGUCUAGGUCGGUCGGAGGUGGCCGAAAAAUCCGGGUCGGGUCAACCGGGUCCGGGUCGGGUCGACUGGGAAACUCGGAUACUGAAGGUGAGGCGGGAGAGAAGAAAAGAGGAGAGAGUGAUGUGGGACAAAAAAAAAACUGAGGGAACCCUAUAACUUUUUCAUAGUUAUACUAAAAAUUUCCGAAAACCACGAACUUCUGCUGACCAUAACUUCCAUAUACGAAGUCCGUUUUACACGUGCCAUGUGUCUACGAACUCGUAUCGUCGUGCUCUACAACUUCCGUGAAGGAAGUUUUCCGAGAAACCCAACAGAUUAAAAAGUCAACUCUUGACCCUUCAAAAUAAAUCAUUUUCAAGGAAAUAAAAACUCGACUACUUCUAGUCCACUCACUAAACCAGAAAUCCAUACAACUCUUACUUAAAUAAUUUCCAAAAAUAAAAUUAGAAACUAAUAUUAAAUUUCCAGGGUAUUACACUGAUCCAGUCCUACUAUAAGGCUUUCGAGUUUAUGUAAACCAUCAGAGCUCUCACUCUCUCACAACAAGCCAACUUAAGGUUUUCCCAUCCAAAUCACUUGUAUUAUGUCGCUCUUGAUCCUAGUUAUCGGCUGACGAACCUCUCGGUCUCGCGAAUCUCUCUAGGGCAAGCUUUGGGUUGCUGCAACCUCAUUUGGUUCUCGUGGGGACGUGCAUUUUUUUUCAAGGAUGAUGGGGAUGACGGGGAUGACAUAGUUUUUCUCCGAUGGAUCCAAAUCAAAUAGUUUUCUCCGAUGGAUCCAAAUCAAAUCUGGGAUCUUGUGUCUGCCAAGGUUCAAGAUGUCGGUAGGGCUGGUGUAGGGUUAUGGGAUUGGGACUUCUUAAGAAUUGGGGCCUGGAUUUGGGCCCCAAAGUCUUCGGUUUGGGUCUAGGUUUCUAGGGCCUUAAUUGAUUGAUGUUCAAGUUUUCUUUAGCUAUGACGAAUCAUUUUUUUUCCUGCUUCGGGCAAUCGGGCUUGGGCUUUUAGUUUGUUUGUUGAACAAGUGUGUUUUAUUCUAUCAAGUGGGUGUAUUGGGGCUUUUGGAUCUUAUUCUAUUAGUAUAGGUGUUGAAGCUCUAUAAAAUCGUUCUUUCGAACGGUUUUACCGCUUGUUAUUCUAUUAGAGUCUAACAAUCAUCGUUUCAAACAAAAACCUAAUCCGACUAGUUGUCUAACUCUCUUGUUAUCUAUAGUUAGCCACAUCUUCUAGGGUUUCUCUGGCUUCUCCUAAGGUUCUCCAAACGUUGUUGCUUCGCACCCCAAUCCCAUUGGCACUAGGUCCAACGAGGUCUCAUAGAGAUUUGCCUCCUCUUUAGCUCUUCCCGAUGGAGAUUGACCUUUGGUCGGCGUCACUCGCUCUACCCCGGCUCCGCAAUAGUUCUUUGAUGUAGGCCAUCUUCUCACCCUCAAGAGAAAGGUCUUAGAUUAGAAUGCGGUUAUCGGUACUCUAACCUCAGUAUGAGAUCUCCAGAAUCGCCUCCAGAUGCGUGCAAGAGAUGAUCGAUUUGUGUUGCUCUUCAAUAGAGCGGAAGACUAGAAUUGUCACAUCUCGGUUCUUAAGUCAAUUUGCGGUUAUUUACUUUUGGGUUACUUUGGUCUUUCACCGCUUUAAGUAACCGUUUACUGUUAAAGAACCCUGGAGUUGACUUUUUGUAGGAAAAUUAUUUUGGGAAAAUUUCUUUAAGGAAGUCGUAAAGGACAUUAAUACGAAUCCGUGGACAUACUAUACGUUAAAAUCGGAGUUCGUAUGUAAAAGUUAUGGUGUAAAAUGUAAAGUUACUAUUUCGGGAAGGAAGGAAUAAAAAGGGUCAAAGGUGGAAAGUCAAAAGUGAAAAGUCAGAUUUCACUUUCACUUCUCUCUCCUCCCCCGCUCGGUUCCCGACCCGGUGCCUUCUCCACCUCGGUUCGCCGCCGUCCGGCGGAGUUAGGCCGCCAUACCGGUUGGGAUUUGAAGCUUGGCUCAUACUCAGCUGAUCUGGGUAGCUGGCCGGUGGUGUCGCGCCACCGUGAGGGAGAAAGAGCGACUGGAAGCCGCGGUUGUGUGCAGAGGUUUUUCGCCGGAAACUCCCUUUUCCGGCCACCAUAGCUGGAGCUGCUAGUAUCAUUUGGAAGCUCUCCUCUUGUGCAGCAAACCCCUAAAACGAUACAUCCUAACUCGAGGUAGGUAAGGAGAAUCGAAGGUUUGAAUUUUCUAGGGUUCUUUAUUGUGUUUUUGUUCGAUUGGCAUGUUUAAGCUUGAAAUUGGACUUGGUGAUAGUUAUGAAAGUUGUUUGGGAUGUUGAGAGGAAGAUGCUGUUAAAAUUUGGUAGCCAUUGGGGGCCGCUGGAGUCAGCCGCCGCUGCCGGCGAACGCCGCCACUUGGAGGUUGUUUUUUAAGUUUUUUGGGUUUGUUAUAAUGAGAGGAGUCUAAUGAAGUAUAGUUUGGAAUAUUUGGAGGAGUUUUGAUAAGGUUUGGGAUUUUUAAAAAGAUCAAGGAUUUUGCCGGUUAUUAGAAUGAAAAUCCGGCCGUUGGAUUUCCUUGGUAUUUAUUAUAGAAUGUUAGAAUUGAUGAAUUAAGGUUGUGGUGGAGUUAUGUGUGAAUCCGGCGAGUUUAACCCUAUUAAGAGUAGUGGGUUAAACGGAAGAGAGUUAGAUGUUUUUAUUCACGUAUUUAUUUUUUGGAAUUGAAGUUUGGUUCUAAGCAUGGUUGUUGUGCCAGGAUGCAAAGGGAAUCUCGCUUGAGUGGCGAUGCGGUUAUCGUCGGGCUUAUGCCUAAAUUUGUGAGUGGACAUUUUGGUUUUAAAUAAAUAUGCAUGCAAGAUUUUAUAAUCUAUCAUUUUAUUUUCCGAGCAUAUAUUAUAAUUUUCAGCUCAUGAGUUGAUCUUGAAAAAUUAUUUGAGUUUGGUGCAUUGAUUAAGUGUUGGUCAUGAUUUAUGGAUUUAAGCUCGGAUUAUUAUUUUGAUAGUUGAGUUUGGAUAUUCCUUAUAUAUUUCGGAUUUCAGUAUAAUGGUUUUAUUGGUGGACUUCGAGAUUUUUAAAAGAUUUCCGAAAAUGGGAUUUUCGGUAGUUCUCCAUCAUAAUUUAAUUGUUAUUUGAGGCAUAAUGAUUUUGACUUGGAGAAUAUUUUAGUGAGUAUUUUCAAGUGGAGAUAUUAUUAUUUAUGAUUUAUUUUUGAUAUUGAAAUCUCGCUUAUAUUUAUAAAUUUGAGAAGAUUAUGACGUGUGAGACACGUCAUUGACUUUUAUUAUAAUAUCUUAUGAUGAUUUUCAAGUACGGUUGGGAACCGUACCAUUCAUGUGAUUUUAGGGAAGUUUAUUGGAUUUAAGUGAUUUCGUAUGUUUUUAAUCACCAUAAUAUAGGGUUGAUUUAUAUUGAUUAUUGCUAGCUAACCUUAUUAGCGGUCCUCAUCAUAUGUGAGUCGCUAGUAUGCCCUUAUUAGCGGUCGUCUUCAUAUGUGAGUAGAGCGCUUAACGUGGGACGCUAUUAUAGCCUGGGAGGCAACCGAUCGGUAUUUAUAUUUAUUAGUUAGCUAGCCAUUAUUAGCGGUCCUCAUCAUAUGUGAGUUGAGCGCUUAGCAUGGGACUCUAUUAUAGCCUGGGAGGCAUCGACCCGAGUCUUAGAGGCUCCUUUUUCAUGGUGAUAACUCUUCCCCUUAUUUUAUUCUUCUCAGUAAUAUAUUUGAUUAACCAGUGGGGCUGGUUUAUCUCAUUUUAUGAGAUUUCUAUUUUAAUUAACCAGCAGGGCUGGUUUGUCCUUUAUUAAGUGAUUUUAGAUUUAAAGUUUUAAGGACGUUUAAGUUGCAUGCUGUUAAGUUUUAAAAGUUGAAAAGUGGGAAAGUAUAUAAGUUUUAUAAUUGUUAAGUUAUUGAAUUUAUUUUUGUCCACUCACUCUAACGUUUUUAAAUUACUUUCCCCUGGGCCCUUUGAUUUUAAAUGCCCAGUUUGCAGGCUAAGUUAUUCGAGGUCGAGCGUACAUGGAGUCAAGGCAUAGUCAGAGGCUGCUUUUGCUUAUUCUUUAGUCAUUGUUUUUCGUUUAACUUUAGAUAUGCUCUGAUAACCAGUUAGUGAAUUAAUGUUGGUUAUUGUUGGUUGUGGGAUUAGUUUAGCUGAGUAGUUGUUAUAUUGGGAGAUAUGAUGAACUUAGGGAACAUGAAGGCUCCAGGUGUUGAGGAUGGAUGUUUGUUUAUAGAAGUGUUAAGUUGGAUUUUUCAGGUAAGGGUUGUCUAUUUUCAAGGAAGGUUAUGCCGAAUUUUCGGUUAAUUUUCCUUGAAGGUGGACCCCGUAGGAUUUACCUCGGGUUUCAGGGUGAAAUUCGGGGCGGGUCUUGACAAGGAUAACAUCCUGUAUGGAGGUCCUUAGUUCUAUGGCAGAUCCCAAUUUGUUCUCGUCAAAUAUGAUGGUCUUCAAGAUGUGUCUCAGGUCCCUAUUGAGUCUUUCUCGAUGUGGAUCGAAAUCAAGGGGUUUCCAGAUGCCUUGAUCACAGAGGAGGCGGUUGAGAAGAUUGGUCUGACUCUAGGGUUUGUGGACCAUGUCAACAAACUGAAAAUCAAGCACAGAUCGAAGGUUAGGGUUAGCAUUUUGCACAAUUUGUGCAAUUAUUUCAAGGAAGCCUUUGGGGAUCUGCCCUUUGAGUUUGGAUCGAGGAGGUUUCUAGCGAAACUUCAACUGAAGUACGACUGGACUGUUGGUUUUUACAGGGUGUGCGCCAUGAUGAUCCAUCCCGAUUCCAGUUGCACUGGUAAGCCAGUGUUGACACCAAUUCAUCGAAAUCAAGUCGAUGACGACUCUAUUUGGAUAUAGAGGAGCAACUAGGGUGUCCGAAACCAAACCGAUCGAACCCUAACCUUAGUCUGGUCUCGAAACCAUUUAUGGAUCUAAGUGGUGCGUCGUCUUCUGGGGUGAAGAACCUGGUUCUCUUGUAGCUGCCAAGUACUGCCUUCAACCCUUUUAAAGCUGCAAGAAAUUGAUAUGGGGUCUGUCUGAUUUCCCGAAGGUUUCAGUCUCUCUCCUUGGAAUUUUUGUUGCUGAUCUUGUCGUGUAGUUAGCUCGAUUUCGGUCUGCUCCGGUGACUGAACCGAUCUCGGUACCAGCUCUAGAGGUGGUGACAGUCCCAACAAGUGUGCUUCCAAUGUCAUCUUUAGCUUGGACGAAGAGGAGUGUUGAACUAGCUUUAGUGUCGUUUUGCAAGAGAGGUUGUGGUCUACCUGAGCCGGAUCAAUUUGCUGUAGUGCCCUAUGAGCUGCCCUUCGCCCCUAAAAUGGCUCUACCUCACUCUGGAUGGACUCUUACUGACACAACCCAUCCCAAAUUUCACCCUGAAACCCGAAGUAAAUCCUGCGGGGAACACCUUCAACGAAAGUUUACCGAAAAAUCGGCAGAACCUCCCUUAAAAAAAAUGGACAACCCUUCCUAAUAAUACCUGCAUACACUUCUGAUAAACCAAAUCCAACCUUAAACUCCUGGAGCCUUCAUGCCCCAAAUCACAACAUCUCCCAAUUAUUUAAAUAUCUACACAAAUCUCAUAUCCAACCGUUUAUAGGUUCAGAGCAACACUAAUAGGAAGAAAGGAAACAUGAUAAAUUAACAAGCGGAAGCUAUAUGAUGACUAUGCCUCACUCCCCAUGUNNNNNNNNNNNNNNNNNNNNGCAACUCGGCAUUUUAAAACGAAGGGCCCAGGGGAAAACAUUUGAAACCGUUAGAGUGAGUGGACAAAAACAUAAAUUUAAUGAAAAUAUUUAUGAUUUCCCAAUUUACAUUUUCAUAGAAAAUAUGCUGCAUGCGACAGCUCAAAAACGCUCAACACAAAAAUUGGCAAUUUCAUGACUAGCUCCGGCCAGUCUCCAAAACUCAAUAAAAUACAGCCUCUCAGGCUAAAAUAAAAUAUUUAUGUAUUACACUCGUCAUAUCCCUUGUAUGAAUUUUCUUGAAACAACAAAGACAAAUAGAAAAUUCACACAAGGCUACGACGCUUGCGUCUAACGCUCACGUCGCACCAUAAUGGCAUUUUACCUCAUUAUGGUGGAAAAGACGGUGUAUAAAUAUAUACGCGCAUAUCCCUUAUAUAAAUUAUUAUAUUUAUAUAGGGUUACGACGAUUGCGUCUAACGCUCACAUCGCACCAUAAUGAAAUUUUUACCUCAGUAUGGUGGAAAAGCACGUAUAGCUAGCUAGCAUUCCUUCAUAUACAUAUUAUUCUCAUAAUCAUCCAAAUAUGGAUAUAUAUAAAUAUAUAUACUCACCGAAAUUCUCAAUUUCGGUUAUUCUCCAACAAUAAUGAAAAUUGCCAAUUAUCAUAAAAAGAAAUACGCACACGACUCUACCGAAAAUCUCAUUUUCAGUAACUUUCCAAAUAACACGAUAGCCAUUAAAAAUGAGAACAUUUACUUCUGAAAAUGACUUCGCGAAAAUAAACAAUUCCACAAAUUGAUAUUCAAUAAAAUCAAUCAUUUAAUGUAGAAUCACCGCAUGCAUAUAUUUUAAAACAAAAGUCCACUCACAACUUUAGGCCUAAACCUGAUGUCGAUCUGGACCCUCGCUUGCCCGAGCCUCCUCACGUCCUGUUCCAAAUAUACUAUUAAUUUCCUAACUAACAAUCCAACAUUUAAUUAAAAUAGGCAAAAUUAACCGAGAGCCGUAACUACGCUCAUCAUUGCCUAACUUCGAUAUUCUUAAAUCGAAACGAUCCGAACUUAAAUAUCAUACUCGGCAGCCGUAAUUACAACCUCCAAAAAAAAACGACUUAAAUCCUACGGCCGGAUUCUACAUUAAUUAACCGCCAAAAAUACCACACUUCAGAAAUUCAUAAACCUAUCCAAAACUCAUUCAAAAAUUCCAUAACUCACUUCAAUAAACUCCCCUUAAUAUUCUAAAUUUAAAACCCUAAAAAUCUUCCAAACAGUGGCGGCGCCGGCGCCGGCUCCGCGGGCAGCAGCGGCCGGAGGCUGAUUCCGGCGACCUCUAAUGCCUAUGAAAUUUUGACAGCAUCUUCCUCUCAUCAUGCUCUACAACUUUCCUAACUAGCACAAACCCAAAAUCUAAGCCUAGCUAUGCCAAUCGAAUAAAAACAUCAAAAUCGCUCCAGAAUUUCAAACUCACAUUUCUCCUUACCUAGCUCAAGAGAGGGUAAGCUGUUUAGAGGGGUUGCUGCACGGGAGGAGGGCUACAAAAUGAGCUAAGGAUCGCCGGUUUUGGUGGCCGGAGGAGGGAGUUCCGGCGAAAAGCUUCCCGGCGUCUCCGGCGAGUUUUCUCUUCUUCCGGCGGGCUAAUGGCUCGAGGGCUAGGCCGGGGAGGGAGAGGAGGAGAUGGGGGUCCGAACUGGGGUGGAGUGGUGGCUGGUGGUUGGCCGAACGGCGGCAGCUGGCAGCUGGAAGUUUCUGGCGAAGGGGGAGAGAGCACGGGAGGGAGAAGGAAGAGAAAAGAGAGAAGAAGAGAAAGAGAGGGAAAUGGGUUGGGCCUCUCCAACCGGUCCAACUCCACCAUUAUACCCAACUCCCACAAAAUAAAACACCCCGAAAAAUAAUACCCGAAUAAAAAUUACCUUUUACUAGCUAAAAUUUACCAUUUUUACCAUCGUCAUAUUUUCCUCCUACGAAUAAUCCUCCGCACAUAAUCGUCCCCGAAACCCCUCUAGGGACCAAUUAAACUAUUAACUCAAUGACGAAGACGGUAAAAUUCUUAUUAUAACCAAGCUAGUAAAUAAGGUAAAAUAUAAGGGUCGGGAUGUGACACUUACGGUGUCGCCGGCGAAGAAGAGGAAAGUGGGACGCCCUCUAGGUUCUAAGAACAAGAAGGGGAGAAGGGCAUCGUGGCAGGCACUUGAGUCGGGGCAGCUAGAACCUAAGAGAGCUACACUAUUGGAAAAAAACACCUAGGAGAUGGAAUUAUUUCGUCUCCUAAGUGACAGAUUUCGUCUCCUAAGUACUUAGGAGACGGAAUGUCCGUCGGCUAAGAUCCGUCGCCUAAGUAUGGUAAGGUAGACACUUGGGCGACGGAACCUAAAAUUCCGUCUCUUAAGUGGUUCUUAGGAGACGGAAUAUUUUCGUCUCCUAAGCACUUAGGCGACGAAUUUUAUUUUAUAAUAAUAAUAAAAAAUUAUCCACUUAAGAGACAGAAUUGUUGAAUUCUGUCGCUAAAGGCUGAAAAAAAAAUUAAAAAAAAACGUCACUGCAGGUUUUUUAUCCACUCACUCCGACCGCCCCAAAUACCACCACCACCACCACCACACUAAUUUGCCUCAAAUAUGCCACCGGCACCACCAUCACAUCCUAACCAAUCACGUUAGGCUUCCCUAACUGGUUGUUCUGAAACUCCACUGCGACUCUGUUGUCCUUCGUCUUCUUCAAUGAACCCGGCUUCAUCUUGUCAAUCGACGCCGGCUUGAAUUCAUCUGCAAAAUCACAAAGGAAACGGAUCCGAUCAGAUAAAACAGAGGAGAAGAGAAUGGACGGUUGUGAUCAAGGGGAUUACAUCGUAGGGUGCAUAACUUGCUGGAGGACUCGUCUUUGAAGGAGGGGCCUAGGGUUAGGUUGUACCACCGAUCGGGUUGAGGAGCGGUCUUGGGCUCUUCCUUGGCGUUACUUGCCAUGGCGGGUUUAUCGAAGGAGGAGAAGAGGAGCGGUGUGGUGCGGUCCAGCGAGGCUAGCUGACAUGGCAAGAUCAAAGUGAGGAGGACCACCGGUGAGGAUUUAGGAGGAGGAGAGGAGAGGCCAGCAUGAGAGUGAUGGUUUAGAGAGAAAGCUCUGGGAAAAGAAGAUAAGUGAGAGAAUUGAUAUGUGAUUUAAAAGAAUCGGUAUGUUUUGAAAAAUUUUGGUUUGAAUUUUCAUGAAAUUUUACGUCGGAACAUACGCGCUCAAAUUUUUAGAACUUAAGCGACGGAAUGUUUUAUUUCCGUCGUCUAAGUGAUUCAUAAUUUUUUUUUAAAAAAACAUUUCGUCUCCUAAGUUCUACUUAGGCUGCGGAAUAUAGUUCCGUCUCCUAAGUGAUUCAUAUAAAUUUUUAUUUUUAUUUUUUCAAAAUCUCGUCGUCUAAGUAAAAAUAUUCCAUUUCCUAAGUAGCAUUUAAGCGAUAGAAUGGAAUUAUGUCUCCUAAGUUGUUCUUAAGAGACAAAAUCAAAAUAUUUCAUCUCCUAAGAACAACUUAGGAGACGGAAACUGUUCCGUCUCCUAAAUAGAAUUUUUCGUCGCUUAAGUACCACUUAGGAGACGGAAUUUUUUAAUUCCGUCGCUUAAGUGCUAUUUUCCAGUAGUGCUAAGAGGAGGACUUUUGAGGCUAGGAGGGCACUGGUGCUGGGUGAGGUUGUUGCUGGCAUGGUGGUUUCAGUCUUGGAGGCUGCUCUGGUUGGUAAUGAAGGUGAGGUAGAGGAUUCGGGGUCUUGGGGGCAAUUUCGCCUUCGUUUGUUGCUAGCUCCUCCUCUGAGGAGUCUAGUUCCGCUUAAGCUCUUAUUCUAGAGGCAAAGAAUAAGUUAGGUUCUUGUGUGAGUCGACCUCGCCUAUAGUUUAUGGCAUUAAGAUGCUUAGGGUGUUUAGGUUUUAGGUCUAAGUUUUUUUUAGUUUUUUGGCAUGGUUCAAUUAUUUCGAGCCCAUGAGGGCGGAUUGUGUUUGUUGUACUUUUACUUUCAGUUUAUUAACGGAGUGACAUCCUUUUUCAAAAAUAAAAAAACUCUUGCUAUCUAUUUUUUUUUUAUUAAUUUUUUUAUUAUGAUGUUUGUUAAAAUUUCAUGCGAAAGCAGCGAAACAUACUAAAACUUCAUUACUCUGAAUUCCAAACGAGACGUAUUAAGAUUAGGAUUGAAUUUUUCAGAUGUGACACAAUACAUGUAGGAAGCUUGGAUGGAAUAGUACCGUACAGGCGUACAUUGGUAGAAAAUUAAGGUAACUAUCCAAACUUCCAUCAUUGAAUGGUUUACACACCACCCUCUACGUACAAUUUCUAAUCUGUUUGCACCUGAAGUUAGAAUCUUCUAACUUUCUAUGAUCUAUCAUUUUCACAAAACCUCUGGUUCCUUGCUUUGCUAAAAUUGGUAUCUACAAUUAAACUCUAACCUAACUUGCUAGCUUGAACAUUUACAUGACAGAAAAGUCAUCAUCAAGGCCGUCUAGUUCUCCUUUUACACUGUUUUGUUGAAUGAUUAAAACUGAUGUUCUGACUGAAAAUUCAGAACCCGCAAGAACAUCACCAAUCGGACCCAACUCCGGACACUGCUGCCAGUCAUUCAUCCCAAACGUCAAAACUGUAUUCACCCUUUCCCCUCUUCCCACUAUUAUAAGUGAGUACUGCCCAUCUAAUGCCAUCAAGGUAUUAUAAGUCUCAGAAGAAUUGGCAAGAUGCUUCUCCAUGUAAGCAACUUGCCCACAUGCAACAUGUCUCUCGUAGAACUUAGCAAAGCACUCAUCAUCAAACUUCAUUUCCUCUUCUUGUAGAGCACGGCUGACCGGGUAAUGGCCAGGUCUACUUGACGCAUUUGUGGUAGUGUCCACCAAAAAUCUUAAGAUGGUGAGUUUUACACCAGGAUGUCGUGCUACAAGACCGGCAUAGGCGAGUGCUUCUCUAUCAUCUUUUCCACCAAUGAAGAUGACAGCCAUAUCGAUAGAAUGAUCAUAAGAUCUUGAUAUUUUUUCAAUCAUUCCAAAACCUCUGUCUACAAGAAUUCCUAUGGAGCAUGGAGCAUUUUUGAGGACCUGUUAAUACCAUAGUCAUCAGUAACUGGUCAAUGCGAAGUAGAAGAGUAUUCUAAACUACAUAUAUAUGUCCAUGAAAGAUAACCAAUGUAUCCAAAAGGUUGUGAAUAUAUAGGCUUCUAAGCUAGCUAGAGCAUACACUUAAAGGAGCAAACCCUGGUCUUUGAGCAGAUACUAUGUUGUAGUAACUAAUUAUAGUGGUGUAUCUACAUAUGCAAGUAAAAUUUGCAUAAAUGAGAGCAAGUAAUACAGCCUGCUCAGAGUUUACAAGGUUAUGUGGUGAAUCAUUGUUUAGCAGGAUUGUAUGUUUAUGCUUUAAGAUGGGAAGUGAUCCCGUGAAAGUGUUCUGGAAUAUGUUUUCAGCUAUAAUUGUACAAACAGUACAAACUGUAUAUAGAUUCAUUCCAAAUACGAUCAUGGUGUUAAAAUUCUUGAACUGCUAAAUAUGUGACUGUUAAACAAAAAACAGAGAGAGAAGCAGUAUUCUGUUGCACAUUACCUUACGGUUCACAAAUCUGAAACCAGAAUGACCGCCAUCUAAUGUCCCAUCUGCACUUUGUGUCUUGUGAAAUGGCAAUAUGAUGAGGGCCACCGUCGAGUCCUCAGCCAAAACGCAUAUAUCUUGGGGCAUGCCAUUGAAAGUCGAGAGUGCAAGCAAUCGUCCUAGUGUAAUACCAUUAUCGUCUUCUUCUACAUAGGAUUGAAUUGCAGCAGUGACUUGAGCUCUCAUGUCUGUUACCGCCUUUUCAGUCACAGUCAUUGUGUUCACUCCUUGUUCUUUAACUAGUGUUGCUGCUAUUUGGUCCGUAAGUUCUAUCAUGUCUGUUACAAAUACUACAACUCCAGGGUCUGCUGUCCCUCUACAUAGCUCAAUGAAGUUAAUCGCAGUACGCACAUUUUGUGGCCCAUGAAGGCAUAGUAAUAUGCGUAGUUCGCUUGAGGGGUCAAGCAACUGAAGUGACAUCCGAUGAGUGGGUGCUCGUCUCCUUGCACGCUUAAUAAUUUGUGCCACAACUGACGGGGCGUGCACCACAGUGAAAAAAAUAGCUAUUACCAUCACAGUACUGGUUGAAGUAGAGGUUUUUCCAUACUGCAGUUGAUCAAAAGAGCAAAGAAAACAAAGAUCAUUAUGGUUCAAAAUGUGACAGUAAGAGGAAUAUAUCAAUAUGCAUGAGAAUGAAUGUUGUAUUUGGUAUUUGUAAGAUAACUACAGUUCUGUCACUGGGUUCAAUUUAAACAUACACUAUUUAUUUCCAAUACGAACACAUACAUUACUUGGCCUAACGGAACAGAAAGAAUUCAAUCAGUUUUCUAUUGACUCAACUUGUUCAGCUUCAUUUUGGAAGAGACAUUGCGAACAUUGUUAGUUGAUCAAGUUAUCUUUUAUAAUUGUUCAUGUAAAAGUGUAAAUUGAAACAAAAUUCUCAUGCAUUUACUUUCAUACCAUGAAAAAGACAAGAAAAUUUUAAUGAUGUAUCGUACUUAUAGAACUUUCAGCUAGGAUUGGAUGGAGAUGCAAAGAACAUGAAGUUUAAACUGUGUCAUAACUCAAGAAAUGAAAUGCUUCAUUCAGGAAUUAGUUUACAUGGAAAUUGGGCAACAAAAACCAAGGACAUGGGAUAAAAGCAGAGGUGUCGUACUAACCGAUUUUGCAGCAAUGGCCAAGUAUAUAUGAAAAUGGCCUUUGGUUGUGAGAAGAAGCCCUAGUGCAACAGAUUCAGGCCAGUUAAACCCCAAGAGGGCUCCAGAGAUGACUGUUCCUAAAACUUUUCCGACUGUUGCUAUAGCAAAAACAACAAAUAACCUUGCCCAUGUCAUCCAGUCAAGAGGCUGGAAUUCUGCAAAAUAAGCUUCAUACCCCAUCCAAAAGAAAAAAAUGGGAUAGUAUAUGGUACUCAACAAGUAGUUGAUCUUGCCUAUCACCCACUUUGACACUCUUCCUUCCCUUGGUAAAAAGAUUCCUGCCAUAAAUGCACUCAAAAUAGAACUGUACCCAAAAUAUGAUGGGCAGGCCACAGCGAAGGCCAUGAAAGCCAUAGAGAGGACUAGAUGUGAGCCUUUCAUGGGUUUGCCUUCGGGGUUUUCAUUGUUAACCCAGUUCAUGAAGAUUGGUGAAACAAAGGCUGUAAAAACUGCCGUGAUCAACAAUGCAAUACCCAUCUCAAGGGAUCUAUGAAGGCUGCUUUUUUUAUCUGCAUCUUCAACAGGCCAAAUGACAAAGCCAAUGGAGAGGAGAAGAGUGGCUAUAAAAUCAGAGUGCAUUCCUGUAGCAAUGACGAGCUGGCCUAUGUCUGACUUGCCUAUUUUGAGACUAGUUAUUAUUCGUGUCAGUACAGGCGAAGCCGUGCUCGAAAGGACCAUGGAGAGGGAGAGAGUGAAGUCAAUCUUAAAACUUUCUGUAUAGUGCAGAAAUGGGGUUAUUCCACAGGCUAGGAUGAAUGUGGAGAGCAUACCAACAUAGGCCACUUUCGCGUCUUUGGUUGGUAGUUUCAAAAGCACAUAUGGAUCCAUUUCUAUUCCUAGCACAAGCAUGUAGCCAAUCAUUCCAAAUUCAACCAGGUAACGCAAUAUAUGCUUUGAUGACUGUGAUAAAACACCACGUAUGAACCCUAUGUUUCCGAUGACUAGUCCUACCUGCAUUACAUAAGAGAUAAGAACUUAAUCACCAUAGAAGGCCGUGCGAUACUGUAGAAAAGAAAACAGCAUCUAAAUCAACAUUUCAUAUUUAAAAUGAUUAGCAAGUGAACACUUUUGUGAGUCUCUCUUGAUUCGGAUCAAAAUUACUGAUACUCAGAAGGAUGCAUAUGAAGAAAAAGAGUGCUUCUGUUUGUGGUUUAGCACACCACAUAGCAUGUAAAACUAUUUCUCCAUGAAACCCUAAACCAAUUAAAAUCUGGGUUGCUUGCAACUCAAGUUUCUGCAGAGAACAUUUACCCUAAUUAACACAACUGGUAUUUUCAUAAACGGUUUAAAUUACAAUGUUGGGUUCCAAUAAUGAGCAAUAGGGGCGCUUGUCUAAUAUUCAAUAAAAAAUUUGAGAUUGCCAACCUCAAAAAAUAAGGAAAAAAGAGAAGAAAGGGAGAGAGACUCACAAAGGUAUCAGAGGUAAUGCGAGGCUGGGAAUAAGGCUUUAGCAGGUAGUGCGAAAGAUGACAGAGAAUGUACAUUAAGAAGAAACCUGCAACAUGAAUGGCUACAUGUGUGAUAAGCUUUGUUAAUUGUACUGAGCAUCCAUCAGGAAUGUCAUUUGUAUCAACACCACCCUCUUUUCUGUUUCUCACCUCCAUUUUCUUCAACCCCUUUGCUUUCUUCUUUGGGUUUUCUAUUUCCCCAAAGAUUUUCUUUUUCUUUUUCUUUUUCCCUUUCUCAAAAGUUUGCAAAUGAUUUGUGCCACCAUUGUUGUUUGUCUGGACCUUGGCUUUUCGCAAAAUGAGUUAGCGGCUCUAAUCAAUUGCCUUGUUUGAGGAGAAAUUGAAGGAGAACUAGUAGAAAUUCUGAAAUUGUACGACUUUUAAAAAAUUAUUGGGAACAUUUUAAUUUUGUUUUUUUAAAUUUCUUUUGCGUUUGAUACCAAGGGGAAAAAUUAUUUUGGUUUCCAUUGCUACUGAUUGGUCUGAGGUGGGAAUUUUGGUUGAAGAUCUUAAAGCUAUUAUGGGAUAGGCAUCUGUUUCUGCUAUAAUACAUGUAAGAAUAGAACAACAGCUAAUCAAGUGGCGCACCUCUUAGCUCAAAUUGCAUCACAUAGGCGUUCCCAAUAUUUGUACCUACCCCUUCUCAUGAUGCAUGCUUGAUCAUUAAGGAAUUUGAACCAUUCUUUGCAAAAGAAAAAAAAAGAAAAAAAAUAUGGGCAUAGCAACUGCUAUAUUUCCUUCAUUUCUGUAAAAUCUUGAAUGGGCUAGUUAAAUUUCUCUGAGACUGUUUUGUGAGUUGGUACUUGGUUCUUCCUGUGUAAACAGGGAGGUGGAGAAACUGAUGGUUACAAAUUGACACACAUAUUUUCAUUUCAAACUAUCAAAUGUAAUACCAGCUUCAAGUACACAGCAGCAUGCACUUCUACCACUUCACUAGCAACGGCACACUGUGGGUUAACCAAAAUUAUGGACAGAAUAACCAAAACAUAUAGCUGCACACUGUAGUUUAAAGUUUAAGCAAUGUCAAAAGGGCAUAAAAAGAAGCAAGUCUAAGAAUAAUUUGGACAUCUAGCUAUGUCUUAGAAACAUAAGAAACAAAUGAAGUCCUAAAUGUAAAACAGAAGUCCCACACAGCCAACAUGCCCAAACUGAUCUUCAUUAUUUUUACAUUAAGCACAGGUUACUGAGACUUCUUCGACCCUUGCCUUCUCCGCAUUUUCUGUCCACCAGGAUGAUCAAGCUUCACCAGUAAAAAACAAAGUCAGCCAUGACCAACUUUCCUAUCUUGAAAAAUAUGCAAUGAGAGGGAGUGCAAAGACAGACAUUACAGGCUCAUGAACUUGAACUUAAUAUAUAUAUAUAUAUAUAUAUAUAUAUAUAUAUAUAUAUACGUACGUNNNNNNNNNNNNNNNNNNNNUCACCUGGGCUUCUUUGACAAUAGAGGCACUACUAGACUCCUUUGAUUCGAGAGUAGAAUAAACAGCCUCACAGAAAACAUUAAGACUUUCUAGUCUCUUUUCCAUCUCUAGGCGAGUUUUGUGCAGCUUAAUGUUGGCCGCCUUGUCGGACCUACUCUCUAGCUCGUCCAACAUACGCUCUGAUUCUGUCUGCUCUAUUUCCUUAUUCUUCUUAUAUUCAGCAUACUGAACUCGACUCCUGUCAUAAAUCUCCUUUAGCUGCAAAUAAAGCUGGAAAGAUAAAUGCUGGUUUUCGUAUCAAACAUACCGUUGCACAUAAUACUUGAAUCCCUAAAGCAACUUGAGCAUGGCAGAUUGCUGCUAGAGUCAUGACCUAAGUAGAAAACAAACAGAACUCUCAGUUCAACAUAUCAUACAUUGAAACUAGGAACAGACCAAUGCCAUAGUCUGCAUUGAGGAGAUAGAAGUCUUACCUCGGAUUCAUGCUGCUCCGUACGCUUCAAGGACAUGCUCAGAGCCUCGAGUUCCUUUUCAAAUUUAGAUGGUAGGGUCAAAUUACAAUCUACUUGAAUUGUUUUGUGAGGGCAGCUGCAGCUCUUUGUUUUGCCUGUUCCGCAAGCUUAUAUUUGUCAUGCAAGCACUGAUUCUUUUGCAAUAGCUGCAGCGUUUCUUCCUGGCAUUCAUUAAUCUGCCGCAAAAGCAUUAGUUUCUAUAACUCUAUAACUACUCACUCAAGGGUGAUACUUAAUUACUUAUAACAUACAUAUGAUCAAAUAUAAUCAUAAACCUUGUUUUUAAGCUCCAAAACCUGGUCGUUCAUGCUGGACAUCCCGCCCCUUCCUAUCAGAAAAAAAUUAAGGCAUUAAAAAAACCCUAACCUGGAUUCGAUUCAAUUUCAAAUUGACUGCAAAUUUAAAAGGAAAAAAGAGGUUUAUUACGGUAUAUGCAAUGGAUAUACACGAUUACCUAGUUGUUCUCCAGAACUUGAUUGUAUUGUGUAUUUGUGUUCAAAGCGGAACCAGAUCACUGGGAUGAAAGUGAGUCGGGAGAGAAGCAAAUAAGAGAGUCUUGAUUCUGCAACUGUACUCCUUCCUCUCUUCUCAGUUCGAUUUGUUUGUGUCAGUUGAUGUGUAGGGUUUCCAGUCUUGGACUCAGUCGGCCACUCUAGACCCAUGAGUAGUAUUUCUAGGCAAAAAAAUCCUCCCACAAAAUAAUGUAUAGGUUGUAUUUGGAUAGAGUAAUCUCAAUUUAUAUAGAAGUUUCAAAAUCAUGGGAAUUACAAUUCCGUGUAUUCAAAUUCCAUUAAUUAAAAACAUUGUUUGGAUUUCAGGACAUAUAGUUUUAAAAUGACAAGAAUUAAUAUUUAAUCAAAAAUAAGGGUUUUUUAGGGUUUAGGUUUAUGGCUUAUUAAUUAGAAUUCUCAAUUAAUGGAAUUUAAAUUCAUGGAGUGUAAUUCCCAUGAUUUUGAAAUUUAUGUGGAAAUUGAAAUUACUUUUACUUUAUCCAAACACAACGUGAUGGAAUUGAUAAAUGACGCCUAUGUUGUGAGAAAUUCAAGUCGGGAAUUUAAGCUCUCAAAUUCUACGAUUAUUUUCCAUUGAGAAUUGCUAAUUUCAUACGAUAGGAGUCCAAACGCGGGAAAAAGAUCUAUUUUUCUUUAAAUUCCCUCGCUUCUUCCCUCUUCCAAACACACUGUUGAGAGAAAGCGAAAGAGCUGGGGUUUCGAUCUGUUUAGAUAUAAAUAUCCGAUUGGGGUUUGCGUUCCCAAUUGGGAUUCAUUUCCGUAAUAUUGGAAUAGGCUAGGGUUUUGUUAAAAAUAGGGGAACGAUGUCCAUGGAGGAAGAGGUUUUGAAGCUCAAAGAGAAGGUUUGGUUUGGUCUAUUGUUAUUAUUACUAGCGGUAUCCGAUCUCUAAUAUUACUAGUUUGCAUUAUUGGGUUCUAACAAUUGGUGCUACUGCAUCUCCUGUCAGCUCUCUCAAUGCCAACUCGAAAGGGAUCGGCUCCGGACCCAGAACGAGACUUGGGUGAUCAAGGAGAAACUUAUCACGCAGGAAAAAGAACAACUAGAUCAGAGAAGCUCAGAGUUGAAAUAGAAGCGAAUUUGUGCGCAACAUCUGAAUUUGAGACAAAGAAGAAGCCUCUCAAGGAGGCCUUGGACGCCAAAACCGAGAGUCUACGUCAGGUAAGUUAGAGAUGUACGUAUACAUGACUCUGGUCAUGCUAGUUUAGUCACUUCUAAAUAUGCUUUUUUUUGGCAGCUACGAGAGGCACUCAAAGAGUUUAGAGAUACUCAUGAAUUGGCUUAUAUGGAAGCACGAUCAGCCAUUGCCGAUGAAAGGAUUGAUAGAGUGUAUGAUAUCCCAAAGGCAGAGAGAAAAAAGCUGGCCGAGCUACGUUCAGAGAUAAAUGAGAAACGGGACAAAUUACUUGCUUUUCUUAAGAUGUGUGUGAAACAUUCAAAGAUCACUACUGAUGAUGUAAAACCUUUGCUCCGAGUCCAUUAUGAUGCAUAUAUUGACACACUCAAGACUGAUGUUGAUGAUGGCGCUGUGGGAUGUUAAGAAGGUAUGCGCGUCGUGUUCUACAACCCGGUUUUGCUCAGAAGCUAUAUAAAGUGAUGUUUGCCGGGGGUCGAUUUGAUAUCUCCAAUUUCACCUGCAAUUUCAUUUACUUUUAACAUCUUCGUGAGGAAAGAGAGUGUCCAAUGGUUCUCUAAGAACGCAAGUCUGCUACCGAUUAACAAGGUCAUAUAUUUUGUGCACAAUGACACUGGUACUGUUUGGACUACUUUUUAGGACAUUCUCAAUUCUCUCUGUUUUUGGUUUUUUCACUCAGAAGUCAGUUUUUGGAUGUGGUGUAAGCGACUUUCUGAUGUGAUUUUACUGGUGAAGCAUAAACAUCCUGUAAGAGGAAGAGAGGACGACGAGUAUGAACAUCCUGUCCAGGCCGGCCUCAAUAGCAUAGAAGCUUUGGAACUUUUUUUUUUUGAAACCGGAAGCUUUGGAACUUUAUUAUAAAGUAAAAAGAUGAGGACAUGUUGGAGUCUGCCUCCCUCUCCCUCUAUAUAUAUAGAGAUUUUCUCAGCUGCGGACGUCUGCACCGAUUUUUUGGUGCGGAUUUCUAUUUUUACACCACUUUCCGAUCGAAUUUCCUUAAACUUUCUUCUAGACAUAUCUAGAUCAUCAUGUGUAGAUCAUCUCUGCAAAAUUUCAGCCAAUUUGGUGAUCGUUAAGGCCCUCAAAAUCGAAAAACAAAUUUGACGGACUAAAUUCUGUCCGAUUCAGGUAUAUAACAGAAAAACGCAAGUUUGAGGGUCUUAACGAUCACCAAAUUGGCUGAAAUUUUGCAAAGAUGAUCUACACAAGAUGAUCUAGAUAUGUCUAGAAGAAAGUUUGAGAAAAUUCAAUCGGGAAGUGGUGCAAAAAUGGAAAUCCGCACCAAAAACUUUGGUGCUUUGGUGCGGACGUCCCAUAUAUAUAUAUAUGAUUUCAAGAUUACGAUUAUAGUUUUGCUGCGGUGCUUACUAAAUUAGAAAACUAUUUCUUUCAAAAAAAGAAGAAAAGGCAUGGGUUGCAGGCUCGCAGCACUACUCACCCCCACCCUGGACAUGUGCCUCAGUACCUGAAUAUAUGUAACCUUUCAAAGUUUAUACACCAACCAUGACAUGUUGAGCACUGUACACCUACAACUAGUCAAGUACUCCCACCCUACUUUGGUGUCUGAAAUAUAGCCAAUAAAAGGUAUGUCAUAAACCUCUCAAAGUUUAUACGUCAUCCAUGAUGGCACACUAUAUAUCUACUAAGAUCUCACUAAUAUUAUCUAUCCAAAAAUAAAUGGCGGUACUGUCAUCCAAAAACAAAAUUGUAUCCAAUAACGAUGAAUCUGCAGACUGCUUGCUCAUCUACAAAAUCACAUCUCCCAUGCCAAUCACUGCCUAUAACAGAAUAAAUAAUAUAUAUAAGCAGCUGAACAAAACACUAGUAGAACUUUCAGAAAUAUUCAAGCAAUUGCGUUAAGUAAAUACCUCAGAAAAAGCUCGACGAUAACUAGAUCCCCAAAAUAGGCUCGACUAGAAUUGUCAUUGCAACCGAAUACGAGGUAGUACAGAGAGGGAUCCAGAAUGUGGCAAACAGUCUGCCAUGUGUAGUAUGGAAGGAAAAAUCACCAUAACCGGUGGAGGUCAUAGUCAUCACUGUAAGGUGUAAGAUGACAAGAAUAUCUGCCCAUACAGAUGGAUAAGAAAGAGAUGCACUAAGAUGCUGCUGCUCAGACAAGGAUGUCCUAAGUGCCUCCAGCUCAAAACUAUAUAUCCCUAUCAUCCCUGACAACAGAGUCACCAAGAUCAUUCCAAUAGCUGAAAUAACUCCAUAAAAGAACCUCGUAGGUUCAGGGAUAAACUUCUGACCAAACCAUAGUGCUACGCGACGCAGAAAAUGACUGAUAACAAUCGGCACAAAGUACCCAAGCACGGGCAACAUAUCACAGAGAAUAAGAGCAAGAGCUGACUCGGGAGGAAUAUCACCAAAUCCAACCCCAUGCACCGUAACAGAAGUUGCAUAGUAUGCAUCAGUAGCUGAGCCUACUCCCUUGUCAAUGUCCAUCAUAAAAUGCAUAACAAAGAGACCGGCAAGCAUCCAGAACAUGAACACAUAAACAAGAGACAUAUAAGGCAGCCUGCAAAGUGCACGAAAAAGCAAAUGUUGACAAUUGAAAAUCCAAAUAGGAACUUCCUUAAAUGCAAAUAACAAACCCAGAAGCAAUAAGAAAACAAAAGAGGAUGGGAAGGCAAGUACUGGAUGAGAGUAUUAAGUAAGUUUACAUCUGAUCAAAUCCUACGGAUAAGACUAGAGGAGAAUUGUGGUGUUCUAAUUAUGAAGUGUUGGAUAGGUUUAAAUAUAAAGUUUGUAUAUGUUAUAACAAGAAAAACCUGUGUUCCUGUGGUUGAGAGCAUGCAAAGCUAUGGAAUCAGCUACUGAAUCAGCUAGAUAUACAACGCUACUCACUAGCUGUGGCAACUUUGAAUGGUAAGAGAUGAAGUAAUCUUUAAACAUAUUACCCCCUAACCCUGCAUCAGUAGUGACAGCUCUUACCUUCAAUCCACUAUCAAGUGGAAACCUCCUAGAGGUUUCAUCAUCAGAAACUGUAAUGGUAGAGAGUUGCAGCUACAAAAGGAAUGGGGAAAACUACUGUCCCGUAGUUGAAGGCUUGAAGCUAUAGCUUUAUGUAUGCUAGAAUGUGUUGAGUUGGUUCUUUCAGAAGCUUUACUGAGAAUGUAUCUUAUCUGCUAUAGAAAUAGCUUACAAGAAAGUCCUAAGAAUGAUUCCAAGUUUACAAGAAAGUCCUAAGAAUGAUUCCAAGCUUACAAGAAAGUCCUAAGAGUCUUGCAAGAGUCAUCAAUUUUAUGAAAAAUAUUAUGAGUCUAGUGCCUACAAGAGUCUUGCAAGAAUGAGCCUAAUGCUUCUAAAUCUUGGAAUUUCGGAAACCAUAAGUAAUACACAACAGUUGAUUACAUGAUCUAACAUCUCAUUUUGGUCAAUACAUGAUCUAAUAUGAACUUCCACAAUUUAUAUAUAACUCAAGUGCCAGAGAAUUAUAGGUUUGAAAGAAAUACCAGACAAGAGAAUCCAUAAAUUCAGAACUUACUGAGCAGACGCCUUGGGCCCCUUUUUCUUUGGCCGAGUUUUCUUUCCAGCAAGUCUGGCUUUGCAAUCAUCCAGCUCUUCAUCUCUUUCCUUGAGCGUGUUCCGGGUCUCUUUCAGCUGUCUACUGAGAUCUCUCACAUUGUUGCGCAACUCCUUGACAGUCCGAAUCAGUCUACGAAUUUCCACCUGCAAUACCUCUGCAUCUGCUUCCGCCAUGCCAAGAGUUAGGGUUUACAGAGAGAAAUGGAGGUUGCGUGAGACGAGUUAGGGUUUUACUCAGAAACGGAGAUUGGGGAUUAUGGAGCUCGGAUUCGGACCAAAACGCAAAGCUCUGCGUUUUGCUCAAAUCCGCGCUCCGCGUUCACAAACUCCGCACCUGAGAAUUUCACCAGUAUUGGGAUGCAAAGCAGCCGAGGGGGUAUAUAUUAAUUUUGUUUGGGGAUUUGGGUCCUCAUCGUAUCCCUUUUGUUAAUCCAGUUUUUAAUACCGGACAAUAUGUUGCAAAAUCCGUGUCCAACACGUCAUGUGGCGUGUCUAAAAAAGUUGACUUUUUGAACACUUUUUCGGACACGUUGACCAGCUCCGACAUGCCACGUCAACAUUUCAGAAUUUAAAAAAAAAAAAAAAACAAUUAGCUAACUGGGACGCGCAGCACUAGCAGAGAUAGAUUCGAUCUCUUGACUCUUCUCUCCUUUGAUUCAAUCUCUUGACGCAGCAUGCGUAGCCCAUCGGAAAACUGUUUUAGCUCCUUCGCGACGGGUGGUUCUAAAAACGAGCUUGACUGGAUCAAGUCAUCGGGUAGAGCGGCGAGUUCAGGAUUCAAAGUUGUAGUGGCUUGAUGCGCCAACACUGAUGAACACAACAGCCUUGUGAGCUUGGGAGCAAAUUUGAUCACCGAUCGGGGCUUCAAGGAAAAGAUUGCAGAUGGAAGAGAAAGGGAGCAGCUUGUGAUGACUGGUGAGAAAGACAAUAUUCCAUGUGAUUUGAAACUAAAAUUUGAUUUCAGUGUGAAGAAAAGAGGUGGAUUGUUUCUGUAUCCAGAAAGAAAAGAGGUGGAUAGGAUUGGGUGGGGUUUGAUCAGAUACAGAGAGAGAGAGGGAUAUUGGGUCAGGAAUAAAGAGAGAGAGCGGUUGCGUGUGUUCUCACGCAAAGAAAAAAAAUAACCUAAAAAUAUAUUAUAAUUUUUUAUUUCAUCUUUUUAGUAUUUUUUAUAUAUUAAAAAUACAUAAAAAUAUGUAUUAUUUGCCGUGUCCAAGCCGUGUCGGAUCUUGAGUUUUUGGGAUUUGCCGUGUCGCCGUGUCGCUCCGUGUCGUGUUGUCGUGUCCGUGUCCGUGUCCGUGCAACAUAGCUCGACAUAUAUGUAGCGCUGACAUUGGUAGGUAUACUGACUUUGUAUACCAAUAUGACGAAGUAGUAUCAAGAGAAAUUCUUCAUCGAAGUACGAUAGCAUAUUCAUGUACUUGUUACAAUAUGCUUGACUCGACAUCUCAUUCACGGCCAAGUUCUCCUUAGUCUUUCAACUCUUUUCCUAACGGUCGAGCAGCUUCGCUCCCACUUAGAUGAGUGUGAAUAAAUGUCAAGGUAGUGGCUCGAUGUGCCCAUGUAAUGCCAAUGUAAUGGCAGUAAUUCCUUCUAUGAAGGGUUUAGGCUUAUUCAUCCCUACAGAAAGAUACAUCAAAGACAAAUCAAAAUAUGCCCAGUUUCGUAGGUCAAUUUCCACGGGACCUACAUGAUAGCCCAUUCGUUCUAAAAUGGUGAAAUUAGUACCAUUGGAAAGGUUUAUGUGUCUACUUUUCAGGAACACCAACCAUUUGAUUACACUUGUCAUAUUGGGUGAGUUAUGACUAUUUUCGUAAAGUAAGACGAAUCUGUCUGCAUAUCUGCUUUUGUAGAAUUGUCAACUUCGACAGAGCUUUAUGAUCGGCUCAGAAUAUGGUUGGAAAACUACGGGUGUCUAGUUUCUAAAACUUUUUACAGUUUGUCCAUACCUAUUGUAUGGAAGAAGUUAUGACUGGUUAAGUACAAGAAGGUCAUGCCACGCGUGAAUAUGAUUUUUAACACGAACUUAUGUUUUGAGUUGUUAGACAACCUUCUCCUUAAAGAUAAAAAAUAAUGCUAAGUAUAGCAUGUAUGAUCUAAGGACAAUGUGGCUGGAUUUAAUGACUAAAUCGUUGUCCAAGUCUACUUUUAAGUCUACUUUUAAAGUACGUAAAUUGUAUUGGGUUGCGUUGUUUAUCUAAACUUCGAGAUUGAGUUAUCAAUCAAGGGAAGUCGUUGUGUAGACAUCAGGGAGAGUCUACAUCACAUGUUUGCUUCAAAUAUAAUUGACGCGUUGUGCUCUUUUUACCUUCGUGAAAGUCUUUUGUUUUACCUAUAAGGUUUUUAUUUUACUUGAUAAAGUUUUUACUGAGACAAUACCAUAAACACCGUAACGUAUUAGGAACGUAACACAAGAGAGAUUAUGUUUUUAUUAUUCAGUCGGUCAUGUGUAGUGCCCUGAUACAUGUAGGAUCAGGUGAUUCGUUUUCCUAUUAGAAUAGGUGACAGUAUUCUUACAGGGUACUGAUGUUAGAUCGAAUUGACUUAAAUGGGUAUAUAUGCUCUCACAAAUAAAUGCUUUUCAUCGCAAUCGCAGAAAACUGACGCGAGUGAUCGGCGCUAAGCACAGAAACGAGAGAGAGGGGAAUUCCGAUUAGCCGGAUUUGGGAAUUCCGAUUCACGUCCCUGGUAGCGGUUUCUCUACAGAGAUAGAAAUCAGAUCGAGUCACGGCCAGGGUUUUGGGGAUUCAAUUCAGCGUAAUACCGGAAUUCGGAUCAAGUUGAGGUUAUAGGGUUCGAAUUGGGUAGUUUGAUUAUAGGGGAAGGAUGUCAAGUGAGGCAGCUGGCCCCAUGGACGUUGACGAAGAGGUUUUGAAGCUCCAAGAGAAGGUUUGCAAAACUGUUGUUUAUUAUUCGAUCUCUAAUAUUACUACUAGCUAAGUAGCUAGAUUUCAUUAGAUUAUUAUGCAUUCACUUGUAACAAUUGGUGGUGUCAGCUUUGUCAAUGCCGACUCGAAAGGGAGCGGCUCUUGCAAGAGAAAAAGAGAUGGAGGAUCAAGGAGAUACUUGUGCAGCGGGGAAUAGAGAAAGUAGAAGAAAAACUCAGAGUUGAAAUAGAAUCGAAUUCGGGUGCAACAUCUGAAUAUGAACAAAAAAGGAAGACACUCGAGGAGGCCUUGGAGACCAAGAAGAAGAGUGUACUUAAGGUAUGAUUUCUUUGGACCAUCUCAUUAUGUUAAGUGCAAUAUCUGGUGCUAAAUAUGCUUGGACAUCUCAAGUUUCAACUUUCUGGUUUGAUGCUUUUUUGGCAGCUACGAACCGCUACCAAAGAGUUUUUUGAUGAUACUGAUAUGCCUUAUAUGGAAAUGGAAGCAGAACUAGAAAAGGAAAGGGAAGAGUAUGGUAGAAUGGUUGAUGAAUACGAAUACAUAACUGAUCGCUUAAUAGCACACAGACGUAUUGUGCGCAAGCUAGAAUCACAGUUACAUGAGGAACGGAACAACUUGCUUGCUUUUCUUGAGACUUGUGAGGAAAACUUAAAGAUCACUGAUGAUGUAAAACCUUUGCUCCAAGCCCACUAUGAUGCAUUUAUUAACACACUCAAGAGUGAUGACGAUGAUUGGGACUGGUUUAUAGAGGAGUUGUAUGAUGCUCUACAACUGGAUUCUGAUCACAACAGACAUGAGAUGUUUCCCAGGGUUGAUUUUAUAUCUCCAGUUUCUGCUGCAAUGUCAAAAAUUUUAAAUUUGUUCAGAAGAAAAAAGACGGAGUCCAGUGGUGCUUUUAUAUAUUACGUAAGUUCUACCGACAAAGAUGCUAAGGUGAUAUAUUUUAUGUUCUGAACGCAAUAUUUUGUGUUCAAAUACGCUAUGUUGGUGUGUUAGUAUUUGUUUUUGAGCACAUUAGUGUUCCUCUCUUUUCAUUGUACAUGUUUUUGAUUUUCUUUUUUUAGAACUUAGAAGUUGGUUUUGAAAGUGGAAUUACUGGCUUUCUGAUGUGAUUUCUUCUUUCACUAGUGAAGCGUAAACAUCCUGUAAGAGGAAGAGAGGACGACAAGUUUGAACAUCCUGGCAAGCAUCAAUAUGAAAGAAGAUUUGGGAGUUUAUCAUAACAUAAAAAGAUGAUGUCUGUUUGCACUAUGUCGACUCUAGAUGGAACAAAAUGCGGAGGACAUUGAGAAUAUUGAAUUUUCUCAUAACAGUAACAUGUAGAAAUUUUAGCGUGUUUACCCUGAUCGUGGAGGGUUAACAAGUGCUGCACGAUGGAGGAUUAUUGGUCUAGGCCAACAUAUGUUUCUUUUGGUUGUCCUAAUGUUUCUCAUGUGUGCGGAGUAACUUGAAUUAUUUUAUUUUAUUUUCAAAUUUUCUUAGCCCUUAACAAGAUGCAUAAACCUCUCUCUCUCUCUCUCUCUCUCUCUCUCUUUGUAGUAGUUUUGUAUGUGAAUAGCAUGUGUUCAGGAGAAUUGUUUCUUGGAACUUGUGGUUAUUCAGGGACGAUUGGAGAUGGUAAACUUCUUGCUCGUGUCUUGGGUUUCGAUUUACUUUCUUGCUUUUCAGGUAAUAAUUGUCGAGAAAUUUUAAGUAUUAGAUACAAAAUUAGUAUAUUGCUUCUUAUUCUUAUUGGUAAGGUUUGGUUGCAUGAUCACUGAUGUAGUUAUUCAUUUCAGCUGUUAGCUGGAAAUUGAAUAUGUGCAUCCUUGCAUGCGACCGCCCUUUAGUCUCAGUUUAUCACGUUGGCAUGGUAAACUGUUUUCAAAUAAAGAAUUGCCUUUAUUGUAAAAAUGAAUCUGCGGUUGAUCCUGUAAGAAAAGGCAUCUCAUCCACACGGAUAAAUUUUCUAGAUUGAAUUUAAGAAGUCGUACUUCAUUAAUAUGAGAAUUAGAACACAGAAAGAUGUGGAGAUGUGCCUAUGUGGUUUGAGUUGGUACCAGGUUGUUCUUGUUGAUUUUUUUUUUUCCUCUCACUUGUUAUGUACUGGGAUUGGGACAUUUCGGUUCAGUAACAAAAAAAAAAAUAUUCAGAAUCGAGUCUGAACCGAUGAUAAAACUAGAUUGAGUUUAGUCAUUUUGAAAUGCUAGAACCGAGAAGGAUCAAAUCAUUCUGUUUCGGGUUGGUUAUUCCAGUUCCUUGGUUUGCUUUAACCUUCUGGCUUUUGACUUUGUUUCUCUGCAUUUCUGCUUCUUCUAAGGGGUCCUGUUUUUUACAAACCAAUUCUAUAGUGAUUGCAGAAGUUAUAUAUUUUCAGUACAUGCUUUUAUUGAUGUCUGAUUGUUUUCUGUAUUGACUCUUAAAUGGAACCAAAUUUGUCCAACUUGAUCCUUCAUGUUUAGAAUUGUAGAUCACAGUUAUGAAUGUAUUAGUCAUGAGUAUGUUGUCUCGUUACUGAACUCUAGAGAUAACAUGACGAUCAACAUGCCCUUUUCUUAUAUUCUCCCAAUUUCUCUACUGUUUGAAAUAGAGCUGAUAGUGAGUUAGAUUGCUAAAUCUUAGGUUAUACUUCUAUCUACUUCCAGUAACAAUGGUGGAAGCAAUGAAUUGUAAAGUUGUCCUGAAAUUUUACGUUUUGUUUUCAAGUCAUACAAAAGACCCAAAACAAGACGAUAAAAUAAGCCAUGACCUAUAGCCACCAGUAAAUACAUUCAGAUCCAUCAACCUCCUCGAUCGGUUACCCAAGCUAGUUGUGGAAGGUGGAGACUCUGUAAUUAGAGAUGCUUACACUGUAGUAGUGUAGACUCUAGUGGUUUGUGUAAUCCUGCACUGCAUUGUGCACAUUCACAUGUGGCCGGUGAAUCGGUGCAUAUAUGUUUGCUUGCCAAAUAAUAUGCUUUUGUGUUAUUGAUUGCAGGUCAGUCAGUGUUCUUUGGAACUUCUGGACUGCCAGGGUCAUAUGUUGAGCAAAGAGCUUAGCCAGAGUAUUUCUAUUUCCUGUGUUUUGCAAUCAUAUUUGUGAUUGAAAUCCGGCCGAUCAAGCCAUCUUAGAAAACCUUGAUGUUUAGGUUUUGACGUCAAUUAAUAAGAGUAUGUAUAUUAAAUGAGAUCGAGUUACCGGAAGAAUGCCUGAAAACAAACAACAAAACUCUCCUUGAGCUAUCAGAGUACUAACUAGUUUUCGGCUAAGCUAGAGAUCAAACUCAGUGCCACCUUAGGCUGAACUCCCUGAAGUUUUCUGUUAUGAUGCCCUUGUUUCAAUUUAUUUAUUUUUUGGUUUGAAAUUAAACAGUGAGAUGAAUUGAAACAAGAAACGAAACUCUAGAUGCAAAGGCAUGCUACACGGUGAAGGCAGCUUAGCAGUGUUCAUGUAGGUGACUUACCUGCUAUCUGACAGUAACUCCAGAAGAACUAGAGUGAGCCAAAAAGCUCUUAAACAACAUUCCUAUAAUAAACGUACAUCGUAAUGGAUAAUUAGAAGCGAGGAACAAAUUUACUGUUUCAAUUUUUAUAUCUGCCGACUGAUCUGUAAAAAGUAUGGAUGAUAACCAACUAGGCUUCACAAGCUGUAUAACAUGGUAAUUUUAUGAAGUGGAAUCUGAAAUGCUGAGAAAUAGUCAAAUGCUCUUAGCAUAGUAAUUGGUUAAGUUAGGUGAUCGUCCAAAGGGAUUGCAACUGGUAACCAUUGUAUUAUUGUGCACAACUCCAAGUUCUAAUUGUCAAAAGAAAUUUGAAUACAGAGCUAAGAAUGAACAGAAUAACCGUUUUGUUUUCCUUUCAUUCCCAGAUUUUCUAAACCAGACCCAAGCAACGGUAGGCUUUAAUAGCAGUAAUAGGGGAAAGAGAAUCAGACCCACUCAGCUGUUAAGCAGAGACAAUUGAGUUCACUAUUUGUACGAAUCAUUCUAGUAGAUGCCGCCUUCAUCAUUGAGGUCUUAUUGAUGUAAUUUUUUGCCAUCCUCUACCCUCCGCCCCUGCCAGCAUUCUAUUACUUUCAGGCAUAUUUUGCUGGUCUUGGAGAGGGGCAAGGGGAACCAAAUGUGGUACACCAGAAAGUUUCUCCUGAUCAAGAAUAGGCCAGAUUAGUCAACAAAUACUUUGGGAUUGUCUAUCUCUAUAUCAAAUUAGAUUAUACAUUAGAUUUAAUUAACUAUAUCCUACUAUAAACCUUUCAUUGUGUGAACUGUUAACUGUUAAGUGUAUUUCAUUUGGUUUUUUUUUUUUUUUUUGGGUUAGUUUUGGACUUCACAUAUAUGCAUGAGCAUGAAUAUAAAGAGGAUGGUUUUGCUGGUUGCAGCCAAGAAAAUCGACAAACCAGUUUAGCUCCCAUUUCUAUCGGUCAUUCUCAGUUUGGAUUUCGUUUGUGUGUAUGAAAUGAUGGUGAAAGACAAGCAAACCAAAAUACAAUUUUAAUAUCCGUGUCGCCUCAACCUAAAUAUGCAUGUUCACAGCAAAACAAAAAUUAAACUCUUUUUUUUAGAGACAAAAACUUUACCCAAAUAUGCCAAGUGUGCUCCUGAUCAAAGUUUGCUGAAAGGAAGAGACCAAAGUGAUUCACCUUUCAUCCAAAAUCAAUACCAUUCAGGCUGCUCUCUGAACCGAAAUUCACAGCACACUGCCAAAAAGGAAAUAACAACAUCAGCAUAUGAUUCAUAACAACUUGAAGAGCCUUAGUUAUGCAUAUGAUGCAGCUUAGUGUGUUGAUUCUAAGAAUGCAACUAAGACACCCUAAAUACAUUCUUCCUCAGUAUAGCAUAACAAAUAUAUAUUUUAAAUAACUUAAGACACAUAGAAACAAUAUGGGGAAUAACCUUCUUUUGUUCCUUUCGGUCCCAAGGUCAAAUCAUAACAACGACUGUAUAAGUUUUAGGUGGUCUAAGCUAAAGAAUUAGCAGGGAUUCCAAGUGGUUAGACUUUUAGAUAGUUUCUUCAAGACUUCAAAUUCCACAGCGCACAUAUCUAAAUCAACUGAUUCAAUGUUUCGGCUUAAACUCCAGUUACUUGGUCUCCAAAAAUUUAUAUCAAAGCAUAGUCUGAUGAAACUUCACAGCGUCUAAAAUGCUGUGCCUUCUGUACCUACUGCAAAUCAUGUCAAGUAGCGAAACAAAUUCAGAUUGUGGCAGAGUGACGAUUGUGACAUUUCAGAAGGUAGGAAUAUGCAAGGGGAUUGAAAUUUGCACUUCCAUUUUUACAAUCCACACUCCUUUCCUUUUAUAGUAACUUUUAUAUUGUCUUUAUUCAUGUGUCUUUUAUCCUUUUGUGAAAACUUAAAACUAAAAGAGGAAAGACGGAGUGUGGAUUGUAAAAUGGGGAGUGCAAAUUUCACUCCCCAUAUGCAAAUGAGGGGACAUAAUUCAUAAUUUUACAUCUACUUAGUUUGAUUGGUUUCCACUCAAAACACCAAGCAACAAUAAGAUUCUAAUUGAUAAUGUUCCUUUAGCAAUAUAUAGCACAAAGACAUACAUAACCUAGUCCCCUGGAUUACAGUACAAACUAUCACAUAUUGAUCCAAAGAGAGUGCCUGUCAACCUGUCGAGCCUGCCAGGCCAUAACAAUGGUAGAUAGUUUAGGGAAAACAAGGCAAGAGUUGAAGGCUAAUAUCUCUCUCUGAAAAAUUACACCACAAAGACGUCUACUUCAGAACCAAAUGAGAUUCAAUCAGAAACUCACCCAUUGUAGAUUAGUGUUUGCUCCAGUAGGCCUGAAUAUAAUGGGAAAAGAAAUGACUUCAAAUCACCAUAGUAAUCACAGUCCCUCUCCCGAGUUCGGAAGCAUAACCUCCAUACACAUAACCGUCUUUAUCCUUGAUAACGAAUAAGGUUGGCCCUUUAACGUUCUGCACUGCAAUGAAUAAUUACCCAUUCCAAGCAAAACUAGCUGCAGCAAAUGACAACUGGAAUAUAAAUUUGACACUUAAUCUAACUAGGGCAAAGAACGUUGUAAUCUUUAGUCUUUUCAAAUACUCUGGGGAAUUAAAUUAUCUAUUUGGACCCAAGACAAAUGAUGAAAGGAAAGGCUUUGUUGCAUUAUCUCCCUCUUAUUACCCAACUAUUCCAUUACACAAUUACAGACGAAAGUCACAUAGAUCAAAAAUGACAACUACAGAUAUCAAUUUCAACUGUGGAAAUGGAGUCAAGGUACAAACCUGUGAGUUCCUAUCAAUCCAGUGUGUAGCAGCCAAAUCAAGUGGUCGCCCCUCCUUUGACAACCCAAAUUUUUUGGAUUGAUCUCUUCCUCGAAAACUGGAGAUAUCAACUGUAGGUACCAAGGAUGCUGACAGUGAAUCAGGAAACAUGCCCAGCACACAUUUCUCACAUGACAAUCAUUCCCUUGUAAGCCACCCUAAUUUACUCACAGUGGAAUCCAAAAUCAGAUUUACCCCAUCUUUUUUUUACCUUCUUUAUUGAAGGUUUUAACUUAUCUCAUUUUGAUAUUAUCAUUAAUUUUUUUUUUUUUUUUUUUUUUUACGUGUCCUUCCUUUUGUUGGCAGACAUCAGUCUAUUUUCACUAAUUCCAAUGAAAUAUUAACGCAAACAUUACAGGACAGAAGUUUAAAUUGCAGCUAUUGAGGAAAAAUUAGAUUCACUUGAAAAAUGAACCAAAGUGGCGGAGAGAGAAAAACCAGAACAAACAUGAAACCAUAGAGUAGUUUAAAAAUUCAUCGAAAAAUAUAAUUUAAACAAUGUCAAAAGAGCAGUAAAAAUGUCUAAGCAGAAUUUGAACAUCUAGCAAUGACUUAGAAACAUAAUAAACAACUGGAAUCCCAACUAUAAAAGAAAACAAGUAAAAAGACUCGAAUAAUUGCAUAGUUCCUGGUCCAUUAGUCAAAGUUCCACUCACAGCCAACAUGCUCCAAAGAGGUCUUCAUUAUUCCAUGUUAAGUAUCCUAUCGAGACUUCUUCGGAUCUAGCCUUUUUUGCGGCUUCUGUCCAUCUUGUCCACCAGGGUGAUCAAGCUUCACCAAUAAAAAUAUGAAAGUUAGCUAUUCCACAUUCAAGAAACAACUUCCUGUUCUUGGAAAAAAAAAAUGAGAAGGAGAGUAAAGACAACUUUAAAAGACUCAUAAACUUGAACCUAAUCCUCACAAAUCAUAUUGAUAAAAUACAUCACCUUAUCUUCCUUGACGAAAGAGACACCACUAGACUCCUUUGGUUCGAGAGUAGAAUACACAGCCUCACAGAAAGCAUUAAGAUUUUCUAGUGUCUUCUCCAUCAUUACGCGACUUUUGCACAGCCUAUUGAUUUCUGACUCUUGAUCAGACAACCUCUUCUUUGCCUCAUCCAACCGCUGCGCUACAUCUAUCAGGUGCAUUGCGUUGGAUUUCUUAUAUUCAUCAUACUCAAUUUGGAUAUCUGUUAAAGUCCCAUUUAGCUGCAAACAGAAAUCAAUUCAAAAUCAAUGUAUGUACAUGCUUAAAGAAUCACUAAAGCAAAUUCUGAAUAUAGUUUGGAGUAGAAGAUAUAUAUAUACCAGAGUGUGCAACUUGUCCUCAGCCUUCAAGGCCGAGUUGAGAUCCUCGAGAUGAGAUGUUUGGGUGGAUUUACUUGAUAGUUGUUUUCUGAGGUCAGCUACGGCUUUUUGUUUUGUCUGUUCCAGAACAUAACAUUUGUCCGGCCACCGCUGCUUCUCGUGGAAUAGCUGCAGCGUCUCCUCUUGGCAUUUAAUUAUCUGCAUGUCGAUCAUAUCAGUUGCUUAAUUUCAGUACUGGAAUGUGAUACCUAUUUCAUAUAAUCAGAUAUAGAAUCACAAACGUACCUCGUUUUUAAGCUUCGAAACCUCUUCGUUCUGGCCUGACAUCCUGCCCGACCCUAUUCUAUUCUGUUUGAGAAUCGGAAUUAGCUAAAACAAAUCUUCAACGAUCAAUUAAAGACCAAAUCCUAGCCUGACUCGAUCCAAAUUCCAAUAAAUAAAAAAAGGAGGACAUCUUACACGAGGUUGAUCUUGAGAUGGAGCUGGUGGAAGAAUGAUUCUGUUGGGUCCGAAUCGGCGGUGAGGACUCUCUUUAGGAUGACACAGUCGGUCGGGAGGGCUUAUGCGUCAGCUCCGGGACUUCUUAAGCUCCAGUACUGAACCUGCCCAUUACUUAUUAUUUUUAAUAUUGAUAUCGUAAUUGAAUUAGCAAAUUAUUUUCAUUCAUAUCACAUAAUAUUUAAUAAAUCAUAAUAAAGAAAUUUAAAACUUUAUGGACAUGGAAAUAGAAUACCAAACGAAAUAGGCUAUUUAAUAAGUAAUAAUAAAGAAAUUAAAAACUGUAUGAACAUGGAAAUAGAAUACCAAGCGAAAGAGGCUGAAGAGGUAAAAAGAGCGAGAGAGCGAAAGUUGACAAACUUGGGACUUGAAGGUCUGAUUUGCCGGAUCACGUCCGGGGCAAGGGUUCCUGUUUGCAAUUGGUUUUUUUCCUAAUCGAGAUUCAAUUCGGGGCAAUAUUGGAAUUGGGAUCAAGUUGAGGCUAGGGUUUUGUUGGAAAUAGGGGAAGGAUGUCAAGUGAUGAAACCAACUUGAGAUUGAAUAGGAAAGGAGAAGAACAAGAAGAAACGUAUUCAAAUAAUCUACAUAUCAUUCAUCGACAACUGAUUCUAGAUAGAUUACAAACUUAUAAAGAUGGAGUUCCAUCUGCUACAAUAAAGGAGAGAAUAAGUAUCAAAGAUAACUUCCUACUGCUGGGCCGAUGAGCCUUGAUCUUACCUACAUAUCCUAUUACAUCUUGGGCUAAGCCUUUUACAUAAAGAAGAAGAUACCUACUAUUGCGGUGAAGAGAGAUUGAGGCAUAACGUGUUCCAUCAACUACUCCUCCCUUUGAUAACAUGUUGUCCUCGGCUGUUACUGGAAUGAUCAUUAAUCACCCGAAAUUCCAUUGACACCUACUGACCUACCACGUCACGUGAAUUUGGCGACUCUAAGAUAGCCAUAAUAGGCUUUUUACAAACAUGAGAUUUCGACCACUUCUCAUCACAACUAAAGCAAAGACCCUGAGCUCUUCUUUCACUACGACCACGAGAUGGCCAUUGCCUGAAUUGGGAAUCAAUGAUUACCUCUAGAGUGUCUGCAGUUCGUGGUGAAUUGGUCACGGAGAAAGACGGCUGAGAAGCUUGGAUAUCAUCAAGUUUAGUCUCAUAUAGGUGGGCUAAGCGUUGCGCAGCCGCUAAUGUCCGUGGUUCCGUGACAAGUACAUCAUGUCUAAUUUCCGGCUUCAAUCCACCAAGAAAUUAAAACUUGGUAAUAAUUGAGCUUUCGUCUAUCCGUAGGCUCUACAAGACAACUUGAUAAAAGCUUAUAUGAAUUCACUCACGGUACCUGUCUAUUUAAGAUGCGAUAAUUUCGUCUGAAAAUCAGUGUUCGUCCCAGCCCCAUAGAGCUCCAAGAAAGCUGAUGUUAACUGAUGCCAAGUAGCCAUAAGAUUACGUUCUUCAAAGGAAUUCAUCCAUAUACAAGCAUACAAGCAUCAUAAUUCUUCAAGGAAUUCAUCCACAUACAAGCAACGGGACCAAAGUGGGAAGCCACCGUUGUUGUGUGCUCAUAUGAAGGAACUCGUUGAGAGCGAAGAUAUCUCUCUACCAUAGUUAACCAACCUCAAGCAUCCUCUCCAUGAAAUCUUGGUAAAUCAACUUUUGGAGGCCUGUAGUAAGGAAUGUCAUAUUAUGGUGGAGGAUUUGGUGGCAGAGGAUUGAGGGUACGUACUUGUGGUAACAAUGGUGGAAUUCAAUGGAGGAGCAGAAAAAAAAAUUUGGGGGAUUCGGAAGCAAUCCAUACCACUGUGGAGAGGAAAAAGGCAAUGUGGUCAUGACAUUUGAUGGUUGGAUGAACAUUGGUGAGUUGAUUGAAUGGGAGGGAGAUGGAAAAUCUUGAAGGUUUGGUGAUUGCCACAACGUCAAGACUUGCACCAACGUGUUCUAAAGUGUAGAAAGUUAGGCAGUCAUUUGGUUUUGAAAAGAGGCUUGAUUUUGGUUAAGAGUAGUGAUGGAUUAGUGCAAUUCAUUCUACAGAGUGGAGACCGAACUUUGAAUUUCUUCAAUCGACAUAGUUUUAUUUUCGGGUGGAGAUGAAGAAGAUAGUGAAGAAAGCAUUGGGAAAGAUUAAUGUGAUGAAAAGGAGGAACAUGAGCAGAAGAGAUGGGUGUGGUAGAGGGUUGAGAAGUCUGCACAGUGCGCGCAGGAGCCAUUAAGGCUCUGAUACCAAUGAUGGAACCAACUUGAGAUUGAAUAGAAAAGGAGAAGAACAAGAAGAAACAUAUUCAAAUAAUGUGCAUAUCAUUCAUCGACAACUGAUUCUAGAUAGAUCACAGACUUAUAAAGAUAGAGUUCCAUCUGCUACAAAUAAGGAGAGAAUGAGUAUCAAAGAUAACUUCUUACUGCUGGGCCGAUGAGCCUUGAUCUUACCUACAUAUCCUAUUACAUCUUAGGCUAAGCCUUUUACAUAAAAAAGAAGAUAGCUACCGCUGGGAUGAAGAGAAGCAAUUGCUACGGUGAAGACGAGACUACUGCGGUGAAGAGAGGUUGAGGCAAAAUGUGUACCAUCAUCAAGUGAGGCAGGCACCACGGUCGACGAAAAGGUUUUGGAGCUCCAAGAGAAGGUACGCACUCUUAAUUUUCACUAAUGGUAUUCGAUCUCUUCUAUUAGGCACUGAAUUGUAACAAUUAGUGGUGCUGCAUCUGUUAGCUUUCUCAAUGCCGACUCGAAAGGGACCGGCUCCAGGCCGAGAAAGAGAGUUUCAUGAUCAUGAAGCGGGAAUUAAAAAAACUAGAAGAUGAACUCAGAGAUGAGAAAGAAGCGAAUUCGCUGGCGACUUCUAUAUUCAAUGAAGAAAAGAAGUCACUCGAAGAGGUCUUGAAGGCCAAGUUGCGGAGUCUUCGUCAGGUAUGAUUUCUAUCACCAAUAUAGUCGAUCUCAUUAUGAUUUGGCAGCCUUUUGUAAUCCGGUACUAUGUUCUCCAUAUCUAUACGUGAUUGUCAGCCUUGUUUGCUAUAUCUGGUGUUAAAUACAUAUGCUUCACUCAACGACUAAUGUGGGGUGGGCUAAUUUAUUGAUGUCCACUAUGGAUGUUUUGUUAGGAGAAGCCUAAAAUUUUUAUAGUCUGAUAUGCAAAAGAUCCGCGUGUCUACUCUAUUGUUAUUUGAACCAAUACUUUUUAAGUAUUAUUACUAAAUCUUUUAUAUGAAAAGACAAAGAUGAAAAUGAAAGCUGGUUGACGAGCACAUUUUAUAUCAUAUUAUUAUCCCUAAUUUAUAUAUGUUAGUUACUUGUUUUUAAUUAGUUUAAGUUAUUUAGUUUGUUUUUGUGUUUUUAUAGAUGUUUGUCUAAAUAAAUAAAAUGUUAAAGCUAUGAAAGCAAUUUACUUAUUUUCAUAUAGUAAUUUGAGUCUUUGUUUUAACAUGAGUCUUUUUCCCUUUAAUUAGAUGAAUAAUUGCAACACAUGUUCUUCUUAUUCUAGUAGCAUGUAUGCAUAUAUGCAUGUGUUAAAUUGGUGGAUUAUUUUCUCAUGCAUUAAGUGUGAUGUGUGGAAAUAUUACCAUGACAUCCAUUGUUGAAUUCACUUUUGCUUGUUUGAUUCAUAGGUAUAUAGAUGCAUUGAUACAAACGGAAGAGAGUAUGAAAAAUCUCCAAGGACAUAUACCAUGAAACAAGGAGGCAAGAAGCAAGCAAACAUGAUUCUAGGAACUAAAUCUUCAAUUGUUCAAAGAUUGUGUAUGUAUCUUCUCUUCAUUCACAUGAAAAAUGAGAGAAGGAAGCUAUGGAUGGAAACAUUUAUGGAUAGAGACUUUAGCUAUCAAGCUUGAGAAAUUUGAAAGAUGGAGAGUCAUUUUCACAUGGAGAUGAAGUUGAAUGAAGAUCAUUGUUGCCCUAUAAAUAGAUGUUGUUUCAAGUGAAUAAGAGGGGAGGAGGAGAGAGUGGAGAAUUAGAGACACAUUGUUGCUCUUAGUUCUACCCUUUCUUUAGCUACUUUUUAUAUAAUGUUUUGUAUUUGUUUAAGUAUGUUUUCAAUUUGUACUAUGUCUUGCUAAUUUCCUUAACUAAGGUUAAGGAGGAAACCACAUUAUGAAAUAAGUUUCUUUUAAUUAUCUACAAUUCCCAUAGUGAUGUUAUCCAUGCCUAUGACUCUUGCUUCAAAAUGCAUUAAUAAUCCUUGUUCCUUUCACCUUUAAUGUCAUGCAUUUUUGGUAGUUUGGAAGUCACUUUUAUUAAUCCAUGCUUGGCUUUGUAAAAUAUUUAAUAUGAACUCCUUUGAUCUCUUGUCAUUCAAAUGAGCUUGUUUCACAUUUGAUGCUUUGUAAACACUUUGAUCUUUUGUAGUUUCAAUAAGUUUGUGUACAUGUGAUGCUUUGAUGUUCAUAAUUAAGAAGCGAAGAAGAGUCUACUUUAGAUAUAUUUCAUGUGUGCUUCAUUGUUAAAUCUUGAGAAAGCAGUAGAUUGAUUUCUAGAUUGCUACUCCUAAUUCGGGAAUUAGUAGAUAAUAUUUAGAGACUUAUCAAGUAAUGUGGUGGAAUCCGAUGUCAUAGUUACUUCGUCAUCAAGGUAAUCUUUUAUCUAUUUUAUUUGUCUUAGCUACUUCACCAUCAACUUUCAUUCAACUAAGUUAGUGUUAAAUUAAUUUAGAUUCGAUUAGUUUUUCCUAUUUUCAUACAUUCCAUGUGGGUUCGACCUCACUCUUGCAUAUCUGUGCUGCAACUGAUUCGUGCGUUUGCGAGUAACAUUUUAAAACACAUCAAGUUUUUGGCGCCGUUGCCGGGGAAAUUAUUACUAAAUCUUUUAUAUGAAAAGACAAAGAUGAAAAUGAAAGCUGGUAAAAGAAGAGAGAAAUAAAAAAAAAUUAAACAUAUUUGUUGUUUGAGUGGUUUUAAAUACACACCGUAAAUAACUUAAUACACAUCCCUAUUAUUUGAUAUUUUAAAUCAGAUUUGAUUGGUAUGUUAAAUGACCAAAAGAGACAUGUGUAAUACAAUAUAAAUAUUAAAAAUAAACUUAUAUUUGGAAACUAAUAAUAUGAAAUAUAAACCAAAUUAAAAUAUUAAAAACGAAAACUUAUUUUUGGAAACUUAUAAAGUGAAUUAGAACAAAUUAAAUUUUUAAGAUUGAGAACUUAUUUAGGGAAACUAUUAAAGUAAACAUAAAAUUUGCAAGAAAAUGGAUAAUCAAUUCAUUUCUUUUUUGUCCUUAAAGAUUCAUAAUUUCCAAGUUUAAAGUGUCAAAGUGUCAAACGAUGUAAUUGUUAUGCAUAUGAACACAUAUUUCGUUAUAUUUCACAUAUUUUCCUUUUCACCCAAACACACUAUUC
RNAcentral lists this long non-coding RNA (223038 nucleotides) under Fragaria vesca (wild strawberry). RNAcentral describes it as "long non-coding RNA (FVES_LNC003734)". Lineage: Eukaryota; Viridiplantae; Streptophyta; Magnoliopsida; Rosales; Rosaceae. The record is from RNAcentral.